RNAcentral lists this long non-coding RNA (257917 nucleotides) under Citrus x clementina. RNAcentral describes it as "Citrus clementina (C. clementina) long non-coding RNA (CCLE_LNC001436)". Lineage: Eukaryota; Viridiplantae; Streptophyta; Magnoliopsida; Sapindales; Rutaceae. The record is from RNAcentral.
AUUUUUUGGGGAAUCUGACAGGUCUGGUGCAGAAAACCAAGGAUAUGACAUUUUGGACACUCUUGUUCGUGCAUGUUUAUUAGAAGAGGUGGAAGAUGAUAAAGUAAAAAUGCAUGACGUUAUUCGUGAUAUGGCUAUAUGGAUAACCUGUGAAAUUGAGAAGGAGAAGAGAAACUUUUUGGUUCGUGCAGGUGCUGGAUUAAAAGAGGCACCGGAUGUUAAAAGAUGGGAAAAUGUGAGAAGAUUGUCAUUGAUGCAAAACCAAAUUGAAACUCUGUCAGAGGUUCCUACAUGCCCUCAUCUCCUCACUUUAUUUCUUAACUUUAAUAAGGUGGAGAUGAUCGCGGAUGGCUUCUUCCAAUUUAUGCCUUCUCUCAAAGUUUUGAAGAUGUCAGACUGCGGGAAUUUAAUUUUGGAAUUACCUUUUGGGAUGUCAAAGUUGGGUUCACUGGAACUUCUCGAUAUUUCACAUACCCACAUAAAAGAGUUACCAGAAGAGUUAAAGUUGUUGGUAAAUCUGAAAUGUUUGAAUUUGAGGUGGACAGUUUGGUUAAAUAAAAUUCCACGGCAACUAAUAUCAAAUUCUUCAAGGUUACGUGUGUUGAGAAUGUUCGCUAUUGGCUGGUUCAAUUUUCAUGAAGCAUCAGAAGAAAGCGUUUUAUUUGGUGGGGGUGAAGUUUUAGUACAGGAAUUGCUCGGUUUGAAAUAUUUAGAGGUAUUGGAGUUGACCUUGGGAAGUUAUCAGGCUCUCCAAAUUCUUUUGAGCUCAAAUAAGUUAAAAAGUUGUAUUCGAUCUCUUCAACUCCGGUUGGUCAGAGAUACACCGUCAAUUAUUGAUGCUACGGCUUUCGCAGAUCUAAACCACCUCAAUGAAUUGUAUAUUUUUAAAGGUAUUGAGUUGGAAGAAUUGAAGAUUGAUUAUACGGAGAUAGUACGAAAAAGGCGGGAACCUUUUGUUUUCCGGAGCCUUCACCGUGUUAUUAUUGGGGAGUGCCAUAAAUUGAAAGAUGUGACAUUCCUCGUUUUUGCUCCAAACCUCAAGUCUCUUCGGCUAUUCGAUUGCGGUGCUAUGGAAGAAAUAAUCAGCGUCGGAAAAAUUGCUGAGACUCCUGAGAUGAUGGGACAUAUAAGCCCUUUUGAAAAUCUCCAAAGUCUUGAUUUAGACGAUUUGCCACAUUUGAAGAGCAUUUUCUGGAAGCCAUUGCCUUUCACUCAUCUGAAAAAAAUGGCGGUACUUAUGUGCGAUCAGCUUAGAAAGCCUCCACUCGAUUCCAACAGUGCAAAGGAGCGUAAAUUUGUUAUUCGUGGAUACACAGGGUGGUGGAACCGACUUCAAUGGGAGGCUGAAGCCACUCAAAUUGCUUUUCGUUCCUGUUUCCAACCUUAUUCCUGAGCCGUGGUCGCAAAAUUUGAUUUCUGGUGAGUGCGUUUGUCUUUUAAAAGAAGAAUUUAAAAGAAAUUUAUUCUUGUCGUUUGUUUUCUUCUCUUUUUAUUUCAGUUUCUUUAUCUCUCUCUCUCUCUUUGUCUUCUGCAAAUCACAAUUAAAUGUUGAAUUAAUGGAAUUAAUGCUUCAUAAAUUUGCCGGCACUGCCAUUACUUUUUUUUUUUAAUACAAAUUGAUACUUUAUUUAUAUCUUCUUAGCGAUUUAAUUUCCUGUCAAUAGACGAACGAGAAGAACAUACGACUUAAACCAAUUGAUACUUUAUUUAUGUGCGUUGUAUGUAAUAAAUAUUAAGUAUACUUUAUUUUGCCCUGUUCUCCGUUUUUAUUUCAGCCUCUCUCUCUUUCCUGUCUUCUGCAAGUCAUAAUUAAAUGUUGAAUUAUAUGGAAUUAAUGCUUUAUAAAUCUGCCUGCGCUGGCUUUUUUUUUUUUGUGGGGUCGAAUUGAUGCUCUGGUUUUCGACUAGUUUUUGUUGUCAAAAUUUUCUCUGUUUUUUUCAAAUUGAUGCUUUAUUUAUAUCUUCUUCGUGAAAAGUGAUUUAAUUUCCUGCCAAAAGACGAACGAGAAGAACAUUAGAGUCAAACUAAUGCUCACAUAAAUUUCCCGUAAGAAUAUAUAUAUAAUUAGACUGGAAUGCACACCUCUAGAUUGAACAGAAUUGAAGCUGAGAAAAUAUUGAGUAUAGUAGCCCUCUUUAAAGUUAAUUUAGAAAAAGAUAUAUUCUUGAUUAAUCCAUUUUCUGAAGUUUUUUAUUUUGUAUGGUCAAUUAUACCUUCAUACUCAAAAUUUCUGAAGUUAUAAAUUAGUGCAAAUUGACAAUUUUUACUGAUGAUAUCUUCUAUUUUUCCUUUCUUUUUUUUUACUCUCAUAGAAUGUUACUGUCAUUUUACUUACAAAUAGGUUUGACUUUGAGCCCAUGAAACGAUACUUUGAUUGCCAAACCACCGUCCAAUUUUUUUAAAAAAAGAAAAAAAAUAUGUAAUCCAUGAAUCUGGUUAAUUUUGUUUGUUUGUUUUUUUUAAUCUGUUAUACAUUUGAAACAUUCCAUUAAUUGCCAAUUAUGUAAGCGAGAUAGUAAUUAAUUUUUUUAUUUAAAAAAAAGUGAAAAUUAAUCCUAUGCAAUGUGAAUAAAUUUCUUUCCUUUUUCCUUCACUCUUUUUAUUUGAUAAUUAAGUUUCAAUCUAUGUACGCAAAAUUUCUGCAACAACUGCAAAACAUAAAAAUAUAUGAUUGUUAAGGGAAACACGCAGAAGUUCAUCACUUCAAUGUUCAGUAUUUCCAAUUUUGGCAUUAAGCUCUUACGAAUAUAUUCCACUUAGAAAGCAAAAUAUUAGAAUUGUGAUUUUAAUUCAUUCAUCAUAUCUCAUUUCAAUCCCAAAAUAUUCAAGUGGAUCCAAGUUACCAUAAGACUUCAGAGGCUCGAGCCUUAGCCAGAGAUGGUUAAUUGAUAGACUAUGUGCCUGGGUCGAGCACUGGAAGCCUGCAAUGCAGACUGAUUGAUUUAUCAGUUUGACGUGUUCCAGGAAUGAAGAACUGGAAUAUCACCCUCAAGCAAACACCCUGUGGAGCAAUACCAUAGAAUGCACAAUCCGGCUUUGCAAGGUGACACUGGAGGCUUUUUGAAAAGUGCUUCACGCUCACUUGCACUGAUUGAGCAUCCCCUCUGGAUAUUGCCCUCUCUGAUCGAGUCUGAGCACUCAAAUUUCGGUCCUCAGAUGGAGCUACAGCUUUCUCUCCAAUAACCAACAAUUUUCUAAACUCAGCACCUAGUGUGAUCAGAGUUGUUGAUAUUUGCAAAUGGAGAUCCCCAUAUUUGCAAAUGGAGACAUUUAACAAAUCACCAACAUGCUUCAUCCGGUGUACAAAAUUCUGCAGCUGAUUCAAAUCUGGAACCUGAACCAGAGUCGGAGGUAAAUCUUGAGCCAUAUCUAAAGCAGUUUGAAGUUCAAGUACUUGAGCCCUUGACAAUGGUUUUGAAAUUGGAACAUCUUGGAUUACUGCAGACUUGUACCCCUUGGUUUCAAAGGUAAGGAAAGGCAUUGCUUGAGUACAAUUUGGAGGCAGCGGAUCCAGCUGCACCAACUUCAGAGCAAAUACUGACACUACUUCGAACAGCACACUGAAGAAGUGAUAUGUCUACGGCAAAGGCAAUGCAGUCCUCAUUUUGGCUUGAGAUGCAGUAAUCAUCGAAGAGAGUUUCCUUGUGAAACUGGGCAACACAUUGAAUCCCUUUGCCACUGAGAAGGUUGUGGAGGAAGUAAGCUUUCUCUCUAGUGAGGAAGAGGUGGCAUACCUUCCCCAUUUUGUCUAGGGCAGGUAGGAAUCUUUUUUCUAAGAGAUUUACUUCAUUCUCGGUGAGAAAUGCUUUGAACUUCAUCCCUCUGUCUCUAUCCUCACUUAUCAGAAAAUAAGUUGAAAGCACUACGGAGAGAGAGAGAGAGAGAAUUAAGAUAUAUAGACAAGAAAAAUAUUAGACGGUGAUCUUACAAACUAAUACUUCAAGCAGUAUCCUAGAAAGCUAAAAACUGCAAGAUGGCUUGAAAUUUGAAAAGAGCACGUGCUUUUCCUCCUUAACUUGAGAAAAUGUUUAAUAUAGUGCACCUUACAGAAGCAUUUAAGCAAUUAGAACUAUGCACAAAAACAUCACGAAGACUAAACAAAUCAGAUGCAGUGUCUUUGUCCAAGCACAAAUUGCAUUUUGUCCUCAACUUUAAUAUUUAUUGAUGAGAAUCAAUACAGGUCCCUCAUUUGUUAUAGAAAGCUUUCUUGUAGUCUCACCAGUUAAUUCACAGGUCUAUAAUCAUCUUGCAAAGUUAAGGGCAUUUCUUUCGAUCUAAAGUCUUUGCAUCACCACCUCAUCACACGCCAAGCCAAUAUUCCAUUUACCUCUACAACAAAAAGUUUUAAGUAAACAAUCCUAAUGCACGCAGCCAAAUAAAAUGCAGUAAGAAUAUUCAACUUAAAAAUCUGAAAGCCAACUUGGUGAAUUGCCUCCUUAGGUGAAGUUCCAUGCUUUACUAUAGUUGACAGAACUCAGCAAAAGCUUCCAUACAACAGAUUUUGAAAAUGAUGAUGCCAAUAGAUACUCAUUCAAUCCAUUGAAAAUCCAAAGGUUCAUUGUUAAUAGAAGUUUACAGAGUUUUGGUCAUCAAAUAGCUCAGACCUAAUCCCAAACAAAAAACGAGUGAAAAUUAGAUCACGAGCAGCUAAUUGUAAAUUCUAACUUAACUCUUCAUCUCCUUUGUAAACAAGAAACAAAAUGAAGACACGCAAAAUGAAUAUGGAGAAAAUUUGAACUCAAAUGAAAUGAGGGCACGAAAGCAAACAAAUGGCAUGCACAAAAAAACCAAGCCUCAAUCAAAAACUAAUUAACCAUUAAGAAAAAAAUUGGUCUGAGAAUGAACUCCAAAUUCAGGAGUGAAGCAAGAAGCUUUCAUUAUUUCAGAAGCUCCUGUACAAAUUAAUAAGUUAUGCUCUUUGGAAGCAAACCUAAAUUCCAAGAGAAACAGAACCCAAAAAAUUUGCAAUUUUACGCAAAGGAAGUGAAGCACAGGAUUCUGUCACACAUAGGAAUUGUAAAACAAGAGAUCGAUAUAUCGAAUUAGAAAACUCAAUUCGAAUUUAUGUCAAAAAUCAAAAUUAGAAGAUUUCACAUUUUGAGAGGAACAAGCAACAGAUGAAGUUCAAAAUUUCAGCCAUAACAUGCUAAAAAUGCUACACUUAACGGUUCAUUUUCAUGGAUUUUCUCGGGAAACAAACAGAAAAUUACGGUUCAGAGAGUUGACUGACCUUUUGGCUUUUGAAAUUGAGAAGAUCGCGCGCCAAAUUGGAAGAGGGAAAGUGAAAGUGCGAGUUUUAAUAUGGGUAUUAGAUAAGGAAAUUUAAUUAGGUUGCGAGGGUAAAAAAGGAAAGAGAUAUCAUUAUUUUAUUAUCGAUAAUUAUUAAAUUUUUUUCCAAAAAAAAGAACAAGCAAGGAUAUUUUAUUUUCAUUACUAAGUUAAAAAAAAUUGUUUCAAAAUUACUCGAGUCAUAUCCAAUGGACCAACAAAGUAAUCGUUUUUAUUUUUAUUGAUUUUUGCAGGAAAUUAAUAACUUCUUAUUUCAUAAUCCAACUCCAGUACUAAGUUAAAAAAAAUUGUUUCAAAAUUACUUGAAUCAUAUCCAAUGGACCAACAAUGUAAUCGUUUUUAUUUUUAUUGAUUUUUGCAGGAAAUUAAUAACUUAAAAAUACUGAAAGCUAUUGUAAAAAUUUUUAUUAUCAACCUCAUAGUUUUUUUUUUUUUGGGAAGAGAAUUCAAACUUUUUUUUUUUUAAUUUCCAAGAAUUCUUGACACCCGUCUUAAUUAAAAGCUAUAUUUUAAUUCAAAAGUCAUGCUAUUCAUUCACUCACAGACCAAAGGCUUUCCGCAGCAAUAUUAUUAUUUAAAUUACAACAAAGGGGAAAUCAAAUACGUCAUACAGAAGCUUAAAGCUGAAUCUACAAAAUCUAGAGCUCGCAACUACAAAAAUUACACUUGAUGAUCCUCUACAAGAUGAAGCUUGUUCAAUAUCUCAUCCAAAGCUUGUAAAGUAACCUUGUAACGAUCUUGAGAUUGCCUGCCUUCCUCGACGACCUGCACGAUGCGUUUGUACCAAUCAUCAUACCUGUGCACCGGAUUUUUAAUAUCAACGCCACUGCAGCUGUGAUCAAGAACAUAAGAGCGUUUAACAUCUUUUCUCCAUCGAGAAAGAAUGUAGUGAGAUGGGAUCUCCUCCAUACCACUCUGGUUUAGAACACAAAGAAUGUGUCUGCAUAAAUAUCCUCUGAAAUUGAACAACCCACAAACACAAAGCACCUCCAAGUCGGAGGCAUUGUACAAAACAUCGAAAGCCCUUGAAUCUUUCUCGUUGCUACCAACCUCAAAUUCUUCCUUCACUAUGUAUGUUAUAGGUCCAUCAGCACUGACAUGUUUUGUGCUAUAGCAAAGAGUACAUAGCCUCCACCUCCGUCUGAAACUUCCUUAACAUUUCAUUUGUGUACAGUUUUGAGAGUUGAAAUUCAUAGUAACAUCUUGGUUUCUGGAUACAACUUGAAUUUCUUGAAUCCAUAUCUGCCAAGGCUUCCAGUUGAUAAUUCGCCUGCAGUGCUUGAUCAGACUUGUCUAAGAAUUCUUUCAAAGGAGUAUUCUUAUCAAGAUAUCCUUCAAAGUAUGAAGUAGAAACCUCAUUCUGCAGGAACGAAAACACUCCUGAUAAAAAAGCUUCCUUCAAAUAAAUAGGAGCCCACCUUUUACGAUCUUCAUAUAAAGUUUGAAUCCAUCCGUGAUCCUUUAUUCCAUGACGUUGAUGUUGAAAAGUCAAAAGAGUUUUGGUUGAAAAAGAAAAGUGAGUAUUAAAAAAGGCGGGAACCUUUUGUUUUCCGCAGCCUUCACCAUGUUACUAUACAAAGCUGCCAGAAGUUGAAAGAUUCGACAUUCCUUGUUUUUGCUCCAAACCUCAAGUCUCUUUCGAUGGUCAAAUGCAAUGCUAUGGAAGAAAUAAUCAGCGUCGGAAAAUUUGCUGAGACUCCUGAGAUGAUGGGACAUAUAAGCCCUUUUGAAAAUCUCCAAAUGCUUGAUUUAAUAGGUUUGCCACAUUUGAAGAGCAUCUUCUGGAAGCCAUUGCCUUUCACUCAUCUCAAAGAAAUAUAUGUGGGUUAUUGCCCUAAUCUUAAAAAGAUUCCACUCGAUUCCAACAGUGCAAAGGAGCGUAAAUUUGUUAUUCGUGGAGAAGAAGACUGGUGGAACCGACUUCAAUGGGAGGAUGAAGCCACUCAAAUUGCUUUUCGUUCCUGUUUCCAACCUCGUUCCUGAGCGGUGGUCGCAAAAUUUGAUUUCUGGUGAGCGCGUUUGUCUUUUAAAAGAAGAAUUUAAAAGAAAUUUAUUCUUAUCGUUUUCUUCUCUGUUUUUAUUUCAGUUUCUCUCUCUCUCUUUGUCUUCUGCAAAUCACAAUUAAAUGUUGAAUUAAUGGAAUUAAUGCUUCAUAAAUUUGCCGGCACUGCCAUUACUUUUUUUUUUUAAUACGAAUUGAAACUUUAUUUAUUUCUUCUUAGCGAUUUAAUUUCCUGUCAAAAGACGAGCGAGAAGAACAUAUAUAUGACUUAAAUUUUUUGUUCAAGGAUUUUUAUUUCGGGUAUUAAUAAUAGUCCACCAAAAGAGGGAACACUUGGAUGCUGCUCUAAGGGUCUCUCUAAUCAAUAGCUGGAAGCAAUUGAGAAGGCGGUCGCUACUGUGUACAAAUCCAUGCAGUAUUUGCUAUUCAUCUUAAUAAUUAUGAAGCUUUGGUAAAAUUUUCAGACAAAGUUGACAUGUUAUUUUGAGAUUUGGUUCGUGAUUUUGUAUGAAUAUCGUUGUUCCGUUUGAGUUGGAUAUGAAUUCGAGUCUAAAUAUUCUUUGGUUUUCAAUUUUGAACUCAAUUUUUUUUUUCUCAAGCAUGUUAUGCAGAAAUGAUUUUUACUAAAUCAUUUUUGAUGAAUUAUUUAAAUUAAACAAUUGGAAUCAGAAUUGUAACGAUUUAUCACAAGCAUGCUAAUAUGAUAAUUCUGAAACUAUCAUUUUUUUUUUCAAUUUGCUGCAGGGAAAGCCAAAUUUUGUAUUUUUCAGUUUUAUCUGAUAUGGAAUUUAUUUCCUCUACACUAGCUACCUAAAGAUUUAUCAAAUUGCUUCUCUUCCCUGCUUCAAAUAUCUUCAUGGCAUCAUAGGAAAAGAGAGUUUGGGUUGUAUUUAUUAUAGUUUUUAUUUUUUUUUCGUUAUAAGCAAAUUUAUUUUAAAUACUUUAGUAGUAACAGUUUUUAUUGAAUAAUAAUGGGGGAUGAUUAUUAUAUGUUCAAAUAGUUGUUAGAACAUUAUAAAAAGUCUAUUUGCUAUCAAAUGUUUUAAAUUGAUGCAACAUGAUAAUUGUCUCAUAUAAUUUUUUUAUACUAUAUAUGUCCCAUAAUCUUAACAUGAAUAAAUGAUUUUCAAUGGUUAAAUUUGACACGAUUAUUAAAUAGAUCAUAUCUAUAUUAAUUCGAUUUAAAAUCUGGUCACAUUUGGAUUUAGAGUUUCUAACAUGGUAUCUUGUUUUAUGACAUAAUUUACUAAUCAAUUAAUAGAAAAUCAAAUGUUAGUCAAUUAAAUAUGUGGUACAUUUGUCAUAUUUUAAAAAUUAUUUAUUUAUAUUUGAAAUAAAUUUGACUAGACUUUGUGCAGGUAAUACUGCAUAAUUUCUAAAAAAAUGUAAUAAAAACAUGUUAAAAUGUUAUUUUUAUGAAGAAAAAUUGGAAUUUUAUUAAAUAGGAGACACAAUAAUAAAUGGAUAAAAAUUGAGAUUAUUGAUAUAAUGAUUAAAUAGAUUGAAUUGAAGUGAGUUUCAAUUUUGAGAAGAUAAUAAGACGACGCGACACAAAUACAACCAACCAGUCAACCCAAAUUGCCACCUUUUACUAUCUUCUUUGUGUUAUUUCUCUAAAAAUUUGUGCCUUCUCUUACACUUUUAAAUCUUAAGUGUUUGAACUGGAGUACACAAAUUAUCUCUCUACAAUUCCAAAACAACCAAUUUGUAACUUGGUAAAUCUUAAUCAAUGGCAGGAAGCAAUUGAGAAGGCGGUCGCUACUGUGUACAAAGCCAUGCAGUAUUUGCUAUUCAUCUUAACAAUUGUUGAGCUUCGGUAAAUUUUCAAAUAUAGUUGACUUUUUAUUUUGAGAUUUGGUUCAUGAUUUUGUAUGAAUAUCGUUGUUCCGUUUGAGUUGGAUGUGAAUUCAAACCUAAAUAUUCUUUGGUUUUCCAUUUUGAAUUCAAUUUUUUUCCUCAAGCAUGUUAUGCAGAAAUGAUUUUUACGAAAUGAUUUUUGAUCGAUUAUUUAAAUUAAACAAUUGGAAUAAGAAUUGUAACGGUUUAUCGUAAGCAUGCUAAUAUGAUAACUUGUUUUACGAACGAUUAGUUAAUCAAUUAAUAUUAAAUUGUAUAUUAGUCAAUUAGAUAUGUGUUAUAUUUGUCAUAUUCUAAAAAUUAUUUAUUUAUAUUUCAAAUAAAUUUGACCAGAGGUUACGUAGGUAAUACUACAUAAUUUCGAAAGGAUGUAAAAAUUUAAAAUUUCAUUAAAUAGGUGACUCAACAAUAAAUGGAUUUCUGCAAGAAUUGAGAUUCUUGAGAUAAUUAUUGCAUAGGGGGAAUUUUGGUUAGUUCAAUUUUGACAUGAUAAGAAGACAACACAGCGCAGAAAACCCAAAUUGCCACUUCUACUAGUAAUAAAAGAUGAGCGAAUUGCGUGGGAUAUACUUGUUUUCCCUCAAAAUACCCAAAAUAUACCUCCACAUAUUAAAAUUGCUAGCUUUACACAUAUAUACUUAAAAAGAUCAGAGAAAAUACAAAAAUAACCUUAAUAAAAAUACUCGACUUAUUUAAUAUGCUUACUCGACUCAUUUAAUAUUCUUACUCGAUUUCUUACCGGACCAUAUACUCGACUUAGUUAAUAUGCUUACUCGACUUAUUUAAUAUUUUUAUUCGACUUAUUUAAUAUUCUUACUCGACUUCUUACCCGACCAUAUACUCGAUUUAUUUAAUAUGUUUACUCGACUCAUUUAAUAUUCUUACUCGACUUCUUACCGGACCAUAUACUCGAUUUAGUUAAUAUGCUUACUCGACUUAUUUAAUAUUCUUACUCGACUUCUUACCGGACCAUAUACUCGACUUAUUUAAUAUGCUUACUCGACUCAUGUAAUAUUCUUAUUCGACUUCUUACCCGACCAUAUACUCGACUUAUUUAAUAUGCUUACUCGACUCAUUUAAUAUUCUUACUCGACUUAUUUAAUAUUCUUACUCGACUUCUUACCCGACCAUAUACUCGACUUAUUUAAUAUGCUUACUCGACUCAUGUAAUAUUCUUACUCGACUUCUUACCCGACCAUAUACUCGACUUAUUUAAUAUGCUUACUCGACUCAUUUAAUAUUCUUACUCGACUUCUUACCCGACCAUAUACUCGACUUAGUUAAUAUUCUUACUCGACUCAUUUAAUAUUCUUAUUCGACUUCUUACCUGACCAUAUACUCGACUUCUUUAAUAUGCUUACUCGACUCAUUUAAUUUUCUUACUCGACUUCUUACCCGACCAUAUACUCGACUUAUUUAAUAUGCUUACUCGAUUCAUUUAAUAUUCUUACUCGACUUCUUACCCGACCAUAUACUCGACUUAUUUAAUAUGCUUACUCGACUCAUUUAAUAUUCUUACUCGACUUCUUACCCGACCAUAUACUCGACUUACUUAUCUCUAAUUCUUACUCGACUAAAUUCUCGAUUUACCCGACUUUGUACCCGACUUCGUACCCGACUUCUUCCUGCACUGAUUCUUCAAUCAUUCAUAACUUAAAUGUAGUCUUAAAUCCCUACAUUGAAAUAGUGUGUGUGUGCAAGCACAAAAAAUGAAUAAUGUACUACUAAAAUUCAUAAAUCAUUAGGAAGUACACUUAUAAGAAAAAUAGAGAAUGGUGAGAGAAGCCCAAAAAAGAGAAGCAAUGGGAGAAGAGAGAUGUGAAUUCUUAGUUUUUUUAAGGUUAUUUUUGACUUUUUCUAUCUUCAUAAGGUAUAUGUAUGUAAUAGGAUAUAAAUUUGGCAUUUAAGGGUAAAUUAAGGAUAUUUAAAUAAAAAACCCAUAAAAGAUACCUGUUUCAAAAGUAAUUAUAAACUAUCUUCUUUGUGUUAUUUCUCAAAACUGUUAUUUCCCUGGAGAAAAGUACGAAAUACCCACUUUCACGUUGGCAGAAGCAAAGCAAAGCUAUGAGCUAUCUCUGUAUACUUGAAACGCCAUUGCUAAACGAUUCUCGAUGAUGGGUGCCACUGGGCCAGUGUUGUCGCUGAUUUGCAUGAUUUAUUAGUUGUCCAGAUGCCAGAGAAACCAUGGUGGCAUUGAAGUUACCCAGAUGGUUAGUUUUCUGAUCAUUUUUUUAUUCAAUUAUUUAUUUUUUUUAGAAAAAUGUAAGAAAUAUGUAGAAAUGUUGACAGCUAUGAUUUUGAAACUUUGCCUAAAAUUGUUAUCAUCACUUAUUUAAAGAGAAAUCCUAGAAACAUGACAUGAUUAGUAGCCUAAUUCAAAAUUAGACAUGAUUACAACAAGAGAAAAGUGGAGAGAACUUGAUAGUCGAGUGCAUUUAGAAUUUAAUUUUUCUUUUAGCUGCCAAUCAUUAAAUUUUCGAUUUCAGAAAAUUAUACCUAGAAUAUUUCAAGGAUAUACUAUGAAGAUUAUGAAGGUUUGAUUACAUGUCACUAUCAAUUGCCCCAAUCAUUUGUAGUAAAUUAAUUGAUCAUUUUGAUGCAAAUGAUUCCCUACUAAAAAAUUCAAGUCAAGGCUGAAUUGCACAGUAGUUAGUCGCGCUUGCACUUCAAAUUAAGUAUUGUAUUUUCUGCCUGGUUUGGUUGAUUAAAGUAUGUGCAUUUGCUUAUGAAAGUUGUAGUAUAGAAAUCGAAACAUUUGUUUUUCGCUAAGCCCAGAAGCAAAGUUCUUUGUACUGUACUCAUCACUUCUCUUCGUUCUCUUCAUUGAAAUUUUAUCCAAACAGCGGUUUCUUCGAAUUUGUGCCUUCUCUUACACUUUUAAAUCUAGCAAAGAACCGUUACCUGAGAAGAUUGCCAUCAGGAAUUUCUAAAUUGAUUUCACUAUAAUACCUUAAUCUUUCAAAUACUCCUCUCACUGGGUUGCCAAUAGUACUAAAAGCCUUGGUGAAUCCUACGUGUUUGAACUGGAGUACAAAAGUUAUCUCUCCACAAUUCCAAAACAACUGAUUUGUUACUUUUCAAUGCUACACGUUCUGCGAACGUUCAGUUGUGGUUAUCUUGCUGAAAUACCAGAAAAUAGGGUUCUAUUUGGUGGUAGUGGAUUCUUGGUUGGGGAGUUGCUUAGUUUAAAACGUUUAGAUGUAUUAAGCAUCACCUUAAAAGGUUUUUCUUCUGUCCAAAAACUUAUGAGCUCCCAACAGUUUCAAAGCCGUACAAAAAUGUUUGGAGCUUAUAGACUGUGAUGAUUCAAAGUCGUUUGCCUUGGCAGAGUUGAAGCAUCUUGUAAAACUAGGUUUGUCAAAUUGUGGAAAUUUGGAAGAUAAAUUACAUUUAUAAACUGUGGAUCGCCCUUUAUAAGUAUUAGGCUUAUUCCAUACUCGAGCAAUGUGGAAUACCUUUAUAAGCAUUAAGCCUCUCCCAUACAAUUUCUGUACAUGACUCUUCUUUUUUUUUUUUUUUUGAAGACCGUUCAAAGUGGUUGAUGAUCCGUUUUGUAAUAUCAUAGAGGGAUCAUGAAUUCCUUUUCUUUUCUGUGGCUAGGCAACACUUUUGGGCCAAAGUAAGGGAAUCUAUUUUAGGUCAUGUAAAAACCAGUUGUGGGAUGUAAUAGUUUAUUAUGCACUGACAAUAACUUUUUGUAUAAUUGUCAGUUUAAUGAAUACGAGAGGAACUCUGUUGGCAAAUUCAUCCAUGAUAGAUGCUAAAAUUAUACCAGUUGCCUUAACUUAUUUUUCUCAACACUGGUAUUGAACAGGAAAAUGAAUAUGCAAUUUGUAUUUGUGCCAUUGUGGAGAAUUUGGAUAUUCUUAUUUUUAGUAACAAGGAGAGUAUUGGCCUCAUCUUUAAAAAAUGAAUCUUUGAGAAAUGAGGAGUGGGUGAUUGGCAGUGUCAGAGUGUCUUCCUGUAAAUGUUCAUUUAUUUGUAUUUUGAACUAUUAGUAGAAUCUUUAUAUGCCAAAUUAGUAAUACAAAUAUUCAGAUGAUUUUUCCUGUUGAUCAUUUCAUUCUUGAGAGCCAUGUACAAUACUAGUAUACCAGAGAAACCAAGGUAGCAUUGAAGUUGCCCCAGUGGCUAGUUUUCCGAUCAUUUUUUAUUCAAAUUUUUAUGUUUUAGAAAAAUGUAAGAAAUAUGUAGAAAUGUUGAUAGCUAUGAUUUUGAAACUUUGCCUAAAAUUGUUAUCAUCACUUAUUGUUUCUUAUUUAAAGAGAAAUCCUGGAAACGUGACAUGAUUAUUCCAUACUUGUUUUUAUAUUAUUUAUUAGCAGCCUAAUUCAAAAUUACACGUGAUUAUUUGUUACUUUUAAUGCUACAUAUUCUGGGAAUAUUCAGUUGUGGUUAUCUUGUUGAAAUACCAGAAAAUAGCGUUCUAUUUGGUGGUAGUGGAUUCUUGGUUGGUUUAAAUGUAUUAAGCAUCACCUUAGAAGGUGUUUCUGCUGUCCAAAAACUUACGAGCUCCCAAAAGUUUCAAAGCUGUGCACAACCUUUGGAGCUUAUAGACUGUAGUGAUUCAAAGUUGUUUGCCUUCACAGAGUUGAAGCAUCUUGAAAAACUAGGUUUUUCAAAUUGUGGAAAUUGGAAGAGUUUAAGUUCUGCUGUGUCGAGGAUGGAAAGGCUCGAGAAUGUUUUCGUGUGAACAGCCUCCAACGAGUUAAGAUAAAGGCUUGUCAUAAAUUGAGGGAAGUGACAUGGCUUGUAUUUGCUCUGUAUCUUGAGGUUAUUCAAAUAGACAAAUGUAUGGGGAUGGAAGUAAUAAUCAGUGCAAGGAAAUUGGGUGAAGUUCCAGAGAUGAUGGCAGAUCUAAACCCUUUGGUAAAACUCCAAUAUCUUGGCCCACGAGUUCUACCAAAAUUAAAAUGCAUCUAUUGGAAUCAAUUGCCCUCUCUACAUGUCAGGCAAAUUUUGUAUCUGAAUGUCCAAUUCUCAAGAAGCUUCCACUUGGUUUUAACAAUGCAAAGGAAUCUAAAACUAUCAUUAGGGGAGAAGAACACUGGUCGAAUGAGCUGCAAUGGGAGGACAAAGUGACCCUUAAUGUUCUUCUUCCUUGUUUCGGAUCCAUUUGAGGGCAUCAACAUGGAUUGAUACUUUGCAGUGGAGAAAUUCGAAUAAAACCUGGUAAGUGCUUUUCCAUUUAUUGCAUAUUUAUAUCUAACUUUUGUUUUCCUUUGUGGUUAAACUUUGCUCUAUAUACGUUGUUGUACGGUGACAUUCUCAUAUCAAUUAUUAGCUUUUUAAUUCUCUUCUCACAUUAACUGCCCUUUUGAUCAUGUAGGAUAUGCUGAUGUCAAAGAGUCGUAAUUUGGACUGCAAAUGUAAGAAUUAGACAGAUGACCAGUUGUUUUGAAGCGCUCGAAGAAGGAUUAAUUACGUCAUUGAAAGCCUCCAAUUUUAUGACUUUUUUUUUAAUUUGUUGUUUUUCUAUUUUUAGAUAGCUUGAUUGUUAGUUGUCGUGACGUAAUGCUUUAGUGUAGAAAAAUGAUAUUCGGCCAAGACAACAUUAGGAGGGCACCUUGUGCAUGCAUACUAGUGGAUAAUUUUGGCAUGCUAAAUCCAGUUAGGGUGGAUGACCUUUUAUAAGCAUUAGGCUUCUCUCAUACCCGAAAACAAUGUAGAAUAUGCUUAUAAGCUGUGGAUCACCCAUUAUAAGUUUUAGGCUUCUCCUAUACUCGAGCGAUGUGGAAUACCUUUAUAAGCAUUAAGCUUCUCCCGGUAUCUUUAUGUUAAAAAUAAUAAUAAUAAAAGAAAUCCAUUUUAAAAUAGACUCUUUUUGCUUUUUCUAUAUAAACAAAUGCAUUCUUCAAAUCAAUUGUGGGCAGAAGAAGUUAGUAGAAAAGAACUAGUCCCCUUUCAUUCCCCCUUAAACCUCACCAAAGCCUCUUUUGUAAGCUUUUCGGAUUUUCUUUCUAUAUUGCUUACGAUCUCAUUUUUGAUUGAAUCACUUCUUUUGCAUGCUGCAUUUUUUGUUUGUUGUAUUUGGAUAUUAUCGUAUUUGGAAUGCUGUUAUGAUUGAUGGAACAAGUAAUCGAUUUUUAGUCUGAUGGAAGUUGACUUAUUUAUUUAUUGUUAUUUUUAUUGAAAUUAUGUACAAUUGCAUUUCAUUCAUUUCUUCCCCCCUAACAUAUUUGUUAUGUAUAAUUGCGUUUCAUUUGAUAUUGAUCAUGCUGUAGAUAACCAUGUGAUUGUAGGAUGGGGAUUUCAAGUUUGUUGAAUAUUCAAGUAAGUGAAGUAACUGUCAAAAUACUAGUGAAAUUGGGAGCUUUAUUCAUGAGCUUGUGGUUUUGAAAAGUACCACAGUUCAACCGAUGAAGGUUCCUUUUUGGGGUUUGUUGAUGCGAGAUUCUGGUUAUGCUCGUCCUACGACCAGGAUAUCUGCUCGAUCAACCUCACCUCGAUCAGGAUCUCUCCUCGUAUGCUUUCUUCUCCAAGUAUCCCUGCGUUCACAGAAACGAGUCAGAGCACGCCGGUUGUUUUCUCGGCGUAAACCCUCCGACGCUCAAGUCAGAUGUGAAGGUUCUGGGAACGCUUGCCACAGAUCUUAUGGCUUUUCUAUAAUCUCAGUUCUUAGAGUUCUCUUUUCUUAGUUCCAAAAUCAAAAAUUCUAAACCUUUUACCUUCGUUGGCUACCUUUUUAUAGGCUUCCUCUGAAUCCAGAUCUUCCGCAGUCCACGCCCGCCAUUCUCCCCACUUUCGGGUGUGGACGCCCCAUUACCGCCAUUGUCGGCGAAUAGAGAUGGACCUCGUGUCUUAAUUCUCGGAUAGGAAUGCACGUCCUGCCAACUGUCGUUGACUGGGUCUCCUCGCCUCGAUGCCUAGCAGGAAUGACCUUAUGCCUCUAAUAGGAGUUCGGCCUCACGAAUGGCAUAUUCGUGGACGAGCAGAAUACUCCUGCUCGUAUUCCCCUGCUACUUGGCUCUUGCAGGAUACCCCUGCUCGCAGAACCCUGCCACCAACCACCUGCUCAUCAUGUUUGGUCGCCUCGAUAUAUUUCCCUCAAACACCGGUCCCCCAGUUUCUGGUGUUGGGUAAUGUAAUGGACCAGCAGUAGAAACUCAACGGUUCUUGCUCGCGUGGGACUGGAGAAGGCUGCCAAGAGUCGUGUCGCAUUUAAUUGCGGACGAGGUGAUGUGGCAGAAAUCUGCCCCUCUAUUUGAAUUUCAAACCAACGGUUACGAGGCCCUUGGGGUUUGGUUCCGUUAAAUGCUGGCAACCUAAGAGUCCGUCCCCUUUAUGAAACCCACCUCCUUUCGUACAACAAAUUCAUCAUCCACUCCGUCUCCGUCUCCGUCUCUCCGGCAAAGAAGUUCCGGCAUAAAGGCCUCCAUCUCUGUCUUUCACCGACUGAAAAAUUACUUCAGGUACUUCUUCUAUCUCCUUGGUCUCGAAUAGUUGUAGAUAAUUUCUCUUCUCUUUUGUUCGGGUAAUAGUUGGUGGUGGCGUUGUGGUUAGCGCUUAGGGAAUGUCGAAAGGUAAAGAGAAGGUCGUUGAGGUUGACGACGAUGAGUUGGACUUCCUGCCUGGUCUGCUCACCGAUCCUGCUUUUGACCCCGGGAUCCCCUUAGAGCCCAUCAGAUCCAGUGUUGGUACUAGCGCUAGGAGGAUGUCUCCCCAAACAACCUCCUCGAGCGGAAAUAACGAUGAAGAGGGGUCUUCUGGAUCGGAGAACACCCCGAGUGAGGGUCGAGGAGAUGAUUCUGGUGAGGUGUCCCCAUCAGGAGCGUCGCGACCAGAAGAGAGGAGUACAAUAGGAGGUAGAGCCCUAUCGCGGGAUUACGCUAUUGAUUAUAUGACGUGCACGACCACGUUUGAUGAGCUCGAUGACCUCCGGCUUAGGUAUAGUAUUCCUGGUGAAAUACCUCUUAAGGUCCCAGGAAAGAAGGAUGCUCCUAGCCGGCCUCCUAGGGGAUAUGUUACCCUAUAUCUGGAUAGCUUUAAGUAUGGGCUGAGGUGUCCCUUGCAACCUUACUUUGCCCGGAUACUUGACGGGCUGAAUCUAUCUCCUGGUCAGUUGAACCCAAACGGUUGGAGAGUGCUCUCUGGUCUGUUCAUAUUGUGGGACAGAUGUUGCCAAAGCGAGCCCACAAUUGAUGAGGUGAAGCACCUGUACCAGCUAAAGAGCAGCCCCAAAGAUGCCGGCUGGUACUACUUCCAAUCUAGCACCAAGACCAGGAAACCUAUAACCGACCUCCCUUCUGGUGGUGGUGGGAAUUGGAAGAGAAAGUUCUUUUUUGCUGGGGGUCCUUGGGGUCAGGUUGCACAAAUGGACGGGAAGGAUUAUCGGGUCCCACCCCGUUUCACAGUCCCAGGUUGCCUGCUCGCUUGAGAUGUCCUGUAUCCAUAAUUGUUCUUGCUUUAUUGGCUUGUCUCUAACCAAGUGUCUGUUUGUGUUGUAGUUUCUUGGGGUGUUCAUUUCCCGCUCCAACCUGGCCAGCUCAAACAGGUUGAGGCUGUGCUAGUCAAUUCCUGCCCGAGCCGAGAGCUGUUAACUACUUACAACUUGCUCGAGUCUCGUUUGAUACUACCUGGUCAUAAGAUGGAGGACGUUGUGAUUGGGGCUCUGAACAGGAAACGUUCUCGACCUCAAACCACGAAGAGGGACCAGAAUAAGGACGCCCUUACUGCAAAGCGGGCCAACAUCGUGCAGCAGGUCUUUCCCUUGAAGACUUUACCUCCUGCUCCUGCCAAAGUCGGGGAAACUAGUGGAGCAGCCACCGAUCCUGCUUCUUCUUCUCCUCCUGUCGGGCCGCGAUCUCGCUUACCUGAUAGCCGAGCAGAACACUUGGUCCUCUAUCUCAAUGAGUUAUCUAAGCUCGUGAGCAAGAAGGACCUGGAGGACUUUGAUGGCUGCACUCUGGGCGAGCUGGUGGGAGCCAUGCAGUAUAGUGCUUUCCAUCUCAGUUGCAUGACCACCUACUAUAAGGCCAAGGUUGGCCGUUAUGACAGGAAGAUGAAGGAGGACAUUCAGUCGGCGACGACCAGAGCUGACGUUGCUGAGAAGAAAGCAGGGGACUUAAACCUCGAGAAUCUCAAGUUGAUUGAGCGAGAAUCUCUUGCUCAAGCCAAGGCUAUUACUCUCGAGGAAGAGCUGGCCAAGGUCAAGGAAGAUCUGCAGAGGCAGAAAGCUAUGUACGAGGCUCAGCUCGAAUCUCUCCGUGAUUCCCACCGGGUUCAGGUCGAGAACUUAGAGAAGGAGGCUGACAACCAGUACGACCAGGGACUUCGGCAUUCCUAUCGUUGCAUCAUGGCCGUCCUCGGGAAGCAACACCCUGAUCUAAAGAUGGAUGACCUUGCAGUUGGUGUUGCUCAACAUAUGGAUGAGGAGGCGGCCGAGGAAGAUGCUGAAGGGGUAGAGCCGAUCGUGAUUGAGGAGGAAACCUCUCCUCCUCGUGCAGUCCCUGCUGCUGUUGGCGAGGCGAGCACCCCCCCGGACGCAACUGGUGAUACCCCCCCUGCACCUGAGGAGGUCCAGACAACCGAUGCUGCUCGGCUUACUGAUCCACCAUCUUCUUAAUAUAUUUCUUGUACUGUAAUGAACAAUUUUUGUGACGAUUAUCUCUUCUGUUAAUUACUAACAAUUAAUAAAGAUGUUUUUUAUUACUUUCUUAUGUUGUAAUCACGGCUUAUUUUCCGUUUGAGAAUCUGCUCGUCCUUGUCCGGUCGAGCAAGUUCUGGCUUGGCAUAUGGUUUUGCCACAUGCCUUAGAAAAUUCUUCGAUGUUCGAGAUUCUGCUCGCCUUCGCGCGAUCGAGCAGACCCUUCCACGCUUGACUUCAUUCUCGCCAUAAACAGGCUUUGAGACUUGACGAGCCUUUGCAUGCCUUAGAAAUUUUUUCGAUGCUUGGGGAUUCUACUCGCCUUCGCGUGGUCGAGCAGAUCCUGGCACGCUUGGCUUCUGUCUCGCCAUAAACAGGCUUUGAGACUUGACGAGCCUUUGCAUGCCUUAGAAAUUUUUUCGAUGCUUGGGGAUUCUGCUCGCCUUCGCGUGGUCGAGCAGAUCCUGGCACGCUUGGCUUCUGUCUCGCCAUAAACAGGCUUUGAGACUUGAUGAGCCUUUACAUGCCUUUGAUUCUUCAAGGACUGGGAUUCUGCUCGCCUUCUCGUGGUCGAGCAGAUCCUGGCACGCUUGGCUUCUGUCUCGCCAUAAAUAGGCUUUGAGACUUGAUGAGCCUUUGCAUGCCUUUGAUUCUUCAAGGACUGGGAUUCUGCUCGCCUUCUCGUGGUCAAGCAGAUCCUGGCACGCUUGGCUUCUGUCUCGCCAUAAAACAGGCUUUGAGACUUGAUGAGCCUUUGCAUGCCUUUGAUUCUUCAAGGACUGGGAUUCUGCUCGCCUUCUCGUGGUCAAGCAGAUCCUGGCACGCUUGGCUUCUGUCUCGCCAUAAAACAGGUUUGAGACUUGAUGAGCCUUUGCAUGCCUUUGAUUCUUCAAGGACUGGGAUUCUGCUCGCCUUCUCGUGGUCAAGCAGAUCCUGGCACGCUUGGCUUCUGUCUCGCCAUAAAACAGGCUUUGAGACUUGAUGAGCCUUUGCAUGUCUUUGAUUCUUCAAGGACUGGGAUUCUGCUCGCCUUCUCGUGGUCGAGCAGAUCCUGGCACGCUUGGCUUCUGUCUCGCCAUAAACAGGCUUUGAGACUUGAUGAGCCUUUGCAUGCCUUUGAUUCUUCAAGGACUGGGAUUCUGCUCGCCUUCUCGUAGUUGAGCAGAUCCUGGCACGCUUGGCUUCUGUCUCGCCAUAAAACAGGCUUUGAGACUUGAUGAGCCUUUGCAUGCCUUAGAAAAUUUUCACAGUUUCAAGCGAAUGAAAUUCCUCAUUGAUUUAUUAUUGAGUUCGGCUUACAUGAGGUUGCUUUGAAAUAAGAAAUCAAAAAUAGAAAACAACGGACACGAACAGAAAAAAAAAACUUUAAAACAUGAAUAAGUCUUACUAGAAAUAUUUCCUGAGGUGUGCCGCGCUCCAGGGGCGUUUCACCUCGUGGCCCUCCGUGCGAACCAACUUGUAAACUCCGGGUCCAACUAGCUGCCAUUCCCGGCUUCCACUCGGGUAUCAAGGUAUGUUAUCUGCAUUGCUUCCCUUGCUGCCGAGGAGUAACAGCUUCGUGCGAUUCUCUGGUCUCCUCGUACCACUCCAACUACCCCAUUCACCCGGUACUUGAGAGCCAGAUAAUGGUUGGACAGCACCGCUUUGCUGAUCCUCAGAAAUGGCCGGCCUAGGAUCAUCUGAUAAGGACCUUCCUCAUCCACUACCACAAAGUCCAGUAUCAUUGUCCUUUCUGUCGGGGAGCUCCCAAUCGUGAUAGGCAGCUCGACCACGCCCAGAGGGACCAGCUUUCCUCCUCCAAACCCCUUCAAGGAGGUAUUGGUGUACUCCAACUUCCGGUCUGCUAUUCCCAUCUCUUCCAAGGUUGACUUAAAUAACACAUCAACUGAACUCCCUGUAUCAACCAGUAUCCGGUCACACUUCUUGCUAGCGACAGUAGCCUUGAUGACUAAAGCAUCCUCGUGGGGGUAUAGAAUUCCUUCCUCAUCUUCAUCCGUCCACAUGAUUGGCACUUGCCUGACCCUUGCUCGUUUGGCUGCUGGGGUGUUGAAGAAUACCUCUUUACUAGUCAUGGCGUAUCUAGCAUAGUUCUUCCUAGAUCUGUUGGAAUCUCCAGCCAAUGUCGGGCCCCCAGCAAUCACCCUUACUGUAGGCUGCUCGUGCCUCAAAUUUCUGCCACUCUGGUCCCCUUCACAUGUCGAGGCCACCAUCGGGAAAGUCCCAUCUACAAACUCGUCCAGGUACCGAUUUCUCACCAAAUCUUCAACUUGGGUCUUGAGAUCUUUGCAUUCUGCGGUGGUAUGGCCAUGAGUGCCAUGGAACUUACAAUGACGUCCCCUAUCCCUCCUGCCGGGUAGCUUUGUUAUUGGGGCAGGGAGGUACAUCGAUCCUUGGUCCUUUAUGGCCUCGUAUACUUCGUCCAGGGACAUCUUCAAGGAAGUGUAUCGCCCAUACUCCUGGUUCUGGUCAAUCAGGUGCACUGCUCUUUCUCUGUUUGCUCCGUUCUGAGUUGGGUGCGGUGGCAGUACCUCUGGUCUGCUCCCUCUGCUACCGUGGGAGUGUUGAUGACCACCAUAUGAUGAAUCGUGCCUUCUCCAAGGCUCCCUAGCUGGGGAGCGAGGAGGCUGCGCCCUGCUGCGCUGAUACUGUGGUGGCCUCUGAUGAGGCUGGUAAGCAAUUACCCGACCUCCUGCUCCACUAUCCGAGGCCUGGUGGUCCCUCCUCCUGAUCGGCCCAUUCCCCGGUAAUGCUUUCUUCUCUUUCCUCCCCAACCCUUCUAACUGGUCUAUCUUAAUGCGUGCUGCCUUCUCCUCUUCGAUCUCAAUAUCUCUCUUAGCCUGCUCGUAUGCGGCCGCAUACGUCUGGAUAGCUGGGCUUCUCAAGUUGUACCACAGCCUUCCUAUCUUCACUCCUUCUUUCAAUCCCCUUAACGCCUGAGGGUGGUUGAAGGCUCCCAAGUCGAGGACAGCACGAUGAAACCUCUUGAUGAAUUCCCGAAGGGUUUCUUGCUCCCCUUGUUUCAUGCUUUUCAGCUCCAUCAUGUCAUCUUCUGGUGCCAUUGCCCCACUAAAUUGCUCUGCGAAUUCCUGGCACAUCUGCUCGAAGGUUUUAAUGCUGCCCCGAGGAAGUUUCCUGUACCACUCGCGUGCACAUCCCUCCAGGGAUAGUGGGAACACCCUGCACCUUUGAGGCUGAGAUAAUCCUUGUACCCCCGUUAUGUCAUUGAAGCGUUCUAUGUGCACCAGCGGAUCAGUUCGUCCCGAAUAUCUAAGGUCCGGGAGACGGAAAUCUCUCGGAAUAACUGCCCUCAUGAUAUCUGCUGCGAGCGGUGACUCUCCGUCCAGCAUUAUCCUCCAACCAGGAGCUCUGCUCCUUCCUUGCAUAUCGUCAAUUAUCUGCGCUAGUCUGCGCACUUCCUCCUCCAGCUGCACCGCACGACCAGGGUCACGUGCUGUAACUUGAUCCCUCUCUUGCUCUACAUCAUGCAAGUGUUGCCUCAACUCUGUUUCUUUUGCAUUCGCCACCCCAUCGUCCUCGUAAAAAAUCUGUCUUGCCGGGGAUUGCUCUUCGUCUCUAUGGAAUUCUCCCCGCAGAGGUAUGUUACCUCUCUCACCACCAAGUCUCCCGGUGGUUUGACUUCUCCUUGUACCAUCGGGACCUGGUGCCACUCCACCACCUCUCACCAUUUCCUCCUGAGUUACCCUUCGUUCACUCCGCAACUCAUGCAUGAUGGUUGUCAAGGUCUCCAUCUGCUUUUCCAUCCGUUCCAUUCGGUCGAACAUGGCUUUUUCCCUGGCUUCGCUGGCUAUCUCCCUCAGCAUCACGGAAUCGUUCAGCCUCAUAUCACCCCCUUGUGCACUACUUCCUCCUGUCUCCAUUACUUUUCACUUGCUUCACUCCUCUUCUUGCUAUCAACAUAAGCUUUUUGCUCAGUUCCCCACAGACGGCGCCAAAAUAUUGAUGCGAGAUUCUGGUUAUGCUCGUCCUACGACCAGGAUAUCUGCUCGAUCAACCUCACCUCGAUCAGGAUCUCUCCUCGUAUGCUUUCUUCUCCAAGUAUCCCUGCGUUCACAGAAACGAGUCAGAGCACGCCGGUUGUUUUCCCGGCGUAAACCCUCCGACGCUCAAGUCAGAUGUGAAGGUUCUGGGAAUGCUUGCCACAGAUCUUAUGGCUUUUCUAUAAUCUCAGUUCUUAGAGUUCUCUUUUCUUAGUUCCAAAAUCAAAAAUUCUAAACCUUUUACCUUCGUUGGCUACCUUUUUAUAGGCUUCCUCUGAAUCCAGAUCUUCCACAGUCCACGCCCGCCAUUCUCCCCACUCUCGGGUGUGGACGCCCCAUUACCGCCAUUGUCGGCGAAUAGAGAUGGACCUCGUGUCUUAAUUCUCGGAUAGGAAUGCACGUCCUGCCAACUGUCGUUGACUGGGUCUCCUCGCCUCGAUGCCUAGCAGGAAUGACUUUAUGCCUCUAAUAGGAGUUCGGCCUCAUGAAUGGCAUAUUCGUGGACGAGCAAAAUACUCCUGCUCGUAUUCCCCUGCUACUUGGCUCUUGUAGGAUACCCCUGCUCGCAGAACCCUGCCACCAACCACCUGCUCAUCAUGUUUGGUCGCCUCGAUAUAUUUCCCUCAAACAGGGUUCUUCUUUUUCUAGGCUGCAAUUAGGAUAUGUACAUGUUAGACAAUCUUUUGUGGGUUUAGCAUAUCUUCUCUGAUUUUGUCUUUUAUUCCCCAAUCUUGUAAUUACACACCAUGAAUGUUGAGUGAUUGUAUAGAUAAUUUAUGUUAGAACCAAAGCAUUGUGAAGGAGUUAAGUUAGUGGCUUCUGUUUUUUUGGCAUUGAUUGGGUAGAUUAUGUGUUACAGUGAUUCAAUUUGUGAUCCAAACUUUGCUUUAAUUUCUGUUUUCCCUAAUUAUUUAUGUCAAAUUUAAAUCCAGAAGCAUGUGCUGAUUUUUUCUUUUUGUAUUAAUCUGUGAAGUUUAUUUGGAAUGGAAGUAUCUGGGUUGGGUCUAACGGAUUAAAUUAUGACAUUGGGGGGAAGGCAGUAAAGGGUUUGCUUGACACAUUUGGUUCUGUGUUUACUUUGCAAGAAAUAGCUUUUGGUUCUCGCAAUGCUGGGGGAAAUCCCGAUUUGGCCAGUGAAUUUCUUUGUGACAAAUAGGCGAACACAUCAACCUCUUCUAUCCAUCCUUCUACUCGUAAGGCAAGGGGUAAAGAGUCUUCAAAAUCAUCAAAUAGUAACAUCUCUGAGAAUUCAUUUUAUGCAAAUGGAAAAUCUUGACCUUCUAAGACAAAAUGGCGUCCUGUAUCAGGAGGUACCGUUUCAAGUUUUCUUGGUAAAAAUUAUGUUAAACCUGCACAGCCAGCUAAUGGCACAUUUCUAGUAUCAAAGCCAUUGAAGUUGGAUCCAAAGGGGUUUCCCAUGUCUCCACUUUUGUGGAGAAGAUACUAAACUGAAACAAUCAAAGGAUGACCAUUUGCAGAAGGAUAUUGAAGAUUUUCUGUUUAAAUUGCUAGGAGAAGUGUUCCAAUUUAAUACAUAUUGUCCUUUUCAAUGUUCUUUCUUUCUUUCUCUUCUUUUCUUCUUCUUCUUCUUUUUUCUUUUUGUGUGCGUGUGAUCACUAAUUUGGUAUUGUAGUUAAGUUGCAGAUAGUUGUGGAUAUGAUAUGCAAAAGGCAAGGACUAUAUCUUCCUGAUGGAGGCCUCUGCUUUUUCCUUUAUGUGUAAUUUAAUAAAUUGCAUCUUCCUUUCCGAUUGUUAGAUCAUAUCAAAGACAAGUCUUAAAUACUGCUGUCAUAUGUUAAGGUUCAACUUGCAGUUUGAUUAACAUUCAUGGCUCAAAGGCCUGCAAAAACUUGCCAGUAAUUGUAAAAUGACAUUCUUUGCUUUUAAUGCAAUAGAGGGAACAGGGAAGUAUAGCUUUGGAAGCCUGGAUUGGUAACUAUAGAGAGACUUAGUAUUUAAUUGAUAAAAAUUCCCAUAACCCAAGGGUCAAGAAAAUUUUAGAUCGUUAAAGACUUCAUUUUGUUUCGGCCAGAAAUGUUUGUUUCGAUCGAAGACUUGAACCAUUUUCAUUGAACCUGAUUAUGAUGCUUUACGUUAUGCAUGUUCCUCUUAAUCAAGAAAAGUUGAGGUGAUGAUUUUAUAUUUCUAUAUUGUAAGUUGAAAUAAUAAUUGGUCUGCUUGUUUCUGUAGCUUGAUAACAUGAAUUUUCCUUCUCAAGUUAAUUUAAUCAAUAAAGUAAUUCUUCAAAGAAAAUAUGCCCAUUCUAUAAUCAUUUUCUUAACUAACAUGUUUUUUUCUUCACUCUUCAGAGCAUGUUGAAACUAAUUGUUUCGGCAGAGACUUUGGGUGAGAAGACAAAAUUUCUCGGUAAAUCCUCUGAAAAGGUAUGCAUAAUUCCGGAGUAUUAAAUAACCAAUGGUCAUAAUUUUUGUACAGGACUCUUUUCUUGUGGAGAUGAUUAAAAGUGGCUGAUGAUCCAGUUUGUAUAUCAUAGAGAGCAUCAAUUCCUUUUCUUUUCAGUGGCUAGGCAACACUUUCAGGGCAAAGUAAGGAAAUCUAUUUUAGGCAAUGUAAAAACCAAUGGUAGGAUGUAAUAGUUUAACAUGCACUGACAAUAACUUUUUGUAUAAUUGUCAGUUGAACGAAUACAAGAGGAACUCUGUUGACAAUUCAUCCAAGAUAGAUGCUAAAAUUAUUUAUGCAUGCCAGUUGCCUUAACUAAUUUUUCUUGACACUGGUAUUGAAGAGGAAAAUGGAUAUGCAAUUUGUAUAUUGUGCCAUGUGGAGAAUUUGGAUAUUCCUAUCUAAGUAACAAGGAGAGUAUUUGCCUCAUCUUUAGACAAUGAAUCUUUGAGAAAUUAGGAGUGGGUGAUUGGCAGUGUCUUCAUGUAAAUGUUCAUUUGUUUGUAUUUUGAACUAUUAUGAGAAUCUUUUAUAUGCCAAAUUAGUAAUGCAAAUGUUCAGAUUAUUUUUUCUGUUGAUCGUGCAUUUGUGUCUGCAAACAACCAUUGUAUAUCACUUCAUUCUGAUGUGCAAGUCUCUGUAGUUUAGAAGAAAAGAAAUAAUAAUGAUAUAUUAUUGCUUGAUUCAUGAUUAUUAAAUGAUUAUGGCUUUAAAAAGCCUACAAAUUCCUUCUGUUGAUAUAUGAAUGUACCAAGUUUGCUAUAUCUUAGAUUACCAUUUCCAAGAUUACAAGUUCAAAUUUUUUCUUUAUCCUUUUCCAUCACAGUUGCAUUUUAAGUGUAAGAUUUGUUAUUAAUACCUGGUUUCCCGUCAUUAUGAUUUCAUAAACAGUGUAUGGGUAUGUGCUCUACUUUUGGAGGGCCUCCACGUGAAAGAAAAAUUGCAACAAUUGAAUUCUUCCAGAUUGUAUGGUAUUUAAUUUAUUUUCUCAACCUCUUGUAAGACUAAUAUAUUUUCCUUCAGUAGACACGGCAUGGUGGGAAGGGUUUUUUAUUGAAAGAAUUCUGAUAUUUCUUAGACUUUGUUUUGGAAGGGGGUGCAGGGGUUUCUCAUCCAUAUAUGGUUACUUGAUUAGCUUUUGACUGUAUUGCCUUAAUCAUGCAAAGGAAGAUCCAAAUACAAACGAAGGAGAAUUGUUUAGACACCCAGAAGAUGGAAAUGAACUACAGAAGGAAGUUUUUGCUGCUUUAUUUAGUGCUCCUGAGAAAUCUGAUGAAUUUCCUGAAAUUACGGUGAAGACCAAGUGUGAGGUCCAAAGCAUUAGGAAAGGUGGUGAGUGAACUGCCGGAGGAAUUGGUACAGAAUACAAGGCUAAUGUGGUGGACUUGCAGCAAGAUAACCGAAACAGUCCGUGCUCUUAUAUUAACUAUAUUGACUGGAUUUGCUAGUGUGUAUAUUUUUGUGUGUAUACUCACUUUUGUAUUUAUGCAUAUUAACGUGUGUAGGAUUCUUGAUUUCUGCCACUUACUGGAGAACUAGUGGAAAGCUUUAUACUGAUAUAUGUGCUAUAACUAAUGGAAACUAUGAUAUUAAUAUUUUCUCUCGCUUGGAGAACUGCAUAACAUAUAUACUUUGUGGCUCUGGAAUACUAAAGAUUCUGCAAUAACUAAUGGAAACUAUGAUAUGAAUAUUUUCUCUCACCUGGAGAACUUUGUAACAGUUACACUUUGGGGCUUGGAAUGUCUAAAGAAUUUUGUCUGCUUCAGUUAGAUCAAAUAUCUUUUAGUUGCAUACAUUAUAGAAAAGAUAAAGUUCUCUGAAUCUGAACGACUUAAAAUUUUGCGCAUUUCUUGAAAGGGAAAUAUCUGUAGAUACUAGUUCAUGCAUUGUGGUAGCAUCAGUGUUAAAGAAAAACAGCAGUAAGUUAUUAUAUAGAAUUAGGUUGACUUGCUUUAAAUCCUGGUCUGGUCAACCAUAUGAACCUGUAAGUGGUUCUGUAGAAAUAUAUAUAUAUACGGGGAGAAAGUAGCUAAAUUUUCCUUUCAUUUAUGGGUUUGGUCAUUUUUUCCCCUUAUUUAUGUUUUCUCACACAUUUUUUAAAUGCCCCAGACAUGCAAUUUUGUAUGUGUCAAUUGCCUUUUAAGUUUUAAAAACCAUAAAGUAAGAAUACAGUUUCUUGUCAGGCUAUUGAUGCAUUUGCUCGGGGGGAUCAUGCUCGAGCAGGAAAACUUCUAGAACAGGUAAGGUUUCCAUCUACAGCCAUUUAUUGACAACAUAUAUAUUUUCAUUCAGCAAGCACUGUUAGCAUUCAAGAUGCUGGCAGAUUCACUUGAUUCUUAUUAGUUUGUUUAGUAGCAAAGCAUAUAACCUGUAUUUCAAAGCUAAGUUGUGCUAUUGAUUAUGUUAACUUUAUUGUUCACAUAAAGUGAUAUAGAGGAAAUAAUCAAUGUAGGAAAAUUAGGUGAAGAGAUGAUGUCAAAUCUUGAACCUCUUACAAAACUCUAAGCUCUUUACUUGAAGAAGCUACCAAAUUCGAACAGCAUGUACUGGAAGGCCUUGCCAUUCCCUGAUGCAUGCAGAAUUUUUGUAUUUAAAUGCCCAGAGCUUAAGAAGCUGCCACUGGAUCUUGAAAGGGCAGGCCAAGGUAAAAUUCUUAUGAAGGGAAAGAAAGAUUGGUGGAAACAAACUUCAAUGGGAGGAUCAAGUAACUCAGAAUGCAUUGCUUCCAUUUUUAAAAUCAACCAACAAGUGAUUGAAGGGGGCAUCAUCAACAUGGAUGGAGAGAUUCUGGAGCAGAUCAGCGGGGUUUAGUACGACCUGUGGUGGUUGCUUUUUUGUGACUUUUUUCCCUUUCAUUUUUUCACUCCCUGUCAUAUUAUCAUUUCUUUGUCUCUGUUUCUAUUGCUGGUGUUGCUGCAUGCUUGCUGUCCUUGACAAAGUUAGCUAGUUUUUUUGUUUAUUAAAUUUUGUAUGUUCGGGACAGUCACAAAGUACUACUUGUUCUAUAAGGGGGUGAUGUGAAUCCACUUUUCAAUUAUAUAUUCUGUGGUAAUUGUGAAUUCAAUUCAUUUGUCUCCAGCAAAUUAUGAAGAAAGUGCAGAGUUACAAUAUGGAAAAGUUCACUGGCAAAUACUUUGUAAAAGCUUCGGAGUGAAACAGGGAAUGCACUGGCAACUAAGGACAAAUUGGUGGCCAGCUAAUGCAUUCAUUUUAUGUACAUUCCUCUUUUUAAUUAUUGAAGAUAAGUGGUUCGUUGCUUUUGUUGUAGAUAAAAUUCAGACGACCUCAAUUGUGAGAUGACAAUAUUUAAAAUAUCUCUUAAAUUAUUAUAAACUUUAAUUUAUCUUAAUUUUAUUUAAAAGAUAAAAGAAAAAUGUGGUAUAUGGAUAAAUUUUUUUUUAUCUUCUUAAUAAAAUGAAAUAAAUUAAAAUUUAUAAUAAUUUAUAAUAUUUUAAAAAUUAUUAUUUCAUAAGAGAUUAAUAUGAAAUUAAUCCUUUUUACUUUUUGAAUGUGAAAGGACAGGAAAAGAGAAAGCAAGUGUCACUGCUUUUUAUUUUAUUUGAAAUCGGAGUUAUCCCAUAUACUUUACUACUUUAGCUCUAACAUUACAAUGUUUUUAGGCUACACUUUUAUUUUUCUUUUUCCCCCUUUUUUUAUACAUGCAUGUGGAUUACUUUCCUCUAAGCGCCUUAAUAUUUAAGACAAAUCAUAAAAGCGAUUGAAGUAUAACCAGAUGAUCAAAACAUUUAACCCAAAAAAAAAAAGAAAUAAAACAUUGAAAAUGGAGAUGUUGAUUAAUUUAGAAGAGAUGCAAGUAAAAGAUAUUCCCAAAAAAAAGAAAAAAAGAAAAAAGCAACGUUAGUUCAUCCAUGUCUGUCAAUGCGUUUUUUAUGGUUUUUUUUCCAGUUGUUUGUUGUAAUAGAUUGAUUGUAAAUUGAUAUGAACUUGAUGUUGUAAUAUGUUCCCUUUUGUGGAAUUAAAUUUGAAUAUUCAAGAUUAUUCAAGUCUUAUUUAGUAUGUGUUUAGUUGUGUUGUCGAUAACUUUGCAUUCGAAUAAGUUUUCACCUAAAAUAUUAGCAUGAGUAGUAGUCCUUGAAACUUUGGUCAAAAUUAUUGUUAUUGUUUCUUUUAGAGGAAAUUUUUUUAUUAAAGCCUCGUUAACACUAUUUCUUAUUAAGAUUAUAAGUUAGUGUCGGUGUAGGAUUUGCAACGACAAAUCCUGUCUAGCCACGUGUCAAAAGUACAAAUAAAUCAAGGGAAAGCACAUGUCGCGGAUUAGGAUCCAAUAAAAUUUAAAUCCCAAGGAAAAGGACAACUGUAUCCUAAAGUUUCAAUAAGAGAUACUGAUAUAUCUUUUGACUAAUGUUAUUUUUUGGCUUCAUUAAUAAAAAGAUCCAAUAGUUUAUAACAAAUAAAAAUAUAGCAUUAAGCUAAAUGUGAUAAUAUAUACAUUUUACAUAAUUUCAAUAAAAAAACAUUUUAAUGUUUUACGAUCUAUCAGACAUAUUUUAUUAAAUUAAUAGGAAUUUUCUGAUAAAUAGCAACAUAAUAUUAAAAUAAAUUUAUAAAGAUUUAAAUGUAAAAUAAUUUUAGUAUAAUUAAUACAUGGGAUAUAUUUUGUAAAUUAUAAAAUUACUUAACCCAAUGAUUUUUAAAAAUCUUUAAAAUAAAUAAAAAUAAAUUAUUCACAUUUUGAUGUAAAUAUUUAAAACAUUUUUAUACAUUAGUCCACAAUUAUUUAUGUUAUAUUUGUAUUUAUUAGAAAUUUUGAAAGUGAAAUGUUUUUCACCUCUAUCUUAUUAGAAUUAUUGCACACAGAGAAAGAGCCAUAUAUGCUUUAUAGCUUUAAAAUCGGUUUGUUUUAUAGCUGGGAACAGAGAUGAUCAUUAUUAUAAGGAUUAAAAAAAGAUAAAGAAUAUUAAUGAUUAACGAAAUCUUUAUGGAAAUUGAAUUUAGUAAGAAAAAAUUGAGCUGAUUUUAGUGGUAUAGUCAUAUUUUAUAUAGAGAAAAGUAAAAGUUGCACCCCGAAAUGUUCAAAACUCUUUUUUAAUAAUAAUAUCCUUUUUUCUAGAUAACUUAAAAAUUUGACUCUAAUAUUUUAUAAUAAAUAAAAACAUAUAAUCCUAAAAUAAAUAAAAUAAUAUAUAUUUUAAAAUAAUCUCAAUAUUUAAAAUAUAUUUUAACAUUUUAUAGUCUAUCAUAUAUAUUUUAUUUUUUUAAAGUAAAUUUUAUAAUAAAUACCAACAUACUAUUAAAAAAGAUAUAUAAAAAAUUUAAAAUAUUUUGAAUAUUAUAUAAAAUAACUUUAAUAUUGUUAAUAUGUGAGAUAUAUUUUAUUAAUUAAAAAUUCUAUUUAACCCAAAGAUUUAUUUAAGAUAAAUUAAUAAUUAUAUUUUUGAAAUUAUUUCAAAUAUUAAAAAAUAUUUUAAUAUUACUAACUAUUAGAUAGACUAAACUAUUUAUAUUAUUUUAUAUUUAUUAUAAAAUUUCAAAGUUAAUCUUUUUAACUACUAUUCAAAAGAUAUUAUGAUAAAAACAGAAUUUUUGUGUUUUUAUUGACAAUUUGGAGUUUACAUCUAUUUUUUUCAAAUAUUCGGGGUGUAAAUGUUUUUUCCCUUUUAUAUAUACGAACGGUGGUGAGAAAGCUUGAUUUAACGUUAUUUAUUUAAAUAAAAUCUCAGUUAAAAAUGUACAGAGAAGAAAUUUCUGUUGGUAUUUUAGUCUUUUACCAAUUAUCACGAUUAGGCCUUGGCCUUGAAACAUUAAUUGUUUCACUUUUAGCGCUAGUGGCGUUGAAAGUUGUCAAGAAAAAAGCAAGACCAUAUUCCACAAAAGCAAAAGUAACGUUGGCUCUUUUAUUAAAGGCAAAGUAUAAAGUAGUCAAGAAUCGAAUAUCCUGUCGUCUACUCUUUUUUAAAUUCUUCUUUUAUUAUCUUUUAGAAUAGUUUUUGGUAAUUACAAUCAUUAUUCAGAGUUAUUGUUAUCUUCCGGGGCAGUCUCUGUUCAUCGAACUCGUUACCCUUUUUUAUAGAUUAGUUCCAGUGGUCAGCAGUAAUUUUCUUAGAACUCGGAUCUUUAAUUCGAGUUUCUGUGUGAAUUAAUAAUAAAAAAUUUCAUUACACGCAAUUUAAGCUACGAAUUACUUUUUGCAAAGUUGAAUAUGAAAUUGGAGAAAUUAAGUAAUUUAGAAUGUUGGUAAAAAUUGACGAACAUAUCUCCAAUUACAGUAAAACCUCUCUACAGUCAUAACAUUAUAAUAAAAUUAAUUUUAUUACUAUGUUGAGGUAAUAUAGGUUUAGUUACAAAAUUAUUGUUUUAAUAUGGUUAGUGUCAAGUGAUAUAAAGGUUAAGUAUGUAGUACAUUGAUAAUUAAAUAAUGAAGCGUGUCAAAUCUAAUGUAUAUAUAUAUAUAUAUAUAUAUAUAUUUUUUUUUUUUUGGUUUUGACCACGAGGUAUCCUGGGGAGGGCCCCAACUGUGGGAGACACCUUUAAGCCCGUACCACAACCCAGACUAGAAGUCCUCACUCGAAUCGAGAGGCACAGGUUCUCCCAACAAAGGCGACUUCCCUACGACUCGAACUGGGGAGCAAACCCAGUCAAGCCACUUAAGGGGACUCCAUUGCCAGUGGAGCCAACACUUUGUUGGUUAUAUAUAUUAAUGAUAUAGAUAGACAUAGUUUUAAAAAACUAAUUAAUGUAUAUUUAUGUAGUGUUAUGAAUAUGGAAAGUCAAGCCUACACUUUACAUUAUCCUUAAUUUUUUCUCUCAGUUAAAUUCUACAAAAAUUUUACAAUGAUUGGGCAAGAACUCUAAAUUAAGAAUAAAUUAUUGUCACAAAUAAUUUUAGAAAAUAUUUUAUUUCGUCUUAAACCUUUAAUGUAAGUAAACAUAUAUAUAUAUAUAUAUAUAUAUAUAUAUAUAUAUAUAUAUAUAUAUAUAUAUAUAUAUAUGUGCAUAUUUUGCAACGUAUAGAUAAUUGUUAGUAUAUGGAGACAAGUCUUUUAAGGUAGGACCUAGGAAAAUUUAUAACUUACUACACUGGGGAGUUUUUAUUCCUUUUUAUAAUUGGCUCAUAUUGAUACAUUCUUACACAAAAUAUUACCACUGACAUAUUUUAUUACAAUUAGUUUAGAACAUUUGUUAGGAAAAAAAAAGAAAAGAAAACAUCCCUUGGAUGUAGCUCUCCUGAUUAUUUAAAUCUUUUAAGGAAAAAAAGAAAAAAGAAAAACUAACACAUUCAAAUCUUGAAGCAAUUACAUUAAAACCUCUCCAUAAUGAUAGGAAUAAUCUCCAUUUAGUAAUAAAAAAUUUUGUUCGCAAUUUAGGCAUAGUUAUAAAUAAGAAUAAAAUCCUCAUUGUAAUAAGUUAUAUUUAUUAUGGAUCCCAUCCUAAGGAACUUGUCUCUAUAUAGUAAUAAUUAUUUGAAUAUUAUAAAUAUAUAUGUUGCAUUAGAUUAAAUGAACUUGUCUCCACAUACUACUUAGACAACGAGAGAAAGUUAUUAAAGAGAACACAAAUAUUUAAAGAUUUUUAAGAUUACUUUGUAUAUUUAUAACAAUAAUACAUUGAUAUAUGUAUUAGUUUUUUGAUAUAUUAGAUUUGACAUGCUCUAUUAAUAAAUUAUUAAUACGAUGCAUACUUCAUCUCUAUAUCCUUGCAAUAAAAGUAACUAAGUUAUAACGAUAAUUUUUGUAACUACAUGCUUAUUAGGUUUUAACUACUUCAUAAUAAUAAAUUAGUUUCGUCCUAAUAUUAUAAUUAUGUAGAGUUGUGGUGUAUAGACACACCCAAUUUAAAUAGUAUAUCAAAUAAAAUUGUCCCCACAAAAAAGAAAAAAGGGGUAAAGGAUUGUUAUUUCUUCAAACAUUAGGAUCACGUUUGUACAAGUGCGAUGCCUUUCUUUUGAAGGCAACGUCAGUGGGUACCCAAUAGGACGUGUGUAAAUCUUUCCAAAAUUUCUCCGGUAUAACGGACAGAGAUCAUUACUUUUCUCUUCCAUAGACCACAGCAGCUUCAGUUAAUCAGACUCAAUCAAUUUUCUUGGUUUCUUCGCUUAUCAAAAUUCCAAAGUAUGGGUAGCAUAUUUCAAAUCACAUGCGAUGGUGCUUUUUUCAAUCGUUGCUUGGAUUGCUUUCUUGGAAAAGUAGCAAACACAAGUAAGCUCCAUGAUAACCUUGUUGCCUUGGAGACUGAAUUGGGAAAACUAAUCGCAGCAAAGAACGAUGUGAUGAUGAGGGUUGUCAAUGCUGAACGGCAACAACUGAGAACGCUGGACCAAGUGCAUGUGUGGCUUUCGAGGGUGGAAGCUGUUGAAACUGAAGCUGAUGAAUUGAAAAGACACGGCUCUCAAGAAAUUGACAAAUUAUGUGUUGGAGGCUACUGUUCCAAGAACUGCGCGUCAAGCUACAAGUUCGGGAAACAAGUGGCUAAAAAGCUACGGGAUGUGCGGACUUUAAUCGACGAAGGAGUUUUUGCGGCGGUGGCUACCGAGGUGGUGCCUGAGAGAGCUCCAGAACCUGUAGCAGAUGAAAGACCCACUGAGCCAACAAUAGUAGGCUUGCAAUCACAACUUGAACAAGUUUGGAGAUGUCUUGUAGAAGAAUCAGUGGGAAUCAUUGGCCUAUAUGGUAUGGGCGGUGUUGGUAAAACUACACUAUUGACCCAUAUCAACAAUAAAUUUCUUGAGAGUCCAACCAGUUUUGAUUGUGUGAUUUGGGCCGUAGUUUCAAAGGACUUGCGACUCGAAAAAAUUCAAGAAGAUAUUGGGAAAAAGAUCGGUUUGGUUGAUGAUUCAUGGAAGAGUAAAAGUGUAGAGGAGAAAGCUCUCGACAUCUUCCGGAGUUUAAGAGAGAAGAGAAUUGUAUUGCUGUUAGAUGAUAUAUGGGAGCGGGUUGAUUUAACAAAAGUGGGCAUUCCACUUUCCGGACCAAAAAAUACUACCUCAAAAGUCGUAUUCACAACCCGUUUCGUCGAUGUUUGUGGUAGCAUGGAAGCUGACAAGAAGUUCCAAGUGGCAUGCUUAUCAGAAGAGCAUGCUUGGGAACUGUUUCGAAAAAAAGUUGGGGAAGAAACUCUUGAGAGUGAUCAUGAUAUCGUUGAGCUAGCCCAAACUGUGGCCAAAGAGUGUGGUGGUUUGCCACUCGCACUUAUUACUAUUGGUCGAGCUAUGGCCUUCAAAAAGACAGCCGAGGAGUGGAGUCAUGCAAUUGAUGUGCUAAGAACAUCAGCUUCUGAGUUUGCAGGUUUGGGAGAAAAGGUGUAUCGUCUUUUAAAGUUUAGCUAUGAUAGUUUGCAGAAUGAGACGAUUAGAUCUUGUUUCUUAUAUUGUUGUUUAUAUCCCGAGGAUUAUGGCAUUCUUAAAUGGGACUUGAUUGAUUGUUGGAUUGGUGAGGGAUUCUUAGAGGAAUCUGACAGGUUCAGUGCAGAAAACCAAGGAUACUACAUUGUGGGCACUCUUGUUCAUGCAUGUUUAUUAGAAGAGUUAGAAGGUGAUAAAGUAAAAAUGCAUGACGUUGUUCGUGAUAUGGCUCGAUGGAUAGCUUGUGAAAUUGAGAAGGAGAAGAGAAAAUUUUUGGUUUGUGCAGGUGCUGGAGUAGGAGCGGUACCAGAUGUUGAAGGAUGGGAAAAUGUGAGAAGAUUGUCAUUGAUGCAAAACCAAAUUGAAAUUCUGUCAGAGGUUCCCACAUGCCCUCAUCUCCUCACUUUAUUUCUUGACUUUAAUUAUAAAUUGGAGACGAUCACCGAUGGCUUCUUCCAAUGUAUGCCUUCUCUCAAAGUUUUGAAGAUGUCAAACUGUGGGCAUGUCAAAGUUUUGAAAUUACCUUUUGGGAUGUCAAAGUUGGGUUCACUACAACUUCUUGAUAUUUCACAUACCGGCAUAAGAGAGUUACCAGAAGAGUUAAAGUUGUUGGUAAAUCUGAAAUGUUUGAAUUUGAGGUGGACACAUAUGUUAAAUAAAAUUCCACGGCAGCUAAUAUCAAAUUCUUCAUGGUUACGUGUGUUGAGAAUGUUCGCUAUUGGCUUCGAAAAUUCUAAAGAACCAUCAGAAGACAGCGUUUUAAUUGGUGGGGGUGAAGUUUUAGUACAUGAAUUGCUCGGUUUGAAAUAUUUAGAGGUAUUGGAGUUGACCUUGCGAAGUUAUGAUGCUCUCCAAUUUUUUUUGAGCUCAAAUAAGUUAAAAAGUUGUAUUCGAUCUCUUUUCCUCAUUAAGCUGGGAGAUACAAAGUCGAUUCAUGCUACGGCAUUCGCAGAUCUAAAGCAUCUCAAUGAACUAUGCAUUCGUUCGGCAGUGGAGUUGGAAGAAUUGAAGGUUGAUUAUACAGAGAUUGCGCCAAAAAGGUCGGAACCUUUUGUUUUCCGCAGCCUUCACCGUGUUACUAUGGAGCGGUGCCAUAAAUUGAAAGAUUUGACAUUCCUCGUUUUUGCUCCAAGCCUCAAGUCUCUUUCGCUAUACGGUUGCAAUGCUAUGGAAGAAAUAAUCAGCGUUGGAAAAUUUGCUGAGACUCCUGAGGUGAUGGGACAUAUAAGCCCUUUUGGAAAUCUCCAAACGCUUUAUUUAACUGAUUUGCCAGAGUUGAAAAGCAUCUACUGGAAGCCGUUGCCUUUCACUCAUCUCAAAGAAAUGACGGUACAUGGGUGUAAUCAGCUUAAAAAGCUUCCACUCGAUUCCAACAGUGCAACAGAGCGUAAAUUUGUUAUUCGUGGAUACACACACUGGUGGAACCGUCUUCAAUGGGAGGAUGAAGCCACUCAAAUUGCUUUUCGUUCCUGUUUCCAAUCUCAUGAAAUAUAAAUUCCUGAGCGGUGGUUGCAAAAUUUGAUUUCUAGUGAGUGCUUUUUUCUGAAACUCUUACAUAUAUUCUCGUCGUUUGCUUCGUGCAACAGACUAGGUUUUUAUUUCAGAUUCGUUUUUUGUCUCCUGCAAAUCACAAUUAAAUGUUGAAUUAUAUGGAGUCAAUGCUUUAGAAAAUUUUCAAGGCACUGCCAUUUCCUUUUUCUUUUUUCUUUUUUUGGGGUCGAAUUGAUGCUCUGGCUUUUUUCUUCUUCUUGUCAAAUUUUGCUCUGUUUUUUCAAGUUGAUGAUUGAAUAGUUGAAUUCAAUUAAUGCUCACAUAAAUUUGUUUAGUUGCCGUAAAAGGAUAUAAUUAGACUGAAGUACACACUUCUAGAAUGAAUACAAAAUGUUAAGUAUACUAGCCCUCUUUACAGAAAAUCAAAUGAAAAUCAAUUUUUUGGGGCUUUGAUUUUCUAUGGUCUAUUAUAUACUCUUUUUAAUAUCUUCUGUUCUAACUAUAACCAAAUCCUUUGUUCAAGGAUUUUUAGUUGGGGUAUUGAUAACUGUCCACCAAAAGAGUGAACACUUGGAUGCUGCUCAAGGAUCUCUAAUCAAUAGGUGGAAGCAACUGAGAAGGCGGUCGCUACUGUUUACAAAGCGAUGCAGUAUUCGCCAUUCAUCUUAAUAAUUGUGAAGCUUUGGUAAAAUUUUCAAACAAAGUUGAACAUGCUGUUUUGAGAUUUGGUUCAUGAUUUUCGAUGAAUAUCGUUGUUCCGUUUGAGUUGGAUGUGAAUUCAAAAUCUAUAUAUUCUUUAGUUUUCAAUUCUGAACUCAAUUUCUUUUUCUCAAGCAUGUUAUGCAGAAAUGAUUUUUAUAAUUACUAAAUCAUUUUUGAUGAAUUGUUUAAAUUAAACAAGUGGAAUAAGAAUUGUAAAGGUUUAUCAUAAGCAUGCUAAUAUGAUAAGUUGUUUUAUGAACGAUUAAUUAAUUAAUCAAUUAAUAUUAAAUUAUAUAUUAGUCAAUUAGAUAUGCGUUACAUGUCAUGUUUAAAAACUAUUUAUUUAUAUUUCAAACAAAUUUGACUGGAUGUUGUGUAGGUAAUACUACAUAAUUUCAAAACAAAAAAAGUAACAAAAACAAGUUAAAUUUUGUUUUUAUGAAGAAAAAAUUUAAAAUUUUAUUAAGUAGGUGAAAAUAAUAAAUGGAUUCGUGUAUGGUUUGAGAUUCUUGACAUAAUUAUGAAAUAAGCCGGAUUCAACUUAGUUCAAUUUUGACGCGAUAAGAAGACGACACCACACAAACACACGAUAAGAACCGUUACCUGAGAAGAUUGCCAUCAGGAAUUUUGAAAUUGAUUUCACUACAAUACCUUAAUCUUUCAGAUACUCCCAUCACUGAGCUGCCGGAAGAGCUAAAAGCCUUGGUAAAUCUUAAGUGUUUGAACUGUACACAAAUUAUCUCUCUACAAUUCAAAAACAACUGAUUUGUUACUUUUUCAAUGCUACAUGUUCUGCGAAUAUUGAGUUGUGGUUAUCUUGUUGAAAAAUCAGAAAAUAGAGUUCUAUUUGGUGGUAGUGAAUUGUUGGUUGGGGAGUUGCUUAGUUUAAAACGUUUAAAUGUAUUAAGCAUCACCUUACAAGGUUUUUCUGCUGUCCAAAAACUUAUGAGCUCUCAAAAGUUUCAAAGCUGUACAAAAUGUUUGGAGCUUAUAGACUGUGAUGAUUCAAAGUCUUUUGCCUUGGCAGAGUUGAAGCAUCUCGAAAAACUAGUUUUUCGAAUUGUGGAAGAGUUUAAGUUCUGCUGUGUUGAAGUUGGAAAAGCUCAAGAAUGUUUUCGUUUGAACAGCUUUCACCGAGUUAAUAUAAAGGCUUGUCAUAAAUUGAGGGAUGUGACAUGGCUUGUAUUUGCUCCAAAUCUUAUGGUUAUUCAAAUAGAAAAAUGUAUGCAGAUGGAAGCAAUAAUCAGUGCAAGGAAAUUGGGUGAAAUUCCAGAGAUGAUGGCAGAUCUAAACCCUUUUGCAAAACUCCAAUAUCUUCGCUUCCGAGUUCUUCCAAAAUUAAAAAUCGUCUAUUGGAAUGAGUCACCCUUUCCACAUGUCAGGGAAAUUAUUGUAUCUGAAUGCCCAAUUCUCAAGAAGCUUUCACUCAAUUUUAACAAUGCAAAGGAAUCUAAAAUUGUCAUUAAGGGAGAGGAACACUGGUGGAACGAGCUGCAAAGGGAGGAUGAAGCGACCGUUAAUGCUUUUCUUCCUUAUUUUGGUUCCAUUUGACAGGCAUCAACAUGGAUUUAUAUUUUGCGGUGGACAACUUGUAGUAAGUGCUUUUCCAUUUAUUACAUGUUUAUAUCUAACUUUUGUUUUCCUUUAUGGUUAAAUUUUACUAUAUAUAUGUUGUUAUACGGUGACAUUCUCGCAUCAAUUAUUAGCUUUUUAAUUCUCUUCUCGCAUUAAUUGUCCUUCUGAUCAUGUAGGAUUUGCCGAUGUCAAAGAGUAGUAAAUUGGGAUACAAAUGUAAGAAAUUAGCCAGAUGACAUGUUGUUUUGAAGCUUUCGAAGAAGGACUAAUUAUGUCAUUCAAAGCAUCCAAUUUCGCUACUUUUUUUUUUCAUUUGUUGCUUUUUCUAUUUUUAGAUAGCUUGAUUGUCAGUUGUCGUAAUGUAAUGUUUUAGUGUAGAAAAAUGAUAUUCGGCCAAGACAUCGAUAGUAGGGCACAUUGUGCAUGCACACUAGUGGAUGAUUUCGGCAUGCCGAAUCCAAUUAGUGUGGACAACCCUUUAUAAGCAUCAGGCUUCUCUCAUACCAGAGCAAUGUAGAAUAUGUUUAUAAACUGUGGAUUACCCUUUAUAAGUAUUAGGCUUCUUCUAUACUCGCGCGAUGAAACAAAAUGCAUUCUUCAAAUCAAUAGUGGGUGGAAGAAGUGAGUAGAGAAGAACUAGGCCCCUUUCAUUCCCCUAAAACCUCACCGAAACCUCUCUUGUGAACUUCUCAGAUUCUCUCUCAAUAUUUCUUAUGAUCUCAUUUUUGAUAGAAUCAAUUCUUUUGCAUGCUGCAUUUUGUGUGUCUUUUUUGGGUAAUAUCUUAUCUGGAAUGCUGUUAUGAUCAAUAGAAAAAGUAAUCAAGUUUUGGUUUGACGGAAGUCGAUUUAUUUAUUUACUAUUAUUUUUAUUUGAAAUUUUGUACAAUUGUGUUUCAUUCAUUUCUUUCAUUUUUUUAAAUAUUUAUUAUGUAUUGUUGAUGCUGAAAUCUGCUCGCCCUUUGCCCAAUCAGAUCUUUCCACCAAUGUUUACGUGGCUAGAAGAGAAGGUGUCACUUUCUUCUUGUUUCGACUGUUUGCUCAAGCCGCUGGGGUUGGAAUCACCCUUCCUUCUUUUACUAAACAUGCGUUCACAAAAAUGGAUCAGAGACGCCGGUGGUUUUAUCGGCGUAAACUCUCCGAUGCCUAAGUCAGCACAAGGUGUUUAUGGGAAAACAGUGCAGUUUAGAUUUUGAGAUUGCUUAUAAUUUGCUCAAAGUUUGUAUAGAAGACGGCUUGGUUUCAAUUUGGCAGAGUUUUCCCCCCUCUCAGUUUUUCUGUCCCUUCUCCAUUGGUUUUUCCUUAUUUUUAUAGCCGUUGUCCCACGUUUCCGUUCACCCUUCAUGCCCCCCCUUUUCUCGGGUAGUGGCAACCCCUCAUGGGACUCCAACUGCUAUAUUGUGGGUAAACGUGGGACACUGUGUCUCCCUCUACGAUUUUGGGCACAGCGCAACUGGCGUGAUUUCGUGAGAUCGUGUUCCCGCUCUUUGGGGAAUGGGUAUCUGCUCGGUAUAUGUCUCUGGUCGGUGCAUUCCUCUGGCUGGUACUCGUCUCUGGUUGGCCCAUGUUUGUAGAAGGCUCAUUAUCAGUGUUCUGCUCGUACCAUUUGGCUGAGGUGAUCCCUGCCGAGGUGGGGAUGAUGGCAUGGCUGAGCUGAUGCUCUUAUUUACUUAACAUGUAUAAUUGUGUUUCAGUUGAUAUUGAUCAUACUCUAGAUAACUAUGUGAUUGUAGCUGGGGAUUUUAAGUUUUGUGAAUUCAAGAAACUGUCAAAAUGCUAGUGAAAUUGGGACCUUUAUUCAUAAGCUUGUAGUUUUGAAAAGUAGCCCAGUUCAACUGAUGAAGUUCCUUUUUGGGAUUCUUUUUUUCCUAGGCUGCAAUUCGGAUAUGUACCUGAUAGACAAUCUUUUGUGGGUUUAGCAUAUCUUCUCUGAUUUUGUCUUUUAUUCCUCAAUUUUAUAAUUACACACCAUGAAUGUUGAGUGAUUGUAUAGAAAAUUUGAGUUAUAACCAAAGCAUUGUGAAGGAGUUAAGUUAGUGGCUUCUGUUUUAUUGGCAUUGAUUGGGUAGAUUACGUGUUACAGUGAUUCAAUUUGUGAUCCAAACAUUUUUUUAAUUUCUGUUUUCCCAAAUUAUUUAUGUCAAAUUCAAAACCAGAAGCAUGUGCUGAUUUUUUCUUUUUGUAUUAAUCUGUGAAGUUUAUUUGGAAAGGAAGUAUCUGGGUCUAAUGGAUUAAAUUAUGUAAGUGGCAGAAAUUCCUACACACAUAAAUAUGCAUAAAUACAAGAGUAUACACAAAAAAAUGCACACACUCAUACAUCCAGUCAAUAUAGUUAAUGUAUGAUACCAAUUGUUGGGGAAAAAUUAGGUUUUUAAUUUUUUAUAAAACCUUUUGAAGAUCGCUCUCAUAUAAUAUAUAAGAAUUUGUAUUCUAGAAAUCGUACCUUGAAAAUCCGAGUUGGCUUUUUCCGCUGAAGUGUUUUAGGCUCCUAGAUCACGAUCCGCCACCACCGCUCCUGUUAGAUCACGAUCCGUCACCACCACGCUUGUUAGAUCACGAACAGUCUCCAAUGAUCUUCCAGGUUAUGACUCAGGUUCGAUCUGCACUUGACGUGUAGGCGCCUUUAUCACUACCAAAGCAACUAGCACGAGAAAAUUUUUCUCUCAACAAUAGAGAGAAAAAUCUUUUUCUCUGAUCUGUAUAAAGUGGCUUCUCACUUUUUCUUUAGGGAAAAAUAAGCCUUUUAUAUCACCCUUUAGUGAAAACCCUAGGCUCCAAAUAAAUGAAAAAUAAAACCCACGUUUAUUUGCUUUUUCAAUAGGGGACCCACCUUGUAAAAUAACAUAAGGCCCCUUAUACAAAAGCUAAUUAAAUGGAGCCUCCCACUAAAUGAUAUAUUUAGGCUUUUGACCCAAAUAGCUGGUUAUCUUACUUAUUAGUCCAGUAGUGGUGCAGUCAAUUAAAUGAGCUAACCCGGGGAUCAUUUGGGAACAUACAAUAGUGGCUACAAUAAUUAGGCCUGUAAUUAAACUAGCCCAAUUAUUUAAUUCCAAAUCUACUCCAUUAAAAGAUUGGAACUGACUUCCAUAAUUGUAUGCUCGAAUAAUAAUUCGUCCCAAGCCACAUUGAUUUCUUUACUGCACAAUCCUUUGUACCACAUCGUUAAUUAAAUUGAUAUCUCAACUGUCCAAUCAAUUUAAUAACAUCUUAUUCCUUGAUCCUUACUGGUUUUCUCUAAUGAUCAUUUUCAACAUACUAAAUAUGUUGACACACUCUGGCCAGAGAAUUCUAUGAUCAAGUGCCGAAAACCCAUGAAGAGAUGUGUUGUACAAAUUCUAUAUUGUUAAUCUAUAACUCCAAUACUCAUAAUUGCUCCCACCAAGAUACCGGGUAAUCUUGACCACAAGGAUGUGUCGUGCCCAUUGGUAACUCAAAUGGAAUAACAAUUACAAUCAUGAAAUCAUAAUUAACUCAAGAUUAAGAUUACAGUAAAAUCAACGCCUAUGAGAUUUAAUAAGUCUGACAGUUAUUACAAAGUUAAUUAAAUCUCAUAUGUGAUCCUGUUCAAUGUAGUCGUACUACAUCAAUAAAUUCAUACAUGAUUAAGACAAAUCAUUCAAUGAAUUUAUUACAGUCUAUACCUAAAUAAAGUGCCCAACUUUAUUUAUCAACUGCGAACUAAAUUUAUUUAAUCAUAAGAUAACAUGUAUUUAUGUCUUCUGUGAAUCCACAUGGUAAUCACAUAAAUACAUAUAAUAUGAUUAAAUGGACUUUAAUACAAGUAUUAAUGCAAUUAAGAUAUUUGAAUAAAAUACCUCAUUUAUUUUAUUAAUCAGAAAAAUAGUUUAUUACAAUUAAAUAAACAUAUAUGCUUUUAAAGAGCAUAUUUUCCCAACACAUACCGGUUUGGUUAUCUUGCUGCAAGUGCACCACAUUAGCCUUGCAUUCUGGUGCCAACUCCUCCGGCGGUUCACCCACUACCUUUCCCAAUGCUUUGGACCUCCAUUCGGUCUCCAUCAGAUUUCUCAGGAGCACUAAAUAAAGCAGCUAAAACUUGCUUCUGUAGUUCAUUUCUGUCUUUCGGGUGUCUAGGCAAUUUUCCUUCGUUGGUAUUUCGAUCUUCCUUUACAUGACUGAGGAAAUACAGUCAAAAGCUAAUCAAGUAACCAUACAUGGAUGAGAAAUCCCUCCACCCCCUUCCAAAACAAAGUCUAAGAAAUAUCAGAAUUCUUUCAGUAAAAACCCUUCCCCCCAUGCUGUGCCCACUGAAUGAAAUAUAUUAAUCUUAUGAGAAGUUGAGAAAAUAAAUUAAAGACCAUACCCUCCGGAAGAAUUCAAUUGUUGCAAUUUUCUUUCACGUGGAGGUCCUCCAAAGUUAGAGCACAUAUCCGUACACUGUUUAUGAAAUCAUAAUAACAGGGGACCAUUUAUUAAUAACAAAUCUUGACACCUAAAAGUCAACUGUGAUGAAAAAGAUUAAAAAGAAUAUGAACUUGUUAUCUUGGAAGUGAAAAAUAUUUGAGAUGCUUGAAUAUGGUGAAAAUAGUAAUUGUUUUUGUUACUUCUACAAUUCUUGAAUUUUACAAAUAUAUAAAGACAUUCAAGAUGCUGUACAAGGAAAGACAAUAUUUACAAUAAUUAUAAUAAUCAACUAGCCGUUGUGAUGAAUCCACCAUGACAUGUGCUACUAUAUUCUCCAUCAAUUAUGGCUUAGACGAGAUGUUGGAAAUCCUCUUGCCAUGGCGGUACAAGCUACCAUAUUUGUUGCUUGUGACUUGUCCUUAUCAGCCCCCUUUAAGCUAGGCAGUGACAUGCGAUGAACACCUAGCUUGGUUCGUAGCGUGAGAAAUUGAUGCUUCCCCAAAGGUUUUGUAAGAGUGUCUGCAAUCUGAAGAUGAGAAGGCACAUAUCGUGUAAAUAAUGACCCUUUAGCAACCUUUUCACGAACAAAAUGCACGUCAAGCUCAAUAUGUUUCAUUCUAGCAUGAAACACUGGGUUCUUAGUCAUAUGAAUUGCACUCAAAUUGUCACAGAGAAGCGUGGGUGCUUUCGGAAUACAGAACCCAAUGUCAUUAAGUAGAUAUGUGAGCCAUGUUAACUCGGCAGCGGCAGAGGCCGUGGACCUAUAUUCGGCUUUGGCACUUGAGCGAGAGACUGUGUGUUGUUUCUUGGAGCUCCAAGAGAUACAAUUGCUUCCAAGAUAAAUGCAAAAUCCUGUUGUACUUCGUCUUGUUAUUGGACAUCCAGCCCAAUCGGAAUCAGAAAAGGCAUAGAGCUUGAGAGAGCUUUGAGACAAAAAUCUAAGGCCAAAGUCAAGGGUACCGUUAAGGUAACGAAGGAUCAUUUUCACGUCCUUGAGGUUGGCUUUUGUUGGCGCUUGGAAGUGUUGAGAGACUCAAUUGACAACAAAUGUGAUAUCGGGCCUUGUGUAGGUGAGAUAUUGAAGGCGUCCAACAAGGCCUCUAUAUUCGGUUGCAUCCAUAGGUUCAUUAUCAUCCGAACAUGGUAUUGAUCGUAUAGCCAUCGGCGUGUUGAUAGGAGAACAAUCCUGCAUUCUUGCCUUGGAAAGAAGGUCUUUAGUGUACUUCGCUUGAGAUAGGAAGAUGCUAUGCGUGAAUUGUUGAACUUCAAUGCCUAGGAAGUAAUGUAGGUUGCCAAGAUCUUUUAAAGCAAACUUUGAGCUCAGAUUGUUGAUGAUUGAUUGAAUUUCCUUCUCAUUAUUUCCUGUAAUGAUCACAUCGUCAACAUAAAUUAAUAUAAGUAUAAGAAUGGAUUUGUUAUUAAAUAUAAAUAAAGAACUAUCAGCUUUGCUACUAGAAAAUCCAAGAGAAAUUAAGGCUUGAGAAAAACACUCGAACCACGCUCUAGGUGCCUGUUUCAGGCCAUAGAGCGAUUUUUGAAGCUUGCAAACAUAUGUUGGAUGACGUGAAUUGCGAAACCCGGGAGGCUGCUCCAUGUAGACAAUCUCCUUUAGUAGUCCAUGAAGAAAAGCAUUGCGAACAUCCAGUUGCUUGAUAAGCCAUUUUGAGCUCACAACAAUUGCAAGGAUAAGGCGAAUAGUUGUGGCCUUUAUAACGGGACUGAAGGUUUCAUCGAAGUCGACUCCUGGAACCUAUGUGAAUCCCUUGGCAACUAAUCGAGCUUUAUAGCGAUCAAUGGUUCCAUCUUCUCUGUAUUUGAUACGAUAUACCCACUUCGAUUUGAUGACAUUAACAUUGUUAGGCCGCGGCACAAGGACCCAUGUAUGAUUUUGAUGCAAUGCUUGAAGCUCUUCUUUCAUAGCUUGAGUCCAAAGUGGAUUCUUUAAGGCAAUUUUGAGUGUUUUGGGUUCAAUUUCUCUACUGUCGCUGGCUUGAAGGGCUAAUUUAGGAUUUUGUUUGAGUUUAUUGCGUGUCAUCAUGGGAUGAGUAUUUAUGCUUUGCAGUUCUGCAGCUGUGUUUGGUAUCUUAAGUUCCACAAAUAAGCGAUUGGAUAUGUCAGGAUAAUCUGGUUGUGAAUUUGUGGCAGGGCUGUUGUCCGUAUUUCUGGACAAAUUAAGUGGUUCAGUUGCAUGUGAACUACUAGAAUUUGAAUCAUUUGUAGUCAAAUGUUGCAUUGCAUGUGGAGACUCCAAAAUAUUUGGAAUUGCUUCUGACUUGUCGUGUGGAGUUGCUGAAUUCAAAUUGUCCUCUAAAUUGUCUUGUGGGAAAUCUAAAAUAAUUGGAGAAGUGGCAUUUUAGUUGUUGUCCAAGUUCACGUCCUUGUGGGGCAUGAAUUGCACAUGUGGUGUUGAUAUUGUAGCGCCUUUACAAUUGUUUACUUUGACAGCACGUGAAUCAUUAAGAUUCUCACAAUUGGGAGAAUUCUUUGGGAGCCACUCAUCUUGUUGAGGGAAGGUGGUCAAUGUACUAUGUUCCUGCACAUUAAAAAAUGAUGUUAAAAUUUUUGAAUGGUAAAUAAUUUUCAUCAAAUACAACAUGCCCAUAUAUAUAUACACGAUUAGUCUCAGGUUGUAGACAACGACAUCCUUUAUGGAGGGGACUAUAGCCUAUGAAAACACAUGGAUAUGAUUUUUUUAUCAAAUUUUGUUUUACUGUAAUCCUGAAGAUAAGGAAAACAUCUACAACCUAGGACUUUUAACCCUCUAUAAUCCGGUAAUUUUUUGAAAAGAAUUUCAUAAGGGCUUUUAUUUUUUAAAGGUGAAAGAGGCAGCCUGUUAAUGAUAUAAGUGGCUGCAAGAAAAGAAUCCACCCAUAAUUUGAGUGGCAAAGAAGCAUGAAACAUCAUCGUCAAGGCUGUCUCAUUGAUGUGCCUAUGCUUUCUCUCAGCAACACCAUUUUGCUCCGGAGUGUAUGGACAAGAAAUUUGUCUUGUGAUGCCGCAAUUUUCAAGAUGUUUGAUGAAGGCCGUAUCCAUCACUUUGAAAUAUUGUGAUCUUUUUGUCCAAUUGUUUUUCAACUUGUUUCUGAAAUUUCAAGAAGCACUCCAAGAAAUCAGAUUUUUGUUUUAAGGGAUAUAACCAACUAAAACGUGAGUAAUCAUCUACAAAUAAUACAUAGUAACGAAAAUGUUGAGUAAAAGUAAUGGGAGCUGGACCCCAUAUAUCACAAUGCACUUUUUGUAAAGGAAAAUCUGCUUUAUUAUUAGAUAAAUUAAAAGAUUUCCUACAACUCUUGCCUAAUUGGCAAGAAACACAAAUAUGGGGUGCUUUAGACCAACUAGAAAAGUCAAUAAAAUUAUUGCGUUUUAAGGCCUCCAAGAUUUUAGGAUUGGCAUGGCCAAGCCUCUUGUGCCAUAAACUAAAACCGCUAGAUUCUCCUUGAAUUGUGUUGAAGGCAGCAUGAAAGUCUCAUUCCAAUGUGUAUAGCUUCCCUUGCUUACUCCCCUUUGCUAGAACCUUGUUUUCCUUUCUCUUCACAAUAAAACCAUCAGUGUUAAAUUUAAAAACACAUUUAAUAUCAUCAAUGAGUUGUCCAACUGAUAAGAGAUUCUUUUUGAGUUUUGGAACAACUAAAAUAUUAUUUAAGUGCAAAGAACCGUGAUUUGUAUUUAAAGAAGCAGAACCAAUAUGUGAAAUAUUUAAAUCUUGACCAUUGCCAACAAUUAUUUUGUCAUUACCUCUAUACGGCCUUACAUGAUCAAGAUUAUCUGUGUUAUUUAUCAUGUGUGAUGUUGCUCCAGAAUCCACAUAGAACUGUUGAUCAUUAUUUUCUUGAAGAUUCAUCGCAGCUAGGGCAUGUGGAUCCUCUUCAUUGUCAUAGUCGUAUCUGUACCAACAUUCAGCAGCACUAUGUUUGCGUUUGUGACAGAUUUGGCAAAUAACUUCUUCAUCUGAGGUAUUAUUUUCUUUAUUUGGUUUUUGAGGCUGCUGUUGUGGUUUACGGUUGUUGCCAUUGUUGUAGUUGUUGGGGUAAUUUCUACCACCUGAGUUGCGUUGAGAUCCUCUGCCUCGGUAUGGAGGUCUUCCACCUCUUUGAUUUCUGCCUCUUCCACCUAUAUUAUGGAAAAGAUAGAGUUCUCUGAAUCUGAAAGACUGAAACAUUUUGCAUAUUUCGUGAAAGGGAAAUAUUUGUAGAUACUAGUUCAUGCAUUGAGGUAACAUCAAUGUUAAAGAAAAACGGCAAUAACUUAUUAUAUAGAAUUAGGUUCACUUGCUUUAAAUGCUGGUCUGGUCAACCAUAUGAACCUGUAAGUGUAUCUGCAGAAGUAUGGUCAGCCAUAUGAACCUUUUUGGGGGGCAAAUUAGAAAAAUUUUCCUAAAAAAGUGAAAAAAAUCAUUUUUUUUUUUUUAAAAAAAAAAAACUUUAAAAAUUUUUUCAAAAGCUUUUUUUUUUUUUUAAAACCAAUGGUUUGAGGCUGCUGUUGUGGUUACGGUUGUGCCAUUGUUGUAGUUGUUGGGGUAAUUUCUACCACCUGAGUUGCGUUGAGAUCCUCUGCCUCGGUAUGGAGGUCUUCCACCUCUUUGAUUUCUGCCUCUUCCACCUAUAUUAUGGAAAAGAUAGAGUUCUCUGAAUCUGAAAGACUGAAACAUUUUGCAUAUUUCGUGAAAGGGAAAUAUUUGUAGAUACUAGUUCAUGCAUUGAGGUAACAUCAAUGUUAAAGAAAAACGGCAAUAACUUAUUAUAUAGAAUUAGGUUCACUUGCUUUAAAUGCUGGUCUGGUCAACCAUAUGAACCUGUAAGUGUAUCUGCAGAAGUAUGGUCAGCCAUAUGAACCAUAUGGGGGGACAAAUUAGCUAAAUUUUCCUCUUAUUUAUGGGUUUGGUCAUUUUUUCCCCUUCAGCUUUCCUUCUCCUGAAGUAUGUUAACAAUUGCAGAUAAUGACGAAGAGGACCGCUUCCAGGCUCUUCGUAGAGCUGCGAUGUAAUAUAGGGGCACAAUGAAGGAACAUUGUAAAGCUGUAGGUUCUUUUUCUCCUGUCAUUUAUGUUUUCUCACACAUUUUUUAUAUGCUCCAAGCAUCCAAUUUUGUAUGUGUCUUUGCCUUUUAAGUUUUAAAAACCAUAAAGUAAGAAUACAGUUCCUUGUCAGGUUAUUGAUGCAUUCACUCAGGGGGAUCAUGCUCGAGCAGGAAAACUUCUAGAACAGGUAAGGUUUCCAUCUACAGCCAUUUAUUGACAACAUAUAUAUUUUCAUUCAGCAAGCACUGUUAGCAUUCAAGAUGCUGGCAGAUUCACUUGAUUCUUAUUAGUUUGUUUAGUAGCAAAGCAUAUAACCUGUAUUUUAAAGCUAAGUUGUGCUAUUGAUUAUGUUAACUUUAUUGUUCACAUAAAGUGAUAUUGAGGAAAUAAUCAAUGUAGGAAAAUUAGGUGAAGAGAUGAUGUCAAAUCUUGAACCUCUUACAAAACUCCAAGUUCUUUACUUGAAGAAGCUACCAAAUUCGAACAGCAUCUACUGGAAGGCCUUGCCAUUCCCUGAUGUAUGCAGAAUUUUUGUAUUUAAAUGCCCAGAGCUUAAGAAGCUGCCACUAGAUCUUGAAAGGGCAGGCCAAGGUAAAAUUCUUAUCAAGGAAAAGAAAGAUGGGUGGAAACAACUUCAAUGGGAGGAUCAAGUAACUCAUAUUGCAUUGCUUCCAUCUUUAAAAUCAACCAACAAGUGAUUGAAGGGGGCAUCAUCAACAUCAUCAACAUGGAUAGAGAGAUUCUGGAGCAGAUCAGCCGGGUUUAGUACGACCUGUGGUGGUUUCUUUUUUGUGACUUUUUUCCCUUUCAUUUUUUCACUUCCUGUCAUAUUAUCAUUUCUUUGUCUCUGUUUCUAUUGCUGGUGUUGCUGCAUGCUUGCUGCCCUUGACAAAGUUAGCUAGUUUUUUUGUUUAUUAAAUUUUGUAUGUUCGGGACAGUCACAAAGUACUACUUGUUCUAUAUGGGGGUGAUGUGAAUCAACUUUUCAAUUAUAUAUUCUGUGGUAAUUGUGAAUUCAAUUUCAUUUGUCUCCUGCAAAUUAUGAAGAAAGUGCAGAGUUACAAUAUGGAAAAGUUCACUGGCAAAUACUUUGUAAAAGCUUCGGAGUGAAACAGGGAAUGCACUAGCAACUAAGGACAAAUUGGUGGCCAGCUAAUGCAUUCAUUUUAUGUACAUUGCUAAUUUGUAUGUUAAUUAUUAGAUAAUCAAUUAUUUGGAUAAUCCCUUGUGUUUUAUCUCUAAUUAGAACAUCAAUCUUCACAAUAUCUACAAUGCUACAAUGGCUAUAAAACAAAACCUGUUUGCAAAUUGUCAAGGAUACUUAUCCUUUCGCUUGACAAGUCAUUUGGAAAAAUAUUGUCCCUUGGCGGCUCCAUGUCUUCUCUGCCCCUCCUUUUGGUCUUAAUGUACGGUUGCAUAAUGAUAGUUUAGGCCCUUCAGGGACUACUUUCCCUGGUGUUGUUAAGUCUUAGCUUGUGCUAGGCUCGUUUUUCUUACCAAAAGAAAAGGAAUACUUCUCCUAUAAGAAAUAAUCUCUAUAUAUAGGGUAGUUGGAUUCACUUGUUUACAUAACAAAUCAAUUAGUUCUCUGUAAGUAGAGAGUUUCAAGUAUGAGAGAAACGGUAGGUCUAUCGAGAGAUUAUGUGUUAUUAGGAUUUUGGUUGUGAAGAAAAGUACUAGAGUGAUUGUGUUAAUUUUCUACAUAGUGGAUUUUUCUAUCGUCAUCUUUGUGGCUGUGAUUUUUCUUUUAUAUAGAAGUUUCCCACGUAAAUUGUUAUGUUAUGUGAUUAGUUUUAUUCUCCAUCUAUUUUUUGUUUAUUAUUUGUUUGAUAUUUUAUUUGUAAGAUGUUGGAUGGGAUUAAAAUUCCUUAACAAAUAACGGAUUAAAAAUAUUGAAGAAAAAGCUCAAGAGAUCUUCAAGAUUUGAAGUGUGAAAAAGUUCAUAUUACUGCUAGAUGAUAUAUAGGAGCGGGUUGAUUUAGUAAAAAUGGGUGUCCCUCUUCCUAGAUCAGAAAACAACACAUCCAAAGUGAUAUUUACAAACCCGUUCUGAGGAAGUUUGCGGCUUAAUGGAAGCUCGUAGGAGUUUUAAAGUGGCGUGCUUAUCAAAUAAAAAUGCUUAGGAUUAUUUCGAUACAAAGUUGGGGAAGAAACUUUGAACAAUCAUCUUGAUAUCCUUGAGCAAGCACAAUAGUUGUUAAGGAGUGUGGUGGUUUGCCACUUGCACUUUUUACCAUCGGCCGAUCUAUGGCGUGCAAGAAGACACAGCCGAAGAAUGGAGAUAUGCUAUUCAAGUGUUCACUUCGUCCGCUUCCUGUUUCCAGGUCUGGAAGAAGGGAUAUAUACUCUUGUAAAAUUCAGUUAUGAUAGUUUACCCAAUGACACAAUUACACCUUGUCUGUUAUAUUGUAGUUUAUAUCCAGAAGAUUGUUGCAUUUCUAAAGAGAAUUUGGUAGAUUGUUAGAUCAAUGAAGGAUUUUUUAAUGAAAGUGAUUGGUUUGGAGAAAAAAUCAAGGAUACUUCAUUUUGGGCAUUCUUCUUCAUGUUUUUUUUUGGAAAAGGGAGGAGAUUGUGAAGUGAAAAAUGCAUGCAUGACGUUAUUCGUGAUAUGGCUUUGUGGAUCGCAUGCGACUAUGAGAAGGAGAAGGAGAACUUUUUGGUUUACGCUGGUGUUGGUUUAGCUAAGGUACCGGAUAUUAGAGAUUGGGAAAAGGUAAGGAGAUUGUCAUUGAUGAAAAAUAAAAUUGAGAAUCUAUCUGAGGCUCAUACAUGCCCUCAUCUCCUCACUUUCUUUCUUGACGAUAAUGAGUUUCGGAAGAUCCCCGGUGAUUUCUUCCAGUUUAUGCCUUCUCUCACUGUUUUAAACUUGUCAUGUAUUAAACUAAAGUCAGUUCCUUUAGGGACUUCAAGGUUGGUUCCACUACAACAACUCGAUCAUUCAUAUUCAAGCAUAAAAGAGUUGCAAGAAGAGUUAAAUGCCCUGAUUAAAGUUAAAUGCUUGAAUAUAGAUCAUGUAGAGGAGCUAAUUACAGUUCCACAACAACGGAUAUUUAAUUUUUAAGGUUAUAUGUGUUGAGAAUGUUCGAUACUAUUAGUUUAAAUUUUCAAGAAGCAUUAAAUAAAGACAGCAUUUUAUUUGGUGGGGAGGAAGUUUAAGCAGAGGAGUUGCUCGGUUUGGAAUAUUUGGAGGUAUUGAGCUUCACUUGAGAAGUGUUCGUGCUCUCCAAUUUAUUUUGAGCUCACAUAAGCUACGAAGUUGUACUCAAGCGCUGUUCCUCCAAUCCUUCAAUAAUUCGAUAUGGCUUGAUAUUUCACUUUUGGCAGAGUUAAAAGCACCACUGCAGAUUUAAGUAUUUUUGGCUGUAGAAAAUUGGAGGACUUGAAGAUGGAAUAUACAGGGGGAGCGAAAAACAAGCGGCAACCUUGUGUUUUCUAAGGCCUACAUACAGUUCACAUAGAGGUUUGUUCUAAAUUGAAGGACUUAACAUUCCUUGUUUCUGCUCCAAAUCUCAAGAACUUGGAAAUACAAAAUUGCCCUGCUGUGGAAGCAAUCAUCGGUGUGGGAGAAUUUGCGGAAGCUCUAGAUGUGGUGGAAAAUCUAAACCCAUUUGCAAAACUCCAGUUUCUUGGACUAGAAAAUCUGCCAAAUGUGGAGAGCAUCUAUUGCAGGCCUCUGCCCUUUCCAUGUUUGAAAAGAAAUGACUGUGGAUAGUUGCGGUUGUCUUAAAAAGCUUCCACUCUACUCCAACAGAGUAAAAGAGUGUACAAUUGUUAUUUCAUCAUUCGGAGAGUUAAUGGUGCAAUGAGAUUUGGCAGUUAACUCUCGUGGGAAGAGCUUUAAUGGGAAGACGAAGCCACUCGAAUUGCUUUUCAUUUCUGUUUCAAAUCUCUAAUUGGAUUGGAGAUUGCAUUUCGCCUCAGGUUCGUACUUUUCUUGAAUUUUUCUUGUUAACUUCAUUUGUUCAUUUAUCCAUUUUUUUUUUAAAGGAAUCAGAAGGGUUAAUAUUUUUGGUUGUGUUAGGUCGACUUCUAAUCACGAGGCAGAAGGAGCUGAGAUGAAGUUUAAUUUUGGUGGAGAAAUUGUUUGAUUUAAAAAAUUUAAAUGAGUUGACCAUCAUUCUUUAGCAUAUUUGUAUGAACAGGAGUGUGUAAAUAUGCAAACUGUCCAGCUGUAUGUGUAUAACGUAAUAAUUUUGAGGAGUUAAAACAUUGAAGAAUAUUGAUGUUUCCAUUGUCAAACCAAAUAUACUUAAUUACUUGAGGAUAAUGAUUACUGCUAAUACAUUUGCAAAGAAAAAAACAUGCCUAUUGAAAAACUCAUCUUAUUAGCAACAGCAUUAUAAGUAGUAUCCAAUCAUAGUUUCAUGCAAGAUUUUGAGAUUUUUCAAAUGCUGAUUCCGGGAAUGGAGAUUAAUAGAUAAUGGAGACAGGUUGACUGCAAUGGCUAAUUGCAAGAGGGAAUUUUAGUCGUAAAAACAGACCAACUAGCAAAGCAGAUUCCAAAUCUUGGAAUGAAGUAGCAAAAAAACGAAACAAACAACUGGCAAGAGGAAGUGACUAUACAAUAAUAACAUCGACUUGCAAUUCAACAUUUAUAUAGUUAUACACACCAAGAAAAGAGAAAAUUACAAUAGCAAUUUGGCUACUAGAAGAUGUUCAUUCAUGCUUAUGCCUGUCAUAUGGAUUUGAAACAAGGAGUAAAAGCAUUUAGAGUGGCUUUAUCCUUCCACUGCAGCUCAUUCCACCAGUGUUGCUCUCCCCUAAUAACAAGUUUGCGUUCCUUGGCGCUGUUGUAAUCGAGUGGAAGCUUCUUGAGGUUCGGGCAUCCAGAUACAAACAAUUCCAAGAGAUUUGGAAAGGGCAAUGCAUUCAAACAGAUCUUCUUCAAAUUUCUUAGAACUUGCAACCGAAGAUAUUGGAGUUUCGCAAAAGGUUUUAGCCCUGGAACUUCUUCCACUUUCCAAACACUGAUUAUUUCUUCCAUCUCAUAACAACGUUCUACAUGCACCAUCUUCAGAUUUGGGGCAAAAACAAGCCUUGUCAUCUCCCUCAAUUUACUGCAAUAGUCUAUGGUAACACUUUGAAGGCUGUUGAAACCAUAAGUUCUCUUGUUGUUUGAACUUCUGCAUAGUCAACCUUUAGCUCUUCCAAACUUGUACAAUACACAAAAUCUAGUUUGUCAAGGUACUUGAGAUCUGCUAUGGACAAAAUAUUCCAUGACCUUGAAUCCUCACAGCGGCGAAGCUCUAAAGCAUAUUUACAACUCUUGUACUGUUGGCAGCUCAAAAGUCUUCGUAGAGCAUAAAAACUUCUUAACGUGACGCUUAAUACAUUUAAAUGUUCCAAAGUAAUCAACUCCUCUACCAAAAUUUCACUACCACCAAAUAGAACGCUAUCUUCUGGUACUGUAUUAGCAGAGCCACAAUCUAGCAUCCUCAACACCUUUAACCCAGAAAAAUUACAAAGCAGUUGCCGUGGAAUCGUAUGGAGAUAACGCAUGUACUCCAAGUUCAAACACUUUAGAUUUUUCAAGGCUUUUAAUUCAUGUGGUAACUCUUUGAUGAAAGUUUCUGAAAGAUUAAGAUAUUGUAGUGAAACCAAUUUUGAAAUUCCUGAAGGCAAUUGACUCAAGGAGCGAUUCUUUGAUAGGUUUAAAACUUUUUUUUUUUUGGUGAGAGGGGGCUCGUCAAAACGAGCUAAAUAGAAACAAAACGGGGUUGAGUAACCCCAAACAAGUCUUGCGAAAUGAUAGAAUAUAUACCCAUAGGAGGGUCAGAGAACACUUGCAAUCCAAGAGGAGCUGAAUGAGCCAUAUUAGCCAUGAAGUCCGCAGCUGAGUUUGCUUCACGAUAGAUAUGGGUGAUAGCAAUCUGCCAAUUUCUACUUAAUAAUUCGUGGACAGCUACUAUUAAAGCAUGGAACACAUUAGGAACGACCACCUGCUUAGAGAUUAUUUGUGUAAUACAAAGACUAUCCACUUCCACCAACAGCCGUUUUAUGCCUACAUCCCAAGCCAGAAUUAGACCCUGAUACAGCCCCCAAAGCUCAGCCAUAAGCACUGAACUCUCCCCAAUUCUCAUACAAAAUCCGGAAAUCCAAUGACCGACUGAGUCUUGAAUGACACCUCCUGCUCCUGCUUCCCUGUCAUUUUUACGAGAGCCAUCUGAAUUUAAUUUGCACCAUGGCCAUGGCGGCGGAAUCCAACGAAUAAAAAUCUCCUUUCUCCUCGGCUGUUGACUUAUACCGGAAUUAUAAACUUUGUAAAUUUCAUUAGCUCUAGCCAUAGCAUCCAUAUAGACUGUUACACCAUCCACCAACUUCCCCGCAAACAAGAAAUGGUUCCUCCAGAACCACAGCCUCCAAACCACCACUCCAAAGAUACAAUCCCAAGGGAGGGAAGAUGCAAUCUUCCAUUUGUUCUGCAAGUUCCCAGUAAUCCAUUCACGUAGAUUCGAAUUGAAGAAAGCGUUAUGAGUUGCCAUUGGGACAAGCUUACGCCAAACCUGAUUAAUACAGCAGUAAUCUCUCAAUGCAUGGAGAAUAUCUUCAACCGCACCCCCACAUCUAUCACAGCCCUCAGGAGCAUUGAUAUGGCGCCUAGCUAGCUCAACAUGAGUCUUUAAUUUCCCAUGCAUCAGCUGCCACAGAAAAAGACGGAUGGAUUGAGGCCCCUUCCAACUCCACGGAAGCUUCCAAAUUCUGUCAUGAUCAGCCAAGUGAUGAUAGCAAAGGGAUGCAUAAGCUGAACGAACCGUAAACAUGCCGCUCGGAUCCAGACCCCAGUAAAUUUUGUCAGACCCAAAAUGCGGUCUCGGAGGCAUGACUGAUGCGAUCUGCAUGAGAGUAUAAUGUGGCAGCAAAUGCUCAAAGCUCGACCAAUUCCAUCCCCCCUGACCAUUCGUAAACUCACUCACGGUGGCGUUGAUAAGCUCCUGAGGAAUCGGCUGGAGAGCUAGGCUGCUCAAGGGAUAUUUCGUAGCCCAACAAUCUAUCCAAAAGCGAGCUCGACCUCCAUCGCAAACAGACCAGCGAGCUCCCUGAACUAUUGUCAACCACUUGCUACGAAUAGCUCUCCAAAUCUGAGAACCCGGUUUAUCUGGAAGGGACAUCGGUAAAUUUGCUGGAAUCCAAUCCAUAUUUGGAACAGAAAACUUUCACCCACAAUUUAUCCGAGCUGGACACAAUCUCCCAGCUCAAUUUCAUUAUCAGCGCCUGGUUCAUCUCGUCCAUUUUUUUGAACCCCAGACCUCCAUAUUGUUUCGGCAUGCAGAUUUUGCUCCACCCCACCAUACUCAUCUUAGGACUCUUUGAAUUCCCAUCCCAAAUAAAUCGCCGACAAGAUUUGUCUAUUUUAUGCCUCACUGGAGAAGGAAGAAAUGUCGUUUGCAUGGCAUAAAUAGGCAUUGCUUGCAGAACUGAUUGAGCCAGGGUGACGCGUCCAGCAAAAGAGAGAUGAGUCGCAUUCCAACCAGUAAGUCGGUUAUCGACUUUAUCAAGGAUGGACUGAUACGUGGAUUUAUUAACCCGCGUGUGAAUUAAUGGCAUUCCAAGAUAAUCACCCAAAUUAUUUGUGGCCGAAAAACCCAAAGUAGAGCCUAUGAGAUUGGCAUCCCGAGUAUCAACAUUUUUUGAGAAGAACACCUUGGUUUUCAACUUAUUUAUUUUUGCUUCAGAGCUCCUACAAUAGUUUUCCAGAACAACAUCAACCACAUAAGCUUGGUCAAUUGAAGCUUCCACAAAUAAAAGCAAAUCGUCUGCAAAAAAGAGAUGAGUUAAGGGAGUUCCAUAUUUGGCCAACCUAAUAGGCCUCUAUCUCCCAUCCAUUACCGCUUGGGUUAUCCCAUGACUCAAACGCUCGAUACACAGAACAAAAAGAUAAGGCGAGAGGGGAUCUCCCUGACGAAUACCUCUCCCUGGAGUGAAGGUCCCUGUAACCUCACCAUUCCACAAAAUACUCAUACUAGCUGAAGUUACGCAAUCCAUGAUAAGUCUAGAUAAAUGAGUUGGAAUACCAGUCUGUUGAAGCGUAUCAAAAAUGAAAUCCCAAUUAAGCCAGUCAUACGCCUUCUCUAGGUCAACCUUAAUGGCCAUAAAUCCUUUCCUGCCAGUUUUUCUGCGCAUUGAGUGAACAACUUCCUGAGCCACAACAAUAUUAUCUACGAUAUUCCUCCCUGGAACAAAACUUGUCUGAUUGGGGCCUAUUAGAUUGGGCAACAGCGAUUGCAAGCGAGUGGCUAUAAUUUUAGUCACCGUCUUGUAAGCCAUUGUGCAUAGGCUUAUGGGCCUAAACAUCUUUAAGCUAGUAGGGUGCUCCUCUUUUGGAAUCAAAACCAGGAGGGUAGUAUUUAUCUCUUGCGGCACUUUGCCCGUGGUAAAAAUAUCAUCAAUAAACCUGCAAAACGACGGACCCACAACAUACCAUUGGGAUUGAUAAAAAAUAGCAUGCAACCCAUCCGUAUCUAGAGCUUUCAGCGGCUUCAUACUAAAAACGGCACUUUUAAUCUCCUCCCUCAAAAUUGGGGCUGCGGCACCAUCAACGUCAUGAGAACUCAAGUCUGGAAAAAAAUUUGGCACAUGGUAGUUCUGAUAAAUAGCAUUUUCUCUUUUAAAUAAUUCUGAAAAAUACCCCACUGCAUGCCUCUUUAUAUCUUCCUCAUCAUACAGCCAAUUCCCUGAACUGUCUCGGAUAGCCUCGAUUCUAUUCCGCCGCCUUCGAGCAAUAGUUUUUUUAUGGAAAAAAUUCGUAUUUCUGUCUCCAUGUAAAAGCCAAUCCUUUCGAGAUUUCUGGAGCCACAGAAUUUCCUCCUGGCUCAUCACCAUUUCGAGCUCAUUACGCAAUCGGGCCUCCAAUCGCCUCAAACUGCGAGAGCUAUAUUUCUCUAGGGUGGCUUGAAUUCCAUUAAUCCGAGCCAUAAGCCGGCGUUUCCUCUGAAAGAUAUUCCCAAACACAUCUCGAUUCCAAACUUGAACCUCCUGAACAAAAUGAGAAGCUGCUGCACUAUAGUGGGAUUGCGGAUUCCACAUCCGCUUAACAAAAUUGUUAAAGUGCUCAUGAGUUAACCAAGCAGCCAAGAAGCGGAAAGGCCUGGUGUUGAGUGUUAGAAAAUGCAUAUUUAUAAAGGAGAAAACCGUCAUUUUACAUUUUAAGUCUUACUAACAACCCUUACUUUUAUAUAUUUAACCUUCUUGUGAUUUAAUUACAUGUGUUUUAUUUUAAUUAAGUAUUUUAUGUAUUUUAGGGGCAUUAUAGUCAUUUCACAAUAAAGGAGAGAUCAGACGGCAAAACGGACAUCACUUUUGAACUCAGGACGGUCGAAAACCUUAGGAGGAGCAUAAAAGGAAAAAUGGCACUAUUCACAUGUACGGUACUAUUCACGUAUACGGUACUGUCUACGUUACUGUUCACGACACUGUUCACAUAGACGGAUCGAUGACGUGGCAUUGACCGAUGAUGUGGCAUUGACUGAUGAGGUGUCACGAUCCUGUUGGGCUAAAAUUCUUAUGUACUGUUGAUGGUGACGUGGCAGCAUAUCAGUGGACGAAAAAUCUCGUGUACGGUGCAUGCAUCACACAGGAUUAUUUUCAACCAAACCGCGUUACUGUUCAUCCGGGUCAAACCGCGUUACUGUUCAAAGUCGGGUCAAACCGUGUUACUGUUCAUCCGCGUGGUCAAACCGUGGACUGUUGACUGAUGACGUGGCGCAAUCCUGAGCGUCCAAACUGUUUUUAAUCCGAUGGCCAUGAUUUACUCCAUGUAUCUAUAAAAAGGGGGCCUCCCCCCCCUAAUUUGAUAUCUCUGAAUCCAUUUUUGGGAUCCAUUUUCUGUAAUUCCUUCUCCAUCUUGUAUUUUCUUCGUAUUUUAAUAAAUUCCCAUUUUGCCCCUAGUUCAAUUAUGAGUGGCUAAUUUUCUUUCAAGCUUGGGUUGAAGGUGAAGUCUCAACAUGUGUCAUGGGCUUAAUUUGGUAAAUUUAUUUUCUCUUCCCCUCUAGUUUUUGUGGAUGUUUUGACUUCUCGUCGACAAAUAAUACUAAUCUUGUCUAGUACCGCCUUGGUUUCACCGGCUCUCUAGUAUAAGGUUAUUAUUAUUUGGCACGAUAAGCCCUUAGCACCAUAUUGAUUAGAGCGUGGUUCAUGCGGUGUGGAUUCCCCCCUCAUGAUUUAAUUGGUAUUAAUAAGGAAUAUUUAGCCUAUGAUGCAUGUUGAUACGGAUCCAGAUACCCAAGUACGUCAUUUCAAUAGAAUUCUCUUCAAUUUAUUCUCACCAUUUCAAUACCAAUUUUAGAAUUUAUUCUCUCCAUUUUAAUUUAAGUUUUAGCAUAUUCCAAUCAUUUCCACCACAAAUCUAAUCACCCAUUCACAAAAUUAAUUCUACACAAUUAAAAUCCACCUCCUCGUGGGAUCGACACUCGUCACCAUUAAUCUAUACUACAACAGAUUCGUGCGCUUGCGAGUACAUUAAAAUUUGCACAACAAGUUUUUGGCGCCGUUGCCGGGGAGGUAAGUAAUUUUAAUUCAUAGAAUUAAUUUUUGUGAAUAAUUUCUUUUAUUUGUUUUCUUGUAUUUUUUUUAUUAUUAAAAAAAAAGAAAAAAAAAGUGAAUCUACAUUUAAAGGUUAGUAUUUCUUUUCUUUUUCUCUUCUUUAAAAUUCUGUAAUUUAAUUUUCAAUUUAUUUUUUCUUUGUAAUUUUUGUUUAUUUUAUUAAUUUAAUUUUUAGUUAAUUUCACGUAUUUGUUUUUGUGUAUUUUUAUAGUAAGGUUGUAAUAGCGCAAUAAGGUUAGUAUCGUAAUUUCUCCCUCUUCUUUAUUUUUAUUUGUUUUGUUCCCAUCUUUAUUUUUUGUUUUGUUUGCAUCUUUAUUUUUAUUUUAUUUAUUUGCAUGCAUGGUCGUAGGUCAUUAUUACCUAAUCUUGAACCUAUAGACCUUGAAUUAGAAAAAACACUUCGCACACACAAACACGUUAAAAAUAAAAUGGAUUUACAAGCACCACAGGAGAGGCCAUUUAAGGACUAUUUUAGUCCCUUAGCUAAUUUGAGCACGUCAUGCAUAAGAUACCCAAAUGUAGCUGCUAGGAGUUUUGAAUUAAAACCUAGUGUGUUAAAUUGUCUCCCUACAUUUUAUGGCCUAGAAAAUGAGGAUCCAUAUAAUCAUUUGAAUGAUUUUCAUGCCAUUUGUCAAACAUUCAAAUAUGAGAAUUUUUCAGAUGAUGAUGUUAAACUUAGACUAUUCCCAUUUUCUUUAAAAGAUAGAGCUCGUUCAUGGCUUAAUACAUUGCCUGCUAAUAGCAUUGCAUCAUGGGAACAAAUGGUAACGAAAUUUUUGAAUAAAUAUUUCCCAGUGCAUAAAACCAAUGCUAUUCGCAGGGAAAUCUCAGAGUUUACUCAGAGAGAGGACGAGCAGUUUUUCGAGACAUGGGAGCGAUUCAAUGGGCUACUCUUGAAGUGUCCACAUCAUGGGUAUGAGAAAUGGCAUCAAUGCCAAUACUUUUUGGAGGGAUUACUACCGAAUGUGCAAGAAUGGCUAAUGGCAACAAGUGGAGGAGAGCUAAUGUCAAAAAGUGCAUCAGAAAUUUGGGAGUUUUUCCAGCGACAAGCGGACAAUUCCCAACAACGGAGUCGAUCACUCAGGAAUACUAGAAGGAUUAAAGGAGUGAAUGAGGUUCACAUUGGCGAGUCAACUUCGGGAAUCAAAGAAGUCAAGGAGAUGGUUGAAGGUCUUGCUCGACAAAUAGCAUCAUUAUCGAUUGCUAAAUCAACAGAACCACAUGACCAUGACUCAUACUCAGAUCAAGCCAAUGCCAUAGGUGUAAUGAGAAAGCCAUCAAAUUACAACCCAUACUCCAACACAUAUAACCCUGGAUGGAGAGACCACCCUAAUUUUUCAUGGUCUCAAGGAUUCCAACAGAAUGGACCAGCAGCUCCAGCUCCACCAAUUCCACAAAAUCCUCAAGCCUCUCAGCCAUCAUUUAGACCAUUCAAUCAGAACCAUAAUUAUUCUCAACCCAGACCAUGGGAGGAUGCAUUUCAGAAUUUCAGGAAUGUUACUCACUCCACGAUUGAGCAACAGAACCGCACCAUUGAUGGAUUACGAAAUGAGUUGAAAGCGGGCUUCAACUCACAAGCCCAAUCAGUUUCAAGCCUUGAGAAGAUGGUGGGACAACUUGCUUCUUCAGUUCAGACCUUGGCAAUGACCGUUGAGAAAGGCAAAUUUCCAAGUCAACCAGUACCUAAUCCUAAAGGAGUGCAUGAAGUAAGUACCAGUUCACCACAGCAGCAUGGAGAGGUCAAAGCAGUAAUGACCUUGCGAAAAGGAAAGGAAGUCGACAACAAAGUGGAGAUGCCGGUGACAAAAGAAAAUCAAAUUGUACCUGUGAAUGUUGAGGACUCAUCACCGGAGGAGAAAGAAGAAACUAACCCACGAGAAUAUGUUCCGAAAGCUCCAUUUCCCCAGAGGUUAGCUAAAGGCAAGAAGGGAAAAUCCACAGGUGAGAUUCUCGAAAUCUUCAAACAGGUAAGUGUUAACAUCCCUUUACUUGAUGCUAUUAAACAAGUUCCAUCUUAUGCCAAGUUUCUUAAAGACCUUUGUACUAAAAAGAGAAAUAUGCAUGUUCAAAAGAAGGCAUUUUUAAUAGAAAACGUUAGUUCUAUACUCCAACAUAAAAUUCCUUUAAAAUGCAAAGACCCAGGCUCCCCCACUAUCUCAUGUAGUAUAGGGAACCACACAAUUGAGAAUGCUUUAUUGGAUUUAGGAGCUAGUGUAAAUCUUUUGCCUUACUCUGUAUUCGUGAAACUUGGACUUGGAGAAUUACACCCAACUCCAGUGGUGUUACAACUUGCAGAUCGGUCCACAAAAAUACCUCGUGGUAUUGUGGAGGACGUGCUUAUCCAGGUAGACAAGUUUUAUUUUCCUGUUGAUUUCAUUGUAAUUGACACUCAACCAAUACAGGAUUCAAGGAAGCACAUCCCCAUUAUUCUAGGCCGACCUUUCUUGGCAACUGCGGAUGCUCACAUUCAAUGCAGGACUGGAAAUAUGCAGUUGUCUUUCGGCAACAUGACUAUGGAGCUGAACAUCUUCAACAUUGCCAAACAACCUCACAGUGCAGAUGAUGGAAUUGUUGAUGUGGAUUUAAUAGAAACAAUAGUUGAUAAUACUUUUCUUUCAAACCUUAGUGAUGAUCCUUUACAAACAUGUUUAACUCACUUUGGUUUGGAUUUUGAUAUUGACAGAUCAGUCGAUGAGGUCAACGCCCUGCUUGACUCAACACCAUCCAUGGACACUAAUAAAUGGAAGUCAAGAGUUGAACAACUAACACCAUCAGAGAAGAAACUCAUCACAUCAUCAGAAUCACCACCGAAACUCGAGCUCAAACCAUUGCCCAACACAUUAGAAUAUGCGUUUUUGGGAGAAGAAAGUUCUCUGCCGGUAAUCAUCUCAUCAUCCCUUAAUGACGAACAAAAAGGUAAGUUGUUGGAUGUUUUGAAAGAGCAUAAAGGGGCAUUAGGAUGGACCAUAGCAGACAUAAAAGGUAUAAACCCUGCAGAUUGCAUGCAUUACAUUCACCUUGAUGAAAAUGCUAAAUCUACUAGGGAAAUGCAACGUCGGUUAAAUCCUAAUAUGAAAGAAGUUGUUAGAACAGAAGUCCUUAAGCUAUUAGACGCAGGUAUCAUUUACCCAAUUUCUGAUAGUUCAUGGGUCAGUCCUGUACAAGUUGUCCCCAAAAAGUCAGGAGUCACAGUAGUUACGAAUGCAGAUAAUGAAUUGAUACCCACUAGAGUAACUACAGGAUGGCGUGUACGCAUUGAUUAUAGAAAAUUGAAUUCUGUCACACGUAAAGACCAUUUUCCUUUACCAUUUAUUGAUCAAAUGCUUGAUAGAUUAGCAGGCCAUGAAUUUUAUUGCUUUCUAGAUGGUUACUCAGGAUAUAAUCAGAUUCCCAUAGCACCAAAAGAUCAAGAGAAAACUACUUUCACUUGCCCUUUUGGCACAUUUGCAUAUAGGAGAAUGCCAUUUGGAUUAUGUAAUGCACCUGCUACAUUUCAACGAUGCAUGUUGAGCAUUUUUUCUGAUAUGGUGGAACGAUUCCUUGAAGUCUUUAUGGAUGAUUUUUCUGUCUUUGGUGACUCGUUUGAUCAAUGUUUACAUCAUCUAACACUAGUUCUGCAGAGAUGUAUCGAGAAGAACUUGGUCUUAAAUUGGGAGAAAUGCCAUUUUAUGGUAAAACAAGGUAUUGUUCUCGGUCACAUCAUUUCGAGCAAAGGUAUUGAGGUUGACAAAGCCAAGGUGGAUCUCAUUUCUAAUCUUCCUCCACCCAAAACAGUCAGAGAAGUAAGAUCUUUCCUUGGGCAUGCUGGUUUCUAUAGACGUUUCAUUAAAGAUUUUAGUAAAGUUUCUAGACCCUUAUGCAAUUUGCUUGCUAAGGAUGUACCUUUUGUCUUUGAUGAUUCAUGUCUUGUUGCGUUUGAAAAAUUAAAGCAUUUGUUGACAUCAUCACCCAUCAUUCAGGCCCCAAACUGGAACUUACCAUUUGAGCUAAUGUGUGAUGCAUCUGAUUAUGCAGUAGGAGCAGUAUUAGGACAAAGAGUUGAUCGAAUUCCCCAUGUUAUUUACUAUGCUAGUAUGACAUUGAAUGAUGCACAGUUGAACUAUUCAACUACUGAAAAAGAAAUGCUAGCAGUAGUGUUUGUAUUGGAAAAAUUUCGAUCAUAUCUCAUUGGUUGUAAAAUAAUUAUAUUCACAGAUCAUGCUGCUCUUAAAUAUCUUCUCACAAAGAAAGAUGCAAAAGCCAGACUAAUUCGUUGGGUGUUACUUUUGCAGGAAUUUGACUUGGAAUUCAAAGAUAAAAAAGGGACAGAAAAUGUUGUGGCGGACCACCUCUCUCGUCUCCAUUUUGACACAAUAAUAGAACAAUUACCAUUAAAUGAGUCAUUUCCAGAUGAACAAUUAAUGAGUGUGGAAGUAUUACCUUGGUAUGCUGAUAUAGUUAAUUAUCUUGUUACAGGUAAACUUCCAGAGCAUUGGACCAAGCAAGACAAGGCUAAAUUCUUUGCAGAGAUAAAGAAUUUCUUUUGGGAUGACCCGUAUUUGUUCAAGUAUUGUGCGGAUCAAAUUGUUAGACGAUGUGUCCCAGAAAGUGAAAUUCAGAAUAUCCUUUCAUUCUGCCAUGAACAAGCUUGUGGAGGCCAUUUCAGUGCUAAGAAAACAGCGACUAAAGUUUUACAAUGUGGUUUCUAUUGGCCAACACUAUUUCGAGACGCUUACACUUUUUGUUCUUCAUGUGAUAGGUGUCAACGAAUGGGGAGCAUUACACGAAGGAACAUGAUGCCACUAAAUCCAAUUUUAGUGGUUGAGAUUUUUGACGUAUGGGGUAUCGACUUCAUGGGACCCUUUCCCCCUUCUUUUGGCCAUCAAUACAUAUUGGUUGGUGUUGACUACGUCUCAAAAUGGGUAGAAGCAAUUCCAUGUAGGACCAAUGAUCACAAGGUGGUGAUAGGAUUUUUGAAAAGCAACAUUGUCUCGCGCUUUGGAUUCCCUCGAGCAAUAAUCAGUGAUGGUGGUGCCCACUUUUGUAACAAAGCAUUCAAAGCUCUUUUGACAAAGUAUUCAAUCACGCACAAAGUGGCGACCCCGUAUCAUCCGCAAACCAGUGGCCAAGUUGAGAUCUCCAAUCGAGAAAUAAAGCACAUAUUAGAAAAAACGGUGAGGCCGGACAGAAAAGAUUGGUCAUUAAGACUUGAUGAUGCCUUAUGGGCAUAUAGAACGGCUUUCAAGACCCCGAUUGGGAUGUCACCCUACAGGCUAGUGUAUGGAAAAGCUUGCCACCUACCUGUGGAACUCGAGCAUCGUGCGUAUUGGGCCAUCAAGAAAUUCAAUUUUGACAUGCAGCAAGCCAGCUCAGAAAGAAGAUUACAGCUGGCAGAACUUGAAGAAAUUCGCAAUGACGCGUACGAAAAUGCCAAGAUUUACAAGCAACGAAUGAAAGUCUUCCAUGACAAGCAAAUUAUGAGAAAAUCUUUCACCCCAGGUCAGAAAGUGCUUUUAUUCAAUUCUCGCUUGCACCUAUUCCCAGGUAAGUUACGCUCUCGAUGGUCUGGCCCAUUUAUUGUUCAUACUGUUUUUCCACAUGGGGCAAUUGAAAUUAAAGACCCAAAGAACGGUGUCACGUUUAAAGUUAAUGGUCAAAGAUUAAAGCCAUAUCUAGAGUACCAACCACAUGAAGAAGACACCGAAAUAAAUUUGAGUGACCCACCAAAUUUGAAUUGAUUUUUUUUUUCUUUUCGUUGAUUUGAUUUUUCUUUCUUUCUUUUUAUUAUUAUUCUUUUGCUAAUUGAAAUUGUUUUUGCAUAAGUGUGUUUAUUUUACCAUUAAGUUUUCUCUUAUCAUUUUUAAUCAUGAGUCUCAUACUUAGACCGUUCCUCCUGAACAUUCUUAAACCACUUCAACGUGUCAAAACUCAUCUCAAAAGACAGAUUCAAUUUUGUAAAACACAUCGCAUUUGGGCUCUACAACCACCAGAGUUAGUAGCCUAUGUUGAGGGUUUAGAACACCAACUCAGAGACAUUGAGAGAAGUGUUUACGACAUCCAGUUGGAGCUUGAGGUAAAUUCAAUAAGAGGACGAUUUUAAUUUUCUUUGUGUGUUUUAAUUUGUUUUUCUAUUUGUGUGCUUUAGUUUGUUACCCCGGUGAAAUGGCGGAUAACGGUACUCCGUGACAAUCAAGUCGGUUACUUCAGUCUCCCAUAAUAACUGAUAUUCUGAGGCGAAGGUAUGGACAGAAACGAGAUUCUAGCGAAGCUUCACAAGCGAUUCCCUUCACUUCCUCAGAAUGCCCUCCUUACGAUCUAUAAAGCUCGGUCCGAACGCAUGCGAUUACUCAUGAGGAAUAACAUACCUGCUGACAUCCGUUGGUUAAUCGAGGCUAAAGUACGAUCGGCAGGUGAGUUACCUCCAAAAUUUAUUGCAUACAUGCCUGGUUGUGGUAAAGGAAAUUAUGCAAGAAAACGACGAGCUCGAAGAAUUUCUGUUGCUUGUCAUAAGUGUGCCAGAAUGAGUUGCAAUAAAAACCCAUGUUCUUUAGGAAUGGUGUCUGAUAACAGGGAAGAUAAGAUUCAAUUCAUUAGGGAUGGCUUGAAUAAGGAGUCAUUGGAUGAUAUCCUUUUGUCUCUUGAAACGCAUCCCAGUGGAUAUGUGCAAGGAGCGAUUCUCCAGUUAUGGCCAUUAUUCCAGAAAGAGCAUGCACGAUAUAGUCUCGGGAAUCUGACUAUAAACGACCCUGUUUGCCAGUUUAUAAGAAAAUUGGAUAGGAAGCCUAUCCUCGACCCAUAGAGGGCGUUCAAGCCGUUUCUGGACGUAAAACCAGAGGAAGAUGUGAGCCACAGUCGCAACUACCUGUAAAUAUUCUUUUACUUUAUUAUUUCACUAUUGUCUUAUUGUUUGCAUUAUUGUCUUUAAUAAUUUUAUUACUGUUUGCUUUUUUUCUUUUUACUGUUUUCUUUUUGACUCGCGAGCCACGUGCUUUACGCGUUAUUUGACAUGGACAUGUGACCUCAUACACAACUAUGACCCAUUAUCACCAAGACUCUUAAAUGUGAUUUUCUUUGUCAAUCACUCACAAAUUAUUUUUGCGAAGUAUCACAAUGGCAGCUACUCCCAAUAGACAAUUCAAGAACAUUUGUGUGCUUUCUGGAUUUACAUAUGGCAAACAUAAAGAGUUCGUUGAGGCAGCCAUAGAUCUUGGUCGAAGCAUAGCAGCGAGAAAAUUACACUUGGUGUAUGGAGGAGGUAAUCGAGGGUUAUCAAAAAUGGUCUCAGAAGCAGCUCUUAUCAGAGGAAGUCAAGUGUUAGGCAUCAUCCCAAGAGUCUUAAAACCAUUGGGCAGUUCGUCUGACUCAUCAACUGGAGAAGAGUUAGUCGUCUCAAGUAUGCAGGAAAGAAUAACUGAAAUGCUUAAUCAUGCUGAUGCUUUUAUUUUCCUUCCAGGAGAUCUUGCAACACUAGAGGCACUUAUGACACUAGCAUCUUGGGCCCAUCUACACAUUCACCAGAAACCCAUCGGUUUGUUAAAUGUCAAUAACUUUUAUGAUGGCUUUAUCGCAUUUCUUAACCAUGCAAUAAAAAACUAUUUCAUUCCCUCUAAUGCGAAAAAACUCUUUAUUUGUGCUCACACUGCUAAUGAGCUACUUGAUAUGUUACAAGCUUAUCGACCGGAGCCAGACCCCUGGACCUUUGUGUUGGAGCGUCCAAAUAAUGAUGGUAACAGUAGCCGCAGUAAGAAGUACAAAUUAGAUUUAACUCUCCGCCUGUAAAUAUUUUCUUCUGUGUUGCACCACCCAGGUGAUGUCUUCUAAACUCUACUUCUUUCAUUUCAAACAUUGAGGACAAUGUUUCGUUCUGGUUGGGGGGAGGGAAUAGUCGACAAUUGUGGAAUUUUGGUUAAGUUUUUACUAAUUUUUUGUUGUAGAAACUAACUGUUGCUAACUUUUUGUGUUGAAGAUGGCUGAAUAUGGAGUGUAGUUACUCUAGAAACGCAUCUUCAUUGUUUGAAAAAAAAAAUUCAAAAAAAAAAAACAAUUCAGACAUUUUCUUUUUCUUUAUUAUGUGUUUAUGUUUAUUUUUCUUCUUUAAUUUCUCCUCUAUAAAUAUAAAUUUUCCAACUUUUGAGUCGAAGAUGGCUGAAUAUGGAGUGUAGUUCCUCUAGAAACGCAUCUUCUUUUAAAAAAAAAAAAAUCAUUUUCGUUUUCUAUCAUUUUACGUGUAACUUUUCUAAUUAGUUUUUAUACAUCAUUUUCACAUUUCUGCAUGCAUAUUUUCCUUUCAUGUUUAGAAUAGGUUGGGGGGUAGAAUGAUGUUUAAAAAAAAAAAUGUGUGAUUUGUUUUAACAUUGGAUGACAUGAUUAAUUUCAAAUUUUAGUAUUUGUAUUAUCUUUGGUCUUAAGUGAUGUUACGCUAUGUUUGCUACUUUACAUGUUGAUGUCGGAGACAAAUGUGAGUUGCUUGAAGGAAUGAAUAUGUCAUAAUAAGUACCAAGUGAGUUUUUGAGCCUAUUAUUUUUCUUGGAGAAUAACCCUUUUGCCCACUCUUUAUACAGCUUAGCAGUUUAUUAUUUUAUACACGAUCUCUAAAUUACUUUUGAGUUAACCCUUAAAAAAAAAAUUGUAAAAUAAAAAAAAAGAGAAAAAAGAAAAAGAAAAAAGAGUGUGUUGCUACAUUUGGAGGCCCAUCUAACUAGUAGAUAUGGAAGAUUAUUUAGAGCCCUAAAAGACGAUGGAGAGGCCAUCUUUGAUCCGUUUGAGCCUUUCAAGCCAUCCCUUUUUAAUAUCCAUAGUUAACCCUUUUGAGCCUAUAAAAAAAAAAAAAAAAAAAAAACCUUUUCUUUGUCAACUUAUCAUCUUGACCCACUCCGAUUUGGAGUAUUACCCGAUAUCUUAUAAGUUCCAUCACCUAUUUAUGUUUGAGAAAAUGUAAAUAAUUAUUUUGUUCAGUGAAGUUAUGCCAAAUAAAAAAAAAACAAAAACAAAAGUUGUUGUUUCAAAAGAAUAAAAAUAGGUGAAAUCCACCUUGCAACUUCCAAAAAAAAAAAAAAAAUUCUCUGCAUUUUUCUCAAACAUACACUUUGUUUUCCUUAUUUUCCUUCUUUGUUAGCCAUGUCCCUAGCCUACGUUUCGUCCUAAUAAAAGUCCUUCUUGAUUUUAGGGAACUAUAGUUUGAAGUAGAAGCUAGUUAUAUGGGCUAAAAAGAUGUAGUGAUGCAUAAUUAAAAAAAAAAAAAAAGAUAAAUAAAGUGGGUUGACUAACAUUUUAUUUGACUUGAGAUCGUAUUAUUUCUAAGCUGAGGGCAUAUUUAUUUCAUCUUGGUGAGAGCAUGUGAUAUCACUUCUUUAUUAUUUUCUCUCUCAAUUACCAUUCAUUGGAGUGACUAUUUUUAUUGGGAUUAAUUUAUUUGUGAGAGUGUCACUACUUCCAGUGAGAUUUUGGGGUUUGACAUUUCAUUCUUGAGAGUAGCUAUAACAAAGUCUACUGGGCUAAUUCAUGUGGAUGGUUGAUGUGGGUGUGAUGUUGCUUUAGACUGGAGAUAAUGCUUAUACUUUUAUUUGAUUGCUAUCAUUAAUCUGAUGGAAUAAAUACGAGUGUUUCUAUUAAAAAAAAAAAAAUUAUUUUGAAUUUGAAUUUUGUUUUCGCUUUAUUUGCUAGGGACUAGCAAUAAGCUGGUUGGGGGGUGUGUUGAGUGUUAGAAAAUGCAUAUUUAUAAAGGAGAAAACCGUCAUUUUACAUUUUAAGUCUUACUAACAACCCUUACUUUUAUAUAUUUAACCUUCUUGUGAUUUAAUUACAUGUGUUUUAUUUUAAUUAAGUAUUUUAUGUAUUUUAGGGGCAUUAUAGUCAUUUCACAAUAAAGGAGAGAUCAGACGGCAAAACGGACAUCACUUUUGAACUCAGGACGGUCGAAAACCUUAGGAGGAGCAUAAAAGGAAAAAUGGCACUAUUCACAUGUACGGUACUAUUCACGUAUACGGUACUGUCUACGUUACUGUUCACGACACUGUUCACAUAGACGGAUCGAUGACGUGGCAUUGACCGAUGAUGUGGCAUUGACUGAUGAGGUGUCACGAUCCUGUUGGGCUAAAAUUCUUAUGUACUGUUGAUGGUGACGUGGCAGCAUAUCAGUGGACGAAAAAUCUCGUGUACGGUGCAUGCAUCACACAGGAUUAUUUUCAACCAAACCGCGUUACUGUUCAUCCGGGUCAAACCGCGUUACUGUUCAAAGUCGGGUCAAACCGUGUUACUGUUCAUCCGCGUGGUCAAACCGUGGACUGUUGACUGAUGACGUGGCGCAAUCCUGAGCGUCCAAACUGUUUUUAAUCCGAUGGCCAUGAUUUACUCCAUGUAUCUAUAAAAAGGGGGCCUCCCCCCCCUAAUUUGAUAUCUCUGAAUCCAUUUUUGGGAUCCAUUUUCUGUAAUUCCUUCUCCAUCUUGUAUUUUCUUCAUAUUUUAAUAAAUUCCCAUUUUGCCCCUAGUUCAAUUAUGAGUGGCUAAUUUUCUUUCAAGCUUGGGUUGAAGGUGAAGUCUCAACAUGUGUCAUGGGCUUAAUUUGGUAAAUUUAUUUUCUCUUCCCCUCUAGUUUUUGUGGAUGUUUUGACUUCUCGUCGACAAAUAAUACUAAUCUUGUCUAGUACCGCCUUGGUUUCACCGGCUCUCUAGUAUAAGGUUAUUAUUAUUUGGCACGAUAAGCCCUUAGCACCAUAUUGAUUAGAGUGUGGUUCAUGCGGUGUGGAUUCCCCCCUCAUGAUUUAAUUGGUAUUAAUAAGGAAUAUUUAGCCUAUGAUGCAUGUUGAUACGGAUCCAGAUACCCAAGUACGUCAUUUCAAUAGAAUUCUCUUCAAUUUAUUCUCACCAUUUCAAUACCAAUUUUAGAAUUUAUUCUCUCCAUUUUAAUUUAAGUUUUAGCAUAUUCCAAUCAUUUCCACCACAAAUCUAAUCACCCAUUCACAAAAUUAAUUCUACACAAUUAAAAUCCACCUCCUCGUGGGAUCGACACUCGUCACCAUUAAUCUAUACUACAACAGAUUCGUGCGCUUGCGAGUACAUUAAAAUUUGCACAACACCUGGUCCUCUGGUGGCCAGCCACAUCUCUCUCAAAACGAACCAGCACCGGCCUGUGAUCCGAAGCAAUUUUCGGGAGAUGGAGCACAUAAUUAUUCAUAUAUUUAAGCAGCCAUUCACUAUUACACAAAGCUCUAUCAAGCCUUUUAAAAAGCAAUCCACGUGACCAAGUAAACCUUGGACCCUUAAAUUUCAAGUCAAAAAGUUUAUGCCCAUCAAACCACUUCCGAAACAGAUUACACACUCCUGAGUUCCUGGCCACACCCCCUUGCUUUUCUGAGGCGUAUAAGAUAGAGUUGAAAUCCCCACCUAUCAACCAAGGCUCUUGAAUUAAAGGCGCAAGGUUCUCCAUAUGGCACCACAGCUGUCUCCGCAACAUUGGGUUUGGACUGGCAUAAACAGCCGUUACCCAAGACACAAAAACAUUGUUCCUGCAAAUUUUAAAAUGGAUGAACUGCCUGUGAUUAAUUGAGACCUCCACCUCUAUAGAACUUCGCCAAAGAAGCCAAAUUCCUCCAGAAAAACCCACAGCUUCCACCCGGUGCGAGUAAUCAAAUCCACUUUUCUUUAUAAAUUCAUCGGCUUUCACCCCACUAGUACGAGGUUCCAUUAAUACCACCAUCGAUGGGUUGUAAUUUUUAAUAAUAGUCCUAAACGAGCACCUGAAUUCCCCCGAGGCUGCCCCUUGGACAUUCCAGAACAUAAUACUGACUGUCAUAAAAAAUAUAAGAAGAGAGAACAUGAGGCUACUGUUGCUAUCCAGAGACAUCAUCCAUCAAUGCCAACGGCGUUUCCUGAACCAUCGAAAAUUCAUCAUCAGUCAUCCCAUCUCCAUCUAUACCACUCAUAGGAACAUCUGGAUGGUUACAAACAUGUCCACCUUCUUUCACCCGAGAAGUGUUAUGGUUAUCAGGAGGGUCUGCUAAGGGUUGCGGAUCCGAUCCCUGCAUCUCUAUAUGAUCCGUGGCCACUUCCCUUACAUCUCCAUUAAGAAGUGUUGGGGGAGAACAAAAAACCAUUGUGUGUUUAGUAGGAUCCAAGGUGGAUUCGAAAGAAACCACACGUUGGUUACUAGAUACUUUCUGGGGGAAACUAUGUGAAUUGGAUUUUUGGUUGGCAUGGGGUAAGAGAGUUAUAUCCUCAUCUCUGAUACUUAAAUCACUAGGCUGGAAAGGGUUACUAGUAGGGACCACUGGAGCAUUUAGCUUUUUGCUCUGAUUCCUUAUUACCACGGUCUUAUUUUGCAGCUUUCGACGAGCUAAAAUCUGUACUGUGUUAUUUGUUUUGGCUGUAAAUGUAGGGUUUGAGGCGGAUAUGAAAGGCUACCGUGAGGUGGAGGGGAAGUCUGUGCAAGCCUCCUGCACUUGGUGUCCUCCUUCAUCCGGGACUUGGGAUAGAAUGUGAAACCUUGAGGUACCAGCUCCAGUAAACUCCCUAUUCCGAUUUAAGUCUCUAGUAUUCAUCCUUCCAUUAUUAGGCUUUCUUCCUCUCCUAGGAGCCAUCAUCCAGGGACCAAAUGGUUCCACAGUGCUGUCGCCAUUACAACCUUUAGCCUGUUGGCCAGGAGCCUCGUUUCCCGGCAUUGCCUGAUGGGAUUGACCAGCUUCUUUAGAGCUUGUCGAGUUCUUAGCAUCUUUGCAAUUAUUACUAUUGUGCCCGUAAAGUCCACACUUAUAACAAAUUACUGGCAAGCCCUCAUAUUCGACCUUCUGUAUCUUCCCAUCCAACUCAAACUGAGACACCAGUGGCCUAGUUAAAGAGAUACUCACUGCAAGGCGGGCAAAUCUUCCACGAGAUGAGGAGGCUGUAUUCAAAUCGAUUGUAAUCACGUUCCCCACUAACUGACCCAGCUUUUGAAGAACUUUUCGAUCGUAAAGAUGAACAGCAAGGCCAGGUAAUCUGAUCCACACCGUGACCUGUUCAAGAGCCGUGUUUGUGAAGUCAAAGGAUGGCGUCCAUGGCUGCACCGUUAAAUAGUGACCCAUGACAAGCCACGGCCCCUUGGUUAAUGCAUCCAUAGCAUCCCCUACCGAGCGAAACCGAACCAGAUAAUAGUUAUUCUCCAAGUCUAUCACUGAAAACCCCAUGGCUGAUUUCCACAUGCCAUUCAAUCUUGCACAAAGGGCUCUAUAGCCAAUUGUGCGGCCAAGCAACUUUACAACAACCGAGUUCUUCCAAGGCUCACUUAACUUAGCAUGAACCCUAGCCGAAAAAGUGAUGGAUGGCAUGGAUCCCUCGUUACUUUCAGUAACGUCCCCUUCCUCAAAAUCCCAGUCAUCUAGUCCACCUCCAACUCCUUGCUCCAUCGCUUGCGUUGCAUUCACUAGGGUUUCUUUGUACGAUACCUGAGCAGUGGGAUCACCAGCAUGUUCCUCAUCGCGAAACCUCGCUUUUUUAGUCGUUCUAGCCUCCCUGAACGGCGGGGGAAAAAUCCCUCCGGAGAUAGGGUUUCCUUCACAUCCGUGGUUUUCGGAGCUUUCCAUUGAAUUUCGCUUGAUUCACUAAAAAAAUUAACGUUUUUAUGAAGGCUCGAACCAUUGCACUCAACAUUGUAAGUGCAUAUUGGAGUUAUUGGUAAAAUCACAAUUUUAUUUCUCAUCAACGAUAUCCUUCUCUUAUCUUCCCAUUGUUUAACCUCGGGUGGUUCAGUUAAUUCAAUACCGGCAGAAACCAAAAAGUUUUCAUUCUCCACUUCACAGGCUAUCCACAAGGUCAUAUCACGAAUCACAUCAUGCAGUUUUACAUAAUCUGAUCCUGCUUCUUCCAAUAGGCAUGCAUGAACAAGAACACCAAUAAUGUAGUAUCCUUGGUUAUGUACUCCAUUAAUUCCUUUAUAUUCCUUUAGAAAACCCUCACCAAUCCAACACCCUACCAAUUCAAUUUUGCUAAUUUGAUAAUCCUCAAGAAAUAAACUACAGUAUAACAGACAAGAUCUAAGGACGUCACUAGACAAACUAUCAUAACUGAAUUUUAAAAGACGAAACACCUCUUUCUCCAUACCUGGAAAUUCAUAAGCUGAUCUCCUUAACAUCUGAAUUGCAUAGCUCCAUUCUUCGGGUGUCUUCUUGCUGCUCAUGGCACGACCGGUGGUAAUAAGUGCAAGUGGCAAACCACUACACUCCUUUGCCACAGUUUGGGCUAACUCCGGAAUAUCGGGAUGACUUUCAAGAGUCUCUUCUCCGACCUUCUUUAGGAACAAUUCCCAAGCAUCUUGAUCUGCCAAACACUCCACCUUGAACUUUUUUUGAGCUUCCAUGAGGCCACAGACGUCCACAAGACGAGUCGUAAAGACUAUCUUUGAUGCAUUUCUUGAACUCCCAGGAAAAGGGACACCCACUUUGGCUAAAUCAAUUCUUUCCCAUAUAUCAUCUAACAAUAGCAGAAAUUUCAUUUUGCUCAAUAAAUUGAAUAUGCCUGAUGCUUUCUCUUCAAAGCUUCUAUUCUGAAGCCAUCCUAUUCUUUCUCCGAUUUUCUGUUGAAUUCUCUCAAGUUGCAUGUCUUUUGACACCACCACCCAAAUCACAAUAUCAAAAUAAUUUGGUGUAUUAAGGAACUUGUUGUUGAUUUGGGUUAAUAGUGUAGUCUUGCCGACUCCCCCCAUGCCAUAAAGUCCGAUGAUUCCAAAUUGUCCUUCUACAAGACAUCUCCAAACUUGAUCAAAUGAUGAUUCUAGGCCGAUUAUUGUUGGCUGAAGAGGCCUUUCAUCCACUGCUGGUUGUGGUACCUUUUCAGCUACCACUGCAAAAGCUCCAUCAUCUAUUAAAGUAGCCACAAGCUGCAGCUUUUUAGACACCUUUUUCCCAAACUUGUAGCUUGACUUGCAGUUCUUGGAGCAGUAGCCUCCAAGACAUAGUUUUUCAAUUUCUUGAGAGCUGUCCCUUCUCAAUUCACCUACUUCAGCUUCCACAGCCUCCAACCUUGCACUCUGUUCAGCCGUCUUAGUUGUUGUUGCUCAGCAUUAGCGACCCUCAUCAUCACAUCGUUCUUUGUUUCAAUUAGUUUCUGCAAUUCGGUCUGGACGGCAACCAGAUUAUUUUCAAGCUGGCUUAGAUAUGCUGCUUUUCUGCGGGUACAAUUGAUGAAGCCAGUGGAAAGGGCAUCACAUGUAAGUUGGAUUCCCAAAAUAUUACCCAUAGUUUGUAUGAGAUUCAGAGUACAAUAGAAGGAAUGCAACACAGUAUGUAUUCGGUUGUGGUGUCUAUGAUUUUACAGUCGCAGAAGCUUAUUCACCUUGUGAGGGCUGGUCAGGUGGGCACCAUCACUCUCCUUACUCUUUAUAGAGAGCGAUAGUCCAUGUGGUCAGAUCUCAUUCAGAUAACUAGCCAAGUGGGCAAUCGCUCCACCUUAUCAAAAUUCUUCAUCUUAUAAUAAUAUCAUGAGUAGGCCUUGAAUUUUUCUUUUAAUUUUAACAUUUAAAAGGUAGAGGUGAAAAAGUCUACAUAGUAUUUUUGUCCUCGUACUUUAAUAACAUUUCUUGAAAGUCACUCGAUCUCAAAAUUUAAUUAAGAAGAUAUUAUAGAUUUAUAAGCCCUUAAAUUUUAUUUGCAAGUAAGCCCAUAAGACUUACUAAAAGUCGUCAACUCGUCAUGACCAAAAUUGAAAAUUCGUCCGCGCGUGAAAUACGGCAUGCACAGUCGUAUUAAAAGCAAAGGCCAGCUAUGAUAGUCUUCGUAUACUUGCAUUCCCUAUCAUCUUAUUAAUAAUUUCAGACACGUAGUUCGUUGCUUGUGAUUUUUCAUAUGCAAAAGCACAGUCAGUGUUACAUUUUACAAUUACAAUUGAGUGCCACCUAUAUACUCCUUCAUUCUUUUCAAAAUAUGUUGUAGGAUGGGUAAUUGUGACAAAAGUGAUUUUUAAAAAAAAUUAACUUUUAAUUUUUUUUAAAUUACUUUUGAGAUUUGUGAAAAAAAUCCUAAACGGGUCUCAGAAGUAUAAUUAGCACCGCGAAUUUAUAAAAUGAUCAAAGGAAUCCAUCGCCUAAUAUUAUAGUACGCAAUUGAUUGCUAUAAACUAAAUUGCUAUGAUCUCACUUCAUAAUAAUUUAUUUUCAAUCUCCAUCAUGGUAGAAAAAUUUCAUCAAUCAACAUACCCUACCACCACCCAAUAGUCGACCAUUUAUCAUCUUCUAUCCGUAAAAAACCGAAAAAAAAAAAGAAAAGGAAAAAUUUAGUCCACAAAAGAAUAUAUCGCAAGACCAAACAGAGAGAGAAAAUAGAAAAAGCAAAGAGCUGUACUGAAUACCGGCGGUGAUGGCUCCGUACUUGACCAUUUAGGUUUGAUUCUGCAUUCACAUAAUAUUUUUUCUACACUGCAGUCACAUCACAACCAUUGAAUAGUCGUGAUCUAUUUUUCUAAAGCGAAUAAUAUUAUCUUCUCGUGUCGGUGGCUUGAUCAUAUAACAAAAUAGACUAAUAAUGUUUCAAUAGACAUUUUGGUAAAUGGAAGAAGUUAUGAUCUGUCCAUUUUUAUGUUACUUUAUUUUAAUUUGUUAAUUACUAUUAAUAUCUUUGAGUGGGAUAGAAUCUUGACCUAAGAUAUGACUAGGCUCCACAUGUUAUAUAUUAAUUUGAUUAAGCCUAGCUAAUUGUUAAUUAUUAAUUUGAUUGCGGCUUUUUAUUUUACCCACAUUUUUUAUGCGUGAAAUCUUUCUUAGUGAAAAACUACACGUAUUUGCAAAUAUUCGGAAUGGACAUUUUCGAAAAAACAAGUAAAAGAAAAUGACUAAAAAGUAAAAGAAAAUAGACACCCAAUUGUAAUUGCGAGGACAAUAGAAGGAAUGCAACAAACAGCUCUCUCCUUACACUCUUAUAGAGAGUUAUAGUCCAUGAUCUCAUUGAGAGAACUAGCCAAGUGGGCAAUCGCUCCACCUGAUCACAAUUCUUCAUCUUAUAAUAAUAUCUUGAGUCGGCCUUCAAUUUUUUUUUUCAAUUUUUAUCUUUAAAAGGUAGAAGAAGUGAAAAAGUUAAAUAAUAUUUUUGUCCUCCUAUAUAACAUUUUUUGAAAAUCACUCGAUCUUAAAACUUAAUUAAGAAAAUAUUAUAGAUUUUUAAGUUAGUGGCCCUUAAAAUUUAUUUGCAAGUAACAAUUAGAGAAAAGUCGUCAUGCCCAAAUGACUUACUAAAAGUCUGCAACUCGUCAUGACCAAAAUUCUUCCGAGUGUGAAAUACGGCAUGCGCAGAUGCAUUAAAAACAAAGGCCAGCUAUGAUAAUCUUUGUAUACUUGCCUUCCCUAUCAUCUUAUUAAUAAUUUCAGACGCGUCGUUCGUUGCCUGUGAAUUUUCAUAUGCAAAAGCACAGUCAGUGUUACUUGCAUUCCCUGUCACCUUAUUAAUAAUUUCAGACACAUCGUUGGUUGCCUGUGAUUUUCAUAUGCAAAAGCACAGUCAGAAUUACAAUUUACAUUUGGAAUUGAGUGCCAUCUAUUUAUUCUAGCUGGAUCUAAAAUGAUAUUGCAGUAUUGCACUGACUUUUCAGUCACAGCGUUUCUCUAUGAAUUCCUUAAAGUUUAGACCCAUCAUGGAAUAAUUAUUUUCUUAAAGACCAAAUUAACAUAAUUCUUAAAUCAUCUUCCGAGUGUCAAAUACGGCAUGCGCAGAUGCAUUAAAAACAAAGGCCAGCUAUGAUAUUCUCUGCAUACUUGCAUUCCCUGUCACCUUUAUUAAUAAUUUCAGACACGUCGUUGGUUGCCUGUGAUUUUCAGACACAUCGUUGGUUGUCAGAAUUACAAUUUACACUGAUUUUUUAGUCACAGCGUUUCUCUAUGAAUUCCUUAAAGUUUAGACCCAUCAUGGAAUAAUUAUUUUCUUAAAGACCAAAUUAACAUAAUUCUUAAAUCAUUUAUAAAACAACAUUUAUCAUAUAACAGAUCGUACAUGAAUAAAUUUACCUUGAACCGUAGCAAACAAACAAGAAUCUCAACCACAUCAAUAUCAUAAUCCCUUCUGACCUUAACAAUAAUUUUAUUCGUCCUUAAUUCAUAGGUAUAAGUAUCCCAAUAUAUACUUGAUGUCAACCUUUACAAUUCUUUACAGAAUUGCAGCAGACCAAAUUUGUAUGCAAAACUGAAAUCAUACAGUAAUUGAAUACAGUGAUAGUAAUUAGUAUAUAUAAAUAUCUUAAUAAUUUAAAAGUUUCUUAAACUGCUUUUACAUAUCUGAAAAAUUAUAGAAAUCGGAACUGCUGCAGAAAUCAUAAUUUCCCAGCGAAUGUGUUACAACUUCAGAAACUCAUAAGAAAUUAAAUUCUUGGGAUCACAAAAUAAUUCAAUAGAAAGCUUAAGAUGUCUAGUUCAUAAAAUCUGAAUUUUUUUUUAAAAAAUAAGAUCUUUGGAAUUUAAGAGAUUCAGCAGUACUUUUAUUACAUCAAUUCUUCAAACAAUCACCAAUCUAACAUUCAUCAAAAUUAAGUCAUAAAAAUCAUGUGGUUUAUAAAAAGAAUUACCUGAAAAAGAUUAGCCUUCCCCUUUCAAAAGCAACGUGAAACUCCAAAAACUCUUCUUCCAUUGCCUAUUCAAACAUGAAAAAAAAAAUUAGUAUAUCUUCUUUAAACGCGUGAUGAGUGUGCUCUGUUUUCUCUGUUCUUCUUCUUCUUUUUUAGAUUUCGAAAACGUAAAGAGUGUUGGAGUCUUUAUUUUCUAAAAACAAGACUUUUCCAUGUAUUCAGUUAAAUUAAAUUAUGUCCUAAUGCUAUGUCAGUUCCAUCAUUAGCAUUUUUUUUUUUGGCUUUUAACACCAACAUUAGCGUAUGUUAAGUAUCAUAAUCCAUAGUUGGACAAUUUGAAAUCUCUUCGUGGUUUAUCUCAAAGUAGAGCUUCAAUCAAUUUGUACCUCAUAAAUUUACAAUAUCUAUGAGGGCUAAUAAGACCAAACUCUGGCAUAUUGUCAAAUGUGCUUAUACUUUCGCUUGACAAGUCAUUUUAAAAUUGUCUUUCAAUGCCAAAAAAACCACAUCAACUAAUGGUCCACUACUUUAAUUUGAAAGCAUGCAUGCGAUCGCCAAUAAUCAAGGAUGUUAGGGUCAUGCUACAGAGUAUAGAAUAUGAUUUUAUGGUAUAGCCUUCUUUCUUUAUAAUUUUUAAAUUUAAUACUGUUACUUAUGUAGCACAUAAGUUGGAAAACAUAACAUAAAAUUUGAAAAAUGUAUAGUUUUCGUUCCCUUUUUUCCCCUCUAAAAAUGGGAAAAAAGAACGUAAUUUUGAUUUAUUUAAAUUACUGUUGUGAUAACAAUUUUUAUUUUAUUGAUUAUUUACCCAUUCAUGUGGCAAAUUUUUUAAGAUAAGGUGAAGGAUGAAGCUCAAAAACAUAAAUUAUAUAAUUAAUUACCCUCUCUAGUAAGUUUAAAGUUUAUUAUUUUGAACUACAUGUUUAUAAUUUAUUUUUAUUAUGUGUUAAUAUAUAGAUCUAAAUUCACUUUGGAACCAUAUACAUAUUUAGACCUAAUGUGCAUGUUAAUCUAUAGAUCUAAAUUUACUUCUAAAUUCACUUUAGAUCUAUAUGAGUAUUUAGACAUAACGUAUUGCAACCAUAUUGGCAUGUUCUCACUAUAGUAUUGGUGUAUUGACAUUAUAUCUAAUUGUCCCUAUAAAUCCAAAAAUAAUCUAGAUAUACAAAUUAACAUAAAAUAAAGAUAAUUGGUAGAAAAUGCAAAUUAUAAACAUAUAAUUGAAAACGAUAAAUUUAAAUUUACUUAAGAAAGUAAUUAAUCACUUAUUUCUUUUUUAUAAUAUGACAAAUAUUAUAAUAAAUAUUAAUUAAUAAUAAUUAGAAUAACAAACUAAAGAUAUUUUAGUAACUUAAAAUAAUUCAUUUUGAUUUCGAGACAAAAUAAACACAUCAAUCGCAAUACAACUCAUUCUGAUUCCACUCAUUCAGAUUUCAACAUAUUUUAAUUAAUUCAAGUGCUCUCCAUUAUAAUUGAAGCCGCUGCCCCAUCCCACUCGUGAUUCCAAACUUUAUCUUUUUCCUUUUUUAAAUUAAUGCAAGCAGCCGCUGUCCUUUUUGUUAAUUAAUUAAUUAAUUCGGCCGCCCACAUUUCUUUUCCUAAUGUCUUCGGCUUUCGAUUUUCUUUUAUUUUCUUUUUAUUCUUAAAAUAGACUUAUAAUAAUAAAAUAUAAAAAUAUAAAAAAAAUUAACAUAAUCAAAAUAUAAUUUAACAGAAAAUUAAGAUAAAAAUGUGAAAAUAAUAUAUAAAUUAUGAGCGUAUCAAUCAAUAAAUGAAAAAUAAUAAUUUUUAUUUUUAUUAAAUAUAUAUUUUUCAAUAUUAAUCAGUUAUCUAAAUAACUAAAAUCAGUUAAAAAUAAAUAAAUAAAUUAUUCUUAAAAAAAAAAAACUUUUUAUACCACUCACUAUGCUGGCUGUCAAGGGUAGAAGCUUUGGGGACUGAAGUUGGUAACUUCUACAAGUAGUCUUAAGUUGACUGGCAACAACUAUAUUGGCAUUUGGACAUAAUGUUCUGCAACCAUAUUGGCAUGUUCAAUUGUUCUCACUAUUGUGUUGGUGUGUCGAUAUUAUCUCUAACUGCCCUAUAGAUCCAAAAAUAAUCUAAAUUUAUAAUUUAACAUAAAAUAAAAUAAUUGGUAGAAAACAAUUAUGGUUCAUUUACUUAUCAGUAAUUAGAAUAGACUGAAAUCAGAAUGAGUUGUACUGCCGUUAAUGUGUUUAUGUUGUCCUUGAAUCGGAAUGAAUUAUUUUAAUUUACUAAAAUACCCUUGGUUUGUUAUUCUAAUUAUUAUUAUUUAACAUUUAUUAUAAUAUUUGUCGUAUUAUUAAAAAGAAUUAAUAAUGAUGAUAAUAUUAUCAUUAUUGUUUGUUAUAUUAUUAUUAUUAUUUAAAAAGUUAUUGUUAAUAACAAUAAUAACUUUAUUUCAAUAAUAAAAAUGAUAAAAUUAAUAAUAACAAUCAUGACAACAACAAUAAUUAUUUAUUAUGCCAAAAAUAACAAUAAUAAUAAGAAUAAUAAUCAUCAUCAUUUCAAAAAAAAAUCAUCAUCAUCAUCAUUUUUGUAGUGGCUGCCUAUCGGCUGUUGCUUUCAUGCGAGAUUAACUUGCGACGCUUCAACUGCUAUUAUUUCUGGCAAUGUCAGGUGUUGUUGUUUCAAUGGGGGGAGAAGCUGUUUCGGUGCACUAACGAUGGGAGGUGUUGUGGCUGCGAUUCGAGGAGCUACUGGUUCAGUGCACUAAUGACGGCAGGUGUUGCUGCUCAAUGCAAGGUCCAUGGCCAGUUGUCUUGUUUUACACCCAGCUCUUGUAGGAAAUUCUUUAUCAAAAAUAUUUUUUUUGUAACCUUCAAUAAUUGUAAUAUCAUUUGCUUCCGUGGUAGAAAGGACAACUCAUUACUAAGUCUAGAUUGUGAUGAGACUGCUCUCCCUACAAAAGUGAGCAAAUAUCAUUGUAGGGAUUUUUCAGAAUCAACAUCUCCUGUCAUAUCUACACACUUGUAACACAAGUUUGUCACCACCAAAAUAUAAACAUAUUCUGGAAAUGCCUAUAAGAUAUCUGAGAAUUCAUUUCACUGUUGUCCAGUGCUCUUUGCCGAGAUUGAAGAGAAACCGACUGACUACACUGACUGCAUAGGCAAUAGCUGGUCUUGCACAAAUCAUGGUGUACACCAAACUGCCAAUUGCCUAAGCAUAAGGAACUCCUCUCACUGAGAAAUGGGUUUUGCUCUUGAGAUUUUUGGGAACAUGAAGAAUAAAGAUGUAAUUUCUUGGACUACCAUUGUGUUGGGGUAUAUAAAUAGAAGACAAGUCGAUAUAGCUCGACAGUAUUUUGCUCAGAUGCCAGAACGAGAUUAUGUCUUAUGGACUGCCAUGAUUGAUGGGUACCUUCGAGUGAAUAGGUAUAGAGAGGCUUUGACACUUUUCCGGGAGAUGCAAACUUCAAAUAUAAGGCGAGACGAGUUUACCAUUGUUAGGAUUCUUACAGCUUGUGCGAAUCUGGGGGCACUAGAACUGGGAGAAUGGAUAAAGACUUACACUGACAAAAACAAGGUCAAGAAUGAUAUAUUUGUGGGGAAUGCUUUGAUAGACAUGUACUGUAAAUGCGGAGAUGUUGAGAAAGCUCAAAGGGUAUUCAGGAAGAUGCUUCGAAAGGACAAAUUCACAUGGACGGCCAUGAUUGUUGGCCUUGCCAUCAGUGGCCAUGGUGAUAAAGCUCUUGAUAUGUUUUCCCAAAUGCUUAGGGCUUCGAUCAGACCAGAUGAGGUAACUUAUGUUGGUGUUCUGUCUGCCUGUACUCACAAUGGUAACGAAAAUUUUGUGAUAAACAGUUGCAACUUAAGGUGAGAAUUGGAGGAAACGAAAUAGACUGAAGUUGUUCAAUCAUCGGUGGUUGCUAUUUGAUUUUAAGUUGUUCAAUCAUCGGUCGUCUCUAUUUGGUUUUCUCCAAUAUCUCAUCUCCAGUUUUGACUCAGAUUCUGUCUUACCACUAGUAAUUACAUAGACUUGUUGCCAAAGGUAAGAAUGGGAAUAAAUUAAAUAGAUUAUGUCGAUAACGAAAUAGAUUUACUAUUGCUAUGUGCAUUCUAUUUGGUUCCUGCAAAAUAUUUUCUCCUGCCUAAAAUUUUUUGAAUCAGUAAGUUUUUACCUUAUGCAAGAAUUGUGCUAAGAGUAAUUCCAGUCUCUCUAUGUUUCAAUGAAGACGUAAAACUUGUGUUUUAGAGCACCAAUGUUAUGCUUCUUACAAUUGGAUUUUAAUUUACUUCGUAGAACUUUUGUCAAAAAGUACUAAGAGUGUAUUUGAAAUUGAUGUACUGUAUCUUUUAAGCUACAGCUGCUGUGGAAAAAAAAACUGUAACUAUGAAAUAAAAGUUAAUAAUAUAUAGUAAAUAUAAAUUUUAAAUAAUAAUUUUGAUAAAAUUAUUAAAGAUAUAAUAGUUUUUUUAUUAUACAAGUGAAAAAUUAUAUAAACAUAGUUUUCAAGUUACAGCAGCUAGUGUUUAUCAAACACUUUAGUACUGUAUCUUUUAAGUUACAGUUGCCCGAGUUCAAUCUCAAACGCAACUUAACGAGUAGUGCACCAAACACCAACUUUAUUACAGAGAGGACUUUGGUUAAACUUUAAGAAAAACACUCAAAGGAAGAGUUAUAAAUUAUUAUAGAAAUAUUUGACAUAAAUAAAAGCCAUUCCACAAUGCGAAGAUCUUGCUAUCAUCACCAGAAACCAUCGGGAGCUUUCAGGGUUUCCAUGAAAACGCCAUUUCAUUCCAAGAGUCAAUGGUGGGUAGAAAGUGGUGCAAACGAUACUCAUUGUUAAUGCUAUAAGUUUUUGCUAAAUUAUGUCUUACCCAAAAUGAUGAUUUAAUUUCCAUUCUCAAUUAAUUUUCAAAUUUCAACACUUUUCUUUGUAGCAUGACAUUGGAAAGAUCUUGUACUACUAAAAGCUAGCACCACACGUUAAUUAUUGUUAAGUUCUUUUUCAACGUGAAAUAAAGGAAGUAGUCCUUCGUUAAAACCAUUAUAGCCAAAUUUCAUGUAAUUGGACACUUACAGACUUUCAUUUCAAGCUGGAAUUUGGUCCAACGUUUCAAAGUUGACCCAACUAAUUGUCUGGUCAAGUCCUACACAGCUAAGACCCUCAAUGAAUGAGGGUGAGACUGCUAAAAAUUACGACAGUUGAUAUUAUUAUUAUUUUGGGAUAAAUCCUCACCAAGGUGAGUGAGGAGAUUUUAUCAAAAUAAAAAUAAAAAUAUAACAAGAAAACUAGCUAAAUUAAAAUAUUACAAAAGCUAGAUGAAAUGAAAGGCAGCCUAAAAACAACCUUAUGCAAAAGAGAAGCAACAUGCUAGUAUUCCAAGCUUCUUGUUAUAAAAGUGUAGAAUGAAGUAGGUGAUGUAGUUUUAAAUUACACCUCCAUGCCCAAUCACAAUAUCAAAUAAUGCUUAAAGUAGUUAUAUUAACUCUUAAAUUUAUAAAUAAUUAAAUUUUUAAAAGUUUGGAUUUAUAUUAAAAAAUUUCUAUAUAAAUAAAUAAUCUAUGCAUUUUUACAACAUAGUCUUUAAAUUUAAACUUUUCUAGAAAAAUCUUCUGGAUAUCUUUUCUAUUAAAAAAGAGAUUCUCAAAAUUUAUAAAAGUAACUUAAAGUUUUGUCUUCCCUUUUCUUUUAGCUUAUACAUAUGUGUGUGUAUUCUUUUAUAGCAAUAACUAACGUUAUUUAUUUUUAAAUCAUAAAAAAAUUAUGAAAAAAAAAUGUACCAAAUUUAAUUGGACCCAGCACAAUGCACAUGCAUAGAACACAUUCUGAAAAGCCAUGCUAUUCGGAAAUUGACGAAUGGAAAGUGAAGAGGCAGCAGUCAAUGCUAUUUCGGCUUGGCCCAAAAUUUCACCAGUUUGUUAAUCAGUGUUCUGCAGCUCUUGCUGCUUUCCUAGAGAUUCUACAUCUUUUGCAAUCUGAUAGAUUUAAAAAAAAAAAAAAAAUUAGUGGCCAUUUGGAAUGGAGGAGAGAUUUGUGUGAAUGGUAUAGGUGAAAAAUUGGAUGAAAAUAAACAGGCAACCGUCCGUAUAAAACAACAAUAACAAUAUACAAAAAGAUAAGUAAUUCACGAAAGGAAAUUUACGGUUGUUUCUGGAAAACAUACAUAUUAAUUUCACUUAUACUCUAAGAUUUGCCAUCAUGACUGGACUUGUGAGGAAUUUGGAAACAUGUAUGCUGUAGAAAUGCUGAAGUAGCUUGAACCCGAUAAAAAUUGAUUGGUAGAAUUGUUAAAAAGUCUAAAUUUUUAGUUCAAACCUAUUGCAUAUUUAAGAAAAUCUCAAAUGAAUUGCUUAUUGCUAUCGUCAUCAUCAUUGCCCAUAUAAUUAUUAUUAUUAUUAUUAUUAUGUCUUUAUAAUUAUUAGUAUCGCUGUUAUUAUUUUUAUGGGUAAAUGGUUUUUCUAUCCUGGCAAUUUAAGCCAAUUACCUAACUAAUCCACGUAAUUUUAAAAAUGUUUCAAAAGAUCUUUAUUUUAUAUAUGUUUCCACUACAAUUUAUUUAAUGAUUCUUUAUUUUUCAAUUAUUGCAUGUUCGAUAUUUUUGAGUUCUAAGCUAUAUCAAUAGAAAUGUUAUCUUAUCCAUAAAAAGUUAGAUCCAGCAAUUAUGAAAAUUACUAUAGAGCUGCUUUGAAUAAUUUUAAAAAAAUACCACAAGCAAAUAAUAAUUAGUUUAAAUAGUGGAGACUAAAAAGCAUUCACCCUUAUUCUUUAUCUGUUAUUUGUUUUUUUUUUUUUCCGUUAAUGCACAUAUUAUACAUUUUAAACAUUCCGUUAAUUGCCAAUUAUGCAAGCGAGAUAGUAAUUUAAAUUUUUUUAUUUUAAAAAAAAGUGAAAAUUAAUCCUAUGCAAUGUGAAUAAAUUUCUUUCCUUUUUCCUUCUCUCUUUUUAUUUGAUAAUUAAGUUUCAACCUAUGUACCCAAAAUUUCUGCAACAGGUAAAAAAACAUAAAAAUAUAUGAUUGUUAAUGUAAACACGCGGAAGUUCAUCAUUUCAAUGUUCAGUAUUUCCAAUUUUGGCAUACGAAUAUAUUCCACUUAGAAAGCCAAAUAUUAGAAUUGUGAUUUUAAUUCAUUCAUCAUAUCUCAUUUCAAUCCCAAAAUAUUCAAGAGGAUCCAAGUUACCAUAAGACUUCAGAGGCUCGAGCCUUAGCCAGAGACGGUUAAUUGAUAGACUAUGUGCCCGGGUCGAGCACUGGAAGCCUGCAAUGCAGACUGAUUGAUUUAUCAGUUUGAUGUGUGCCAGGAAUGAAGAACUGGAAUAUCACCGUCAAGCAAGCACCCAGUGAAGCAAUACCAUAGAAUGCACAAUCCGGCCUUGCUAGGUGACACUGGAGGCUUUUUGAAAAGUGCUUCACGCUUACUUGCACAGAUUGAGCAUACCCUCUGGAUAUUGCCCUCUCUGAUCCAGUCUGAGCACUCAAAUUUCGGUCCUCAGAUGGAGCUACAGCUUUCUCUCCAAUAACCAACAAUUUUCUAAACUCAGCACCUAGUGUGAUCAGAGUUGUUGAUAUUUGUAAAUGGAGAUCCCCAUAUUUGAAAAUGGAGACAUUUAACAAAUCACCAACAUGCUUCAUCCGGUCUACGAAAUUCUGCAGCUGAUUCAAAUCCGGAACCUGAACCAGAGUCGGAGGUAAAUCUUGAGCCAUAUCUAAAGCAGUUUGAAGUUCAAGUACUUGAGCCCUUGACAGUGGUUUUGAAAUUGGAACAUCUUGAAUUACUGCAGACCUGUACCCUUUGGUUUCAAAGGUAAGGAAAGGCAUUGCUUGAGUACAAUUUGGAGGCAGCUUCUUCACCAAUUUUAUUUGGAGGCGAUUGGCAGCGGAUCCAGCUGCACCAAUUUCAGAGCAAAUACUGACACUACUUCAAACAGCACGCUGAAGAAGCGCUAUGUCUAUGGCAAAGGCAAUGCAGUCCUCAUUUUGGCUUGAGAUGCGGUAAUCAUCGAAGAGAGUUUCCUUAUGAAACUGGGCAACACAUUGAAUCCCUUCACCACUGAGAAGGUUGUGGAGGAAGUACGCUUUCUCUCUAGUGAGGAAGAGGUGGCAUACCUUCCCCAUUUUGUCUAGGGCAGUUAGGAAUCUUUUUUCUAAGAGAUUUACUCCAUUCUCUGUGAGAAAUGCUUUGAACUUCAUCCCUCUGUCUCUAUCCUCACUUAUCAGUAAAACAGUUGAAAGUGAUACAAGGAGAGAAAAGGAGAGUACUAAGAUAUAUAGACAAGAAAAACAUUAGGUGUCGAUCUUACAUGUUAAUACUUCAAACAGUAUCCUAGAAAGCUAAAAACUGCAGAAUGGCUUGAAAUUUGAAAAGAACACAUGCUUUUCCUCCUUAACUUGAGAAAAUGUUUGACAUAGCGCGCCUUACAGAAGCAAGCAAUUAGAACUUUGCACAAAAACAUUCAAGAAGACCAAUAUUUCAACUAUUUUACUGAUGAAAAUCUCAAAGCACAAAUGGCAUUGCAUUUUGUCCUCAACUGUAAUAUUUAUUGAUGAAAAUCAGUACAGGUCCCUCAUUUGUUAUGGAAAGCUUUCUUGUAGUCUGACCGGUUAAUUCACGGGUCUAUAAUCAUCUUGCAAAGUUACGGACAUUUCUUUCGAUUUAAAGUCUUUGCAUCACCACCUCAUCACACACCAAACCAAUAUUCUGUCUACCUCUACAACAAAAAGUUUUAAGUAAACGAUCCUAAUGCACGCAGCCAAAUAAAAUGCAGUAAGAAUAUUCAACUUAAAAAUCUGAAAGUAUCUUGGUGAAUUGCCUUCUUAGGGGAAGUUCCAUGAUUUACUAUACUAGACAGAACUGAGCAAAAGCUUCCAUACGACAGAUUUUGACAAUAAUGAUGCCAACAGAUCCUCAUUAACUCCAUUAAAACUCCUAAGGUUCAUUGUUCAUGGAUGUUUACAGAGUUUUGGCCAUCAAAUAGCUCAGACCACAAUCCCAAAGAAAAGACGAGUGAAAGUUAGAUAACGAGCAGCUAAUUGUAAAUUCUAACUUAACUCUUCAUCUCCUUUGUAAAAAGGAAACAAAAUGGAGACGCGUAAAUUCUAACUUAACUCAAAUAAAAUGAGGGCACGAAAGCAAACAAAUGGCAUGCACAAACAAACCAAGCAUCAAUCAAAAACUAAUUAACCAUUAAAAAAAAUAAAAAUUGGUCAGAGAAUGAACUCCAAAUUCGGGAGUGAAGCAAGAAGCUUUCACUAUUUCAGAAGCUCCUGUACAAAUUAAUAAGUUAUGCUCUUUGGAGACAAUCCUAAAUUCCAAGAGAAACAGAGCUCAAAAAAAUUUUGCAAUUAUGCGCAAAGGAAGUGAAGCACAGCAUUCUACCACACACAGGAAUUGUAUAACAUGAGAUCGAUAUAUCGAAUUGGAAGAACUCAAUUCUAAUUUGUGUCAAAAAUCAAAAUUAGAAGAUUGCAUAUUUCGAGAGGAACAAGCAACAGGUGAGGUUCAAAAUUUCAGCCAUAACAUGCUAAAAUUGCUACAUUUAACGGUUUAUUUUCAUGGAUUUUCUCGGGAAACAAACAGAAAAUUACGGUUUAGAGAGUUGACUGACCUUUUGGCUUUUAGAAUUGAGAAGAUCGCGCACUGCAUUAGUCCAUAGUAUAAUUAUAGACAGUUUUGAGUCAAAGUGUAGUUUCAGUGAACAGUAUUACUGUAGCAAAAUUCAAAAAUAACGGUAAUAUUACUGUUCCUGAGCGGCUAGCCGGAUAAUCAAGCGGCUAACCGCUUGAGCACGGGAUUUUGCCUAUAACGACUAGUUUUUGGGCUUCCACUAUAAAAACUCAACUCAAACUUCUUUCUAAGGACUAAUGCACGCAAAUAUAAGAUCAUACAACAUAUAUUGAGCUUCCAAAACGUAAAUCAUAAUUGAUUGAAUCAUUGUUGAGCUAUUAGUUGCAUAUCCACUCUUAAAGAGAGUUUUUGUUGUAAUUUUCAUUUCUUAUCAAAUUGUGAGUGUGUAAGUGUGGGAAACACUUGGGGUAAAGAGAUUAGGGAGAUAAUCUCUUGGUUGUAAAGGUUCAUUGACACCUUGGAAGGCAAUUGUAAAAACUUGAAGCCUUGGGAGGCUUGGAUAGUGAAAUCCUCGAGCUCGGUUGGCUUGGAGGCGUGGACGUAGGCGGGGAUUGCCGAACCAGAUAAAUAUCCGCGUGUUUGCUUUUCUCUUCCGUAACUCUUUUAUUUUUAUGCUUGCUUGAAUUUAUUGUUCUCCAUUUCAUUAAGGCGUUAGAUUGAUUUUAUUGUGCGAAUUGUAUUGCAUUAAUUUUAAAAAUCCAAUUCACCCCCCUCUUGGGUUGCGUUACUUAUAUUUCAUUUGGUAUCAGAGAUUGGUUCUCUUGUUAGGACUUAACCGUCUAGAGUAAAAGAUCUAUGGCAAUCCAAAUUGAUUCAACCUUUAGGGAAGGACAAUCCACAACUAGGCCACCGUUCUUUGACGGAAAUGACUACCCAUAUUGGAAAACUAGGAUGAGAAUUUAUUUACAAGCAUUAGAUUAUGAAAUUUGGGAAGUUGUAUGUGAUGGUCCUUUUAUGCCUUUGACUAAAAACGAAAUUGGGGAAGACAUUCCAAAACCUUCACGGGAAUGGAAUGAAUUGGAAAAGAGAAAAGCUUCUCUAAAUUCCAAAGCCAUAAAUGCCUUGUUUUGUGCACUCGAUAAGAAAGAGUUUCAUAGAGUGUCUAGUUGUGAAAGUGCUAAUGAAAUUUGGCACAACUUGAAGUUGUUUAUGAAGGCACGAAUCAAGUGAAAGAGUCUAAAAUUAGUAGGUACACUCGGCAAUAUGAAUUGUUCCAAAUGGAACAAAAUAAGAGUGUGUAUUCUAUGUAUACUAGAUUUACGGACAUAGUAAACACUCUAGGAGCCCUAGGAAAGACGUUUUCAAAUAGCGAGAAAGUUGAGAAAAUCAUUAGGUCAUUACCUAAGGAAUGGAGACCAAAAAGGACUGCCAUUGAGGAAGCUAAAGAUUUGAAUAUCUUACCUACUGAUGAUUUAAUUGGUUCUCUUAUUUCUUAUGAGAGAGAUUUGGCAGCUGAAUGAGGAAAUGAGGAAAGAAAGAAAAACAUUGCUCUCAAGGUCACCAAACAUGAGAGUGAUGAGGAAAGUGAGCCGGAUGAUGAGGAGUUGGCUAUGCUAGCAAGGAGGUUCAGAAAAUUUUUCAAGAAAACUGGUGACCAAAGAAAAUUCAGAAAUUUCAAAAACCAAAAGGAGAAGAAAGAGGUAAUCAUAUGCUAUGAAUGCAAGAAGCCUGGCCAUAUAAGAUCGGAAUGCCCACUUAUCAACAAACUCAAGAAGAAAGCUAUGGUUGCUACUUGGGAUGAUAGCGAUGAAGAUUCAAGUGAUGAAGAUGAGUCACAAGAAGUAUCAAACCUAGCAUUUAUGGCACUAGGAGAUGAUGAUGAUCUCAAUGAGGUAAGUGAUCCAACCUAUGAUGAAUUGUAUGAUGCUUUUAAAGAAAUGCAUGAUGAGUUGAUGAAAAUUGGUAAAAAGAAUGCAUGCCUUAAAAAGAAAUUGCUAGAAUCUACAAAUGAAAAGGAUACCAUGCAAAAAUGCAAUGAGCCAUUGAAUGAGAAGACUAAAGGAUUAGAAUUAGAGAAUAAAACCUUGCAUAAUAGAGUUGCAUUAUUAAAUGAAAAAUCUAGCACUUCACAUGAGCAUUUAGAGUCACAUGUACAUGAUUUGAAAAAGGAAAAUGAAAUGCUCAAGAAAAAGAAUAUUGAACUUAGUAAUGUUGUUCUAAAAUUUACAAAUGGACAAAAGAUGUUGGAUAACAUGCUUAACUCCCAAAAAUGUGUUUUUGAUAAAAGAGGACUUGGGUAUAAGCCUAACUUGAAGUAAAAGUAUUAUAAGAAUUAUUUUGUUAAAGCUACCUCCACAAAUGAUCAUAAGAUUGUUUGCGAUUAUUGCAAUCAAAAUGGUCACAUGAAAUAUAGAUGUCUUGUAAAAAGGAAUGCAUAUAAUGGUGUCAAAUGUGUGUGGGUUCCAAAAGGAACCGUUGCUAACGAUCAAGGGCCUAAAAAGGUUUGGGUACCUAAAACAUAAGAUUUUCUUUGAAGGGCUUGAAGAAAAAGAAAAAUAAAUGGUACUUGGAUAGCGGAUGUUCUAGGCAUAUGACCGGAAACUAUGCAUGGUUCUCAAGUUUUACCAAAAUCGAAAAUGGUGGAGAUGUAUCUUUUGGAGAUAACUCAAAAGGAAAAAUUCUCGGAAUUGGAAAUGUUGGUAAAAUUUCUUCAACUCUAAUUGAAAAUGUAUGUUUGGUUGAAAAUUUGAAACACAAUCUGAUUAACAUUAGUCAACUAUGUGACAAAGGCUAUAAAGUUAUUUUUGAUAAAUCAAGAUAUGUUAUUGAGAAUGCAUGUGAUGGGAAAAUUUUGUUUAUGGGAAAUAGAUGUGGCAAUGUUUACACGAUUGAUAUAGAGUGUGCAUCUACUCAUGAUAAAUGUUUUUCGGCAUUGCAUGAUGAUUGAUGGGUGUCGAAGCCAACAAAAAUAAAUUCCUACUCUAAAUAAAUUGUGUAUAGUGAUUGAGCAGGGUCGUGUCCACAGAGAUCGGUAAUUAAUUAAAUCCUUUUGAAACGUAAAACGUAAAAUGGGGGAAUUGUUGACAAUAAUAAAAAUCAAAUUAAAAUAACAAGAAUACAAAUUAAAGUUGUAAUUCAAAUUAGAGAAAGCUCUGGUUGAAGGAAUUAACUCAGCUUGAUUCGACUACUGAUCAUUGAUUCAAAUAUAGAUUAUUAUUACUCAUGAAUAGACCGGUUAUAGCUACUGAGACCCUCUAAUAGCCAAUCUCUCCUUAACUAGUCGAUAACCAAGGUACGACCGUUGGUUAUUUCCCUAAUCAAUAGACAACCCUAGAUACGAUCAUAGAAUUUAAUCAAUUGACAGCCUGAAAAACCAGAGAGACCCAAAUCCUAAUCAACACAUAUGAUGAUUCAUUUAAAUUAGAUUGUUUAUUCUCACAACACAACUCUCUGCUAUGUUAUUUGUCACAAGCAUUAAAUUCUUUAUACGAUGAAUCCUUUAAUUGACAAUAGAUUAAGUUGAUAAUUAAAUAGUGGCCAAUUACCUAAUUAACAAACAUAAUCAUGAAAAUAAUUCAGAGAAUAAACAAAUACCCAAAAAGUAAUAAAACAAUUAAAGUAUAAGAAAGAUCUCACAGUAGUGAUGAAUCAAAGCUUCAUUAUCCUUCAACCAGAAAAAUAGGUUUAGUUCUUCAUAAAGAGAAGAGAAAAAUUAAGUCUAGGGUUUCUUUCUUUCUCCAAUCCCCCAAAAAAUCCCCAUUUUCCACAAUAGAUUCCUCCCUUAAAUACUCUCUCUCUCUUCUCUUUUAGAAUUCUAUUUAAAAUAAAAUCCUAAUAUCUGAAAUAUUAAAUUCGUAAUUACAAAUAUAGCCAAAAAUAUAAAACACGUUAAACUAAAAACUGCAGGUCCGCAGUUGACAGCACGCGCCCACGCCUUAUCAACAAAGUUCUUCUGCCGCUCAUAAUUUCUCCAAGGGAACAAUCAUCCCUAAACAUCAUCUUGUAGCUCAAUUUUAUCACCAAUCAAUAGAAUUGCACCUACAAAAGUAAAUCACAAGUAAAUCACUAUUAUUAAGUGCAAAACAUCGAUAUUAAGAGAAGUAAACAAUGCAAAACUAGUGCAUAAAUUGCACUCUAACAAUGAUGGUUGGUUAUGGCAUAGAAGACUAGGACAUGCUAGCAUGGAUUUAAUUUCAAAAAUUUCGAAAAAUUAUUUAGUUAAAGGUCUUCCAAAAAUUGGUUUUCAAAAGGAUAGAAUUUGUGAAGCAUGUCAAUUUGGAAAACAAAUCAAAACCUCUUUCAAAAACAAGAAUCAUAUCUCUACUUUAAAACCUCUUCAAUUACUUCACAUAGAUUUGUUUGGACCCUCUAGAUAUGCUAGUUUAAGUGGCAAAUUUUAUGCAUUUGUAAUUGUAGAUGAUUAUUCUAGAUACACAUGGGUAUUAUUCUUAGUUAAUAAGGAUGAUGACAUUGAUGCAUUUAAAAUUUUCUGUAAAAAGGUUCAAAAUGAAAAGGGUUAUUAUAUUACUUGUAUUAGAAGUGAUCAUGGUGGAGAGUUUGAAAAUCAUGCAUUUGAAAAUUUUUGUAAUGAUUUUGGCAUUGAGCAUCAAUUUUCAUCACCUAGGACUCCACAACAAAAUGGAGUUGUUGAGAGAAAGGAUAUGUCUAUUCAAGAAAUGGCUAGGACCAUGUUAAAUAAAAAUGCAUUACCGAAAUAUUUUUGGGCCGAAGCCGUCAACACCGCUUGUUAUGUUUUAAAUCGGGUGUUGAUUAGACCUUAUCUCAAUAAAACUCUCUAUGAGCUUUGGAAAGAUAGAAAAUCCAACAUUGGUUAUUUCAAAGUUUUUGGAUGCAAAUGUUUUGUUUUAAACACAAAAAAUAAUCUUGGUAAAUUUGAUCCAAAAUCUGAUGUUGGCAUCUUUCUCGGGUAUUCAAACUCAAGCAAAGCUUAUAGAGUUUAUAAUAAAAGAACUUUAGUUGUGGAAGAAUCCAUGCAUAUUACGUUUGAUGAAUCUAACCCCUCCUCUGCUGAGAAAGGAGUUGUUAAUGAUGAUACAAAUGGAGAGUUACAAGAAGAAUCAUCAAAAGAGAAUCAAGAGAAUGCACCAUAAGAAAAUCAAGAGGAUAGACAAGAAGAACAAACAAAUAUGGAGCUGGAGCAACAGGAAGGUAGUUCUCAAACACUCCCCAAGGAGUGGAGGUAUGUUUCCUCUCAUUCUAAGGAUUUAAUUGUAGGUGAUCCUUUAAAAGGUAUCACAACUAGAUCGUCACUUAGAAACACAUGUGAGCAUGCUGCAUUUAUUUCUCAAAUUGAACCAAAAUCUUUUGCGGAUGCGGAAAAUGAUAAGUUUUGGAUUAUGGUAAUGCAAGAAGAGUUAAAUCAAUUUGAGAGAAAUAAAGUAUAGGAAUUGGUUCCUAAACUGGAACAUCAAUCCAUUAUAGGCACUAAAUGGGUAUUUAGAAAUAAAAUGGAUGAAUUCGGUAUGGUUGUAAGAAAUAAAGCUAGAUUAGUGGCUCAAGGAUACAACCAAGAAGAAGGAAUUGAUUUCGAUGAAACAUUUGCACCUGUAGCUAGAUUAGAAUCCAUUAGGAUGUUGUUAGCAUUUGCAUGUCAUAAAGAUUUUAUUUUGUUUCAAAUGGAUAUCAAGAGUGCUUUCCUAAAUAGUUAUAUUAUGGAGGAAGUUUAUGUGAAACAACCUCCUGGUUUCGAAAAUGAGAAAUUUUCAAAUCAUGUGUAUAAGUUAUCAAAAGCAUUGUAUGGAUUAAAACAAGCACCUAGAGCAUGGUAUGAUAGACUUAAAAAUUUCUUGUUGGAUAACGAUUUUUUGAUGGGAAGAGCGGAUACUACCCUCUUUAUUAAAAAUAAAAAUCAAAAUAUAUUUGUUGUUCAAAUUUAUGUUGAUGAUAUUAUUUUUGUUCUACUAAUGAAUCUUUGUGCAAAGAAUUUUCCUCUUGUAUGAGUAAGGAAUUUGAGAUGAGCAUGAUGGGAGAAUUGAAGUAUUUUCUUGGACUUCAAAUCAAACAAAACAAUGAGGGGAUUUUCAUCAACCAAGCUAAGUACGUCAAAGACUUGCUCAAGAGAUUUGGUAUUGAUGAAUCAAAUACCAAGAAUACUCCAAUGAGUACAACAAUCAAGCUUGAUAAAGAUGAGAGAGGUAAAGAGGUUGAUAUUAAAAAGUAUCGAGGUAUGAUCGGAUCCUUACUUUACUUAACUGCAAGUAGACCCGAUAUCAUGUUUAGUGUAUGUUUGUGUGCAAGAUUUCAAUCAUGUCCCAAGGAAUCUCAUUUGCUUGUUGUUAAAAGAAUUUUUCGUUAUUUAAGUGGAACCAUAGAUAUUGGCCUUUGGUAUCCUAGAGGAACUCAUAUAGAUUUAACUUGUUAUUUAGAUGCCGAUUUUAAUGGUCACAAGGUCGAUAGAAAGAGUACUAGUGAAACUUGCCAUUUUCUUGGUCAUUCACUUGUUUCAUGGUUUAGUAAGAAACAAAAUUUUGUGGCACUCUCAACUACUGAGGCGGAAUAUAUUGCCGCAGGAAGUUGUUGUGCACAAGCACUUUGGAUGAAACAAACACUUAGAGACUAUGGUAUUGUUCUUGAAAAAAUUCCUAUCAAGUGUGAUAAUACUAGCACCAUAAAUCUUUCAAAGAAUCCCAUUCAGCAUUCUAGGACCAAGCAUAUAGAGAUUAGGCAUCAUUUCUUGAGAGAUCAUGUUCAAAAAGAUGAUAUUGCAUUAUAAUUUAUCUCUACGGAAAAACAACUUGCCGAUAUUUUUACAAAACCCCUUUGCGAAGAACAAUUUUCAAAAAUUCAGCAUGAACUUGAGAUGAUGAAAUUUUCGCAUUAACAUCUCUAGUUAUGUUAUUUAAUCUAUUAAAAUUGUUUGGAAAACAAAGGAUUCGUUGAAAAUCCCAAGUCUGCACAAGCUGUAAUGAAUUGGUCAUAACUCCUUCUAGAGAACUCCAAAUCCAGCUCUAUAAAAUUUAUUGGAAAGCUAACUUAAUUAUCUUUCCAACGGUAUAUAGUUUGCACAUUACUUCUGGCUCAAUCAAUACAGUUUUUAUUCCGAAUUUGACAUUUCUGCAUUUUAUUAAGUUUUGAAUGCUUAUAUGCUUCAUGAUUGUAUGCUUGUUGGAUGGAUUAUUUGUUUGAAUUAACUAUCUUUUGGAUGUUUAAAAUCAUGAAUCAUGCAUUAAAUUGGCUCUUGAGAUGUUUCGGGAUCACAAACUGGUCACGAAAUUAAUUAAAAUUGGCCGAAAAUUAACUAAGGUACAGCUGGACAACAACCAGGAGGCUAGCCGCUUGGAAAUGUCCCCCCAACCCGAGAGCAAGCGGCUAGCCGCUUGGUCACGGGUGUGGCAAUUGUUUUUUGCUUCUUCUUCUUCCUUUGUUAAUUUUCUGCACAUGCUUUCUCUCUCACUCAAAACCGUGAGCAACCCAUCCAUUUUCACCUCCAUUUUCUUCCUUUUUCAUCUAUUUUCAUGCCCAAAUCAACCAUUCAAACUAAUACCCAUGCAUUUCAUCUUCAUUAAACACUUCUCCAUCAUGAUUUCUUCAUUUGUUUUUCAUCAUUUCAUCAUCAUCUCUCACGCGUGAACAGUACCUCUCCAUUUCUCUCUCAAAAUUCUUCAUUUUUCACUCACUUUCUUGUUAAAAUCAAUCAUCCAAAUCAUUAUUCAUCCAUUACUCCUUCAAUUUUCGUUCUCAAAACUUCAUUUCAUCAACUCUCCACAUAAAACCCAAAAUCAAAAAACCUAACUCUACCCUUUCUCUCUCUACAUUUUCAAGCUUCCUUUAGCCCAUUUUUGAUCCAAUCUACAUCAUAUAUUAGCUUCAUUCAUCUCUAGGAUCAAUUUUCUUGGCUCAAACAAAUCCAUUUCACUCAAUUUUUGUAAACCCGAAAUUGCAUAUUUAAGCUCUUUUUAGUCCACUUUUGAUCCAAUCAACACCAUCCAUUAUCUUAAAUCAUCUCUUGGAUCAAUAUAAUUGGUUUAAAAUCAUCUAUUUCACUCAUUAUUUUACAAAAUUAAAUUUGUGCAUUUUGGGUAUAUGCACCUACAUUUUCAUAUGCAUAAUUGUUUUAAUUGUGGAUUACGGAUGAUGGUUGUUUAAUAUUAAGAUAAUUUAUAUUUGGAUGAUAUUUUCUGAAUUCUUAGAAUGAAUAUGACUCUUUAGUUAAUUGCACGCUUAAUUUUUAUAUGCUUCUUGAUUAAUCAUUGAGAUAUUCUUUUUGGUAUAAACAUGGAUUUAUAGUACUUUUGAUGAUUGAUGAUUAUAUGUGUGUUGCUUGAUGAAUUAAUGGAGUUGUUGGUUUGUGUUACUUGUUUAAGUUCAUAUGGAAGUGUUUUUAAUCACAUUGUGUAUUUGAGGAUUUGUUCAUUUUUAAGGGGAGACUCUGCCGAAAUUUUUACUCGCACACAAUUGGUAAUAUCUUCCUUGAAUCAUUUUUUAUGAUCUUGCUUCAAAUUGCAUUUUUCUAUUUUUUAUGAAAUGGGAGAUAAAUAUGAUAUGUUUUUGGAUAAUAUUAUUUUGGUUAAAUUUUUUAAUUGGCCAUAUAUUUAGGGGGAGCAUACAAUAUGAUUUUGGAUAAUACGCAUUUUGAGCAUUCUUUUGAUGGCAUAAUGGUUCAUGAUCAUUUAAUGGUUAAUUGGAUGUUUGGUUAUUAUAUGUUUCUUGAUUAACCAUUGACAUAUUAUCGAUCUUCGGAUGAAUUUCUAGUAAUUUUGAUGAUGAAGGGGGAGAAGUCAUGUAUUUUGAAUAUGAAGACAUGUAAUACAUAUUUUUGUAUUUCAAGUAUUUAUGCAUGUUUUUGAAAUAUUAAGGGGGAGCUUUCAAAUUAUCAUAAAUCAAAUAUUCAGGGGAAGUUUUUGAUUUAUAUAUGCCAUGUAUUAAGGGGGAGUUUAAUGUCAAAAUAAAUGAGAUGUUUGUCAUCAUCAAAAAGGGGGAGAUUGUUAGCCUAAAGGGCUAUACAUAAUGUAAUUUUGAUGAUAACAAAUAUAUGUAUUAAGUGAUUUAAUAAAUAUUGUAUUUCACAUUUUCACUAGUUUUUUAAGGAUAAUAUUUAUGCAAGUGAAUCAAAUGAAAUCAAGAUUGAAGACACUCAACGGACAACGGCGACAUCAAGAAUAGUCUAGAGCUCAACGAACAAAUUAGUGCGAUAAAUUCUUAUAAAGCCGGUAUGAUUUAAUUGAUGCAUGAUUUAGCAUUUGAGAAGCUCAAGAGAUUAAUUAAUUAAAUAUUUUUCAUAAACUAAAAUGUUUUAUUUUUAAAAAGUAAAGUAUUUUGUGGAUUUGAGUAAAUUGGACUUAAAUGUUAAGAUUUAUAAUCUUUGAGUUUAAUAAAUAUUAUUUUGAAAUUCAAAUUUGGACUUAUUUGCAAAGGUUUGAAACGUUUUGAGGCAUAUUAUAAUUUAUGAAAGUUUGAGGACCCGAAUGUAAUCUAGACACUUGAAAUCCAAAGUUGGACAGAGAGGAAGCGGCUAACCCCCUGAGCGCUAGCGGCUAGCCGCCUGAGGGAAAUCUCAUAUUUUCAAUUUUUGGACUAAAGUGAAAGAUUUUGAUAACUUUAAAAAAUAUGGGUAUUAUGCUAAAUUUAAAAAGGACCUCUUUGAAAAAUAAUAAUAUCUUUGGGGCUAUAUCAUAAUUUUAGAAAGUUUUGGAAAGAUAACUAAUCUUAAGUAAUUCUAAAAUUAGAUCUAUUUGCAAACUUUUCUGACGUUUUGGGUCAUAAUAUAAUUAUAGAAAGUUUUAGGUCAAAGUGUAGUUUCAGUGAACAGUAUUACUGUAGCAAAAUUCAAAAAUAACGGUGAUAUUACUGUUCCUGAGCGGCUAGCCGGAUAAUCAAGCGGCUAACCGCUUGAGCACGGGAUUUUGCCUAUAACGACUAGUUUUUGGGCUUUCACUAUAAAAACUCAACUCAAACUUCUUUCUAAGGACUAAUGCACGCAAAUAUAAGAUUAUACAACAUAUAUUGAGCUUCCAAAACGCAAAUCAUAAUUGAUUGAAUCAUUGUUGAGAUAUUAGUUGCAUAUCCACUCUUAAAGAGAGUUUUUGUUGUAAUUUUCAUUUCUUAUCAAAUUGUGACUGUGUAAGUGUGGAAAACACUUAGGGUGAAGAGAUUAUGGAGAUAAUGUCUUGGUUGUAAAGGUUCAUUGACACCUUGAAAGUCAAUUGUAAAAACUUGAAGCCUUGGGAGGCUUGGAUAGUGAAAUUCUCGAGCUCGAUUGGCUUGGAGGCGUGGACGUAGGCAGGGAUUGUCGAACCACGUAAAAAUCCGCGUGUUUGUUUUUCUGGUCCCUAACUCUUUUAUUUUUACGCUUGCUUGAAUUUAUUGUUCUCCAUUUCAUUAAGGCGUUAGAUUGAUUUUAUUGUGCGAAUUGUAUUGCAUUAAUUUUAAAAACCCAAUUCAUCCCCCUCUUGGGUUGCGUUACUUGUAUUUCAAAAAGUGCGUGUGAAGUGUAAAAUUAGGGUUGGUCUUUUGGCUUUAUGUGUUAUGCUUAAAAUUACAAUAUUAGUUUUCAUAUUUUAAAAAGUUUCCAAAUUAAUUUAAGGAUAAAAAAGUAAUUUAAUUAAACAAAUUUUAAAUGAAUCGACCUAUAUUUGAUUCGUUUAUAACUCGUUUAUUAAAUGAAUUUUAAACAAAUAAAUGAAUCAAAAUCUUCUAACCUGCAAUUUGUUUAAUUAGCGAAUCGAAUCGAAUCGAAUUCAUCCAUUUAUUAAAUUAAUUAAUUUUUUCAAACUUAAAUUUAUUUAAUUCACAUCUAAUCGAAUUAAAUAAAUAAAUCCUUACCCAUAUUAGUACCCGUAAACGGAUCAUUAAUGUUACCGGUCUUUCCUAUAUUUUAUUGCAAAUUGAUGCUAACAAGAAAAAGCUAGAUCAUAUUCCACAAAAGCAAAAGUGAUAAAACAACCAGCUGGAUUCUUUUAUUAAACUACAAAUUAAAAUGGACUUUUUUUUAAUAAACUAUAUAUGAAACUGGAAUCUUUUGAAUAUACGUGGGGUAGGUUCCCUUUCAAAAAAAAAAGCGGGGUAGGCUCUUUUAUUAAAGACAAGUCACAAGACGAUUAGGGUCUUUUAUUAAACUACAAAUUGUAUAAUAUUUUUCAAAUUGUACAGACAUUUAUAAAUUGGUGGUCCCUUGGAAAUUUAAUGCCAAUCAGAGAAAAGUCAUCAUGCACAAUCUUCAAUAAUUGUUUCGAUAUUUAUAAAUUGGUAGCCCUGCGUCUUUAAUAAAUGAAAUCAUGUUACGAUUGCAUAUAGUCGUUAGAUGCACUUAAAUUAGUGAGAUUUAUUAAUAUCUAAUAAUUAGAUAUAAUUAUAACCCAAUACAAUAGUUACACCAAAGUUUCCCCCAAUAAUUAUUCGGAUACUUAUAAAUUGGUGACCCCUUAGUAAUUUUACAGCAGCUUGCAAGUGCCAACUAGUGAAAAGUCAUCAUUCACAAUCUUCCAAGUGAAACAGGGGAUAUACAAAGAUUAAGACAUGUCAUUUUUUUUUUCAUUCCGUUUCAUGUAACUUACACCCAAAUAUAUAAAUAAUAUAAAAUGAAUGGAGAGAUGCCGGAGCAGAUCGGCAGGGUUUGAAUAUGACCUUUGGCGCUUGCUUUUUUUUGUGAUUUUUUUUUUCAUUUUUUCCUUCCUGUCAUUUUAUCAUUUCUUUGGCUUUGUCUCUGUUGCGGGUGUUACUGCAUGCUAACUGUUGCUUGACAAAGUUUGCUAGCUUUUCCUUUUGUUUAUUAAUUUUUUUAUGGUCACAAAGUAUUACUCGUUCUAUUUGACAGUGAUGUGAAUCAAUUUUUCAAUUUUAUAUUUUGUGGUCAAUGUGAAUUCAAUUUCAGUUGUCUCCUGCAAUUAUGAAAAAAUUGCAGUCAUAAUAUGGAAAAGUACGCGGGCAAAAAUUUUGUAAAAGCUUCGGAGUGAUACGGGGAAUUCACUUACUACUAAGGACAAUUGGUGGCAAGCUAUUCCAUUCAUUUUAUGUCCAUCCAUCUAUUUAGUUAUUGAAGACUAGUGGUCUAUUUAUAAAUUUCAGAUUGUUUCUCUCUCUCUCUCGAAAUAACAAUAUUUAAAAUAGAGUAAUGAUACAGCUACAAACUCUUGUACAAACUUAUUUUGUACAAACUGACGUGACAUUAAUUCAUUGGUUGAAUGAAAAUAUAAAUUAAUAAAAACAAAUCAUGUGGGACAAGUGAUAUUUAAUUCAACCAAUCUUAUCAUGUCAUAUCAGUUUGUACAAAAUAAGUUUGUAUAAGAGUUUGUGGCAGUAUCAUUACUCUUUAAAAUAUCUCUUAAAUUAUUAUAAAUUUUAAUUUACUCUCGAUUUAAAAUGGAGCAUGUCAAUAAAUUUUUUUUCUUCUUAAUAAAAUUGACGUAAGUUGUGUUUACAGUAGUUUGAAGUUUGAAAUAUUUUAAAGAUUAUUAUUCUAUAAGGGAGUAAUAUGAAAUGAAAUUUACUUUUCAUGUGUGAAAUGAAAAAGGACGAAGCAAGUGUCCCUGCUUUUAUUUUAUUUCAAGGAGGAGUCAUCUCACAGACUUUAGCUCUUAACAUUACAUUUUUUCUGGUUACAUUUUUAUUUUUUAUUUAUUUUUACACAUGCGUGUGGGUUGCUUUUCUGUAAGCUCCUUAAUAUAUAUUUAAGACAAAUUAUGGAAGAGAUGGGAUUAUAUCAAGAUGAUCAAACCAUGUAAAAAAAGAAAAAAGAAAAAAAAUUAAGAAGUAAGACACUGAAAAUGGAGAAGAGAUGGAAUCAAAAGAUAUUCCAAAACAAAGCAAUCUGUCCCCUUUCCAGGGCAGACUUAUCAGGUUUAAAAAAGUACAUGCUUUGGAUUGGUAGUUGCAAUCAAUUGAAAAUAAAUAGGAUCCAAUGAAAUUUAAAUUUCGGAGAAAUAAAAUAAUCAUGCAGAUUUUUAAGAUUUUAAUAAGAGAUACUAAUAUCUUAUUUUGAUUAAUAAUAUUCUUUCACUGUGUUAACUCAAAAAAAUAUAUUUUAAAGUUUUACAGUAAAUAAAAAUAUAAUAUUAAAAUAAAUGUGACAAAUAUAUAUAUAUAUAUAUAUAUAUAUAUAUAUAUAUUAAAUAAUUUCAAUAAAAAAACAUUUUAAUGUUUUACAAUCUACUACACAUAUUUUAUUAAGUUAAUAUAAUUUUUCAAAUAAAUAGGGACAUAAUAUUAAAAUAAAUUUAUAAAAAUUUAAAUUAUUUUGAAUUUAAAAUAAUUUUAAUAUUAUUAAUAUUUUAUAUAUGUUUUAUUAAUUAUAAGAAUUAUUUAACCCAAAGUUUUUUUAUAAAUAUUUUCAGUGGAUAUAAAUAUAUUAUUUAUACUUUGAUUAUUUAACCAUUAUUAGUCUACAAUUAUUUAUAAUUAUAUUUUCAUUUAUUAGAAUACAGUUAAAGUCAAAUCUUUUGCACUUUUACCUAGCUAGAAUUAUUGCACACAGAGAAAUAAACAUAUAUUCUUUAUAACUUUAGAAAUCGGUUUUUUUUAUAGCUGGGAACAGAGAUGAUGAUUAUUAUAAGGAUGGAGAAAAGGAUAAAAAAUAUCAAUGAUUAACAAAGUCUCUGUGCAAAUUGAUUUUAGCAGUAAAAUAGUGAGCUGAAUGAUGUACGCGAUUAGUGGUAAUAGAAAUCUUCUCAUAAAUCUCCUUUUUGAGUUAUAGUUAUUUUAUUUCCGAAAUAUCCUUUUUCUUCUUUAAUACACUUCUAAUUUUUCAUUUAAUUUUUUUAUUGUUAAACUCAAAAUAUUAUUGUGAUAUUUUUCGUGUCUUUUGCAAUCUUAUUAUUACUCUACACACGAAUUAAAAAAAUUUUUUAGGUGAUGAACUUUUGAAUGUUAAUCUUGGCUUAAAUUUCACAUAUUUUACAUUAUAAUAUAAAAUUAAUUACAAAAAUAUUUAAUCAAUAAAAAUUAUAAAAAAUAAAUUAUUUUAAAUUUAUACAAUUUAUUUUAAUUAGAUAAGCAGUAACAACUACAAAAAGGAUUUGGUUAUGAAAUUUGUUGCAGCUUAAUAUUCCACAAAAGCAAAUCGUAAUAUUCCACAAAGGAGUACGAUCCACAAAAGCAAACAACCAGCUGGAUUUUUUUAUUAAGCUACAAAUUAAAGUGGAAUCGUUUAUUAAACAACAAAUUAAAGUUUGAAUAUUUAAGUAGUAGUGCGUUAGAUGNNNNNNNNNNNNNNNNNNNNNNNNNNNNNNNNNNNNNNNNNNNNNNNNNNNNNNNNNNNNNNNNNNNNNNNNNNNNNNNNNNNNNNNNNNNNNNNNNNNNCUUGUAGCUAAUUUGUCAAUAAUAUUAAACUACAAGUGCUGACAACAAGUGCGAUGCUCUUUUUCUAAAGAGAAUUAAAGUUGGUCCCGAAUAGGACGUGCCUAAAUCUGUUUAAAUUUUUUCCAGUAAAACUAACAGAGGUCAUUACUAGAAUUAUUUAUAUUGUUUUAUAUUUAUUAACAAAUUUUAAAGUCAAUCUUUUUAAUUAUUAUUCAAAAGAUAUUAUAAUUAAAAAAUAGUGUCUACUAUUAAAAAUUUAGAAAUUUACAUUACCGUUCUCUUAAAUCUCUAAAUAUUUAAGAUGUAAUUGUUAUUUUCCUUUUAUAUAUAUUAGGAAAUAGAACCGCGCUUCGCGCGGUUUGAGAAAAAAAAAUUAGUAUUAUUAUUUUUUCUCACUUUGCAUUUGAUGAAAUUGAUAAAAAAUUAUGAAUUAUUUUUUUUAAGAUGAGACAGCCUCAUAAAACUAAUGUCAUUUAUGAAAUAAUUAUUUUUUUUGUUAACUUUUAAAAUAUAUAUUAAUAUGUAUAGUGUAAGUGUACAUACCUUAUACCUUUUGUAGUUGUUGAUAAGUUCCAAGUUAUACUCAACUUGCUAAUCUGUUAGAACUUUUAUAUAUCUUUUUUUUUCUAACUAGUUCCAACGAUCUCAAUAUCACCCACACUACAUAAACUUCUGACAACGUCUGUAAUAUUAUGAAAAAAUAAUAUAAAUAUGUUAAAACAUAAGGAUCAAUAAUUUCUAAUAUACACUUAAAGAUUAACGAACAUUAAUAAUUUAAAAAUAAUAUCUGAGAGGAUUGUAUUAUCAUUCACACGUAUAUCAAUCAAAUUCAGAGAUAUGAAUUGAAAUCUAUUAAUCGAAAUCUUAACAGUUCCUUCUUCUAAACUCUUAAGUGAAGUUAUAAGCAAGAAAAUUAAUUUUAUACUGAUUUGAAAGUAGUCUGUACUCGCCUGUAGUUGAAACAACUUUCAAAUUCUUGACACUAUACAAAGAACCAUCACUCAACAUGUGCCUAAACCUUGUCACUAAAUUUUUCUUAGUUGUUGCAUGCAUUAGAAUGUCCUAUAAAAAAGAAAAACAUGCUACAUUAAGCGUAAAACAAUUGGGAAAAAAAAGAGAAAAUAAGGGGAGAAUGAAUUUUUUAUACAACCUUUUCAUCAAUAAAAAUUAUGUUCACACUAAUCAAUUAUCCAUUCUUUUUAGUAUUAACAGACUCCCACAUCCUAAAAAACAUAAUCCUUAUCAUCUAACUAUCUUUAUCAUUGUUCAACUCAUGAAGAAAAUAGUACUUCAUGAAGCACACAAUACAAAAACUUUAAAAAGUCAAAAAUAAAAUCAUGAGGAUAUUUUUAAAGAGGAUAUUGGUUAAAUAUUUAAAAAAAACUCAAACAUAACAAAUAUUAAAUACUUAAUGUUUAAAGAGUUUUAAGAAGUCAAAAGACACAAAACAAAAUGUUGAAUAAUUAAAUAUGAGAUUAUUGCAUUAAAAUUAUACUCUAAUGCCAUUGGUGAGAGAAGAUGAAGGAACCUUCCUUCAUUUAAUAAUUAGUUUAUGUAUUUUAAGCCACUAAAGUUUAGUUGUUGGCUUAAUAAAAUAAAUGAAUGUUUCAAGACUUAUAAUUAAUUAUUAUUAAUGGUUACAUAUUGUUGAAUUUAAUAGAAAGAUGAAGAGACAUGUAAUCUUUUGCAAUCUAAUAAUUAUUUUCUAUUUUUAAUACUUUGUAAUGUAAUUAUUUUUUAAUUGCAACCAAUUUAUUAAAUAAUAGAGAAUAUAAGAAGAUGAGAAAUGGUGAUGCCACAUCACCUCCUGUAGUCCCAGCUUUAUAUAUAUACUAGGAAAUAGAACCGCGCUUCGCGCGACUUAAAAAAAAUUAAUAUAAUUUUUUUCUUACUUUGCACUUGAUGAAACUGAUAAAAAUUAUGAAUUAAUUUUUUUAAAGAUGACACAACUUUAUAAAACUAAUAUUAUUUAUGAAAGUUCAUUUUUUUGUUAACUUUAAAAAUAUAUAUUAAUGUGUACACAAUAUUUUCAUCAAUAAAAAUUAUGUUCACAAUAAUCAAUUCUCCAUUCUUCUUGAUAUUAACAGACUCCCAUAUCCUAAAAUCUAACCUUUAUCAUCCAAUUAUCUUUAUCAUUGUUCAACCCAAGAAAAUAGUACUCUAUGAAGCACACAAUACUAAAAUUUUAAAAAGUCAAAAAAUAAAAACACAAGAACAUUUCUAAAGAGGAUGUUAGUUAAAUAAUAAAAAAAACUCAAACAUAAUAAAUCUUAAAUACUUAAUGUUUAUAGAGUUUAAAGAAGCCAAAAGACACUAAACAAAAGGUUGCAUAAUUAAAUAUGAGAUUAUGACAUUACAAUUAGGCCCUAAUGACAUUGUUGAGGGAAAAUGAAGGAACUUUCCUUUCUAUAUUAAUUAAUUGAUGUAUUUAAAACACUAAAGUUUAAUUAUUGGCAUAAUAAAAUAAAUGAAUGUUUCAAGACUUAUAAUUAAUUAUUAUUAAUGGUUACAUAUUAUUGAAUUUAAAUAAACAGAGGAAAGGACAUGUAAUCUUUUGUAAUCUAAUAAUUAUUUUUUAUUUUUAAAAUUUUGUAAUGUAAUUAUUUUUUUAAUCUCAACCAAUUUAUUAGAUAAUAGAGAAUACAAGAAGAUGAAAAAUAGUAAUGUCACAUCACCUCUUCUAGUUAAUUAAUUGAUGCAUUUAAGCUACUAAAGUUUAGUUGUUGGCUUAGUAAAAUAAAUGUAUGUUUCAAAACUUAUAAUUAAUUAUCAUUAAUGGUCACAUAUUGUUGAAUUUAAAUAGAAAGAGGAAGAGACAUGUAAUCUUUUGUAAUCUAAUAAUUAUUUUCUAUUUAUUUUUUAUUUUUAAUAUUUUGUAAUGUAAUUAUUUUUUAAUCUCAACCAAUAUAUUAGAUAAUAAAGAAUAUAAAAAUAUGAGAAAUAAUGAUGCCACAAAUCUUAAUUACUUAAUAUUUAUAGAGUUUGAAGAAGGCAAAAGACACUAAACAAAAUGUUGCAUAAUUAAAUAUGAGAUUAUGAUAUUAAAAUUAGGCCCUAAUGGUAUUGUUGAGGGAAGAUGAAGGAACCUUCCUUCCUAUAUUAAUUAAUUGAUUUAUUUAAGCCACUAAAGUUUAAUUGUUGGCAUAAUAAAAUAAAUGAAUGUUUCAAGACUUAUAAUUAACUAUUAUUAAUUGUUACAUAUUAUUGAAUUUAAAUAGAAAGAGGAAGAGAUAUGUAAUCUUUUGUAAUCUAAUAAUUAUUUUUAUUUUUAAAAUUUUGCAAUAUAAUUAUUUUUUUAAUAUCAACCAAUUUAUUAGAUAAUAGAGAAUGCAAGAAGAUGAAAAAUAGUGAUAUCAUAUCAUCUCAUCUAGUCCUAACUUUAUUAUCUAUGUAAGAAAAUAAAAAAAUAGUAAUGGCACAGCACCUCCCCUAGUCUCAUCUUUAUAUAUAUAUAUAUAUAGAUAUAUAAAAACCACGGUGGUGAAACUUUAUUUAAUAUUAUUGAUUUAAAUAACAAUAUCUCAAUUAAAAAUGAACAGAGAAGAAAUUUCGGUGGGUAUAUUAGUCUUUUACAAUUAUCAUGAUUAGCCCUUCCUCUUGUAACGUUGGUCAGAAAAGUUUUCUUUUACUUUUAACGUUAGCGGCCUUCCUUAUAUUUUAUUACAAAUUAAUCCUAACAAGAAAAAGCGAGAUCAUAUUCCACAAAAGCAUAAGUGACAAAACAACCAGUUGGAUUCUUUUAUUAAACUACAAUUUAAAAUGGUUUUAAAGUGGAUUCUUUUGAAUACAGGUGGGGUAGACGAUUAGGCUUUUUCAAAUUCUUGUUUUAUUAUUUUUCAAAAACUAGUUUUUGGUAAUUACAAUCGGGUCAUUAAUCAUUAUUCAGUGUUAGUUUUAUCUUCGGGGGCAGUGGGUAAAAGGCUAAAUGAUAAUUACUACCUGUUUUUCCUUCAAAAGUUAGUGGCUCGUGUUUUGCAAGUGUGAACGUGCGAUGCUCUUUGUCUAAGGGCAAUUACAGUGGGUCCCGAAUCGGACGUGCCUAAAUCUUUUAAAAAAUUUUCCGGUAUAACGGACAUAGGCCAUUACUAAAAUUUCUCUUCCACAGGCAAUUACAGCAGCUCGAGUUUAUCAAACUCAACCAAUUUUCUUUCUUAACAAAAUCCAAAGAUGUGUAGCAUUUUUCAGAUCACAUGCGAUGGUGCUUUUUUCAAUCGUUGCUUGGAUUGCUUUCUUGGAAAAGCAGCGUACAUAAGCAACCUCCAAGAUAAUCUUGUAGCCUUGGAGACUAAAAUGGGAAAUCUGAUCGCAGCAAAGAACGAAGUGAUUAUGAGGGUUGUCGCUACUGAACGGCAACAAUUGAGAAGGCUGGACCGAGUGCAAGUGUGGGUUUCCAGGGUGGAAGCUGUUAAAAUUGAAGCUGAUGAACUUAUCAGAGACGGCUCUCAAGAAAUUGACAAAUUAUGUGUUGGAGGCUACUGUUCUACGAACUGCACGUCAAGCUACAAGUUCGGGAAACAAGUGGCUAAAAAGCUACGAGAUGUGGAGACUUUAAUCGCCGAAGGAGUUUUUGAGGUGGUGGCUGACAGAGCUCCAGAGUCUGUAGCAGAUGAAAGACCUACUGAGCGAACACUAGUAGGCUUGCAAUCACAACUUGAACAAGUCUGGAGAUGUCUUAUAGAAGAAUCAGCGGGAAUCAUUGGCCUAUAUGGUAUGGGCGGUGUUGGUAAAACUACACUAUUGAUCCAUAUCAACAAUAAAUUUCUCGAGAGUCGAACCAACUUUGAUUUUGUGAUUUGGGUAGUAGUUUCAAAAGACCCGCGACUCGAAAAAAUUCAAGAAGAUAUUGGGAAAAGGAUAGGUUUGGUUGAUGAUUCAUGGAAGAGUAAAAGUGUAGAGGAGAAAGCUCUCGACAUCUUCCGGAGUUUAAGAGAGAAGAGAAUUGUAUUGUUGUUAGAUGAUAUAUGGGAGCGGCUUGAUUUAACAAAAGUGGGCGUUCCACUUCCCGGACCAAAAAAUACUACCUCAAAAGUCGUAUUCACAACCCGUUUCUUCGAUGUUUGUGGUAGCAUGGAAGCUCACAGGACGUUCGAAGUGGCAUGCUUAUCAGAAAAGGAUGCUUGGGAACUGUUUCAAGAAAAAGUAGGAGAAGAAACUCUUAAGAGUGAUCAUGAUAUCGCUGAGCUAGCCCAAACCGUGGCCAAGAAGUGUGGUGGUUUGCCGCUCGCACUUGUUACUAUUGGUCGAGCUAUGGCCAGCAAAAAGACAGCCGAGGAGUGGAGACAUGCAAUUGAAGAGUUAGGAAGAUCAGCUUCAGAGUUUCCAGGUUUGGGAAAAGAGGUGUAUCCUGUUUUAAAAUUCAGUUAUGAUAGUUUGCCGAAUGAGACGAUUAGAUCUUGUUUCUUAUAUUGUUGUUUAUAUCCUGAAGAUUAUGGCAUUCUUAAAUGGGACUUGAUUGAUUGUUGGAUUGGUGAGGGAUUCUUAGAGGAAUCUAACAGGUUUGGUGCAGAAAACCGAGGAUACUACAUUGUGGGCACUCUUGUUCAUACGUGUUUACUAGAAGAGAUAGAAGAUGAUAAAGUAAAAAUGCAUGACGUUGUUCGUGAUAUGGCUCUAUGGAUAGCUUGUGAAACUGAGAAGGAGAAGAUAAACUUUUUGGUUUGUGCAGGUGCUGGAUUAAAGGAGGCACCGGAUGUUAAAGGAUGGGAAAAUGUGAGAAGAUUGUCAUUGAUGCAAAACCAAAUUAAAGUUCUGUCAGAGGUUCCUACAUGCCCUCAUCUCCUCACUUUAUUUCUUGACUUUAAUAGAGAGUUAAUGAUGAUCGCGGGUGGCUACUUCCAAUUUAUGCCUUCUCUCAAAGUUUUGAAGAUAUCAAACAUUGGGUAUUUCAACGUUUUGAAAUUACCUUUGGGGAUGUCAAAGUUGGGUUCACUAGAACUUCUCGAUAUUUCACAUAGCAGCAUAGAGGAGUUACCAGAAGAGUUAAAGUUGUUGGUAAAUCUGAAAUGUCUGAAUUUGAGGUGGACAGAUGUGUUAAAUAAAAUUCCACGGCAACUAAUAUCAAAUCUUUCAAGGGUACGUGUGUUGAGAAUGUUCGCUACUGGCUAUGAUCGUUUUCAUGAAGCAUCAGAAGACAGCGUUUUAUUUGGUGGGGGUGAAGUUUUGAUACAGGAAUUGCUCGGUUUGAAAUAUUUAGAGGUAUUGGAGUUGACCUUGGGAAGUUAUCAUGCUCUCCAAAUUCUUUUGAGCUCAAAUAAGUUAAAAAGUUGUAUUCGAUCUCUUCUCCUCUUCGGGUUCAGAGGUACAAAGUAUUUUAUUGAUGCUACGGCUUUCGCAGAUCUAAAGCACCUCAAUGAAUUACAGAUUCAUGAUUGUAGGGGGUUGGAAGAGUUGAAGAUUGAUUACACAGAGAUAGCACAAAAAAGGCGGGAACCUUUUGUUUUCCGCAGCCUUCGUCGUGUUACUAUGGUUUCGUGCCAUAAAUUGAAAGAUUUGACAUUCCUCGUUUUUGCUCCAAACCUCAAGUCUAUUUCGCUAGGCGAUUGCGAUGCUUUGGAAGAAAUAAUCAGCGUUGGAAAAUUUGCUGAGGUUCCUGAGAUGAUGGGACAUCUAAGCCCUUUCGAAAAUCUCCAAAAUCUUGACCUAUCGUAUUUGCUGGCUUUGAAGAGCAUCUACUGGAAGCCAUUGCCUUUCACUUAUCUGAAAGAAAUGGUGGUAAAUGGGUGUGAUCAACUUAAAAAGCUUCCACUCGAUUCCAGCUGUGCAGAAGAGCGUAAAUUUGUUAUUCGCGGAGAAGCACACUGGUGGAACUGCCUUGAAUGGGAGGAUGAAGCCACUCAAAUUGCUUUUCGUUCCUGUUUCCAGCCUUAUUCCUGAGUGGUGGUUGCAAAAUUUGAUUUCUGGUGUGGUCUUUUAUUCUCUGUUUUUAUUUAAGUUUCUUUUCCUUUCCUUUUCCUUUUUUUUUUUAAUUUCUCCUGCAAAUCACAAUUAAACAUUGAAUUAUAUGGAAUUAAUGCUUUAUAAAUUUGCCGGCACUGCCUUUUUUUUUUUUUGUCGGAGUGAUACUCUAGCUUUUGACUUUUGGUUGUCAAAUUCUGCUCUGCCUUUUUAAAUUGAUGCUUUAUUUAUAUUUUCUUAGUGAUUUAGUUUCCUGUCAAAAGACGAACGAGAAGAACAUUUGAAUUAAAUAAAUGCUCGCAAAUUUGCGGUAAAAAGAUGUAAUUAGCCGAGAAAAUAUUAAAUAUAGUAGCCCUCUUUACAGAAAAUCAAGUGGAAGUUAAUUCAGCAAGUUAUAUUCUUGAUUAAUUCCUUUUCUGAAGUUUUUAUUUUCUAUGGUCAAUUAUACCUUCAUACUAAAAAUUGCUGCUAUUGGGUGUUGAGUGUUAUGCUAAAAUUUUGCCCUAUUUUGGGCCAAUAUUUUAGAAGUGAAACAUACUUCAGAGUUGAAGUAAACUUUGAAAAUAGAGAUAAUGAUUAAUUUAGAAGAGAUGCAAGUAAAAGAUAUUCUAAAAAAAAAAAAGCAAUAUGUCCCUUUGGAGGGCAAACUUGUCAGUUUGAAAAAGUUACAUGCUUUGGAUUGAUAGUUGCAGGAUAUUUGUUUUGUCACUGUGUAUUAGGUGCGUUUGGAAUUGAAGUGUUGUAGUUUUUAAGUUAUAAUUGUUGUAAAAAAAAAUUGUAACUAUAAAACAAAAGUUAAUAAUAUAUAAUAAAUUUAAAUUUAAAUAAUAAUUUUAAUAAAAUUAUUAAAGAUAUAAUAGAUUAUUUAUUAUACAAGUGAAAAUUAUAUCAACAUAUCUUUCAAGUUACAAUAGUUAUUGAUUACUAAACACUUUACUGUUGUAACUUUUAAGUUAUAGCUAUUUAACCUCAAUUCCAAACGCAUCGGAGAAGUCACGCCUAGUGAAGAAUGUUAUGAAAGAGCAAAGGAUAUUCCUAAUCGAGCUCUAUUUGAUUAUGUAUCCAGUGAAUGGAUGUGUUGUUGGAAGAUAUUUGAGUGCAUUAGUUCAUUUGUGUCGGUCAAUGUGCUUUUAAUGAUUUUUCCACUUGUUUGUUGUAAAAGAUUAUUGUAAAUUGAAAUGAAUUGGAUGUUGUAAUAUUUUCUCUUUAGUGGAAUUUCACCUUGUAUGUAUUCAGUUGUGUUGUCUAAAAUUUUACAUUCGAAUAAGUUUUCACCUAAAAUAUUAGCAUGAGUUGUGGCCCUUGAAACUUUGGUCAAAAUUAUUGUUAUUAUUUCUUACUAGAUGUAAACUUUUUAUUAAACCUCGUUAACAUAAUUCUUAAUUAAAAGUAUAGGUUAGUGUCGGUGCAGAAUUUGCAACACCAAAUCCUGCCUAGGCAAGUGUCAAAAGUGCAAAAUAAAUGAAGAGAAAGCACGAAUACAUGAUUUAGAUUAGGAUAGAAGGAAACUUAAAUCCUAGAGAAAAGGAUAGCUAUAUCCCAAGAUUUAAAAAAAUAGUCAUGUAGAUUUUUAAGAUUUCAAUAAGCGACUAAGAUUUUCUUUUGACAAAUAAUUUCCUUUAGCUCUAUUAACAAAAAAAAUAAAGACUCAAAUAUUUUAUAAUAAAUAAAAUAUAAUAUUAAAAUAUAUGUGAUAAUAUAGAAAUUUUAAAUAAUUUCAAUCCAAAUAAAUAGUUAUGUUUUACAAGCUAUUAAACAUAUUUUAUUAAAUUAAUAUAAAUGUUUUAUAAAAUAGGAACAUAAUAUUAAAAUAAAUUUACAAAAUUUUUAAGAAUUUUGAAUGUAAAAUAAUUUUAAUAUAUUAAUACGUGAGAUUUUUUUAUUAUUAUAAAAAUUAUUUAACUUUAAGAUUUUUUAAAAUCCUUACAAUAAGUAUAAAUAUAUUAUUUACAUUUAAAAAUAUUUAAAUAUUAUUAACCUACAAUUAUAUUUGCAUUUAUUAGAAAAUUUUAAAGUCAAAUAUUUUGCACUUCUACAUUAUUAGAAUUAUUGAACACAAAGAAAGAAACAUAUAUGCUUUAUAGCUUUAGAAAUUGUUUUCUUUUACAUCUGGAAACAAAGAUGAUGAUUAUUAUAAGGAUAAAAAAUGGAUAAAGAAUAUUAAUGAUUAACGAAAUCUCUGUGCAAAUUGAUUUUAGUAGAAAAAGAGUGAGAUGAAUGAUUUCUUUUACAACUAGAAACAAAGAUGAUGAUUAUUAUAAGGAUGAAAAAAAGAUAAAGAAUAUUAAUUAUUAAUGGAAUCUCUAUGCAAAUUGAUUUUAGUAGAAAAAACGAGCUAAAUGAUUUAGACAUUCAUUCUGUGUUUAUUUUUGUGAUUAGCAUUAAAAAUUGUUUAAUUAUCAAACGAUAAUAAUGUUAUUUUGUACUUAUGUUAUAAUUUAUAUUUGUGUUUAUGUAAUAUAUUAGAAAUUAUUAAUUAUGUUUUAAAUAUAUCUAAUUUUGAGUAUAUUUGUGUGUUUAUUAGGAAAAAUAUUAAUUUUAGAUAAAUUGAGGCUCCAAACAAUUAAACGGAGGUCAAAUUUGGAUUCCGGAGGUUUGAAAACCUUAAGAUCAGUCAAGAUCGGCUUAAAAUUAGGUUUGUGUAAAAAGAGUUGACUUUUUCUGCUGACCGAGCACUGAUUGGAUGAUGAAAUGAGCUUACAAUAGAUAUGAGUGCAUGGGAUAACUGGCAAUUUUGACUAAAUCUCAACCGUUCAUGAUUCAAUGGCCAUGAUUGUGCCAUGUGGUAGUGGUUGAUGAAGCAAGUUGUAGGAUCUGAAUCUUUGUAUACGGGUCGACCUGAUCCGCCCAUUAACUCGCCAAAUCACAACCGUUCUUUGGCCAAAUCGGACGAGUCAAACGAUGCCACAUGUGAAGUUGACUUUUGAAGUUUGACCAGCCAUUGGAUCUUGAUCUAAAGGUUGUGAGAGCAUGAAGCUUAUGGAGCUUAUGAUGGACCGCAAAACACUGGAUUAUAAAUUUAUUUUUCUAUAAAUAGAGCCUCAUUUUUAUGUUUUUAAUUAUCUCUACAUCUCUCUUCUUCUCAAAUUCUCUCCAUCUCCCUGUAAUAUUUUGUAUAAUUAUUUUAUUAAAUAAAUUUAGUUUUAUUUUCAAUUUUAGUUGUUUUUAUUACUUUUAAUUAUAAGUAAUUAAAUUUUAAUAUUUCUUUUUAUUUCAAUUAUGCUUAACUAAAUAAUAUUAGUUGGGGUAAGGUGAAACUCUUAGGAAAUAAAUAUGAUUUAAUCAAAUUUUAUUUUUAAUUUUAUAAAUUAAAUUAUUUUCUAUUUAAUUUUAUACAUAUUUUAUAUUUUAAAAUUUUGAUUUAUUGUAGACAAACAAAUAAAUUUGGCACAAUAAAUUCUUAAGAUCUUAAUAUAAGGUAUGGUAAAAUGGUAUUUUGACUUAUUGUAGACAAAUUAAAUUUUGACACAAUAAAUACUUAAUCCAUCAUAAAAUUAGAGGGAAAAUAAUAAUAAUUUAUAUAAUUAAUCUUUUGGGCAAUAAAUUUAAAAAAAUAGCAAAAAGAAUUUAUUGAGUUUUAUUUACUACUAAGAGUGGAUCCACAAUCCUAACUAGAUCAAUUUCAUAAUUUCAUUUAAAUUAAGUUGUUUUUAUUCAAGUUUUUAUUUCAAUUUUUAGAUAAAAUAAAUUAAAUUAAUUAAAUCUUUUCUCUGUAGAUCGACCUCAGACUCACCGAGGACUGACCAAGGUAUAAUACAACAAGACACUCUUAUAAUUAAGAGUUUAAAAUUACUUUUAAGUUGUGUCAUUUUGGAUUGGUGAAUUAGAAUUAUUGACAACGCUAACUUCAUCUUCACAAUUUGCAAUCCAAUAGCAGCAAUUGUCACCGAUAAUGAUAUCUCCAAUGAUAAUGACGAUUUUAUUAUUAUUAUUGAUAAAAAGUAUUAUAAUUAAUUAAUAUAUUAAUGUUAAUAUUAUUAUUAUUAAGAUUAACAAUAAUUAUUAAUAAUAACAAUUUUUUGAAUAAAAAUAAUUACAAUAAUUUAAAUAUAAAUUAAUAAUUAUGACAAUAAUUAAUUAAUGUCUUUUUAAUAAUUUACUGAUUAUCACAGUUCAAGUAAACAAAUUAUUAUGAUUCCUAUUCUCCAUUUCCAUUUCAGCUCACUCCGAUUCCAAUCCAUUUCGACUUCUGCCUAAAAAACUCACCAUUAGUGCUAUAGUAAUAUUUCAUAUAGAGAAAAGUAAAAUCUACACCUAAGAUUAAGGUAAAGGACUUCAAAACUCUCUUUUGAUUAUAAUACCUUUUGUCCUAAUUAACUUAAAGAUUUUGAAUCUAAUAUUUUAUAAUAAAUAAAAAUAUAUUCCUAAAAUAAAUAUAAUAUCAAUAUUUAAAGUAUGUUUUAAUAUUUUACAAUCUAUCAGACACAUUUUAUUAUAUUAAAGUAAAUUUUAUAAUAAAUACAAACAUACUAUUAAAAUGAAUAUACAAAAAAGUUUAGAGUAUUUUGAAUAUUAUAUAAAAUAAUUUUAAUAUAAUGCGUGAGAUAUAUUUUAUUAAUUUAAAAUGCUAUUUUACCUAAAAAUUUAUUUAUGAUAAAUUAAUAAUUAUAUUUUUAAAAUUAUUUUAAAUAUUAUAAAAAAUUUAAUAUUAUUAGUGUUUUAGAUAGAUUAAAUUAUUUUAAAAUGCCUUAAUUGUUUUUACUUUUAACGUUACCGGCCUUUCUUAUAUUUUAUUGCAGCUAACAAGAAAAAGCCAGAUCAUAUUCCACAAAAGCAAAAGUGACAAAACAACCAGCUGGAUUCUUUUAUUAAACUACAAAUUAAAGGAUCCCAUUAUCUUACAACUAAUGUAAGAUACAUCCCUCACAUAAAUAGUAUAUAAACUCCACAUAUAUACUGUUCAUGUGAGGAAAUGUACCUUACAUUAAGAUAGUGUUUGCCCAAAUUAAAAUAGAUUUUUUCGAUGAACUACAAAUUAAAGUGGAUUCUUUUGAAUAUAGCUGGGGUUAGGGUAGGCUCUUUUAUUUAAGGCAAGUCUAGAGUAGUCAAAGACGAUUAGGCUCUUUUAUUAAACUACAAAUUGUAUAGUCUUUUUCAAAUUGUUCAGAUGCUUAUAAAUUAGUGGCCCCUUGUAAAUUUAACUGGAAGUGCCAAUCAGAGAAAAGUUCAAUUCUAAAUAAUUGUUCCGAUAUUUAUAAAUUGGUGGCCCCUACAAUCCUCAAUAAUUGUUCCGAUAUGUAUAAAUUGAUGGCCCCUACAAUCCUCAAUAAUUGUUCCUAUAUUUGUAAAUUGGUGGCCCCUUAGAAAUUUAACCGCAAGUCUGCAAGUGACAAUCGGAGAAAAGUCAUAAUUUACAAUCUUCCAAGGGAAGUAGGGAACCAGGGGAUAUACAAAGAUUAAGACAUGUCAUUCAUUUUUUUGGCUGCAUUCCCUUUCGUGUUCUUAAUAAUUGAAGACAGGUUGUUCAUUACAUGCUUACUUUUCAAAUGUGGAGCCGCAGCUAAUGUCGCUACUUUAAUUUGGGAUUAAAUUAGGGAAACAUUAUAUUGUAGUAUGCACUAACUUGAUGUUUAUCUAAACUCCUUAAAUUUAAGACAGAUUAUGGCAUAAAUAAGAAUAUAACGAUAACAAAAGAGUAUAUAAAAUAUUUAGAGUAUUUUGAAUAUUAUAUAAAAUAAUUUUAACAUAAUGCAUGAGAUAUAUUUUAUUAAUUUUAAAUGCUAUUUAACCUAAAGAUGUAUUUAUGAUAAAUUAAUGAUUAUAUUUUUGAAAUUAUUUCAAAUAUUAAAAAAUUAAUAUUAUAGACUAAAUUAUUUAUAUUAUUUUUUAUUUAUUAAAAAAUUUUUAAGUCAAUCUUUUUAAUUACUAUUCAAAGAAUAUAAUGAUUAAAAAAAUCUUUAUGCCUUCAUUAAAAAUUUAAAAAUUUACAUAACGAUUUCUAUAAAUAUUUAGGGUAUAUAUGAAGCACGGUGGAGAAGCUUUAUUUAAUAUUAUUGAUUUAAAUAAUAUCUCAAUUAAAAAUGUACAGAGAAGAAAUUUCGGUGGGUAUUUUAGUCUUUUCAGCAAUUAUCAUGACCAGAUCUGCCUUUGGCCUUGAAACGUCGGUCAGAAAAGUUUUAAAGUGCUUUAAUUGUUUUUAAGGCCGCUAAUAACUCUGCUCGUGCAAGUUGAGGAUAAAUGUUAAAUUAAUUACAAAAGCAAAAGGCUAAUUUAUUGAAGACAAGUAAAGCAGUCACGAAUGGUACAUGCCUAAUCUUUUCUAUAUUUACAGAAACACAAUUUUUUUUCAAUCCGCCGCAGCUUCUGUUAAAAUUAUCUUGGUUUCUCGUAGUUGAUUUCUAUUAUCCCAAAAAAAAAAAAAAGGUAACUGUUGAUGCCGAAAAAUGAUUUCAACAGCUGAAUUUAUUUUUUUUGGAGAAUUACAGUGUGAAUCCAAGCUCAAACGCAAGUCUGAUCGCAACUUUCUAUAUCUGCUAAUCAGAAAACACAGUUAGGAUACGCCGGUGGGGUUUCGGCUAGACCUUCCGAUACUUAAGUCAGAAAUUAUGUAUAAAAGGAGAAAAAUGAGAAUGAAGAAUUAUGAAUGAGUUAAAGUCAAGUAAUUUUCCGGUAGAGGGGUUGAAAAUCUUGUAGAAGCUUUGGUUGAUUUUGCUAACCCCUUCACCUGAUGCGCUCUUCAGUUUAAAUAGACUCUUGGUCGUGUACGGUUACCUCCUUAACUUCAGAAGUUGCAAGUGGUUGUCAGUUGGAGGUGGUUUAAAUAGAUCGUGGCACACAACUUCCUUAUAAAUUAGGCCACGUUCUCUUAACUAGCAAUUUUCCAUGUCAAGCUAAUUCUCAGGUCGGACAAGAGAAUUUCAAGGUCGGAUUACUUCACUUUCAGAUUAGACAGAUGAAUUUCUCAGUCGCUCAUAUAACGUUAAGGUUGUAUUCUUAAACUAAGUCAUUCACAUAGAUCUUAGGUCGUACUUAUAAACCAGGUCGCCAACAUAGGCUCCAGGUUGUACUUAUGAGGUUAGCUCAACAACAAUAAGUUUUGAGUAGAUUAGGAUCGACUAUAUUUUGAGACACUACCAGAAAAAUCCAACCCAAACACCAGUCCCCUAAUUUUCAAUACUGGAAAGUCAUUGCCAGUGUUGGAAACUAAUGGAAAACAUUUCUCAAAACCCAAUACCAGUCCCCUAGUUUUCAAUACUGAGAAGAUAUGAACGGUAUUGGAAACUAAAAUAAUUAAGAAAGAGCAAUAUAGCCACAAGCAAAAGAAAGACGGUGUAGAGCGGAACAAUGAGCAAAGAGAAGAGUAAAAAGAAAACUUCAGGUGUGGACCAAGAAAAUAACCAUGACCAAAUGCCUCGAGGUGAUAGAGUCGGGGUUGAGGGUGAGGUCUUCCUAACUAGUAGGGUUGUUGAAGACCAAGAGAGAACUUCCUAAAUUUAAUUAUUACAAUGCUUGCCCUUUUUUGCAAUAUGAACUUGUGUAGACCGUAUGCUACUGAACUUUAUUUUGCCUUUGUAAUCGGAUAAUUAUUAUGCUGACCUUGCCUUUUUUACUCUUUAUUUACUAGGGUUGGUUAUGAAUUGCAUUCCGUAGACUGAGCCCAUUUAAGACUCUGUUGAGGUCAAACAAAUAGAUAUGGUCAACUUUGGUAGCAAUAACACCAAGCAAUGACCUUGAAUUCACCAAGAUUCUAUCAUUUCGAUAUCAAUCUUGAUAAGGAAAAUGUUGACCUCACGAAAAUAUCAACUUCAACAAGAUAAAUUGUUGACCUCAACAAGAUAAAUUGUUGACCUCAACAAGAUAAAUUGUUGACCUCAACAAGGUUAAGUGUAGAGCUAAAAUGCCAACCUCACGACAAGGAAAAUGUUGACCUCACGAUAAGGAAAAUGUUGACCUCACGAAAAUGUCAACCUUAACAAAAUAGAUUGUCGACCUCAACAAGGUUAAGUGUAGAGCUAAAAUGCUGAACUCACGAUCUCACGACAAGGAAAAUGUCAACCUCACGAAAAUGUCAACCUCAACAAGAUAGAGUGUUGAACGCAAUAAGGUUAAAAUGUAAAGCUAAAAUGCCGACCUAAAAAAAAAUUGAAAAUUGGAGAACUUAAAUGUUAAGCUUAUGAUCAACCUCAACAAGGCAAUGACUGACCUCAAUAAAAUUGAAAAUUGGGCAACGACCUCAACAAGGCAAUGGCCGACCUCAACAAGGCAAUGGCCGACCUUAAAAAAAAUUAAAAAUUGUAGAACUUAAAUGUUAAGCUUAUGGCCGACCUCAACAAAAUUGAACAUUGUAGAACGUAAAUGUUAAGGCUAUGGCCAAACUCCACGAGGCAAUGACCAACCGCAAUAAAUAGAAAAUUGUAGAUUUUAACUUAUGGCCGACCUCAAUAAGGUAAUGGUCGACCUCAACAAAAUUAAACAUUGUAGAACGUAAAUGUUAAGGCUAUGGGCAAACUCCAUGAGGCAAUGACAAACCUCAAUAAAUAGAAAAUUGUAGAAUUUAGCUUAUGGCUGACCUCAAUCAGGCAAUAGCCGACCUCAACAAAAUUGAACAUUGUAGAACGUAAAUGUUAAGGCUAUGGCCAAACUCCACGAGGCAAUGAGCAACUUCAAUAAAUAGAAAAUUGUAGAACUUAGUUUAUGGCUUACCUCAAUAAGAAAAUGGUCGACCUAAAUAAAGUAAAGGCGAAUUUCGAUAAAAUUGAAAAAUGUAGAUCUCAACAAGAUAAAAGUUAAGGCUAUCUAACCACAAGGUAAUAGCUGUCUUCAAUCUCAAAAAGGCCGAAUUACAAUUAGACCUCAACAAGGUCAAAAUGACAAUCUCGAUCUCAAUAAGAUUUGAUAAAUUUUUCAGGUAGGACCUCAACAAGGCAGCAAUGUCGAUCUCAAUCUCAAUAAGAUUGGAUGAAUUUUUCAGGUAGAAUCUCCACAAAGCCGAAAUGCCGAUCUCAAUCUCAAUAAGAUUGGAUAAAAUUUUCAGGUAGGACUUAAAUAAGGCCGCAAUGUCGAUCUCAAUCUCAAUAAGAUUGAAUGAAUUUUUUUCAUGUCAGACCUCAGUAAAGUCGUCAUGUCGAUCUCAAUCUCAAUAAGAUUAGAUAAAUCUUUUCACGUUGGACCUCAAUACGGUCCAAAAAUGCCGAUCUCAAUCUCAAUAAGAUUGGAUAAAAUUUUCAGGUAGGACCUCAACAAAGCUGCAAUGUCGAUCUCAAUCUCAAUAAGAUUGGAUGAAUUUUUUCACGUUGGACCUCAGCAAGGCCGCCAUGUCGAUCUCAAUCUCAAUAAUAUUGGAUAAAUCUUUUCAUGUUGGACCUCAAUACGGUCCAAAAAUGCCGAUCUCAAUCUCAAUAAGAUUGGGUAACUUUUUCAUGUUGGACCUCAAUAAGGUCACAAAGUUGAUAUCAAUCUCAAUAAGAUUGAAUAAAUAUUUUCACGUUGGACCUCAAUACGGUCCAAAAAUGCUGAUCUCGAUCUCAAUCUCAAUAAGAUUGGGUAAUUUUUUCACGUUGGACCUCAACAAGGUUGCAAUAUCGAUAUCAAUCUCAAUAAGAUUGGAUAAAUUUUUUCACGUUGGACCUCAAUAAGGUCCAAAAAUGCCAAUCUCAAUCUCAAUCAGUCUGGAUAAAUUUAUUUCAUAUUGGACCUCAAUCAAGUCCAAGUGUCGAUCUCGAUCUCAAAUAAGACCGGUCACAAGUAGAUAAGAAAUAAAGUUGCACUUUUAAAUAACCUCAUUGAUACUAAUAUAACAGAAGUUAUAGAAUUGAACGCAUAACAAAUUGAAAUAACAAAGAAACAAACUUUCUUAGCAUAUUUAAAGAAAAUAAACAAACAAUAUUUAAAGAAAAUAAACAAACAAGGACAUCAUAAAUAAGAUAUAUCUUAACUGAUAGUAUUUUCGCAGGUGCUCUGCAUUCCAUGCCUUGCCAACGACCCUGCCAUCCUGAUAACUUAAUUUAUAUGCCCCAUUAUCAAAUUAGGGUAGCACUUUAUAUGGUCCUUCCCAGCUCGGCCCUAGAACUCCAUCAAUAAAUCUGAAGCUCAUUGGAGAUGUCAUCCAUCAUUUUUGUUCCCACUCUUACCACCCUGCUCGGAUCAACCUCACUUAUCGGCAUGUUUCAUUUCUUCAUUAGGUCACUGUUGGCACAAUCUAUUCUCAGCUCGUGGGUCGAUACUCGUGAUCUGCAUGGAUUCUCUUGCAGCUGUAGCGUAACAACUUCGAGCUAUUUGUUGCUGGCCCCUCAUCACUCCAACCCCAUAUUGAACUCUAAACUUCACACGUUGCAUGUGGGUUGAGCUCACGGCUCUUACUAUCCUAUUGAAAGGUCUACCCAAAAUAAAUUGAUAAGGGUUGGGCUCAUCAACUACCACCCAUGUCACCAUCACUGUCUUUUGUAGUGGGUUGGACUUUAUUAUCAGUGGCAAGUCAAUCAUCCCAAGGGGAAUCAACUCAGCUCCGCCAAACCCUUUUAGUGAUGUUCUGACGGGAUCAAGCCUAAGGUCCCCUAUUUGUAGAUCUUCCAGGGUUUGCUUAAACAAAAUGUCGACUGAGCUUCCUCCAUAUAUAAGAGCUCGGUUCAAAUCCUGCCCUACCAAGGUAACCUUCACUAUGAGCGCAUCCUCAUGUGGAUGUGCGACCGCUUCCUCGUCCUCGUCUGUGAACAUGAUCGGCACCCUUUGAACCCGUUGCUUCUUUGGUAUUGAAACAUUAAAAUUCAACUUAUAACUUUCUAAUGACUAUCUACUAUAAUUUCUCCUUGAACGAUUUGAGUCUCCUACUAGGGUCGGCCCUCCCAUAAUCAUCAUCGCUACAUUAUCUCUGAUGUCUCCUCUUCUCCCACCUAUUCCUUGGUCAUUCACAUACUCCUUUAGAUAUUGAUUUUGCACUAGCCACAAAAUCUGUUCUUUCAAGUCUAUGUAAUCUGCAGUUCCAUGUCCGAACACAAUGUGAAACUCGCAAUACUUGUGGUGAGCACUUCUGCCCAGACUUCUUACAAUUGGCUUUGGCGGUUUAAGUAGCCCCUUCUUUUCUACUACAACAUAUAUUUCCGCUCUGCUUUUGUUCGAUGGUGUGUAUCUUCCACUCUACUCUAAUAAGUUCACCCCAUGGUCAGAUCUCGAUACUCUCUGUUCUAUAGGCAGUGGCAACCUAUUGUAGUCUCUUGCUCGGUUCUCCCUUUAGUUCAUCUCAUAAUUAUUUCCUCUAUCUCGGCCCCAUCCCAUUAAUGAGAUUUAUCUCAUUUCACGAUUUCUUUCCCAAUCUCGACCCGACCUUUCUGGUCAUCUGUAAUUGAACAACUCUCCGCCGUAAUGACGUCUAUCAUCCGAGUUCCUCCUCGAGCUAUACUCGAGGUUAUCACUUGACCCUCUCUCUGCUCUUCCAUUCUCCUAUUUUCUUCCUCUGCAUCUUCAGUUUUCAUAUCUAAUUUUGUCUAGUCGUACGCCUCAGCGUAUGUUGUUAUCCCCUUGUUAUAUAAGCUAUUCCAUAAUCGAUUGAUUCUCAACUCCUUCUUUAAUCCCUCUAGAACAUCUGGAAGAUCAAAGGCCCCUAGAUCGGUAACCUCUCUAUGAUACCUGGUCACAAAACUCGUCAAACUUUCAAAUUCUCCUUGGACCAAUUUUGUCAAGCUGCUCAUAUCCUGCUCUGAUAUGCAUGAACCUCUAAAAUGCAUAGCGGAAAGCACACAUAACUCCUUGAAAUUUCCUAUGCUUCUAUUCUUUAAUCUCCGGUACCAUUCCCAUGCUUGUCCAUCUAGAGUUAAGGGAAAAAUACGGCACCUUUGAAAAUCAUUCAAACCUUGAAUUACAGUCAUCUCAUUAAACUUCUCCACAUGAUGAUUUGGGUCAGUUUUUCCUUCAUACACCAAGACUUGAACCACAUACUUGGGUGGCAAAGUUACUGCCAUCACUUCAGGUACCAAGGGGGACUCGUCAUCGAGUAACAGCCUUCCUACCACUUUCUUGCCCUCUGUUUUCGCCUCUAAUACCUCUAAGGUUUUUUGAAAUUGCAGCAUUCGUUGCUCAAGCUCAUUUGCCCGUUGGGGUCUCUCAGCUCUUCCCUCUCUCUUUCUUGAUUCAAGUCAUUGAUUCUCCCCCUCAACUCAUUCACUUGUUCUCCUGCACUUCUAUUCUUUUGUCGUACCCCAACUUGUGGUAGUCCCAUUCCGCUCUGCUGUUCACCAUCAAGCUCUUCCCUCUCUCGCGCUCCACUACAUUUUGGAUCACUAGCUCGAACGUGAGCCUCUCUGACUUGGGCAUCAACCAGCCCCCGAUCAUCUUCUCAAAUCUCGCCAUUUGCCUCUCAAUCCCUUCUCUCCAUCUCUUAUCUGCCGUGGCAUUCAUUUCCUCAGCCAAUUGGCGCAAGGUCUACGUAUCUUCAUCCUUAUCAUCUAUCACUAUUUUGUAAUCCGAUAGCUUCUCCUUCUAAAUCUUCAAACGUAUGGCUUUUCGCACUGAUCCCCACAGAUAGCGUCAAGAUGUUGAUGCUGAAAAACGACAUGAACAGCUGAAUUUGUUUCUUUUGGGGAAUUACAAUGUGAAUUUAAGCUCAAACGCAAGUCUGAACGCAACUUUCUAUAUCUACCAACCAGAAAACACAGUUAGGAUAUGCCGGUGGGGUUCCGGCGCAGACCCUCCGAUGCUUAAGUCAAAUUAUGUAUAAAAGGAGAAAAAUAAGAAUGAAGAAUUAUGAAUGAGUUAAAGUCAAGUAAUUUUCCAGUAGAGGGGCUAAAAAUCUUGUAGAAGCUUCAGUGAAUUUUGCUAACCCCUUCACCUGAUGCGCUCUUCAAUUUAAAUAGACUCUUGGUCAUGUACGGUUACCUCCUUAACUUCAGCCCGCUUUCUUCAGUAGUUGCAAGUGGUUGUCAGUUGGAGGUGGUUUAAAUAGAUCGUGGCACACAACUUCCUUAUAAAUUAGGCCACGUUCUCUUAACUAGCAAUUUUUCAUGUCAAGCUAAUUCAUUGGUCGGACAAGAGAAUUUCAAGGUCGGAUUACUUCACUUUCAUAUCAGACAGAUGAAUUUGUUAGUCGCUCAUAUAGCGUUGGGGUUGUAUUAUUAAACUAAGUCAUUCACAUAGAUCUUAGGUCGUACUUGUAAACCAAGUCGCCAACAUAGGCUUCAGGUUGUACUUAUGAGGUCAACUCAACAACAAUAAGUUUUGAGUAAAUUAGUAUCGACUAUAUUUUGAGACACUACAAAAAAAAUCCAACCCAAACAGUAACAUUUUGCAAAUCUCAAUCGACGGUGCUAUUUUCAAUCGUUGCCUGGAUUGCUUUCUUGGAAAAGCAGCAUCUAUAAGAAACCUGCAAAAAAAUGUUGUAGCCUUGGAGACUGAAUUGGGAAAACUAAUCGAAGCAAAGAACGAUGUGGUGGCGAGGGUCGUCAACGCUGAAAGGCAACAAACGAUGACAAGGCUGAACAAAGUUCAAGGCUGGCUUUCGAGGGUGGACGCUGUUAAAGCUGAAGCUGAUGAAUUGAUAAGACAUGGCCCUCAAGAAAUUGAGAAACUAUAACUUAGAGGCUACUGUUCCAAGAACUGCAAGUCAAGCUAAAAGUUUGGCAAAAAAGUGGCUAAAAAGCUAAGAGACGCCGGGACUUUAAUGGCCAAUGGAGCAUUUGAAGUGGUAGCUGAGAGAGCUCCAGAAUCAGUAGCGGAUGAAAGGCCUAUCGAGCCCACAGUAGUAGGCCUGCAAUUGCAACUCGAGCAUGUUUGGAGAUGUCUUGAAGGAGAAUCAGUCGGAAUUGUUGGCCUAUACGGCAUGGGCGGUGUCGGUAAAACUACACUAUUGACCCAUAUCAACAACAAAUUUCUUGAGAGUCCAACUAAUUUUAAUUAUGUGAUAUGGGUCGUAAUGUCAAAAGACUCGCGACUUGAAAACAUUCAAGAAACUAUCGGGGAGUAGAUUGGUUUGUAAAAAUUUGCCAAUUUACACAGCAAACAAUUUCCACCCAAUUAAUGUUUUUUAGAAAAUUGUAAAAAUUUGGAGUUAUGAAAAUAGAAACUAUAUAAUAAGAAGAAAUAAUUUAAGAUUUUAAGAUUUAUAUAUAUUUUAUAAAUAAAACAUUAAAAGAGAUGCUUGUUAUUACGAUGAAAUUUUAUGAGUAAGAUGAUUAACUUUAAUAUAUGAGUUUGUAUUUUAUAAAUUAAUCAGAGGUAUUUUAGAAAAUAAAUUCAAAAUGGGAGUUAUAAGAGUUUUAGAGUGGUGUUAAAAGCUCAACUCUUUUGAAUUUUACUGCCCAAUUAUAUAGUACAUUAGCGUGAUUGUUAUGUAUUCAUUUUUUUCAGAUACAACAAACGAGCUGCGUAGUGCUCAAAUAACAAAAAUUAAUAAUUUCACACACCCAUAUACAUAUAUGUAUACAUAUAGAUACAUAUUAUAUUUAAUUAAGCAAAAGAAAGAACCCCCUGUACGACGCCAGUGAGAAGAGAGAGAGAGAGAGAGAGAGGAAGAGAGCUUUUUGUGUUAUAUUUCAUAAUUUUUAUUUAAUUAAAAAUAUUUGUAGUUUGGAUUUGGGCGCCCCAAAGAAUUUCUAAAUCAAAACCUUAAUUUUUAUUAGGUCUUGAGCCUAUUCUCGAAAUAGAUCCUAUUAUAUUCUUAGGUGGUGUUUGGUUUUAAGAAAAUGGAAGAGAGGAGAGGUGAAAAAAGAAGAUGAACGGAGAGGUGAUGAGAGGAAAAGAGUGUAAAAAUUAAUUGUUAUUGUUUGGUUUCACAUUAAAUUUGAAAGGAAAAGAAAUUACAUAUUUUUUAUUUGGACGAAUAUACCCACUAUUUUAAUGCUAAUAUUGUUAAUAAAUUAAAAAAUAAUAAAACUAUGAAUUAAUUUAAUCUAGAAAUUACCUAAUUAAAUUAAAAAAUUAUUUUUUAAAAAAAUACAGCAUUUGGCCAUGGACAGCCUCCACGUUGACCACCGUUGACUGGCGAAUUUGACUGUCGUUGACCGUCAUUUUUCAUCGCGUUAAAUGCAUAAUAAUAAUAAGAAAUGAAUGAUUUAUUCAUUGGAAGUGUUAAUUUUGCAGAAAAUACACUAUAUAGUAGGAAAUAUGAGAGUUAAAAUUUUCCCAAGCAUUUAAACAAGACUUGAGGUAAAUAACAAUGUAUAUUAGCAUUUUUAAUCUCAUAGCAUUGUAGAUGGACUCAUGAGGAUUCCAUUGAUACCGGUUUUGAUGAAAAAGUGCGUCUCCGGCGAAACUCCGACGAGUCACUUUACUGUUUUUUCUUUUUUCAAAUAAGUUUAUCCUAUUAAUUUAAGAAAAUAAAUAUAAAUUAUUUGUACUUUAAUUUAUUUAACAUUGAUUUUGUUUAGAGGAUAAUAUUGGAAUUUUUGUGUUUAAAUAGAUAAGAAAUUUAAAAUCUUUAGUCAUUGAUAAGAAAUACAAAUUCUUCAAAUUGAUGGAAAUUCAAUUCCAUUAAACUUGGUCCAAGUAGAAAAGAAAUCAAUUUUUUUUGGCUCUCCCCACUUCCCUACCCCUAAGCAAACAUGGCCUUAUGGUUUUUGAGAACUCAUACCAAAUUCAAAUUAAUCAGGAGCCCACGGGUCCCGGGGCUCGCGGGAAAGUUGCCAUCCCUACCUUCAUCUGACGGAAAGUCCCUACAAACAAAUGUUUCUUUAUUUAUUUAUUUUUAUAAAAGAAAUUUCAGUUUGAAUGUCUUUUGGACGUUUCCAAUUGUCAUGAUUAGCCCUUGAACCUUUGGUCAAAAAAGUAUUAUCACGCGUUGAUUGUUUGUAUCGCAAAUGCUAGUGGCAUUUGAAAGUUGAUAUAAUUAAUUACAAUCUACAAAUGUUUAACAAAAAAGUGGGAUGGAUAUGGCACAAAAGUAAAGCAAGCAGGAUUCGUUGAAAAAGCUAUUUUGACACCUACUUCGGUUAUAAAAUUUUCAAAAAAAAAAAAAAAUUUUGAUUAAAAGUAAAUUGUAUAGGUUCAACUACCGUGCACUUGGUGCAUGGGACAUGUAUUUUGUCUAUAUAUAAGUUACCCGUCAGAUAUAACAUAGAACUUGCUUCAACGGCAUAGAUGUAUUCUCUUUAGUUUUUAACAUUGACAUCUAUGUUGUUUUUCAAAAAAGAAAAAUAGUGAAAGGUUUGACACAUAAUUUUAGAUUAUUUUUAAAUUUUAUAUUUUAAUCAAUUGAUUUAAUUUACUGUUAAAAUUAAUGACAGUAUAAGCGUAAUAACUUGAAAAAACUUUUUAAUACAUAAUUUUUUUUAUUUUUUGAAAAUAAUAUAAUAUCAAUUUAAUCUAUAAUAAAUAAUUUUAACAUAUAAUUAAAUUUUAAUUUAUCAAUAAUAAUAUGACCAAAUGACAAUGUUAAAGAAUUUCAUUAUAAUCAACUAUGAUUUAGUAUUCAAAUAUAAAUAAUAGAAAUAUACUCUAAGUGUAAAUAAUAGAAAUAUAUCAAACUUAUAUGUUAAAAUUUCAAAACUUUUAAUUUUUUCACUUUUCAGCAAACAAGAGGGAGUAAUUUACCAAAAACAAGGGGUAUCGUACACCUGGGGCACCAUAGCUUCCUCCAAAUUGUAUAAAAAAUAGAAAUAUUUUUAGUCUCCAAAUUGUAUAAAAAAGUAAAAAUAUUUUGACUAAAAGUAAAUUGUGCGUAACUACUUUAAUAUUUUAUUUCUUUCAUAACUUUAUCAAAAUCUUGUCAUCAAAUAUUUUAUCAAUGUAACGCUGUAAACAGCAAAUUAAAGUUUAAUUAUUUAAUUACAACUGGCAAAAGAGACGUUUAAUUAUUUAAUUACAAGCGGGAUAGUCUCUUUUGUUGAAGGAAAUUAAAGUUUAGUUAUUUAAAUCGAGCACGCGUAAUCUUUUCAAGCACAAACAAAAGAGAUCAUAAUUCAAAGUUGAUGUUCUCUUCACAGCAGCUUCUAUUCAUCGAACUCCAUCGUUAAAAUUUCCUUGGUUUUUCCUGGUUGAAUUCUCAUCCAAAAUAUGGGUAACAUUUUCCAAAUCACAUGCGACGGCGCUCUCUUUAACCGUUGCCUGGAUUGCUUUCUUGGAAAAGCAGCAUAUAUAAAAAACCUCAAACAAAAUCUUGCAGACUUGGAGACUGAAUUGGGAAAACUAAUCGACGCAAAGGAAGAUGUGAUGAGGGAGGUCAACGCUGCUGAAAGGCACCCAAUGAUGAAAAGGCUGACCAAAGUUGAAGGCUGGCUUUCGAGGGUCGAAGCUGCUAAAUCCGACGGUGACAAAUUGAUAGCAUUUGGCUCUCAAGAAAUUAAGAAACUAUGUCUUGGAGGCUACUGUUCCAAGAACUGCAAGUCAAGCUACGAGUUUGGCAAACAAGUGGCUAGAAAGCUAGGAGAUGUCAAGACUUUAAUGGCUGAAGAAGCUUUUGAAAAGGUAGCUGAGGAAGUACAACCACCUUUGGUAGAUGAGAGACCCACCGAGCCAACCGUAGUAGGCUUCCAAUCACAAUUUGAACAAGUCUGCAAAUGUCUUGAAGAAGAAUCAGUCAGAAUUGUUGGCCUAUACGGCAUGGGCGGUGUCGGUAAAACCACACUAUUGACUCAUAUCCACAAUAACUUUCUUCAGAGUCCAACUUUUAAUUGUGUGAUAUGGGUCCUAGUGUCAAAAGAUCUGCGACUUGAAAACAUUCAAGAAACUAUCGGGGAUCUGCGACUUGAAAACAUUCAAGAAACUAUCGGGGAGCAGAUUGGUUUGUUAAACGAUACAUGGAAAAAUAAACGAAUUGAACAGAAAGCUCAAGACAUCUUCAGGAUUUUGAAGGAGAAGAAGUUUUUGCUGUUGCUAGAUGACUUAUGGCAGCGGGUUGAUUUAACAAAAGUGGGCGUCCCUCUUCCUGGCCCGCAAAAUAAUGCAUCCAAAGUGGUAUUCACAACCCGUUCCGAAGAAGUUUGUGGUUUGAUGGGAGCUCACACGAGGUUUAAAGUGGCGUGCCUGUCAAAUAUCGAUGCUUGGGAAUUGUUUCGGCAGAACGUUGGAGAAGAAACUCUGAACAGUGAUCCCGAUAUUCUUCAACUCGCCCAAGCAGCAGCCAGAGAGUGUGAUGGUUUGCCACUAGCACUUAUUACCAUUGGCCGAGCUAUGGCUUGCAAGAAGACACCUGACGAAUGGAUUUACGAUAUUGAGGUGCUAAGAACAUCAAGUUCUCAGUUCCCAGGUUUGGGAAAUGAGGUUUAUCCUCUUUUAAAAUUCAGUUACGAUAGAUUGCCGAGUGACACAAUUAAAUCAUGUCUCUUAUAUUGUAGUUUAUAUCCAGAAGAUUAUUGCAUUUCUAAAGAGAAAUUGAUAGACUGUUGGAUCGGCGAGGGAUUUUUGACAGAAAGGGACAGGAUUGGAGAACAAAAAGAAGGAUACCAUAUUCUGGGCAUUCUUCUUCAUGCCUGCUUACUGGAAGAGGGAGGAGACGGUGAAGUAAAAAUGCACGACGUGAUUCGAGAUAUGGCAAUAUGGAUAGCAUGCGACAUUGAAAAGGAGAAGGAGAAUUUUUUUGUUAAUGCUGGCGUUGGAUUAGUUGAAGCACCCGAUGUCACAGGAUGGGAAAAGGCGAGGAGAUUGUCACUGAUGCACAAUCAAAUUACGAAUCUAUCAGAGAUUCCUACAUGUCCUCAUCUCCUUACUUUUUUCCUUAACAAAAAUAGGUUUCAGAUGAUCCCCAAUGACUUCUUCCAAUUUAUGCCCUCCCUCAAAGUUUUAAAUCUGUCAUACAGCAAACUAACCAGCUUACCAUUGGGGAUUUCAAAGUUGGUUUCACUGCAACAUCUUGACCUGUCAGAAUCCGACAUAGAAGAGUUGCCAGGAGAGUUAAAGGCAUUGGUAAAUCUUAAAUGUUUGGAUUUGGAAUAUACAGGGAAUUUAAUUACAAUUCCACGUCAACUAAUAUCUAAUCUUUCAAGGUUACAUGUGUUGAGAAUGUUUGGUGCUGGUCAUAAUGCCUUUGAUGAAGCAUCAAAAGACAGCAGUUUAUUUGGUGGGGGUGAAUUCAUAGUAGAGGAACUGCUUGGUUUGAAAUCUUUAGAGGUGAUUAGCUUCACCUUGAGAAGUUCUCAUGGUCUCCAAAUGAUUUUGAGCUCGGAUCAGUUACGAAGUUGCACUCGAGCACUCUCAUUCCAAUGCUUCAACGAUUCGACAUCGCUUGAAGUUUCAGCUUUGGCAGAUCUGAAGCAACUUAAAAUGUUGCGGAUUGCAAGGAGUGAAAUAUUGGAGGAAUUAAAGAUGGAUUGUGCAGGGGAAGUUCGACAGUUUGUUUUCCAUAGUCUCAAUAAGGUUGAAAUAUACGGUUGCAGUAAAUUGAAGGACUUGACAUUCCUUGUUUUCGCUCCAAACCUCAAGUCUAUUAAAGUAACAGGUUCCCAUGCUAUGGAAGCAAUCAUAAGUGUGGGUAAAUUUGCAGAAGUUCCAGAGGUAAUGGCAAAUUUAAACCCAUUUGCAAAACUCCAAAAUCUUGAAGUAAUUGGUGCGAUAAAUUUGAAGAGCAUUUACUGGAAGCCCCUGCGCUUCCCACAUCUGAAAACAAUGAGUUUCUUUCAUUGCAACAAGCUUAAAAUGCUUCCACUUGAUUCCAAUAGUGCAAGAGAGCAUAGCAUUGUUAUUCGUGGAGACAGAAUGUGGUGGGCACAGCUUCAAUGGGAGGAUGAAGCCACUCGAAAUGCUUUUCUUCCCUGUUUCAAAUCUUGAGCAGAGAUCACAUUUGAAUAAUUUCUGGUGCGUGCUUUUUCUUACAUUAUUCUUCUUGUUAAUUUCCUUCAUGCAGACAUCUGCACCUAAUAACUCGUUACUUCAAAUAUUCUCUAAAUUAUUUGAGGGUACUCGCCCCUGCACAUAAUGUAUAUUUAUAUCUAAUUAAAUUUUUUAAAAAGUCAAUAUUAUAUUUUUUAUGUCAUUAAAUAAAGUCUUGUUAUUUUAUCGAAUUAUAUUCAACUUGAAAAUAGUUCUAGCUUUUAGAUAUAAGUUAUGUAAGUACAAGUUCAAAGUGUAUCAGCAUUAAAUUACUCAUAUUCAAUCAUUUAUAAUCUGAUGUUGAAAAAAAAAUGUCAUUCAAUCAUAUGCAUUUAACUAAAUUCAAAUAUAAUCUAAAUUCAGAUACGUUAAAAUUAUUUGGGAAAAAAAAGCGCCACAACUCUAUAUUGUUUAUUGAGUAAACCAGAUAUUAACUCUAUCAUGAACGUAAUAGCCUCCAGCAUUUUUUAUUAUCUGUUCAAACCAUAUUUUAUUAUUUUAAUUUAUUUAUAUUCAUUGCAUUUCAAUUAGGUCAUGUUUUCUUUUGUUUUCUGUUUUAUAUUCUUUGAUCAUUUUGGCAACAUGGAGUACUAUGAUUAAUCAUUUUGUACUGGUCUCAAAUUUCAGUCGGAUUAUCUGCGGAAAAUAUCUCUGAAGAUGCUUUCAAUGGAGUCCAGUACUCAGAAUGCGAUGCCUAAUCCUUUGCAAUCCAACAAUGCUAGCAGGAGCAACGAACCCCCUCAUCCAGGUAGUGACGUGGAAUAGUAAAUGCAGCUUCACUUUCAAUUUGUCUCUGAAACCGCUCCCUAUAAUCAAUCCUAGCAUUCUUAUGUGUUCUUAACUUCUGCAGCCUGAAUAUUUCUUCCUCGACAAUCAAAGUCAUAACAGUAUGAUUGGCUGGAGUAGCUUUCCUCCAGACCCCUCAUUAUAGUUAUAAAUAAUUCCGAUAUUUGAUAUCAUGAUCGGGGAUUUCAGAGCUUAGAAAAUAUGAUUUGUACCCAUAUGUGUCUGAUCAUGAGAAGUUUGAAAAUAUACAUCAAAAACUGUAUGGAUUGGAAAAAUAUAAUCUUAUUAUGGUGUGUUAAAUCGUCAUUUGAUGAACGGAUUUGGGAUACAUUAUAAUAUGAUGUCAUUAUUAAUUAGGGUGUGUUUUUGGAAGUGCUUAAUUAUAUUCGUUUAAUGUGUAUUUCUUUUAUCACUUUUGAAAAGAAUUCUUAAAUAUUUAAAUAUUUCAAUGUUUAUAUCUUAACUUCAAAUAUAAUAAAAUAAAAUAAAAUAACUGUUCUCCAAUAUGAGGGUCCGAACUAAGGGUCUACGUCAAUAACAUGAAAUAUAAUAAUUUUUGUAAAUUUUUCUUAAAUUCAAAAUAAAUUUUGUUACUGAUUCAAAUGUUUAACAAAAUGUGGCAGCUUAUCUGUAAUUGCCACAUCAAUUGAGAUUCAAAUUACUACUCAAAUCCUGAAAUUCCUAAAGGUCCCUAACAUUAAUAUUUUAUUAAGUCAAUAUUGAAGUUGAACUAUGGGGUUCGUCGGCUAUUUCACACUAACAGAGGAAUCAUUUUAUCUUCUACAAAGGGUUCAGUUUUCUUGCACUGUAUGAUAUGAAGUAAUAUUGUCAUAUGUUGUUCUGAAUUAAUUUUUUUCUUCUCUCGUGCGAAUCAGAAAGAAAUGUUGUAUUUAAGAUGUGGAAAGUAUAAGAUCUUAGGAGUUUUACAGUGUAUAUAUAUAUAAAUUUUUUUUUGACAAACAGAGAAAUUCAGUCUAGAAUAUGAGAACAAACUAAAAGCUACGAAAUACAUUGGCAUUUUUGAGAAGUAGGAUAAAUAUUAUUUUUUUUUUUGAAAAAAAAAGGACUUGGCACCUCAAUGCUUUAAUAACCUAAUGUUAUACUUUUGGUUUGAUUUUUCUAUGUACUCUCUUCCAAUGGUCAAUUUAGGCUAUGUUUGGUAUUGAGAUAUUAUAACUAAAAAAUUUUAGGAUUUAUCACUUAAAAGAUAGAGUAGCCGUGGGAAAAAAGAGAGAGAGAGCUGAAAUUAUGAAAUAAAAUUAUUAAUGUAUUGUAAAUAAGAUGUUCAAAUAAAAAAAUUGACAAAAAUAGUAAAAAUACAAUACCAAACAAGAAUUUAUUUAGGAUACCGAUUCCAGGUCUCUAAAGAUUUGUUUUUAUGCUUUGCAGUUAUUUUCUUCUAGCUGACUGAUGAAUUAUUGUGAAAUUGCUAUGAAAAUUACUAGGGAAAUUAUCAGUCAUACACUCUUAAAUGACACCCGUAUCAAAUAUGCUACAACAUUUUUCAAGUAUAUCACUCGUAUACUCUAAGUUGACAAAACACUUCUACCGUCCACCAAUAUGUUAACUUCUAUUAGAAAGUUAAUAGAAUUGUGGCAAAUUGACUAUUUCGUCCUUGAAACUCAAAAUGAGAUUAAAAAAAAUUUACCCAAAAAAUUAAAGUAAAUUUUCAAUACAUAAUUUUUUUUAAUUUCGUUAUUAACAAUACAUUUUUUUAUUAAAAAAUAUGAAUUAUUAAUGGUACAUAUUAUUAACAAUUAUCCAUAAAAAUAUCCAUAUUAUACCAUAAAAAAUUAUUAACAACAUAUUAUUUACAAUUAUACAUAUUAUACCAUAAAAAACUCCAAUUGGAGCUUGGAGGAGUAGAUCUUAAAAAAUUUAGGUUAAAUUUUGGAUGAGUAGAUUCGGUUGUAAAGUAGUUGUUUUUUUAUAUGUAAUUAUUAACAAUUAUCCAAUAAAUGGGAUGACAUGUCAUUUUAUCAAUAUAUAUCAUAUGACAUGUCAUUGCUUAAUAGGAAAAUGGGAUGACAUGUCGUUUUUAAAAAAGACUAUAUUUACCCUUAUGAUGUCAGCACUUGCAAACGGCAGUUAACGGAUUGGUGAACGGUAGAAAUGUUUUGUCAACUUAAAGUAUACGAGUGAUAUACUUGAAAAGUGUUGUAUCACGUUUGAUAUUAGUGUCAUUUAACGAUAUAUGACUGAUAAUUUUCCAAAUUACUACUAUAACUUAUGGCAAAUUGGCAAUUAAAAAUCAUAAAAGUCUUUCCUCUUGAAUGAGAAAGUGGGUUAUUUUCGUUUACUAUAUAUAUAGUGUCACAAUCAAGAUUAGCAAAGGUUUGUUCACAAACCACCAUCUAUGAAACUAUGAUGACAAAUAUUAUUUGCUAUUAUCAUGUCACUGCAUUACUCUAAUGCCAUUAUUUGCCUAAUUAAAUAUUCAUGUCGGUUUUAAGAUGAAUUUCAAGACAUUUAACUAACCAUAUCUAUUGUAUUUUAUUAUGGUGCUCUAGCUAGCUGGUUGCCAGCUUUGCCUUUCAAUGGGGUUUGAUUAAUUACUCUGCAUAUAGACCAUUAUAUACUAGGACGGCCAAUGGUUAAUGUAAUAUAAACACAAUAAAUUUUAAUCAAAUAUGAAUUUUCUGAAUAAUUGUUUCUUUAUUUUAUGAAUUUUAUUUAAACGAUAUCCCAAUUUAAAAAAAAAAAAGAAAGAAAGAAAAUCAGCGCGUUUGUCUCCUCCCCAUUGUCAUGAUCAACCUUGUUGGAAACGUUGGUGAGAAAAGUAAUACUAUACGUUAAUUGCUUUUAAUAUUUUAAUCGUUGGUGGCACAACCGCACAAGAAAGUAAAAGUUGUUAUAUAUAUAUAUAUUUUAAAUAAAAGUUUAGCUUUCAAUAAUUCAACUUUGAAAAAGGUACAAAAGAUGUGUAGGACAUUCGUUGAACCACAUUAUUGGUUGUACACUUUCUAAAGCUACUUUGGCUAUGGAAUAGGCCAUGAUUAUGAAGCCGAGAAGUAUGUUGCAGUGUGGGGUUGUGUAGUUCCUUUUAGCUUCUUCUUACAAAUUAAUGCUGACAGAAAAAGCAAGAUCAUAUUCCACAAAAGUAAAAGUAACAAAACAACCAGCUGGAAUCUUUUAUUAAACUACGAUAAACUACAAAUUAAAGUGGAUUCUUUUGAAUACAAGUGGGAUAGACGAUUGGCUCUUUUAUUAAAGGCCAGUAGUCAAGAAUCGAAUAUCUCGAUUGCAUAGUCUUUUUCAAAUUCUUGUUUUAUUAUUUUUCAAAACUAAUUUUUUAUUAGUCUACAAUUAUUUAUAAUUAUAUUUUCAUUUAGAAUACAGUUCAAGUCAAAUCUUUUGCACUUCUACCUAACUCGGGCUAAUACUAGUCCACUCAUUAUUCAUGUGAGAGAGUUGUAAGGUACAUGCAUGUAACUUCUCUAACUCGAAUUAUUCCACACAGAGAAAUAAACAUAGAUGCUUUAUAACUUUAGAAAUCCGAUCUCUUACAGUUGGAAACAGAGAUGAUGAUUACUAUAAGAAUGAAGAAAAAGAUAAAAAAUUGUCAAUGAUUAACGAAGUCUCUAUGCAAAUUUCUCUAUGCAAAUUGAUUUUAGCAGAAAAAUAGUGAGUUGAAUGAUGUAGGCGAUUAGUGGUAAUAUUUCAUAGAGUUAGAGUAUUGGCAACCCUUCAAUCUUCUCAUGAAUCCCCUUUUUGAGUUAUAGUUAUUUUAUUUCGAAAUAUCCUUUUUCUUCUUUAAUACACUUCUAAUUUUUCAUUUAAUUUUUUUAUUGUUAAACUCAAAGUAUUAUUGUGAUAUUUUUCGUUUCUUUUGUAAUCUUAUUAUAAUUAAAAAAACCAAAAAAAAAGAUUGGCUAUGAAAUUUGUUGGAAAAAAUCUAUGUGCGUUUAAUUUUUGUUUGUCUUUGACUGUAAUUUAUUUGAAGUGGGGUUUUAUAAGCAUAAUGAAGGGAUCAAAGGAUGCCCAUAACUUCACUCUAUUUUAUAUGGAGAAAAGUAAAAGGUACACCUAAAGUUAAUGGAAAGUACUUCGCAGCUUUCUUUUGAUUAUAAUAUCCUUUAAUUUAAUUAACUUAAAAAUUUUGACUUUAAUAAUUUAUAAUAAAUUAAAUUAUAAUCUUAAAAUAAAUAUAAUAAUAUAUUUUAAAAUAAUCUCUAUAUUUAAAAUUUAUUUAUUUUCACAUUUUAUAUAAAUUUUAUAAUAAAGACAAACAUACUAUUAAAAUAAUAUAUAAAAAAUUUAAAAGUAUUUUGAAUAUUAUAUAAAAUAACUAUAACAUUUUUUAAUACAUGAGAUAUAUUUUGUUAAUUUAAAAUUCUAUUUAAUCCAAAGAUUUAUUUAAGAUAAAUUAAUAAUAAUAUUUUUGAAAUUAUUUGAAAUACUAAAAAAUAUUUUAAUAUUACUAGUCUAUUAAAUAAAUUAAAUAUAUUUAAUAGACUAGUAAUAUUCUGAAAAAUAAUAAAAGAAGAAUUAAAAAAAGACUAGACAAUAGAGAUAUUCGAUUCUUUUAAAGCAAAUCGUAAUAUUCCACAAAGGAGUAAGAUCCACAAAAGCAAACAACCAGUUGGAUUCUUUUAAAGUGGAAUCGUUUAUUAAACAACAAAUUAAUGUUCAAAUAUUUAAAUAGCAGUGCAUUAGACGAUUAGACUGUCUUAUUAAAGGCGAGUAUAAAGUAGUCAAGAAUCGAAUAUCUCUAUUGUCUAGUCUUUUUUUAAUUCUUCUUUUAUUAUUUUUCAGAAUAGGUUUUGGUGAUUACAAUGGGUUAUUAUUCAGAGUUAUUGUUAUCUUCCGGGUCAAUUUCUGUUCAUCGAAGUCGUUAAUUCAAAUUUUAGAACUUUUAUCAAAAGAAUGUUUUUCGUUAUCUUUUUUAUGGUCUAAUUCCAAUUGUAAGAAGUAGUCAUUUUAAAAUUUGGGUCUUGAAUCGAAUUUCAGUGCAUGAAUUAAUAUUAAAAAAAAAUCACUACACACAGUUUAGGCUGCAGACUACUUUUUGCAAAUUUGACUCUGAAAAUUGGAGAAAUUAAGUAAUUUAGAAUGUUUGCAAAGAAAAAGACUAACAUACUUCCUAUUACACUAAAUCUCUAUUAUCAUAAUGUUGAGACUAAACUAACUUAAAUACGUUUUAUUUGAAAAGCUAUAUUAAAUGCAGCCUAAUUUUAUUAACCUGAAGAGCUAAUAGAAGUGUAGUUAUAAAAAUUAUAUUCUGACUUAAUUAGUACAAGUGAUAUAAAGGUUAAGUGUGCACUAUAUUUAAUAAUUAAUUAAUGGAGCAUGUUAAAUAAAAUGAUAAUUUAUAUUUAUAUAAUGUUAGGAAUAUGUAAAGUCUAAGUCCACAAGUUGCAUUAUCUUUAAUAUUUUCUCUCAAUUAAAUUCUAAAAAUACUUUACAAUUAUUUAGUAACAACUGUAAAUUAAGAAUAAAUUAUUGUCCCAAACAACAUUAAAAAAUAUUUUAUUCCAUUUGAAUCCUUUAAUUUUUUUUACAGUAUAUAGAUAAUUAUUACUAUGUGAAUGUAAGUUUCUUAAGAUGGGACCUAUAACAAUUUAGAACUUAUUACAACGGGGAGUUUAUUAGGACCAAAAUUUUUUAUGAGUACAUAAAGUUAUCUUGUAUAGAAUAUUAGUAUAUAGAUGUUUUACUGUAAUUAGUCUAGAACAUUUAAAAAAAAAAAACAUAUACCGUCCCUUGGAUGUAGCUCUUGGGUGACCAUGAAUGUUCUUUGUUCCACAUACGNNNNNNNNNNNNNNNNNNNNNNNNNNNNNNNNNNNNNNNNNNNNNNNNNNNNNNNNNNNNNNNNNNNNNNNNNNNNNNNNNNNNNNNNNNNNNNNNNNNNACCCUCUAUGGGAAUAAUCUAUUUAGUUAUAAAAAAUUAUGAUCCCAAUUUAGACUAGUUAUAAAUAACAACAAAUUCCACUUUGUAAUAAAUUAUAUUUUUUCUAUAUCUUAUCUUAAGAAACUUAUCUCUACAUAGUAAUAAUUAUUUGUAUAGGUAAGAAUGGAUCAAGAUCCUCUCCUGAUCUGAGCACUCCUGAUCUUUUACAGAUCUUAUACCACCUGUGUUUUACUGUUAGUGGAUGAUUAUGAUUUGACUAUUUUUUCUUUUUAAUUUAUUAAUCACCAAUUAUAUUAAUAAAAUUUGCUCAGAUGAAGAUCAGAUCAAGAAAGGAUCCUGAUCCAAUAAGAAUACAUGUUAUAUUAGACUAAAGGAACUUGUCUGCACAUAACGAUUAGACAACGAGCGAAAAUUAUUAAAGCGAAUGCAAAUAAUUAGAAUUUUUUAAGAUGACUUUGUAUAUUCACAAUAAUAAUUGAUAGAUACAUGUACCAACGUUUUAAUAUAUUUGACAUCCUCCAUUAAUAAAUCAUUGAUGUAAUAUAGACUUUAUCUCUAUAUCCUCACACUACGGACAACUAAGUCAUAAUAAUAAUUUUUGUAACUACAUCUCUAUUACUUCCUCAUAAUAAUAAGUUAAUUUGAUCUCUACAUUAUGACUAUGGAGAUUUUAUUGUAUAGGGACACCCAAUAUAAAUAGUAUCCCAACUAAAAUUGUCCCAAAAAAAAAAUCGCUAAAGGAUAAUUAUAAUUUUUUUUCACUUCUCAAACGUUGGUGGCAGUUGUAAGCUAAGUUGUCAAAUAUAUUAAACUACAAGUGCUGCCACCAAGUGCGAUGCUCUUUUCUAAAGAGAAGUACAGUGGGUCCCGAAUAGGACGUGCUUAAAUCUGUUUAAAUUUUUCCAGUAUAACUAACAGAGGUCAUUACUAGAAUUAUAUUACUAGCCUAUUAGAUAGAAAAAAUUAGUUAUAUUAUUUUAUAUUUAUUAAAAAAGUUUAAAGUUAAUCUUUUUAAUUACUAUUUAAAAGAUAUUAUAAUAAAAAAAUAGUGUCUUUACUAAAAAUUUAGAAAUUUAUUUGACCGUUCUCUAAACUUUAUUUAAUAUUAUUGAUUUAAAUAAUAUCUAAAUUAAAAAUGUACAGAGAAGAAAUUUCGGUGGGUAUAUUAGUCUUUUACUUUUAACGUUAGUGGCCUUCUUAUAUUUUAUUACAAAUUAAUCCUAACAAGAAAAAGCUAGAUCAUAUUCCACAAAAGCAAGAGUGACAAAACAUGAAAACAACCAACUGGAUUCUUUUAUUAAACUACAAAUUAAAAUUGUUUUUUUUAAUAAACUAUAAAUUAAAGCGGAUUCUUUUGAAUACAGGUGGGACAGACUUAAGCUCUUUUAUUAAAGGCAAGUAUAAAGUAGUCAAGAAUCGAAUAGUCUUUUUCAAAUUCUUGUUUUAUUAUUUUUCAAAACUAAUUUUUGGUAAUUACACUCGGGUCAUUAAUCAUUAUUCAGAGUCAUUGUUAUCUUCGGAGACAGUGGGUAAAAGAUAAUUACUGGCUGUUUUUCCUUCAAAAGUUAGUGGCUCAUGUUUGCAAGUGUGAAUGUGCGAUGCUCUUUUUCCAAAUGCAAUUACAGUGGGUCCCGAAUCGGAGGAUAAAAAUCCUUUUAGUUUUUGUAUUUUAAGAUUAGUAUAUAUUUAGUCUUUAUAUUUUUAAAAAUACCUCGAAACAUUCAUGCCGUUAAAGUAUUGAUACCACUACCAUUACUUUUCAUUUCUUUUAACUUAAUUUUACAAUAUUACCCUUUUAUAAUAAUUUUUUUAGACAUUAAUAAAAAAUAAUUAAAUCACUAAUUUAACUCUAAAAAAUAAAAAAAUUAUAUUAAUUUUUUUGCAAGCACCGUUUGCACACUUGGUAGGUUGCAUACAAUUUUUGAUAAUUAAAAAUUAAUAUAAAUUUUUAUUUUUAUUUUUAGGGUUAAAUUGAUAAUUUAAUUAUUUUAUUUUUAUUAAUGUACAAACAAAAAAAUUAUUAUUAAAGGGUAAUAUUGUAAAAAUAAGCCAAAAGAAAUGAAAAAUAACGGUAGAAGUAUCAAUACUUUAACGACAAGGAUGUUUCUAGAUAUUUUUAAAAAUAUAGAGAUUAAAUGAAUACUAAUCUUCAAAUACAGGAUUAAAUAGAAUUUUACCCCGAAUCGAACGUGCCUAAAUCUUUUUAAAAUUUUUGCCGUACAACGGACAGAGGUCAUUACUAAAAUUUCUCUUCCACAGCCCACAUCAGCUUCAGGAAUCAGUUUAUCAAACUCAAUCAAUUUUCUUUCUUAACAAAAUUCCAAAGAUGUGUAGCAUUUUUCAGAUCACAUGCGAUGGUGCUUUUUUCAAUCGUUGCUUGGAUUGCUUUCUUGGAAAAGCAGCAUACACACGUAACCUCCAAGAUAAUCUUGUGGCCUUGCAGACUGAAUUAAUGAAACUAAACGCAGCAAAGGACGAUCUGAUGAGGAGGGUCGUCAAUGCUGAACGUCAACAAAUGAGAAGGCUGGACGGAGUGCAAGUGUGGGUUUCGAGGGUGGAUGCUGUUACAACUGAAGCUAAUGAACUUAUCAGAGACGGCUCUCAAGAAAUUGAAAAAUUAUGUCUUGGAGGGUUCUGUUCCAGGAACUGCACGUCAAGCUACAAGUUUGGGAAACAAGUGGCUAAAAAGCUACGAGAUGUGGAGGCUUUAUUUGCCGAAGGGGUUUUUGAGGCGGUGGCUACCAAGGUGGUGCCUGAGAGAGCUCCAGAGCCUGUAGCAGAUGAAAGACCUGCCGAGCGAACAGUAGUAGGCUUGCAAUCACAACUUGAACAAGUCUGGAGAUGUCUUGCAGAAGAAUCAGCGGGAAUCAUUGGCCUAUAUGGUAUGGGCGGUGUUGGUAAAACUACACUAUUGACCCAUAUCAACAAUAAAUUUCUCGAGAGUCCAACCAACUUUGAUUGUGUGAUUUGGGUAGUAGUUUCAAAAGACCUGCGACUCGAAAAAAUUCAAGAAGAUAUUGGGAAAAAGAUAUGUUUGGUUGAUGAUGAUUUGUGGAAGAGUAAAAUUUUUGAAGAGAAAGCUGUAGCCAUCUUGCGGAGAUUAGGAGAGAAGAGAUUUGUAUUGUUGUUAGAUGAUUUAUGGGAGCGGGUUGAUUUAACAAAAGUGGGCGUUCCACUUCCCAGACCAAAAAAUACUACCUCAUAAGUCGUAUUCACAAGCCGUUUCAUCGAUGUUUGUGGUAGCAUGGAAGCUGGCAGGAAGUUCCAAGUAGCAUGCUUAUCAGAAAAGGAUGCUUGGGAACUGUUUCAAGAAAAAGUUGGGGAAGAAACUCUUGAGAGUGAUCAUGAUAUCGUUGAGCUAGCCCAAACCGUGGCCAAGAAGUGUGGUGGUUUGCCACUCGCACUUAUUACUAUUGGUCGAGCUAUGGCCAUCAAAAAGACAGCCGAGGAGUGGAGACAUGCAAUUGAAGUGUUAAGACGAUCAGCUUCAGAGUUUCCAGGUUUGGGAAAAGAGGUGUAUCCUCUUUUAAACUUUAGCUAUGAUAGUUUGCUGAAUGAGACGAUUAGAUCUUGUUUCUUAUAUUGUUGUUUAUAUCCUGAAGAUUAUGGCAUUCUUAAAUGGGACUUGAUUGAUUGUUGGAUUUCUGAGGGAUUCUUAGAGGAAUCUAAUAGGUUUGGUUGUUAGAGUGCAAUUUAUGCACUAGUUUUGCAUUAUUUACUUCCCUUAAUAUCAAUGUUUUGCACUUAAUAAUAGUGAUUUACUUGUGUUUUACUUUUGUAGGUGCAAUUCUAUUGAUUGAUGAUAAAAUUGAGCUAUAAGAUGAUGUUUAAGGAUGAUUGUUCUCUUGAAGAAAUUAUGAGCGUCAGAAGAACUUUGUUGAUAAGGCGUGGGCGCGUGCUGUCAACUGCGGACCUGCAGUUUUAGUUUAACGUGUUUUGUAUUUUUGGUUAUUUUUGUAAUUACGAAUUUAAUAUUUCAGAUAUUAGGAUUUUAUUUUAAAUAGAAUUCUAAAAGAGAAGAGAGAGAAAGUAUUUAAGGGAGGAAUCUAUUGUGAAAGGGGGAUUUUGGAUUGGAGAAAAAGAAACCCUAGAUCUAAUUUUUCUCUUCUCUCUAUGAGGAACUAAACCCAUUUUUCUGGUUGAAGGUUAAUGAAGCUUUGAUUCAUCACUACUGUGAGAUCUUUCUUGUGCUUUAAUUGUUUUAUUACUUUUUGGGUAUUUGUUUAUUCUCUGAAUUAUUUUCAUGAUUAUGUUUGUUAAUUAGGUAAUUGGCCACUAUUUAAUUAUCAACUUAAUCUAUUGUCAAUUAAAGGAUUCAUCGUAUGAAGAAUUUAAUGUUUGUGACAAAUAACAUAGCAGAGAGUUGUGUUGUGAGAAUAAACAAUCUAAUUUAAAUGAAUCAUCAUAUGUGUUGAUUAGGAUUUGGGUCUCUCUGGUUUUUCAGGCUGUCAAUUGAUUAAAUUCUAUGAUCGUAUCUAGGGUUGUCUAUUGAUUAGGGAAAUAACCAACGGUCGUACCUUGGUUAUCGACUAGUUAAGGAGAGAUUGGCUAUUAGAGGGUCUCAGUAGCUAUAACCGGUCUAUUCAUGAGUAAUAAUAAUCUAUAUUUGAAUCAAUGAUCAGUAGUCGAAUCAAGCUGAGUUAAUUCCUUCAACCAGAGCUUUCUCCAAUUUGAAUUACAACUUUAAUUUGCAUUCUUGUUAUUUUAAUUUGAUUUUUAUUAUUGUCAACAAUUCCCCUAUUUUACGUUUUACGUUUCAAAAGGAUUUAAUUAAUUACCGAUCUCUGUGGACACGACCCUGCUCAAUCACUAUACACAAUUUAUUUAGAGUAGGAAUUUACUUUUGUUGGCUUCGACACCCAUCAUUGGUGCAGAAAACCGAGGAUACUACAUUGUGGGCACUCUUGUUCAUGUGUGUUUACUAGAAGAGAUAGAAGAUGAUAAAGUAAAAAUGCUUGACGUUGUUCGUGAUAUGGCUCUAUGGAUAGCUUGUGAAACUGAGAAGGAGAAGAUAAACUUUUUGGUUUGUGCAGGUGCUGGAUUAGAAGAGGCACCGGAUGUUAAAGAAUGGGAAAAUGUGAGAAGAUUGUCAUUGAUGCAAAACCAAAUUGAAACUCUGUCAGAGGUUCCCACAUGCCCUCAUUUCGUCACUUUAUUUCUUGACUUUAAUGGGGAGUUGAAGAUGAUCGCGGAUGGCUUCUUCCAACUUAUGCCUUCUCUCAAAGUUUUGAAGAUGUCAAACUGCUGGAAUUUGAAAUUUCUUGUUGGGAUGUCAAAGUUGGGUUCGCUACAGCUUCUUGAUAUUUCACAGAACGCCAUAGAAGAGUUACCAGAAGAGUUGAAGUUGUUGAUAAAUCUGACAUGUUUGAAUUUGAGGGGGACAGGCCAAUUAAAUAAAAUUCCACGGCAACUAAUAUCAAAUUUUUCAAGGUUACGUGGGUUAAGGAAGUUCAUAACGUGUGCAAGCAGUCAACUCAAGGUUAGCACGUGGGAGAAUUUGCUGAGCUAAAGUUAGUUAAAUAAGCAAUGCCAGCUCAACAAAUUCAGUCAAGGUUUACUGAGAUUUUAUUCCUAUUGUUUUCUUUUCUGUUAACAAUGUAUAAAGGUGUUCUUUGUACUCAUUUGAUCAUUAAGAAAAAAAGAAAUAAAAUCUAGAAUAUUCUCUGAAGUUUUCUCAGUAAAACAGAGUAAAUUUUCUCAGUAACUAAACAGUAUAUAUCAGUGGAAUUUACGUUUUAUAACAUGGUAUCAGAGCCAAACAGUAACCAGCAAACAAUGAUGAGAAAUCUAGCAAUCAAUAAUACACAUCAACACACUCAAAUCAAUUUCUCUUUCACGAAUCCAAUUAAACUAGAUCGAUCAAACUACCUGCUCUGGCGUUCACAAGUUCUGGCUUCGAUUAGAGGUAAUCGACUAGAAGACUUCAUAACUAGAAUCAAAUCAACAUCUGAAGAAAAUAUUUUGUUAGCUGGAGUUGAUGGAUCUACACAACAAAUUGAGAAUCCUGAGUAUCAGAUCUGGAGAUCACAAGAUCAAAUUCUUCUUGGUUGGCUACUGUCAACCUUAAGUGAAGGUAUCCUUAGUCUUGUUAUUAACUGUAAAAGCUCAUUUUCUUCAGCUCAGAUAUGAACUGAACACUCUUAAAAAGGAGUCUCUUAGUAUUGAAGAUUAUUGUGUUAAAAUGAAAGCAAUAGCUGAUAAGCUUGCUAGUGCUGGUAGCUCGAUAACAGAAAAGGAUCUAAUGCUAACCAUACUCAAUGGAUUAGGAUCAGGAUAUAGUGAUAUUGCUACUUUCAUAACUGGUUCACGAAUGGAAUUUGAUGAUACUUAUGCAUUAUUGCUCACUCAUGAAACUAGGUUGGAACAAGAUCAUGAUGAUAAGAGUAUGUUCAAUGCUAACUAUGCAUAUACUAAUGCAUUUCAUCCUAAGGUUUAUUAUGCACAGCCUAGAGGAAAUUUUAAGAGAGGAGGUUAUUAUGGUGGUAGGAAUGUUUUCUCUGGUAGAGGGAAUAUGAAUUUUUCUCCAAGAAUGUUUAAUGGAGGUUUUAGAAGUGGUUUUGGUAGAGGAUAUUAUGUUGGUAAUCCUUUUAAUGGUAAUAAUUCUUUAGCACCAAAGAAUUCAUCAUCUGUUAUCAAGAAUGGAUCACAGAGAACUUUUAAUAACAAUCCAGGGGACUCAGUAUGUCAGAUUUGUCUCAAACUUGGUCAUACUGCUGAUAUUUGUUGGCAUAGAUUUGUUGAAGAUUAUGUGCCAAUGCCAAGGGGUUUUUAGAAAAGGAAAAGCACCCAGAGCAGCAUCACUACUAGAAAAAUAGCUUUUACUGAUACUUGUCUUGUGAUACUUUUCUAAAAAGUAUCAGCAAUUACAUAUAUUUGGGCCAUUUUCCGUGUUUAACAAACAAGUGUCACAAAUUACUGAUUCUAUGAUGUUUGUAUAUUAAACAUCAGAGAUCGUCGACACUAAGGUAUCAGAAACAACAAAAAAAAAUAAAAAAUCUAUUUUUGUUUUAGUUGCGACUCGAACCUAGGACCUCAAAACUAAAGUGCUUUAUGUUCAACCAACAAACCACCAUGCCAAAUUCAUAAAUUAGUUUGUGUUGAACAUGUUGAAAUUAUCAAAUUAAAUUAAUAUAGAAAACAAAAAUAUAAAAGCAAAAGAAAAAAACCCUAAAUCAACAUAAACAUAAAAUUCCCUAACUCCUAAAUCCAUGGCCAGCCGCCUCAUCUCUCUGGCGAUAUCCUUCUUCUUCUUCAUACCUCUAAAACUUCGAGCCCUAAAAUUCAAGGGUCCAUGUCAUAAGAAAUCCUACCACCACUGCUCAAAUUCUAACACCCAUACCAUACGAAACCCUAAUGAUCUACAUUAUGCAAAACAUCCACCAUGCCGCUAUGCCACAAGCUCACAAGACCCGCUUUAGAUCUCCACAUUUUGCUCACCCUACUCGAGUGCACACCGCCCCUCUCGCUUCGACUUCUCGGGAUUUCUUGUUAGCUGAAGUUUUGUUUUCUUCCGCUAAUUCGAUCUUCGAAAGGUCUCGGAGCUCCAAGUAACUAAGUAAGCUCGGUUUUCUUCUAUUCUCUCAGAUACUUGCUUACACAUUCCUUUUUUUUUCGUGUUAAAUUUUGUUGUUUCGUUGUGUUAUAUGGAUCGAUGAGAGUCACAGACUUUGACGAGACAAUGACGAUAUUGUUUUGGAGUUUCGUUUCGUAGAUCUGUGAUAGAGUCUCCUUUUUCAGAUAUUUCCUUUCAUUUACCAUAUUUGCACAAUUUGUUUUGUCAUUAAAUUAUUUGCGUUUGAAUGUACAAUUUUUGUUUUCGUUUUAUAUUUUCAAAUACUGUUUCUUGGAGCGAAUUAGUGGAGGAAUUUUUGGUUGAAGCAGAGGAUGGAUAACUUUUGUAUUUUGAACUUUGUAUGUUAUUUAUUAUUUGAACUUGAAGCUAAAAGGUGACCAAAUUUUCCAAAGGUUAGGGUUUGGUUGGCUUAUGUGAAAAUGCCGAACGAAUGUGUAUUAUUCAUACUCCAAUAUUGUAGGUGCGUCAAUGCACCUCCUUGCGAUGGUUGCAGCAACGAAACUGUAGGUCAAGGUUUGGGUACCCCAUUUCCUUCAAAGAUCCAAUAUGGAGCAACUCGAGUCGAGCUUUUUCGGUCAAUUUAAACAAAACCUUUACUCCUAAUUUAUUGUCUUUUGCUUUCUGUUUGUACCUGUAGGAGUUCAUAUUUUGUAAUGUUCCGUAAGUGUCCAAUAACUGGUUAAAUUAUGACUUAUGCUAGGUGAAGAUUUUGUGUUACAAUCCCCUUCAAUAGGCAAUCACUCUUUUUGUAAAUGUUCAUGGGUAAUUGCUUUGCCUUUGCUUCUGUUGUACUUUUGUUUUUGUGGGGUUUUAGUUAAUGGAUGUUGAGUUAUAUUUCAAUCAGUUUGAUUUCUCUGCAUAUUUUUCAUAUUUUAGUAUUAGAAGAGGUAUUUAAUCAAAUGAAGACAAAAACAAUUGUCGGCCAACCAACAAACUCACUUUAGUUUGUUGUGAAAUGAUUUUCUCUCUCUCUCUCGAUUUUCACUGGUUCUGUGGUUUUUUCCCUUCCACAAUGUGAUUUAGUUCUGUUCUAUUUAUGGAUGUUACCAACAUUUUAGCUUUUAAGAAACAGACAAAAAGAUUCUGAAGUUUGUUUCUUGUUUCUUACUCUGAAUUUCCAAGGCAUCUUAUUUGGAGAAAUGCAUUCUGAAUGGAGAAAUUUCUCCAAAUUUAUGAGAUGUGGUUCUGUCUUGCUGAAUGAACAUUGUAUUUCCUUCAAUGGUUUGCGAGCCAUUAAGUUAUUUGAGCAAACAAAAUUAGCAAUAUGGAAUCCUGUUUCUACAGGAUUAUAGUUGUAGGACUCUAGAAUUUAGUCUAGGUAAUGUUUUUACCAUUGUAAAAAGUAUCUGACAUUGGUGAUGUUUAAGCAUAUGUGUCAUUUCUUUUGGGCUUCACUUUGGAUCCUUUUUUUCUUUUUUUACAAACAAUGGAUGGUUAAAACCUAAGAGACUGAUUGAUUUUUGUUUUAAAUCCAGUGGUUAUGCCUUGUAAACUUUUGAGUUGUAUCAAUUUCUUUUCCUGGCCUAACUUGGCUAAAUUUAUGCUAUAUAAUUGAAUUCUACAAAUUUUGGCUAUGUAUGAUGUAAAGGUCAUAAGUCUUGUAUCUUCAUUUGUUCACCACAGGCUUGAUACUUCACAACUACCAUAAGUUAUGUCAUGCCAUGUCUUCUUUAGCAAUAUUGUGUGGCUUUGAGUAGUAUUAAUGUUUUUGUUUGUUAAUUCACGACUUAAUGGAACCAUUUUCCUUAUAAUCGAGAACCUUCGUGCGAGUGUUGUGGAGAAAUCUUAUGAUUCAUGUGUAGGUGUGUUUGCUUAAUGUGAUGACUUUUAUUAUGUGUUGUAGUUCUUGUGUCUAUAAGAGGAACCUUUGCUCCUAUGUCUAUUUAUCUCCGACUUUCAGUUUAGGCGUAAAUAGGUUACUCUUCUUUCUUUCUCAUUUUUUAAUUUCUAUGUUCUCCUAUGUCUAUUUACAUGGACUGCUUUGCUGCUUCUCUGCAGUGAAAACAACCCUGGUAAUUUACAGGAGCUUUUUUCACUUCAGAACAAUAGCAAGACAUCCCCUGCAGAUUUUUUAUUGAUUUUGCAUAGAUUGGUUUGUUGCUUUGGGUUGGAAUGCUACUGGAUAUAUGUCAGAAUUAUAGCGCUAUUGGAAGAUGGUGGGUUGUUGCAUAUGAGUUGGAGUGUUCCUGGGUAUGUAGCUAGAAUUAGAGUGCUGUUGGAAGAUGGUAUUGCUACUGGAAGUUUUGCUCAAAAACUUGUCGUUGGAAUACUUGCAUUAAUUUUUGGAAAUUUUAUUGGGUAACUUGGCUAGGUGGCUGAAAUUUUAAUUGCUUUUGUGUAUUGAAGCAUUUGGAUUGUGUAAUAUAUAUUGAUAAUAUUUAAAUGUUAUGAAAGGUUUUGAUAAAUAAAUUGAUUUUUGUUCUUAUUUCUCACAGCCUUUUAAUUCUAUCAACAAAUCAAUGGGUAAUGUCAUUUUGUAUAAUUAUUUUUUUAAAUAAUACAUAAAGUAGUGAUACUAUAGUAACAGUAUCACAAAUACUAAUAUAGUAUUGUAAUAUUUUGAUACCAUGGUGUUAUGAUUUUAAUGAUACUAUAGUAAUAGUAAUUACUGACACCACUUACAAGUGUCACUAUUUUUCUGACUGCCAGAUUACUGACACAAUUAGCAAGUGUCACUAAAAGUAAUUACUGACACUAUUCUAAUGUCAGUAAAGACCAUUUUUCUAGUAGUGCAUAUCUGUCAAAUUUUGAUGGUUCUGUUUCAAAUCCAAACUUUGAAGAUUAUGAGAACUUCAACUAUAUGCCUUCAGCUUAUAAUCCUAUGUCUGGCAAUAGCUAUUAUUCUGGUUUUGAUGCUUGUACUCCUGGAGUAGCAUUUAUGGCUAACUUUGAAGGAGUUGCUAAUGAUGAAUGGUACUUGGAUAGUGGGGCAACUCACCAUCUGGACAACAACAUGGAGAGCUUGCAGAUCAGUGAGGAGUUUAAGGGUACUGAUUAGCUCAUAAUUGGUAAUGGUCAAGGUUUGUUUAUCACUAAUGUUGAUUUUGCAUUUCUGUCACAAAGAGCAUCAAAUUACUUAUCUGCACAUUCCAGAAUAGCACUUAAGGAUAUAUUACUUGUUCCAUCAAUUACCAAAAAUCUACUAAGCAUUUCCAAAUUGACAUCUGAUAACCCUAUAACUGUUGAAUUUUGUGGGAAUGUUUGUUUUGUGAAGGACAUGAAUAGACAAGUUCUGCUGCAGGGACUUGCCGAAAAAGGUCUAUACAAGCUGCUGCUGAGUUCUAAUUCCUCUUCUUCAUUUCCUUCAUCUCAUCUUUGUCAUACUCAACUAAAUAAUUAUGUCUCAAUGUUGUCUAGCUUUCAAAGCUUUGAUAAUCCUUCUAAAGUUUGUUAUCAUUCUGUUUUCAAUAAAUGCAAAACCAAAUAUGAUGUAAUGACAUUGUUACAUAGAAAAUUUGGUCAUCCAAGUUCAAUGAUUCUGAUGCAUUUAGCUAAGUCUUGCAAGCAAUUAAAAAUCUCUCAAAAAGAUAUUCUAUCUUGUACAAAUUCUUUGUGUGAGGCAUGUCAGUUAGGCAAAGUUCACAGGCAAAGUUUUCCAGCAACUGAAACAAAAACAAAAGGAGUAUUAGAACUGAUUCAUACUGAUAUCUAGGGACCUUCACCCACUGUAUCUAGAAAUGGAUACAAGUAUUACAUUAGUUUUGUGGAUGAUUACACUAGAUACACCUGGAUCUAUCCACUUAAGCUUAAAUCACAAGCAUUUGAAGUUUUCAAACUGUUCAAGGCACAAGUUGAAAAUUAGUUUAAUACCAAGAUUAAGGAAUUACAAUCUGAUCUGGGGGAGAGAGUUUAGAGUAUUCAGUAAUUUCCUAAGUCAAAAUGGAAUCAAGUUUAGACAUUCAUGCCCUUAUACUCAUCACCAGAAUGGUCUUGUUGAGAAGAAACAAAGACACAUAAUUGAAUUAGCAUUAACACUCUUAGCUCAAGCUAAUCUCCCUUUUCAGUUUUGGUGGAAAGCUGUUCACACAGCAACAUAUCAUAUUAAUAGGUUACCAACACCUGUUCUUAAGCUUUUAUCUCCUUAUGAAAAGCUCUUUAAACACAAACCAGAUUAUUCAUUUCAUAAGUGCUUUGGUUGCCUAUGUUAUCCAUAUAUGAGAGAUUUAAAUAAACACAAAUUUGAUUUUCACACCACCAAAUGCAUCUUCAUUGGCUAUAGUCAUUCUUACAAGGGUUAUAAGUGUUUAACAAGCUCAGGAAAAAUUCAUAUCCUAAGGCAUGUUAUCUUUGAUGAAAAUACAUUCCCUUACUUAACAAACAAAGUCUUUCAUUUAUCCGAGAACAGUUCAAAUUCUGAAAUAUCAGUGUCAAACUUUUCCCAGUAACAAAUUUAUCAUCUCUCCACAUUAUCCUUAACUGACAGCAGCUUGGAAGAUCUUCAAUCAGCAAGUUCAGAAAGCAAUGAACAAGUACCUUCUGUUUCUGCACACACAAAUAAUCUGCAUCAACAAGAGCAUUCUCAAGAGCAUUCCUCAUCAACUAUACCAUUAUCACCAACACAACAACAAACUGAAUCACAACCACAAAAUGAACCACAUCUAUCUACUUCCUAGCACAUAAAUCAAACUCAAACUAGAAACCUUCCUUCACAACCAUCACAUUCAAUGGUAACCAGAUCGAAAAUAUGGAAUCUUCAAGCCAAAAGUUUACAUAACCACCUUAACCAACAAAGAACCCAGUACUGUUCAAGAAGCUCUAAGUGAUCAGAAUUGGCAUCAAGCUCUGAAAGAUGAAUAUGAAGCUUUGCUUAGGAAUGAAACAUGGUCACUAGUACCAUUUUCAGAGGUAUACAAGGUUGUUGACAGUAAAGGGGUUUUCAGAAUUAAACAAAACACAGAUGAGAGUGUAGCUAAAUACAAAGCCAGGUUAGUUGCAAAGGGUUUCCAGCAAACUAAUGGUGUUGACUACUUUGAGACCUUUAGUCUUGUGGUAAAGGCCUGCACAGUAAGAAUUAUUUUUAGUUUGGCUGUGAUGAACAAGUGGAAAAUAAGGCAAGUGGAUGUCAAUAAUGCAUUCUUAAAUGGAGAAUUGACUGAAGAUGUUUACAUGUAUAAGCCAGAAGGUUUCAUUGAUGAGAAAAAGUCCAGUUAUGUAUGCAAGUUGAAGAAAGCCCUGUAUGGCUUAAAACAAGCUCCUAGAGCUUGGUAUGAUAAGUUGAAAAACCGUCUGAUAAGUUGAAAAACUGUUUGAUAAGUAAUUGGGGUUUUCAAAAUUCCAGAGCUGAUACUUCUCUCUUCUUCAAAGAGAUUCAAGGCUCAAUAAUACUUGUGCUUAUAUAUGUGAAUGAUAUACUUAUUACAGGGCCUGACAUUGGAGAAUUAGAGAAGUUUAUCUUAGAAUUCAGUAAGACAUUUGCUUUAAAGGAUCUAGGAAUACUAUCAUACUUUCUUGGGAUAGAAGUCUCUUAUGCUGAUGGUUGUAUGUACUUAUCUCAGAGAAAGUAUAUUAAUGAUCUCUUGUCUAAAGCUGAUAUGUUGAACUGUAAAGGGUGUGAUACUCCCAUAGCGAUUGGACUGAAACUUCAAAAGGAGGUUAAAGGUUGUUUAGGUCAGUAUGUUGAGGAUGCAACCAGUUACAGAAGUUUGGUUGGAGGCUUGCAAUAUCUGGUGUUAACCAGACCAGAGAUAGCCUUUGCUGUGCACAAACUCAGUCAAUAUGUGACAGCUCCAACAUUGCAGCACAUAAUGGCCUGUAAACGAGUUCUAAGAUACCUAAAGGAAACCAUGGAUUAUGGUCUAAAGUUUUCAGCUGGUGGAGAAAUGGAAAUCACAGGUUUUAUAAAUGCAGAUUGGGCAUGCGAUAUUGAUGACAGAAAAUCUAUAGGUGCAUACUGUAUCUAUUUUGGAAAUAAUCUGGUGUCAUGGUCAUCUAAGAAGUAGUCUGUGGUGAUAAGGUCUAGUGCAGAAAGCGAAUACAGAGCUUUGGCUUCUGCAAGUGUAGAAAUAGCAUGGAUUCAAUCUUUGUUCAGUGAGCUAAAUAUAAGAUGUGUCUCAGUACUUAUCAUCUGGUGUGACAACAUGAGUGCAACAAAGUUAAGAUAAAAAUCUAGUCUACCAUUCACGUACCAAACACAUUGAACUGGAUAUGCAUUUUGUUAGAGAUAAGGUUUUAGCAGAGGAGCUGAAAAUUAACUUCAUUCAAAGUGAAGAACAGAUAGCCGAUGUCCUAACAAAACCUCUCACAUUCAUUCAUUUUAAUUAUUUCAUAAACAAACUCAAUGUGCAGCCAUGCCCCUUGAGUUUGAGGAGGGCUGUUAAGGAAGCUCAUAACGUGUACAAGCAGUCAGCUCAAGGUUAGCACGUGGGAGAAUUUGCUGAGCUAAAGUUAGUUAAGUAAGCGAUGUCAGCUCAGCAAAUUCAGUCAAGGUUUACUGAGAUUUUAUUCAUAUUGUUUUCUUUUCUAUUAACAAUGUAUAAAGGCAUGCUUUGUACUCAUUUGAUCAAUAAGAAAAGAAGAAAUAAAAUCCAGAAUAUUCUCUGAAGUUUUCUCAGUAAAACAGAGUAAAUUUUCUUAGUAACCAAACAGUACAGAUCAGUGGAAUUUACGUUUUAUAACAACGUGUGUUGAGAAUGUUGGGUAUUGGCCAAUUCAAUUUUCAUGAAGCACCAGAAGACAACGCUUUAUUUGGUGGGGGUGAAGUUUUGAUACAGGUAUUGCUCGGUUUGAAAUAUUUAGAGGUAUUGGAGUUGACCUUGGGAAGUUAUCAUGCUCUCCAAAUUCUUUUGAGCUCAAAUCAGUCAAAAAGUUGUAUUCGAUCUCUUCUCCUCCACAAGUUUAGAGGUACAACGCCGAUUAUUGAUGCUACGGCUUUCGCAGAGCUAAACCACCUCAACGAAUUAUUUAUUAAUAAUAGUAUUGAGUUGAUAGAAUUGAAGAUUGAUUAUACAGAGAUAGUACAAAAAAGGCAGGAACCUUUUGUUUUCCGCAGCCUUCACCGUGUUACCAUAUUUAGGGCCCGUUUGGGAGUGAGGUGCUGUAGCUUUUAAGCUGCAGUUGCUGUGGAGUAAAAGCUAUAGAUGUGGAAUGGAAGUUGAUGGUGUUUGGUAAAAGUGUUGUAGCUUUUAAGCUGCAACUACUGAUGGUGUUUGGUAGAGUGGAUGAAUAUUUGUAAUAAUUAAUUUUAAAUAACAUUAUUUUUAAUUGUUAACAAAUCAAUUAUUUUUCAUUCUUCAAAUUAUUAUAUUGACAUACAAUUACGAUUUAUUCCGUUACAAAUUAAAUUAAUAUUUAAUAAAUCAAAUUUAUUUUUUUGCACAAGUUGUAAUAAAUAAUUUAUAAAACACAUCAUGGGGUCAAUUAUAAAUAAUUUUAAAUAACUAUUAUUGACAAUGCCAACCGGGCAGUGUACAUGAUAUGCUUCUCCAAAUUGCUUCGGUUUGUACCUGAUAUGAUUAAUCGAGUAUUAUUUACAAUACCAAAUAUAUCUAAUAAAAAUCAUACAACAAAACAAAAUAAAAUUAAAAUGUAAUUAAUUACAAAAUUUGUAUAAAUAUUUCUAUUGUUGUGCCUCCAUUAAACUUGCAGCAAUGCCAUCUUUCAAGAUUAUUAUAUCUUGAGUUGUGCUAUCAAUUGUUUCAUAACUUUCUUCAUGAGAUGCAAUAUGUUCGCUAAUACUAUGACUUGGUUCAUCCGUCAUUUCAUCAAAAUGAUCAUUAUUUUGUGAAUAUCUUCUGAUAUAAUUAUGCAAGGCCAUGGUAGCAAUAACUAUUUUCACCUGCUUCUUGAAUGGAUAGCUUGGCAUACUUCGUAAAAUCUUCCAUGUAUUCUUCCAAACCCCAAAAGUACGCUCAAUAACACUUCUCAAGGAAGAGUGCUUGUAGUUGAACAAUUCUUUAUAACCCAUUGGUUGGCUACCUCUACGAAAUUCAGGAAGGUGAUAUCUUUCACCCUUAUAUGGUCCUAAGUACCCACAUAACUCCGGAUAUCCUGCAUCUACUAAAUAAUAUUUUCCUAAAAAUAAAAAGAAAAAUACAAAAUAAAUAAAACAAUCUAAUCAAUUGAAUAUGUAUAUAUAAAAGAAAAAUUAGAAACACAAACCUGGAGGAGGGUUUGGAAAAUUGAAUGCAGGAUUCGUAAUAGUUGUUUGAAAUACCCUUGCAUCAUGGGCACUGCCUUCCCAACCAGCCACUGCAAAUAUGAAUUGCAUAUCAAAGCUACAUACAGCCAUUACAAAUUCUUUUCCCACCAUUCCUCACUUGCAUCAACUGUCCUCAACCUAUGAUUCCACCCUAAACCAGUUUCUUUGCCAAUCAAAUUCUUCCACAAUUUCCAAUCAGUUCUAAGAGAAUCCCAUUUAUUUUUCAUUUGAGUUCUGUUGUAAUCUAAUCCAGUUUCUUUAGUGAACUCCUUAAUCAAAUUUUCAUAUCCUUGGGAAGUCAAAUGAGUCCCUGGACGAUGUCCGGCAUCCACCUCUUUAACGCAUAAGUCACAAAAUACAUCUAAAGUCUGGGGGUUCCAAGUAGCCUUACUAGUUGAGCUAUUAGACACAAUUUCAUACACUUAAACCUAGGAAAAAAAAUAUUUCUUUAUCAAACAACAAUACAGAAAAAAUAAGAAUAUAGAAGUUAAGAAAAUUACUAGAAUCUUGUUAUGGAUGGUGGAAGGAAAAAUAAUUCGAUAUUAAAAAAUUAAAAAAAAAGACAAACCAGAACAAGUUACCUUAGUUGUUACUUUACUUGAAAUACUUUUCCAGCAAACAAUAAUGAUCAUAGCCCACGAAUAGAAACAAUUACAAGCAAGUCAAUAAAGCAACAAAAGACAAACCAGACUAGGAAACAAAGAAAUUCAACUAAACAAUCAUUAGGUACAAACUGCAAUUGCAUUUAGCCUCACAAUCUCAAAUUUGCUACGUGCUUUGAUAUUUCCUGUACUAUUCUUUUGGCCCAUCCUAAGACAUAUACAAUUGCAAUUGCAACACUUUCUCCCUUCUUUUUUCUGUAAUUCGUAUGGCGACUUACGUAUAUAUAACCUAAUUAAUUGAAUUAAAUUGAUGAUGGGUUAGAAAAUCAUUAGGCUUAUUAAUUAUACGCGUCAAAAGAAUGGUCGGCCAAUAAUUAGGUGUCCUGCUUAUACUCCUGUAAUUUAGUCAUUCUCUAGUAAAUAUUAUUAAAUAAAAAGAAACACAAACAAUUAAGCUUAUUGGUAACUGAACUGGUGCCCAAAAAUAACAAGAGCAGGAGAAAGCAAACACACCCAAGAAUUUGACAAACUUCAACUUGAAAUCCAGAAUUUGACAAACUUCCUUUUGUUUACUGAAGCAUAGUAUUUCAUAACGAAGGCAUGCAUUUUAUUAUUUAAUGUCUUGUAGAACUGGAAACUCAAAUCAAACAGGGGUUGUGCAUGUUUAUAAAAAGCAACUACAAAAAUAAAAACUACAAUAAAAACAAUGGUUACAAGCAAAUAAAUCACGCAUGACCCAUCACCCAUCAAUUUAUUCUAACAAAAGCCCCAACAUUUUAUGAAUGAAAAGGAAGAAAAUGAAAAAUUGCUUGAAAUAGAGUAAAGGAGUACUCAAAAAUGAACAACAGAUAGAGGAAAAGGCACCACUGACAGAGGCGUAUGAGAGUGGCCGGUGUCGGAAUCGCGCCGAUGAGAAUUUCGGUGUCAGAAUCGCAUCAAUUGGAACUCCCACAGUCGGAAUCGUGCUGAUGAGAAUGGGUGUUUAGGGUUUGUUUAAAAAAAUCGAUUUGAAAUAGAACUCCCACUGACAUGACUGUUUGAUAAAAUGAAAAUGGAAUAAUAUAUAAAGUUAAUUUAGUAAUUAAACUUGCAGCUGGGAAAAAAAAUCUGUCAAGUUGUCAAAACACAACUAUAAGUGGUACCAAACACUUUGGUGGCUGGGCUGCUCACCACACUCCCAAACGGGACCUUAGUUGCGGUAAAUUGAAAGAUGUGACAUUCCUCGUUUUUGCUCCAAACCUCAAGUCUCUUUGGCUAUUCGAUUGCGGUGCUAUGGAAGAAAUAAUCAGCGUCGGAAAAUUUGCUGAGACUCCUGAGAUGAUGGGACAUAUAAUCCCUUUUGAAAAUCUCCAAAUGCUUAAUUUAAUGGAAUUGCCGGAGUUGAAGAGAAUUUUCUGGAAGCCAUUGCCUUUCACUCAUCUGAAAGAAAUAUCUGUGGGUUAUUGCCGUAAUCUUAAAAAGCUUCCACUCGAUUCCAACAGUGCAAAAGAGCGUAAAUUUGUAAUUCGUGGAGAAGAAGACUGGUGGAACCGACUUCAAUGGGAGGAUGAAGCCACUCAAAUUGCUUUUCGUUCCUGUUUCCAACCUCGUUCCUGAGCGGUGGUCGCAAAAUUUGAUUUCUGGUGAGUGCGUUUUUGUUAACGCUUAUGUUUUUAUUCCAGUGUGUUUUUCUUCUGUCUUCUGCAAAUCACGAUUAAAUGUUGAAUAAUAUGGAAUCAAUGCUUUAUAAAUUUUCCGGCGUGGCCAUUUCCUUUUCCCUUUUUUUUUUUGGGGGGGGGGGGGGGGCGUGGUUCGAUUGAUGCUCUGGCUUUUUACUUUUUGUCUUCGAAUUUUGCUCUGUUUUUCAAAUUGAUGCUUGAAUAGUUGAAUUCAAUUAAUGCUCACAUAAAUUUGUUUAGUUGCCGUAAAACGGUAAAAGGAUAUAAUUAGAUUGAAAUUCGCACUUCUAGAAUGAAUAGAAUUACAAUAGAGAAAAUAUUAAGUAUACAAGCCCUCUUUACAGAAAAUCAAAUGAAAAUAAAAUUUUUUGGAUAUUUGAUUUUCUAUGGUCUACUGUAUACGCUUUAUAAAUUCCUCUGCUUUAACGAUAACCAAAUCCUUUUUUCAAGGAUUUUUAUUUGGGGUAUUGAUAAUAGUCCACCAACAUAGUGAACGCUUGGAUGCUGCUUAAGGAUCUCUAAUCAGUAGCUGGAAGCAAAUGAGAAGGCGGUCGCUACUUUGUACAAAGCCAUGCAGCAAUUGCUAUUCAUUUUCAAACAAAGUUGAGAUGUUAUUUUCAGAUUUGGUUCCAGAUUUUGUAUGAAUAUCGUUGUUCCAUUGAGUUGUAUAUGAAUUCAAAUGUAAAAUAUUCUUUGGUUUUCAAUUUUGAAUUCAAUUUCUUUUUCUUAAGCAUGUUGUGCAGAAAUGAUUUCUACUAAAUCAUUUUUGAUAAACUAUUUAAAUUAAACAACUGGAAUAAGAACUGUAAGGAUUUAUCGUAAGCAGACUAAUAUGAUAAUUCUGAAACUAUCAUUUUUUUUUUUUCAAUUUGUUGCAGGGAAAGCCAAAUUUUGCGUUUUUCAGUUUUAUCUGAUAUGGGCUUUAUUUCCUCUACACUAGCUACCUAAAGAUUUAUCAAAUUGCUUCUCUUCCCUGCUUCAAAUAUCUUCAUGGCAUCAUAGGAAAAGAGAGUUUGGGUUGUAUUUAUUAUAGUUUUUAUUUUUUUUUUUGUUAUAAGCAAAUUUAUUUUAAAUACUUUAGUAGUAACAGUUUUUAUUGAAUAAUAAUGAGGGAUGAUUAUUAUAGGUUCAAAUAGUUGUUAGAACAUUAUAAAAAGUCUAUUUACUAUCAAAUGUUUUAAAUUGAUGCAACGUGAUAAUUGUCUCAUAUAAUUUUUUUAUAAUAUAUAUGUCCCAUAAUCUUAACAUGAAUAAAUGAAUUUCAACGGUUAAAUUUGACACGAUUAUUAAAUAGAUCAUAUCUAUAUUAAUUCGAUUUAAAAUCUGGUCACAUUUGGAUUUAGAGUUUCUAACAUGAUAACUUGUUUUAUGACAUGAUUUACUAAUCAAUUAAUAGUAAAUCAAAUGUCAGUCAAUUAAAUAUGUGGUACAUUUGUCAUAUUUUAAAAAUUAUUUAUUUAUAUUUGAAAUGAAUUUGGUGCNNNNNNNNNNNNNNNNNNNNNNNNNNNNNNNNNNNNNNNNNNNNNNNNNNNNNNNNNNNNNNNNNNNNNNNNNNNNNNNNNNNNNNNNNNNNNNNNNNNNAUAAGACGACGCGACACAAAUACAACCAACAAGUCAACCCAAAUUGCCACCUUUUACUAUCUUCUUUGUGUUAUUUCUCUAAAAAUUUGUGCCUUCUCUUACACUUUUAAAUCUGAAGUGUUUGAACUGGAGUACACAAAUUAUCUCUCUACAAUUCCAAAACAACCAAUUUGUUACUUGGUAAAUCUUAAUCAAUGGCAGGAAGCAAUUGAGAAGGCGGUCGCUACUGUGUACAAAGCCAUGCAGUAUUUGCUAUUCAUCUUAAUAAUUGUUAAGCUUUGGUAAAAUUUUCAAACAUAGUUGACAUCAUGUUGUUUUGAGAUUUGGUUCAUGAUUUUGUAUGAAUAUCGUUGUUCCGUUUGAGUUGGAUGUGAAUUGAAACCUAAAUAUUCUUUAUUUUUCAAUUUUGAAUUCAAUUUCUUUUUCUCAAGCAUGUUAUGCAGAAAUGAUUUUUACGAAAUCAUUUUUGAUGAAUUAUUUAAAUUAAACAAUUGGAAUAAGAAUUGUAACGAUUUAUCAUAAGCAUGCUAAUAUGAUAAGUUGUUUUACGAACGAUUAAUUAAUCAAUUAAUAUUAGAUUAUAUAUUAGUCAAUUAGAUAUGUGUUACAUUUGUCAUAUUCUAAAAACUAUUUAUUUAUAUUUCAAAUAAAUUUGACCAGAGGUUACGUAGGUAAUACUACAUAAUUUCUAAAGGAAUGUAAAAAUUUAAAGUUUUAUUAAAUAGGUGACUCAAUAAUAAAUGGAUUUCUGCAAGAAUUGAGAUUCUUGAGAUAAUUAUUACAUAGGGAAUUUUGGUUAGUUCAAUUUUGACAUGGUAAGAAGACGACACGGCGCAGAAAACCCAAAUUGCCACUUCUACUAGUAAUAAAAGAUACCUGUUUGAAAAGUAAUUAUAAACUAUCUUCUUUGUGUUAUUUCUCAAAACUUUUGUGGCACAAUGUUAUUUCCCUGGAGAAAAGUACGAAAUACCCCCUUUCACGUCGGCAGAAGCAAAGCAAAGCUAUGAGCUAUCUCUGUAUACUUGAAACGCCAUUGCUAAACGAUUCUCGAUGAUGGGUGCCACUGGGUCAGUGUUGUCUCUGAUUUACAUGAUUUAUUAGUUGUCCAGAUGCCAGAGAAACCAUGGUGGCAUUGAAGUUGCCCAGAUGGUUAGUUUUCUGAUCAUUUUUUUAUUCAAUUAUUUAUUUUUUUAGAAAAAUGUGAGAAAUAUGUAGAAAUGUUGACAGCUAUGAUUUUGAAACUUUGCCUAAAAUUGUUAUCAUCACUUAUUUAAAGAGAAAUCCUAGAAACAUGAAAUGAUUAGUAGCCUAAUUCAAAAUUAGACGUGAUUACAACAAGAGAAAAGUGGAGAGAACUUGAUAAUCGAGUGCAUUUAGAAUUUAAUUUUUCUUUUAGCUGCCGAUCAUUAAAUUUUCGAUUUCAGAAAAUUAUACCUAGAAUAUUUCAAGGAUAUACUAUGAAGAUUAUGAAGGUUUGAUUACAUGUCACUAUCAAUUGCCCCAAUCAUUUGUAGUAAAUUAAUUGAUCAUUUUGAUGCAAAUGAUUCCCUACUAAAAAAUUUAAGUCAAGGCUGAAUUGCAUAGUAGUUAGUCGCGCUUGCACUUCAAAUUAAGUAUUGUAUUUUCUGCCUGGUUUGGUUGAUUAAAGUGUGUGCAUUUGCUUUUGAACGUUGUAGUAUAGAAAUCGAAACAUUUGUUUUUCGCUAAGCCCAGAAGCAAAGUUCUUUGUACUGUACUCAUCACUUCUCUUCAUUCUCUUUGUUGAAAUUUUUUCCAAACAGCGGUUUCUUCGAAUUUGUGCCUUCUCUUCCACUUUUAAAUCUAUCAAAGAACCGUUACCUGAGAAGAUUGCCAUCAGGAAUUUCUAAAUUGAUUUCACUAUAAUACCUUAAUCUUUCAGAUACUCCCGUCACUGGGUUGCCAAAAGUGCUAAAAGCCUUCGUAAAUCCUACGUGUUUGAACUGGAGUACAAAUGUUAUCUCUCCACAAUUCCAAAACAACUGAUUUGUUACUUUUCAAUGCUACACGUUCUGCGAAUGUUCAGUUGUGGUUAUCUUGCUGAAAUACCAGAAAAUAGGGUUCUAGUUGGCGGUAGUGGAUUCUUGGUUGGGGAAUUGCUUAGUUUAAAACAUUUAGAUGUAUUAAGCAUCACCUUAAAAGGUUUUUCUUCUGUCCAAAAACUUAUGAGCUCCCAACAGUUUCAAAGCUGUACAAAAUGUUUGGAGCUUAUAGACUGUGAUGAUUCAAAGUCGUUUGCCUUGGCAGAGUUGAAGCAUCUUGAAAAACUAGGUUUUUCAAAUUGUGGAAAUUUGGAAGAUAAAUUACAUUUAUAAACUGUGGAUCGCCCUUUAUAAGUAUUAGGCUUAUCCCAUACUCGAGCAAUGUGGAAUACCUUUAUAAGCAUUAAGCCUCUCCCAUACAAUUUCUGUACAUGACUUUAAAAGUGGUUGAUGACCCGUUUUGUAAUAUCAUAGAGGGAUCAUGAAUUCCUUUUCUUUUCUGUGGCUAGGCAACACUUUUGGGCCAAAGUAAGGAAAUCUAUUUUAGGUAAUGUAAAAACCAGUUGUGGGAUGUAAUAGUUUAUUAUGCACUGACAACAACUUUUUGUAUAAUUGUCAGUUUAAUGAAUACGAGAGGAACUCUGUUGGCAAAUUCAUCCAUGAUAGAUGCUAAAAUUAUACCAGUUGCCUUAACUAAUUUUUCUCAACACUGGUAUUGAACAGGAAAAUGAAUAUGCAAUUUGUAUUUGUGCCAUUGUGGAGAAUUUGGAUAUUCUUAGUUUUAGUAACAAGGAGAGUAUUUGCCUCAUCUUUAAACAAUGAAUCUUUGAGAAAUGAGGACUGGGUGAUUGGCAGUGUCAGAGUGUCUUCAUGUAAAUGUUCAUUUAUUUGUAUUUUGAACUAUUAUUAGAAUCUUUAUAUGCCAAAUUAGUAAUACAAAUGUUCAGAUGAUUUUUCCUGGUGAUCAUUUCAUUCUUGAGAGCCAUGUACAAUACUAGGAUACCAGAGAAACCAAGGUAGCAUUGAAGUUGCCCCAGUGGCUAGUUUUCCGAUCAUUUUUUAUUCAAAUUUUUAUGUUUCAGAAAAAUGUAAGAAAUUUAUAGAAAUGUUGAUAGCUAUGAUUUUGAAACUUUGCCUAAAAUUGUUAUCAUCACUUAUUGUUUCUUAUUUAAAGAGAAAUCCUAGAAACGUGACAUGAUUAUUCCAUACUUGUUUUAAUAUUAUUUAUUAGCAGCCUAAUUCAAAAUUAGACGUGAUUAUUUGUUACUUUUAAUGCUACAUGUUCUGGGAAUAUUCAGUUGUGGUUAUCUUGUUGAAAUACCAGAAAAUAGCGUUCUAUUUGGUGGUAGUGGAUUCUUGGUUGGUUUGAAUGUAUUAAGCAUCACCUUAAAAGGUUUUUCUGCUGUCCAAAAACUUACGAGCCCCCAAAAGUUUCAAAGCUGUGCACAACCUUUGGAGCUUAUAGACUGUAGUGAUUCAAAGUUGUUUGCCUUCGCAGAGUUGAAGCAUCUUGAAAAACUAGGUUUUUCAAAUUGUGGAAAUUGGAAGAGUUUAAGUUCUGCUGUGUUGAGGAUGGAAAGGCUCGAGAAUGUUUUCGUGUGAACAGCUUCAACGAGUUAAGAUAAAGGCUUGUCAUAAAUUGAGGGAAGUGACAUGGCUUGUAUUUGCUCCGUAUCUUGAGGUUAUUCAAAUAGCCAAAUGUAUGGGGAUAGAAGUAAUAAUCAGUGCAAGGAAAUUGGGUGAAGUUCCAGAGAUGAUGGCAGAUCUAAACCCUUUUGCAAAACUCCAAUAUCUUGGCCCACGAGUUCUACCAAAAUUAAAAAGCAUCUAUUGGAAUCAGUUGCCCUCUCUACAUGUCAGGCGAAUUUUGUGUCUGAAUGCCCAAUUCUCAAGAAGCUUCCACUUGGUUUUAACAAUGCAAAGGAAUCUAAAACUAUCAUUAGGGGAGAAGAACACUGGUUGAAUGAGCUGCAAUGGGAGGACAAAGUGACCCUUAAUGUUCUUCUUCCUUGUUUCGGAUCCAUUUGAAGGCAUCAACAUGGAUUGAUACUUUGCAGUGGAGAAAUUUGAAUAAAACCUAUGGUAAGCGCUUUUCCAUUUAUUGCAUAUUUAUAUCUAACUUUUGUUUUCCUUUGUGGUUAAAUUUUGCUCUAUAUACGUUGUUGUACGGUGACAUUCUCAUAUCAAUUAUUAGCUUUUUAAUUCUCUUCUCACAUUAACUGCCCUUUUGAUCAUGUAGGAUAUGCUGAUGUCAAAGAGUCGUAAUUUGGGAUGCAAAUGUAAGAAUUAGACAGAUGACCAGUUGUUUUGAAGCGCUCGAAGAAGGAUUAAUUACGUCAUUGAAAGGCUCCAAUUUUGUGACUUUUUUUUUUAAUUUGUUGUUUUUUCUAUUUUUAGAUAGCUUGAUUGUCAGUUGUCGUGAUGUAAUGCUUUAGUGUAGAAAAAUGAUAUUCGGCCAAGACAACAUUAGCAGGGCACCUUGUGCAUGCAUACUAGUGGAUAAUUUCGGCAUGCUAAAUCCAAUUAGGGUGGAUGACCCUUUAUAAGCAUUAGGCUUCUCUCAUACCCGAAAACAAUGUAGAAUACGCUUAUAAGCUGCGGAUCACCCAUUAUAAGUUUUAGGCUUCUCCUUUACUCGAGCGAUGUGGAAUACCUUUAUAAGCAUUAAGCUUCUCCCAGUAUCUUUAUGUUAAAAAUAAUAAUAAUAAAAGAAAUCCAUUUUAAAAUAGACUCUUUUUUCUUUUUCUAUAUAAACAAAUGCAUUCUUCAAAUCAAUUGUGGGCAGAAGAAGUUAGUAGAAAAGAACUAGUCCCCUUUCAUUCCCCCUUAAAGCUCACCAAAGCCUCUUUUGUAAGCUUUUCGGAUUUUCUUUCUAUAUUGCUUAUGAUCUCAUUUUUGAUUGAAUCACUUCUUUUGCAUGCUGCAUAUUUUGUUUGUUGUAUUUGGAUAUUAUCGUAUCUGGAAUGCUGUUAUGAUUGAUGGAACAAGUAAUCGAUAUUUGGUCUGAUGGAAGUUGACUUAUUUAUUUAUUGUUAUUUUAAUUUGAAACUAUGUACAAUUGCAUUUCAUUCAUUUCUCUCUCUCCCCCCCCCCCCCCCCCACACACACACACAUAUAUUUGUUAUGUAUAAUUGCGUUUCAUUUGAUAUUGAUCAUGCUGUAGAUAACCAUGUGAUUGUAGAUGGGGAUUUCAAGUUUGUUGAAUAUUCAAGUAAGUGAAGUAACUGUCAAAAUACUAGUGAAAUUGGGAGCUUUAUUCAUGAGCUUGUGGUUUUGAAAAGUACCACAGUUCAACCGAUGAAGGUUCCUUUUUGGGGUUCUUCUUUUUCUAGGCUGCAAUUAGGAUAUGUACAUGUUAGACAAUCUUUUGCGGGUUUAGCAUAUCUUCUCUGAUUUUGUCUUUUAUUCCCCAAUCUUAUAAUUGCACACCAUGAAUGUUGAGUGAUUGUAUAGAAAAUUUGUGUUAUAACCAAAGCGUUGUGAAGGAGUUAAGUUAGUGGCUUCUGUUUUAUUGGCAUUGAUUGGGUAGAUUAUGUGUUACAGUGAUUCAAUUUGUGCUCCAAAGUUUGCUUUAAUUUCUUUUUUCCCUAAUUAUUUAUGUCAAAUUUAAAUCCAGAAGCAUGUACUGAUUUUUUCUUUUUGUAUUAAUCUGUGAAGGUUAUUUGGAAUGGAAGUAUCUGGGUUGGGUCUAACGGAUUAAAUUAUGACAUUGGGGGGAAGGCAGUAAAGGGUUUGCUCGACACAUUUGGUUCUGUGUUUACUUUGCAAGAAAUAGCUUUUGGUUAUCACAAUGCCGGUGGAAUCCCGAUUUGGCUCGUGAAUUUCUUUGUGACAAAUAGGCAAACACAUCAACCUCUUCUAUCCAUCCUUCUACUGGUAAGGCAAGGGGUAAAGAGUCUUCAAAAUCAUCAAAUAGUAACAUCUCUGAGAAUUCAUUUUAUGCAAAUGGAAAAUCUAGACCUUCUAAGACAAAAUGGCGUCCUGUAUCAGGAGGUACCGUUUCAAGUUUUCUUGGUAAAAAUUAUGUUAAACCUGCACAGCCAGCUAAUGGCACAUUUCUAGCAUCAAAGCCAUUGAAGUUGGAUCCAAAGGGGUUUCCCAUGUCUCCACUUUUGCGGAGAAGAUACUAAACUGAAACAAUCAAAGGAUGACCAUUUGCAGAAGGAUAUGGAAGAUUUUCUGUUUAAAUUGCUAGGAGAAGUGUUCCUAUUGUCCUUUUCAAUGUUCUUUCUUUCUUUCUCUUCUUUUCUUCUUCUUCUUCUUUUUUCUUUUUGUGUGCGUGUGAUCACUAAUUUGGUAUUGUAGUUUAGUUGCAGAUAGUUGUGGAUAUGAUAUGCAAAAGGUAAGGACUAUAUCUUCCUGAUGGAGGCCUCUGCUUUUUCCUUUAUGUGUAAUUUAAUAAAUUGCAUCUUCCUUUGUGAUUGUUAUAUCAUAUCAAAGACAAGUCUUAAAUACUGCUGUCAUAUGUUAAGGUUCAACUUGCAGUUUGAUUAACAUUCAUGGCUCAAAGGCCUGAAAAAACUUGCCAGUAAUUGUAAAAUGACAUUCUUUGCUUUUAAUGCAAUAGAGGGAACAGGGAAGUAUAGCUUUGGAAGCCUGGAUUGGUAACUAUAGAGAGACUUAGUAUUUAAUUGAUAAAAAUUCCCAUAACCCAAGGUCAAGAAAAUUUUAGAUCGUUAAAGACUUCAUUUUGUUUCGGCCAGAAAUGUUUGUUUCGAUCGAAGACUUGAACCAUUUCGAUUGAACCUGAUUAUGAUGCUUUACGUUAUGCAUGUUCCUCUUAAUCAAGAAAAGUUGAGGUGAUGAUUUUAUAUUUCUAUAUUGUAAGUUGAAAUAAUAAUUGGUCUGCUUGUUUCUGUAGCUUGAUAACAUGAAUUUUCCUUCUCAAGUUAAUUUAAUCAAUAAAGUAAUUCUUCAAAGAAAAUAUGCCCAUUCUAUAAUCAUUUUCUUAAUUAACAUGUUUUUUUCUUCACACUUCAGAGCAUGUUGAAACUAAUUGAUCGCUCGGCAGAGACUUUGGGUGAGAAGACAAAAUUUCUCGGUAAAUCCUCUGAAAAGGUAUGCAUAAUUCCGCAGUAUUAAAUAACCAAUGGUCAUAAUUUUUGUACAGGACUCUUUUCUUGUGGAGAUAAUUAAAAGUGGCUGAUGAUCCAGUUUGUAUAUCAUAGAGGGAGCAUCAAUUCCUUUUGUUUUCAGUGGCUAGGCAACACUUUCAGGGCAAAGUAAGGAAAUCUAUUUUAGGCAAGUAAAGCCAUGUAGAUGUAAUAGUUAACAUGCACUGACAAUAACUUUGUAUAAUGUCAGUGAACGAUACAAGAGGAAUCUGUUGACAAUCAUCCAAGAUAGAUGCUAAAAUUAUUAUGCAUGCCAGUUGCUUAAUAAUUUUCUUACACUGGUAUUGAAGAGGAAAAUGAAUAUGCAAUUUGUAUAUGUGCCAUGUGAGAAUUUGGAUAUCUAUCUAAGUAACAAGGAGAGUAUUGCCUCAUCUUUAGACAAUGAAUCUUGAGAAUUUGGAUAUUCAUGUAAAUGUUCAUUUGUUUGUAUUUUGAACUAUUAUGAGAAUCUUUUAUAUGCCAAAUUAGUAAUGCAAAUGUUCAGAUUAUUUUUUCUGUUGAUCGUGCAUUUGUGUCUGCACACAACCAUUGUAUAUCACUUCAUUCUGAUGCGCAAGUGUCUGUAGUUUAGAAGAAAAGAAAUAAUAAUGAUAUAUUAUUGCUUGAUUCAUGAUUAUUAAAUGAUUAUGGCUUUAAAAAACCUACAAAUUCCUUUUGUUGAUAUAUGAAUGUACCAAGUUUGCUAUAUCUUAGAUUACCAUUUCCAAGAUAACAAGUUCAAAUUUUUUCUUUAUCCUUUUCCUUCACAGUUGCAUUUUAAGUGUAAGAUUUGUUAUUAAUACCUGGUUUCCCGUCAUUAUGAUUUCAUAAACAGUGUAUGGGUAUGUGCUCUACUUUUGGAGGGCCUCCACGUGAAAGAAAAUUGUAACAAUUGAAUUCUUCCGGAUGGUAUGGUAUUUAAUUUAUUUUCUCAACCUCUUGUAAGACUAAUAUAUUUUCCUUUAGUAGACACGGCAUGGUGGGAAGGGUUUUUUAUUGAAAGAAUUCUGAUAUUUCUUAGACUUUGUUUUGGAAGGGGGUGCAGGGGUUUCUCAUCCAUAUAUGGUUACUUGAUUAGCUUUUGACUGUAUUGCCUCAAUCGUGCAAAGGAAGAUCCAAAUACAAACGAAAGAGAAUUGUUUAGACACCCAGAAGAUGGAAAUGAACUACAGAAGGAAGUUUUUGCUGCUUUAUUUAGUGCUCCUGAGAAAUCUGAUGAAUUUCCUGAAAUUACGGUGAAGACCAAGUGUGAGGUCCAAAGCAUUAGGAAAGGUGGUGAGUGAACUGCCGGAGCAAUUGGUACAGAAUACAAGGCUAAUGUGGUGGACUUGCAGCAAGAUAACCGGAACAGUACGUGCUCUUAUAUUAACUAUAUUGACUGGAUUUGCUAGUGUGUGCAUUUUCGUGUGUAUACUUUUGUAUUUAUGCAUAUUAAUGUGUGUAGGAUUCUUGAUUUCUGCCACUUAUUGGAGAACUAAUGGAAAGCUUUAUACUGGUAUAUCUGCAAUAACUAAUGGAAACUAUGAUAUUAAUAUUUUCUCUCGCUUGGAGAAUGCGUAACAGAUAUACUUUGUGGCUCUGGAAUACUAAAGAUUCUGCAAUAACUAAUGGAAACUAUGAUAUGAAUAUUUUCUCUCACCUGGAGAACUUUGUAACAGUUACACUUUGGGGCUUGGAAUGUCUAAAGAAUUUUGUCUGCUUCAGUUAGAUCAAAUAUCUUUUAGUUACAUACAUUAUAGAAAAGAUAAAGUUCUCUGAAUCUGAAAGACUUAAAAUUUUGCAUAUUUCUUGAUAGGGAAAUAUCUGUAGAUACUAGUUCAUGCAUUGUGGUAGCAUCAGUGUUAAAGAAAAACAGCAGUAAGUUAUUAUAUAGAAUUAGGUUCACUUGCUUUAAAUCCUGGUCUGGUCAACCAUAUGAACCUGUAAGUGGUUCUGUAGAAAUAUAUAUAUACGGGGAGAAAGUAGCUAAAUUUUCCUUUCAUUUAUGGGUUUGGUCAUUUUUUCCCCUUAUUUAUGUUUUCUCACACAUUUUUUAAAUGCCCCAGACAUGCAAUUUUGUAUGUGUCAAUUGCCUUUUAAGUUUUAAAAACCAUAAAGUAAGAAUACAGUUUCUUGUCAGGCUAUUGAUGCAUUUGCUCGGGGGGAUCAUGCUCGAGCAGGAAAACUUCUAGAACAGGUAAGGUUUCCAUCUACAGCCAUUUAUUGACAACAUAUAUAUUUUCAUUCAGCAAGCACUGUUAGCAUUCAAGAUGCUGGCAGAUUCACUUGAUUCUUAUUAGUUUGUUUAGUAGCAAAGCAUAUAACCUGUAUUUUAAAGCUAAGUUGUGCUAUUGAUUAUGUUAACUUUAUUGUUCACAUAAAGUGAUAUUGAGGAAAUAAUCAAUGUAGGAAAAUUAGGUGAAGAGAUGAUGUCAAAUCUUGAACCUCUUACAAAACUCCAAGUUCUUUACUUGAAGAAGCUACCAAAUUCGAACAGCAUCUACUGGAAGGCCUUGCCAUUCCCUGAUGUAUGCAGAAUUUUUGUAUUUAAAUGCCCAGAGCUUAAGAAGCUGCCACUGGAUCUUGAGAGGGCAGGCCAAGGUAAAAUUCUUAUCAAGGGAAAGAAAGAUGGGUGGAAACAACUUCAAUGGGAGGAUCAAGUAACUCAGAAUGCAUUGCUUUCAUUUUAAAAAUCAACCAACAAGUGAUUGAAGGGGGCAUCAUCAACGUAAUCAACAUGGAUGGAGAGAUUCUGGAGCAGAUCAGCGGGGUUUAGUACGACCUGUGGUGGUUUCUUUUUUGUGACUUUUUUGCCUUUCAUUUUUUCACUUCCUGUCAUAUUAUCAUUUCUUUGUCUGUGUUUCUAUUGCUAGUGUUGCUGCAUGCUUGCUGUCCUUGACAAAGUUAGCUAGUUUUUUUUGUUUAUUAAAUUUUGUAUGUUCGGUCGGGACAGUCACAAAGUACUACUUGUUCUAUAUGGGGGUGAUGUGAAUCAACUUUUCAAUUAUAUAUUCUGUGGUAAUUGUGAAUUCAAUUUCAUUUAUCUCCUGCAAAUUAUGAAGAAAGUGCAGAGUUACAAUAUGGAAAAGUUCACUGGCAAAUACUUUGUAAAAGCUUCGGAGUGAAACAGGAAAUGCACUUGCAACUAAGGACAAAUUGGUGGCCGGCUAAUGCAUUCAUUUUAGGGAAAAGGACACAGACCCUCAACGUUUUAAUAAGGGACAUAAAACUCCCUAAUAUUUUAAAAAAAAUACUCAAACCCCCAUUUGUUAAUAGUAAAUUCUAAGUUUAAAGUGUAAUUACCAUUAUACCUUUAUAGCAUAUUAAAAAAUAAUUAUUCAUUAUUCAAUUUAUUCUUAUAUUAUUAAUAAAAUUACGAAUAUAAUUUCAUUAUCUAAUUUUUUCAUUUAAUUUUUGUUAAAUUUUCUCUUCAAACUAAAUAAAUUUAAUCCAUUGCUUAAGAAUAAAAAUAAAUUAAAUUGAUUACUAAUAUAAUAAAAAUAACAUAUAUUUAAUAUAAAAAUAACAUAUAUUAAAUUAAAAUAAAUUUAAUUUAUAUAUAGAGAAUUGUUAUUUUUAAGAAAUUAUCAAUUUAAUUUAUAUAUAAGAAAUUAUAAGAAAUAACAUAUGGAGAAUUGUUAUUUUUAUUAUAUUAAUAAUCAAUUUAAUUUAUUUUUAUUUUUGAGCAAUGGAUUAAAUUUAUUUAGUUUGAAGAGAAAAUUUGAUAAAAAUUAAAUGGAAAAAUUGGGUAAUGAAGUUAUAUUCAUAAUUUUAUUAAUAAUAUAGGAAUAAAUUAGAUAAUGAACAAUUAUUUUUUAAUAUGCUAUAAGGGUAUAAUGGUAAUUGUACUUUAAAAUUAGAAUUUACUGUUAACAAAUAGGGGUCUGAGUGUCUUUUUUGAAACAUUAGGAAAUUUUGUGUCUCUUAUUCAAACGUUGGGGGUUUCUGUGUUAUUUUCCCUUCAUUUUAUGUACAUUCAUCUUUUUAAUUAUUGAAGAUAAGUGGUUCGUUGCUUUUGUUGUAGAUAAAAUUCAGACGACCUCAAUUGUGACAUGACAAUAUUUAAAACAUCUCUUAAAUUAUUAUAAAUUUAAUUUAUCUUAACUUUAUUGAAAAGAUAAAAGAAAAAUGUGGUGUAUGGAUAAAUUUUUUUUUAUCUUCUUAAUCAAAUGGAAUAAAUUAAAAUUUACAAUAAUUUAAAAUAUUUUAAAAAUUAUUAUUUCAUAAGAGAUUAAUAUGAAAUUAAUCGUUUUUACUUUUUUAAUGUGAAAGGACAAGAAAAGAGAAAGCAUGUGUCCCUGCUUUUUAGUUUUUAUUUUAUUUGAAAUCGGAGUUAUCCCAUAUACUUUACUAAUUUAGCUCUAACAUUACAAUGUUUUUAGGCUACACUUUUAUUUUUCUUUUUCCCCCUUUUUUUAUACAUGCAUGUGGAUUACUUUUCUCUAAGCUCCUUAAUAUUUAAGACAAAUCAUAAAAGCAAUUGAAGUAUAACAAGAUGAUCAAAACAUUUAACCAAAAAAAAAGAAAGAAAAAAGAAAGAAAACAUUGAAAAUGGAGAUGUUGAUUAAUUUAGAAGAGAUGCAAGCAAAAGAUAUUCCCAAAAAAAAGAAAAAAAGAAAAAAACAACGUUAGUUCAUCCAUGUCUGUCAAUGCGUUUUUUAUGGUUUUUUUUUUCCAGUUGUUUGUUGUAAUAGAUUGAUUGUAAAUUGAUAUGAAUUUGAUGUUGUAAUAUGUUCGCUUUUGUGGAAUUAAAUUUGAAUAUUCAAGAUUAUUCAAGUCUUAUCUAGUAUGUGUUCAAUUGUGUUGUCGAUAAUUUUGCAUUCGAAUAAUUUUUCACCUAAAAUAUUAGCAUGAGUAGUAGUCCUUGAAAUUUUGGUCAAAAUUAUUGUUAUUGUUUGUUUUAGAGGAAAUUUUUUUAUUAAAGCCUCGUUAACACUAUACCUUAUUAAGAUUAUAAGUUAGUGUCAGUGCAGGAUUUACAGCAACAAAUCUUGUCUAGCCACGUGUCAAAAGUACAAAUAAAUCAAGAGUAAGCACAUGACAUGGAUUAGGAUCCAAUAAGAUUUAAAUCCCAAGGAAAAGGACAAUUGUAUCCUAAAGUUUCAAUAAGAGAUACUGAGAUAUCUUUUGACUAAUGUUAUUUUUUUAGCUUUAUUAAUAAAAAGAUCAAAUAGUUUAUAACAAAUAAAAAUAUAGUAUGAAGCUAAAUGUGAUAAUAUAUACAUUUUACAUAAUUUCAAUAAAAAAAAUUUCAAUAAAAAACAUUUUAAUGUUUUACGAUCUAUUAGACAUAUUUUAUUAAAUUAAUAGGAAUUUUCUGAUAAAUAGCAACAUAAUAUUAAAAUAAAUUUAUAAAGAUUUAAAUGUAAAAUAAUUUUAGUAUAAUUAAUACGUGGGAUAUAUUUUGUAAAUUAUAAAAUUACUUAACCCAAUGAUUUUUAAAAAUCUUUAAAAUAAAUAAAAAUAAAUUAUUCACAUUUUGAUGUAAAUAUUUAAAACAUUUUUAUACAUUAGUCCACAAUUAUUUAUGUUAUAUUUGUAUUUAUUAGAAAUUUUGAAAGUCAAAUGUUUUUCACCUCUAUCUUAUUAGAAUUAUUGCACACAGAGAAAGAGCCAUAUAUGCUUUAUAGCUUUAAAAUCGAUUUGUUUUAUAGCUGGGAACAGAGAUGAUCAUUAUUAUAAGGAUUAAAAAAAAGAUAAAGAAUAUUAAUGAUUAGCGAAAUCUCUAUGGAAAUUGAAUUUAGUAAGAAAAAAUUGAGCUGAUUUUAGCGGUAUAGUAAUAUUUUAUAUAGAGAAAAGUAAAAGCUGCACCCAAGGUUAAGGGAAAUGGUCAAAACUCUUUUUUAAUCAUAAUACUCUUUUUCCUACAUAAUUUAAAAAUUUGACAUUAAUAUUUUAUAAUAAAUAAAAACAUAUAAUCCUAAAAUAAAUAAAAUAAUAUAUAUUUUAAAAUAAUCUCAAUAUUUAAAAUAUAUUUUAACAUUUUAUAGUCUAUCAGAUAUAUUUUAUUUUUUUUAAAGUAAAUUUUAUAAUAAAUACAAAACAUACUAUUAAAAUAGAUAUAAAAAUUUUAAAGUAUUUUGAAUAUUAUAUAAAAUAACUUUAAUAUUGUUAAUGCGUGAGAUGCAUUUUAUUAAUUAAAAAUUCUAUUUAACCCAAAGAUUUAUUUAUAAUAAAUUAAUAAUCAUAUUUUUGAAAUUAUUUUAAAUAUUAAAAAAUAUUUUAAUAUUACUAACUAUUAGAUAGACUAAACUAUUUAUAUUAUUUUCUAUUUAUUAUAAAAUUUCAAAGUUAAUCUUUUUAACUACUAUUCAAAAGAUAUUAUGAUAAAAACAGAAUUUUUCUGUUUUAUUAAAAAUUUAGAGUUUACACCUAUUUUUUCAAAUAUUCGGGGUGUAACUGUUUUAUUUAAAUAAAAUCUCAGUUAAAAAUGUACAGAGAAGAAAUUUCUGUUGGUAUUUUAGUCUUUUACCAAUUAUCACGAUUAGGCCUUGGCCUUGAAACAUUAAUUGUUUCACUUUUAGCGCUAGUGGCGUUGAAAGUUGUCAAGAAAAAGCAAGACCAUAUUCCACAAAAGCAGCUCUUUUAUUAAAGGCAAAGUAUAAAGUAGUCAAGAAUCGAAUAUCCUGUCGUCUACUCUUUUUUAAAUUCUUCUUUUAUUAUCUUUUAGAAUAGUUUUUGGUAAUUACAAUCAUUAUUCAGAGUUAUUGUUAUCUUCUGGGGCAGUCUCUGUUCAUCGAAGUCGUUACCUUUUUUUCAUGGAUCAGUUCCAGUGCCAAGCAGUAAUUUUCUUAGAACUCGGAUCUUUAAUUCGAGUUUCUUUGUGAAUUAAUAAUAAAAAAUUUUCAUUACACGCAAUUUAAGCUACGAAUUACUUUUUGCAAAGUUGAAUAUGAAAUUGGAGAAAUUAAAUAAUUUAGAAUGUUGGUAAAAAUUGACUAACAUAUCCCCAAUUACAGUAAAACCUCUCUACAGUCAUAACAUUAUAACAAAAUUAAUUUUAUUACUAUGUUGAGGUAAUAUAGGUUUAGUUACAAAAUUAUUGUUUUAAUAUGGUUAGUGUCAAGUGAUAUAAAGGUUAAGUAUGCAGUACAUUGAUAAUUAAAUAAUGAAGCGUGUCAAAUCUAACGUAUAUAUAUUAAUGAUAUAGAUAGACAUAGUUUUAAAAAACUAAUUAAUGUAUAUUUAUGUACUGUUAUGAAUAUGGAAAGUCAAGCCUACACUUUACAUUAUCCUUAAUUUUUUCUCUCAGUUAAAUUCUACAAAUAUUGUACAAUGAUUGGGUAAGAACUCUAAAUUAAGAAUAAAUUAUUGUCACAAAUAAUUUUAAAAAAUAUUUUAUUUCAUCUUAAACCUUUAAUGUAAGUAAAUAUAUAUAUAUGUGUGUGUGUGUGUGCAUAUUUUGCAAGGUAUAGAUAAUUGUUAGUAUAUGGAGACAAGUCUUUUAAGGUAGGACCUAGGAAAAUUUAUAACUUACUACAUUGGGGAGUUUUUAUUCCUUUUUAUAAUUGGCUCAUAUUGAUACAUUCUUACACAAAAUAUUACCAUUGACAUAUUUUACUACAAUUGGUUUAGAACAUUUGUUAGGAAAAAAAAAAGAAAAGAAAACAUUCAUUGGAUGUAGCUCUCCCUCGUAUGCUUUUUUCUCCAAAUAUUCCUGCGUCCACAGAAACAAGUCAGAGCACGCCGGUUGUUUUCCCGGCGUAAACCCUCUGACGCUCAAGUCAGAUAUGAAGGCUCUGGGAAUGCUUGCCACAGAUCUUAUGGUUUUUCUGUAGUUUCUAUUCUUUAGAGUUUCAUUUAUCUCUGAAUAUAAUCUCAAAAAUGCUAACCCUUUUACCUUCCUUGGCUACCUUUUUAUAGGCUUCCUCUGAAUCCCGGUCUUCCGUAGUCCACGCCCGUUAUUCUCCCCACCCUCGGAUGUGGAUGCCCCAUUAUCGCCAUUGUGGGCGAAUGGAGAUGGACUUCGUGCCUUGAUUCUCGGAUAGGAAUGCACGUCUUGCCAACUGUCGUUGACUGGGUCUCCUCGCCUCUCGACCUCUAGCCGGAAUGGCCUUAUGCCUCUAACAAGAGUUCGACCUCGUGAAUGGCAUACUCGCGGACGAGCCGAAUAUUUCUGCUCAUGUUCCCCUGCUACCUGGCUCUUACAGGACAUACCUGUUCGCAGAACUCCGCCAUCAAAUAUCUGCUCAUCACGUCUGGUCUCGUUGAAGUAUUUCCCUCAAACAACAUAUUUUACUACAAUUAGUUUAGAACAUUUGUUAGGAAAAAAAAAGAAAAGAAAACAUUCCUUGGAUGUAGCUCUCCUGACUAUUUAAAUCUUUUAAGGAAAAAAAGAAAAAAGAAAAACUGACACAUUCAAAUCUUGAAGCAAUUACAUUAAAACCUCUCCAUAAUGAUAGGAAUAAUCUCCAUUUAGUAAUAAAAAAUUUUGUUCGCAAUCUAGGCAGAGUUAUAAAUAAGAAUAAAAUCCUCAUUGUAAUAAGUUGUAUUUAUUAUGGAUCCCAUCCUAAGGAACUUGUCUCUAUAUAGUAAUAAUUAUUUGCAUAUUAUAAAUAUAUAUGUUGCAUUAGAUUAAAUGAACUUGUCUCCACAUACUACUUAGACAAUGAGAGAAAGUUAUUAAAGAGAACACAAAUAUUUAGAGAUUUUUAAGAUUACUUUGCAUGUUUAUAACAAUAAUACAUUGAUAUAUGUAUUAGUUUUUUGAUAUAUUAGAUUUGACAUGCUCUAUUAAUAAAUUAUUAAUACGAUGCAAACUUCAUCUCUCUAUCCUUGCAAUAAAAGUAACUAAGUUAUAACAAUAAUUAUUAAUAAAUUAUUAAUACGAUGCGUACUUCAUCUCUAUAUCCUUGCAAUAAAAGUAACUAAGUUAUAACGAUAAUUUUUGUAACUACAUGCUUAUUAGGUUUUAACUACUUCAUAAUAAUAAAUUAAUUUCGUCCUAAUAUUAUAAUUAUGUAGAGUUGUAGUGUAUAGACACACCCAAUUUAAAUAGUAAAUCAAAUAAAAUUGUCCCCACAAAAAAGAAAAAAGGGGUAAAGGAUUGUUAUUUCUUCAAACAUUAGGAGCACGUUUGUUCAAGUGCGAUGCCUUUCUUUUGAAGGCAACGUCAGUGGGUACCCAAUAGGACGUGUGUAAAUCUUUCCAAAAUUUCUCCGGUAUAACGGACAGAGAUCAUUACUUUUCUCUUCCAUAGACCACAGCAGCUUCAGUUAAUCAGACUCAAUCAAUUUUCUUGGUUUCUUCGCUUAUCAAAAUUCCAAAAUAUGGGUAGCAUAUUUCAAAUCACAUGCGAUGGUGCUUUUUUCAAUCGUUGCUUGGAUUGCUUUCUUGGAAAAGUAGCAAACACAAGUAAGCUCCAAGAUAACCUUGUUGCCUUGGAGACUGAAUUGGGAAAACUAAUCGUAGCAAAGAACGAUGUGAUGAUGAGGAUUGUCAAUGCUGAACGGCAACAACUGAGAACGCUGGACCAAGUGCAAGUGUGGCUUUCGAGGGUGGAAGCUGUUAAAACUGAAGCUGAUGAAUUGAUAAGACACGGCUCUCAAGAAAUUGACAAAUUAUGUGUUGGAGGCUACUGUUCCAAGCACUGCGCGUCAAGCUACAAGUUCGGGAAACAAGUGGCUAAAAAGCUACGGGAUGUGCAGACUUUAAUCGGCGAAGGAGUUUUUGCGGCGGUGGCUACUGAGGUGGUGCCUGAGAGAGCUCCAGAACCUGUAGCAGAUGAAAGACCCACUGUGCCAACAAUAGUAGGCUUGCAAUCACAACUUGAACAAGUUUGGAGAUGUCUUGUAGAAGAAUCAGUGGGAAUCAUUGGCCUAUAUGGUAUGGGCGGUGUUGGUAAAACUACACUAUUGACCCAUAUCAACAAUAAAUUUCUUGAGAGUCGAACCAGUUUUGAUUGUGUGAUUUGGGCCGUAGUUUCAAAGGACUUGCAACUCGAAAAAAUUCAAGAAGAUAUUGGGAAAAAGAUCGGUUUGGUUGAUGAUUCAUGGAAGAGUAAAAGUGUAGAGGAGAAAGCUCUCGACAUCUUCCGGAGUUUAAGAGAGAAGAGAAUUGUAUUGUUGUUAGAUGAUAUAUGGGAGCGGGUUGAUUUAACAAAAGUGGGCAUUCCACUUUCGGGACCAAAGAAUACUACCUCAAAAGUCGUAUUCACAACCCGUUUCAUCGAUGUUUGUGGUAGCAUGGAAGCUGACAAGAAGUUCCAAGUGGCAUGCUUAUCAGAAGAGCAUGCUUGGGAACUGUUUCGAAAAAAAGUUGGGGAAGAAACUCUUGAGAGUGAUCAUGAUAUCGUUGAGCUAGCCCAAACUGUGGCCAAAGAGUGUGGUGGUUUGCCACUCGCACUUAUUACUAUUGGUCGAGCUAUGGCCUGCAAAAGGACAGCCGAGGAGUGGAGACACGCAGUUGAAGUGCUAAGAAGAUCAGCUUCUGAGUUUGCAGGUUUGGGAAAAGAGGUGUAUCCUCUUUUAAAGUUUAGCUAUGAUAGUUUGCAGAAUGAGACGAUUAAAUCUUGUUUCUUAUAUUGUUGUUUAUAUCCCGAGGAUUAUGGCAUUCUUAAAUGGGACUUGAUUGAUUGUUGGAUUGGUGAGGGAUUCUUAGAGGAAUCUGACAGGUUUGGUGCAGAAAACCAAGGAUACUACAUUGUGGGCACUCUUGUUCAUGCGUGUUUACUAGAAGAGAUAGAAGAUGAUAAAGUAAAAAUGCAUGACGUUGUUCGUGAUAUGGCUUUAUGGAUAGCUUGUGAAAUUGAGAAGGAGAAGAGAAACUUUUUGGUUUGUGCAGGUGCUGGAGUAGGAGCGGUACCAGAUGUUGAAGGAUGGGAAAAUGUGAGAAGAUUGUCAUUGAUGCAAAACCAAAUUGAAAUUCUGUCAGAGGUUCCCACAUGCCCUCAUCUCCUCACUUUAUUUCUUGACUUUAAUUAUAAAUUGGAGAUGAUCACUGAUGGCUUCUUCCAAUGUAUGCCUUCUCUCAAAGUUUUGAAGAUGUCAAACUGUGGGCAUGUCAAAGUUUUGAAAUUACCUUUUGGGAUGUCAAAGUUGGGUUCACUACAACUUCUUGAUAUUUCACAUACCGGCAUAAGAGAGUUACCAGAAGAGUUAAAGUUGUUGGUAAAUCUGAAAUGUUUGAAUUUGAGGUGGACACAUAUGUUAAAUAAAAUUCCACGGCAGCUAAUAUCAAAUUCUUCAUGGUUACGUGUGUUGAGAAUGUUCGCUAUUGGCUUUGAAAAUUCUAAAGAACCAUCAGAAGACAGCGUUUUAAUUGGUGGGGGUGAAGUUUUAGUACAGGAAUUGCUCGGUUUGAAAUAUUUAGAGGUAUUGGAGUUGACCUUGCGAAGUUAUCAUGCUCUCCAUUCUUUUUUGAGCUCAAAUAAGUUAAAAAGUUGUAUUCGAUCUCUUUUCCUCAAUAAGCUGGGAGAUACAAAGUCGAUUGAUGCUACGGCUUUGGCAGAUCUAAAGCAUCUCAAUGAAUUAUAUAUUCUUUUUUUUNNNNNNNNNNNNNNNNNNNNNNNNNNNNNNNNNNNNNNNNNNNNNNNNNNNNNNNNNNNNNNNNNNNNNNNNNNNNNNNNNNNNNNNNNNNNNNNNNNNNNNNNNNNNNNNNNNNNNNNNNNNNNNNNNNNNNNNNNNNNNNNNNNNUCUUUCGCUAUACGGUUGUAAUGCUGUGGAAGAAAUAAUCAGCGUUGGGAAAUUUGCUGAGGUUCCUGAGAUGAUGGGACAUAUAAGCCCUUUUCAGAAUCUCCAAAAGCUUGAUUUAUCACAUUUGCCAGCUUUGAAGAGCAUCUACUGGAAGCCAUUGCCUUUCGCUCAUCUGAAAGAAAUGGUGGUGCAUUGGUGUGAUCGGCUUAAAAAGCUUCCGCUCGAUUCCAACAGUGCAAAAGAGCGUAAAUUUGUUAUUCGUGGAAGAGCAGACUGGUGGAACCGUCUUCAAUGGGAGGAUGAAGCCACUCAAAUUGCUUUCCAUUCCUGUUUCCACCUAAUGAAAUAUAAAUUCCUUAGCGGUGGUUGCAAAAUUUGAUUUCUAGUGAGUGCUUUUUUCUUAAACUCUUACAUUUAUUUCAGAUUCGUUUUUUGUCUCCUGCAAAUCACAAUUAAAUGCUGAAUUAUAUGGAGUCAAUGCUUUAGAAAAUUUUCAAGGCACUGCCAUUUCCUUUUUUCCAUUUUUUUUUGGGUCGAAUUGAUGCUCUGGCUUUUUACUUUUUGUUGUCAAAUUUUGCUCUGUUUUUUCAAGUUGAUGCUUGAAUAGUUGAAUUCAAUUAAUGCUCACAUAAAUUUGUUUAGUUGCCGUAAAAGGAUAUAAUUAGACUGAAGUACACACUUCUAGAAUGAAUACAAAAUGUUAAGUAUACUAGCCCUCUUUACAGAAAAUCAAAUGAAAAUCAAUUUUUUGGGGCUUUGAUUUUCUAUGGUCUAUUAUAUACUCUUUUUAAUAUCUUCUGUUCUAACUAUAACCAAAUCCUUUGUUCAAGGAUUUUUAUUUGGGGUAUUGAUAACUAUCCACCAAAAGAGUGAACACUUGGAUGCUGCUCAAGGAUCUCUAAUCAAUAGCUGGAAGCAACUGAGAAGGCGGUCGCUGCUGUUUACAAAGUGAUGCAGUAUUUGCCAUUCAUCUUAAUAAUUAUGAAGCUUUGGUAAAAUUUUCAAACAAAAUUGAACAUGUUGUUUGAGAUUUGGUUCAUGAUUUUGGAUGAAUAUCGUUGUUCCGUUUGAGUUGGAUGUGAAUUCAAAAUCUAUAUAUUCUUUGGUUUUCAAGUCUGAACUCAAUUUCUUUUUCUCAAGCAUGUUAUGCAGAAAUGAUUUUUACUAAAUCAUUUUUGAUGAAUUGUUUAAAUUAAACACUUGGAAUAAGAAUUGUAAACGUUUAUCAUAAGCAUGCUAAUAUGAUAAAUUGUUUUAUGAACGACUAAUUAAUUAAUCAAUUAAUAUUAAAUUAUAUAUUAAUCAAUUAGAUAUGCGUUACAUGUCAUGUUUAAAAACUAUUUAUUUAUAUUUCAAACAAAUUUGACUGGAUGUUGUGUAGGUAAUACUACAUAAUUUCAAAACAAAAAAAAGUAAUAAAAACACGUUAAAUUUUGUUUUUAUGAAGAAAAAUUUAAAAUUUUAUUAAAUAGGUGAAAAUAAUAAAUGGAUUCGUGUAUGGUUUGAGAUUCUUGACAUAAUUAUGAAAUAAGCCGGAUUCGACUUAGUUCAAUUUUGACGCGAUAAGAAGACGACACCACACAAACACACGACAAGAACCGUUACCUGAGAAGAUUGCCAUCAGGAAUUUUGAAAUUGAUUUCACUACAAUAUCUUAAUCUUUCAGAUACUCCCAUCACUGAGCUGCCAUAAGAGCUAAAAGCCUUGGUAAAUCUUAAGUGUUUGAACUGUACACAAAUUAUCUCUCUACAAUUCAAAAACAACUGAUUUGUUACUUUUCAAUGCUACAUGUUCUGCGAAUAUUGAGUUGUGGUUAUCUUGUUGAAAUAUCAGAAAAUAGAGUUCUAUUUGGUGGUAGUGAAUUGUUGGUUGGGGAGUUACCUAGUUUAAAACGUUUAAAUGUAUUAAGCAUCACCUUACAAGGUUUUUCUGCUGUCCAAAAACUUAUGAGCUCUCAAAAGUUUCAAAGCUGUACAAAAUGUUUGGAGCUUAUAGACUGUGAUGAUUCAAAGUCUUUUGCCUUGGCAGAGUUGAAGCAUCUCGAGAAACUAGUUUUUCGAAUUGUGGAAGAGUUUAAGUUCUGCUGUGUUGAAGUUGGAAAAGCUCAAGAAUGUUUUCGUUUGAACAGCUUUCCCCGAGGUAAUAUAAAGGCUUGUCAUAAAUUGAGGGACGUGACAUGGCUUGUAUUUGCUCCAAAUCUUACGGUUAUUCAAUAGAAAAAUAUAUGCAGAUGGAAGUAAUAAUCAGUGCAAGGAAAUUGGGUGAAGUUCCAGGGAUGAUGGCAGAUCUAAACCCUUUUGCAAAACUCCAGUAUCUUCGUCUGCGAGUUCUACCAAAAUUAAAAAGCGUCUAUUGGAAUGAGUCACCCUUUCCACAUGUCAGGGAAAUUAUUGUAUCUGAAUGCCCAAUUCUCAAGAAGCUUUCACUCGGUUUUAACAAUGCAAAGGAAUCUAAAAUUGUCAUUUAUUACAUGUUUAUAUCUAACUUUUGUUUUCCUUUAUGGUUAAAUUUUACUUUAUAUAUGUUGUUAUACGGUGACAUUCUCGCAUCAAUUGUUAGCUUUUUAAUUCUCUUCUCCCAUUAAUUGCCCUUCUGAUCAUGUAAGAUAUGCCGAUGUCAAAGAGUAGUAAGUUGGGAUACAAAUGUAAGAAUUAACCAGAUGACAUGUUGUUUUGAAGCUCUCGGAGAAGGACUAAUUAUGUCAUUCAAAGCAUCCAAUUUCGCUACUUUUUUUUUCAUUUGUUGCUUUUUCUAUUUUUAGAGAGCUUGAUUGUCAGUUGUCGUAAUGUAAUGUUUUAGUGUAGAAAAAUGAUAUUCGGCCAAGACAUCAAUAGGAGGGCACAUUGUGCAUGCACACUAGUGGAUGAUUUCGGCAUGCCGAAUCCAAUUAGUGUGGAUAACCCUUUAUAAGCAAUUGGCUUCUCUCAUACCAGAGCAAUGUAGAAUAUAUUUAUAAACUGUGGAUUACUCUUUAUUAGGCUUCUUCUAUACUCGAGCAAUGUGGAAUACCUUUAUAAGCAAUAAGCUUCUCCCCUACACUUUAUGUUAAUAAUAAUAAUAAUAAAAUAAAUCCAUUUUAAAAUAGACUUUUUUUUUCUUUUUCUAUAUAAACAAAAUGCAUUCUUCAAAUCAAUAGUGGGUGGAAGAAGUGAGUAGAGAAGAACUAGUCCCCUUUCAUUCCCCUAAAACCUCACCGAAACCUCUCUUGUGAACUUCUCAGAUUCUCUCUCAAUAUUUCUUAUGAUCUCGUUUUUGAUAGAAUCACUUCUUUUGCAUGUUGCAUUUGGUGUGUCUUUUUUGGGUAAUAUCUUAUCUGGAAUGCUGUCAUGAUCAAUAGAACAAGUAAUCAAUUUUUGGCUUGACGGAAGUCGAUUUAUUUAUUUACUAUUAUUUUUAUUUGAAAUUUUGUACAAUUGUGUUUCAUUCAUUUCUUUCCUUUUUUUUUAAUAUUUAUUAUGUAUAAUUGUGUUUCAUUUGAUAUUGAUCAUACUCUAGAUAACUAUGUGAUUGUAGCUGGGGAUUUUAAGUUUUGUGAAUUCAAGAAACUGUCAAAAUGCUAGUGAAAUUGGGACCUUUAUUCAUAAGCUUGUGGUUUUGAAAAGUAGCCCGGUUCAACUGAUGAAGUUCCUUUUUGGGAUUCUUUUUUUUCCUAGGCUGCAAUUCGGAUAUGUACCUGAUAGACAAUCUUUUGUGGGUUUAGCAUAUCUUCUCGGAUUUUGUCUUUUAUUCCUCGAUUUUAUAAUUACACACCAUGAAUGUUGAGUGAUUGUAUAGAAAAUUUGUGUUAUAACCAAAGCAUUGUGAAGGAGUUAAGUUAGUGGCUUCUGUUUUAUUGGCAUUGAUUGGGUAGAUUACGUGUUACAGUGAUUCAAUUUGUGAUCCAAACUUUGUUUAAAUUUCUGUUUUCCCAAAUUAUUUAUGUCAAAUUCAAAACCAGAAGCAUGUGCUGAUUUUUUCUUUUUGUAUUAAUCUGUGAAGUUUAUUUGGAAAGGAAGUAUCUGGGUCUAAUGGAUUAAAUUAUGUAAGUGGCAGAAAUUCCUACACACAUAAAUAUGCAUAAAUACAAAAGUAUACACAAAAAAAUGCACACACUCAUACAUCCAGUCAAUAUAGUUAAUGUAAGAGCACAUACCGGUUUGGUUAUCUUGCUGCAAGUGCACCGCAUUAGCCUUGCAUUCUGGUGCCAACUCCUCCGGCGGUUCACUCACUACCUUUCCCAAUGCUUUGGACCUCCAUUCGGUCUCCAUCAGAUUUCUCAGGAGCACUAAAUAAAGCAGCUAAAACUUGCUUCUGUAGUUCAUUUCUGUCUUUCGGGUGUCUAGGCAAUUUUCCUUCGUCGGUAUUUCGAUCUUCCUUUACAUGACUGAGGAAAUACAGUCAAAAGCUAAUCAAGUAACCAUAUAUGGAUGAGAAAUCCCUCCACCCCCCUUCCAAAACAAAUUCUAAGAAAUAUCAGAAUUCUUUCAAUAAAAACCCUUCCCCCCAUGCUGUGCCUGCUGAAUGAAAUAUAUUAAUCUUACGAGAAGUUGAGAAAAUAAAUUAAAGAACAUACCCUCCGGAAGAAUUCAAUUGUUGCAAUUUUCUUUCACGUGGAGGUCCUCCAAAGUUAGAGCACAUAUCCGUACACUGUUUAUGAAAUCAUAAUAACAGGGGACCAGAUAUUAAUAACAAAUCUUGACACCUAAAAGUCAACUGUGAUGAAAAACAUUAAAAAGAAUAUGAACUUGUUAUCUUGGAAGAAGAUAAUUUAAGAUAUAGCAAACUUGGCACAUUCAUAUAUGAACAGAAGGAAUUUGUAGACGUUUUAAAGCCAUAAUCGUUUAAUAAUCAUGAACCAAGCAAUAAUAGAUGAUUAUUAUGUUGGGUGCAAGCGGAAGUGCAGAAAAAUUUUUAUUUAAGAUCAGAGUAUUUUGCUGGAAAUUUCUGAAACUUUAUUGCUUAAUUCAUUUUUUCGUUUCUCUCUUACUUUUCAUACAACCAGAGUUCUAUAUUUAUAUGCAUUAUAGACAACUCUAGAGAUUACAUUAAUCAUGCUUUACAUUUCCAAAGCCACAUUGCAAACAUCAAUUCUACCCUUUACUUCACGUUGAAAAACAAACCAAAUAAUCCUUCAAACUUCUUGCUCAAUUUACUAGAUUACUAAUUAUAUCUCAACACCCCCUCUUAAUUAGUAAUCUUCAAUUGCUUCUUGAAUUUUUCAAACUUCUCAAUAAUGAUUGCUUUGGUCAGAAAAUCUGCUGGCUGCUCAUUAGUGCUGAUAAACUCCAUAUUAACUUCUCCUUUGCUUACUAAGUCACGGAUGUAGUGAUAACGCAGCUCAAUGUGCUUAGAUUUAGCAUGAAAUACGAGGUUCUUUGUUAGAGCAAUGGCUGACAUGUUGUCACAAUAAAUUGUUGUUGCAGCAUCUUGAUUGAACUGCAAAUCCUUGAGAAUUCUUCUAAGCCAAACGGCUUCACAAGCUGAUUCAGUUGCUGCAAUGUACUCUGCCUCGGCUGAGGAUAAAGCUACUGACUUCUGCUUCCUUGAGCUCCAUGAAAUCACAUUUGUACCAAGACAAAAUAAAUAACCUGAUGUGCUUUUUCUGUCAUCAAGGGAACCAGCCCAGUCACUGUCAGUAAAACCAACAAGCUUGCAAUUGUCUUCUUUUUCAUACAUGAUCCCCUGCUUUUUUGUUCCUUGAAGAUACCUUAAGAUUCUCUUUGCUGCAAUAUAAUGGGACUUCCUUGGAUCAUUCAUAAAUCUAGAAAGAACACUAACUGAGUGCAAAAUGUCAGGUCUUGAGUUGGUUAGAUAAAUCAACGAACCAACCAAGCUUCUAUAGAUUCUUGCGUCAGCCUUUUCUUCUUUUUCAUCAUGUUUCAAUUUUUCAUUCAAACCCAUAGGAGUAGGUGCUGGUUUGCAUUUGAACAUGUGGAAUUUCUUCAACAAAUCUUCUACGUAUUUUUCUUGACAAAAGAAGAUUUUUCCUCUGGCUUGCUUCACUUGAAUGCCAAGAAAAUACUUCAUUAAGCCCAAGUCAGUCAUCUCAAAUUCAUCUAGCAUGCUUUUUUUAAACUCUUCCACCAUUUUCAGAUUAGUGCCACAAUAAAUUAGAUCAUCAACAUAAAGGCAAACAAUAAGGAAAUCAGUACCUUCCUUUUUGACAUAAAGAGAAGGUUCACUUGAGCUUCUGUCAAAUCCAUUUUUAACGAAAUAUCUAUCAAUUCUGCUAUUCCACGCUCGAGGGGCUUGCUUCAAGCCAUACAAGGCUUUUCGGAGUUGAUAAACUUUGUUUUCUUCACCUUUCACUUCAUAUCCUUUAGGUUGCUCAACAUAAACCUCUUCUUCAAUUUCACCAUUUAGAAAUGCCGAUUUUACAUCUAGUUGAAACACAUGUAAUUCCAUUUGGGCUGCCAAGGCAAGAACAGUUCGAAUAGUCUCCAUUCGAGCUACGGGAGCAAACGUUUCUGUAAAAUCAACUCCAGGCAGCUGAGAGUAUCCUUUGGCAACGAGCCGCGCCUUAUAUUUUUUAACUGAACCAUCUUCAUUGUACUUGAUUUUGAAGAUCCAUUUCAGCCCAAUUGUUUCUUUUCCAUUUGGCAAAUUAACCAUCUCCCAAGUUUUAUUUUUCACAAUGGUGGCCAUUUCCUCGUUCAUUGCUUGGAUCCAAUUUUCAUUUCUUGAGGCCUCCUCAAAGUCUUGAGGCUCACAAGAAAAUAAAGCAAGUUCACAUGACUCAUAAAUUUCUCUCAUUGACUUUAUCUUCCUUGGAGGGCUUUCAUCAUCCGAAGAACUUUCUGCUGCUGAAUUUGGAGAAUUUGGUUCCAAAUUAUUUUGCUGUGAAGAAUUUGGUGGAGAUACAGGAGCUUCGAAAAAGCUAGAUGCUUGAGAUUGAUCUUUUUCCCACUGCCAAGCUGAUGCCUCAUCAAAUACAACAUCUCUUGAGAUAACAAGCUUAUUUGUUGUAGGAUUCAACAACCGAUACCCUUUAGACUCAUCACUAUAGCCAAUAAACAAAUAUUUUUCACCUUUUUCAUCAAACUUCUCUCUGUUUUGAGCUAGAAUAAGAGCAUAAGCAAUACUCCCAAAAAUCUUCAAGUGAUCAACAGUUGGCUUUCGGUUGUGCCAAGCUUCAAAUGGAGUUUUGUCUCUAACAGCUUUUGUAGGAGACCUGUUGAGGAUGUACACAGCUGUAUGACAUGCUUCUGCCCAUAAGUUGUUAGGAAUGCCUUUGCCUUUUAACAUGCUUCUUGCCAUCUCUACAAUGGUACGGUUCUUCCGUUCUGCAACUCCGUUUUGUUGUGGACUUCGGCUGACAGUAAGUUGUCUUUGAAUUCCAUUAUCCCUGCAAUAAUUCAUGAAUGGAGUGUAGAUAAAUUCACCACCACGAUCAGUUCUCAAGGUCUUCAUUUUGCAUCCACUUUGCCUUUCUGCAAGAGCUUUAAACUGAAGAAAAGUUGAGAAAGCUUCUGAUUUUUCAUUCAAAAAAUAAAUCCACAUCAUCCUUGUAUAGUCAUCAACAAAAAGAAUGAAAUAUCUCCUGUUAUUGAGAGAGAGAGUCCUUGUAGGACCACAAAUAUCAGCAUGCACCAACUCCAACGGAGCUUUGGCUCUCCAUGAAUUUUUAGGAAAUGGAAGUCUAUGCAUUUUUCCAUAUAUACAGCCCUCGCAAACUUUUUCAUAUCUUCCAACAUCAGGUAAGCCAAUCACCAUGUUCUUUUGCUUGAGCAAAUUCAGCCCUUUAUAGUUUAAAUGACCAUAUCUGAGAUGCCAUAAAUUUGACAAAUCUGAAUUUUCAGUUUUGAGAGCAACAUUCUCAUCAAGUGGCAUAACAAGAGGAAAAACUUUGUUCUUUGACAUUUCAACAACGGCCACUGUAUGAUUAUUAGUUUUAUCAAUGAUUUUGCAUUUUUCAUCAUCAAAAUAAAUUGAAAAACCCUUUUGAAUUAGCUGCCCCACACUCAAGAGGUUUUGAGUUAAAUUUGGAACAUAAAGAACGUCAUAAAUGAGCUUUUUGUUACCUCCCUUUGUAUGGACAGCAAUAGUGCCUUUUCCCACAGCUUUCUGCAUCUUUCCAUCUCCAAGCUUCACUUGCGAAUUAAAACUUUGGUCAAGGUUGAUGAAAAUGUCACGUUCUCCAGUCAUGUGGUUGCUACAACCGCUAUCCAAGUACCACAAAUUAUAUGAUUCACGUUCAGCACCUUUACUUGAAUAAAACAAGUAAUCUCCAUCACAUUCUUUUGUAAAAUUUGCCUCAUUUUUGCCUUUCUUAUUUUGAUACCAGCAAUCCCUUUGAGAAUGGUUAGGAAUGCGACACCUUGUGCAUUUAUAACGACAAUCUUUUGAUUCAUGAUUAGACCGAUUACAAAUGAUGCACUGAGAAUCUGAAUUUUGCUGUGAAUUCCCUCUGUCAUUUUUCCACUUGUUGCGGUUGUCGUUCUGUUCUCUUUGCCCUAUGCCACGCUGCUCGUUUCUUUGAGACGAGCCUCCGUUCUUCUGGUCUUUCUUGCUGCUUUUAUUCUGAUCUGAAUUAUUAAUCUUUGACUGAAAAGCUUGCUCUGUAGGCUGACUUGAAGGUCGAUUGAUUCUUUGCUCAUGAGACCGUAAUGAUCCUGACAAAUCUGAAAAAGUCAUCUUGGACAAAUCCUUUGAUUCUUCAAUGGCUGCUGCUACAUGAUCAAACUUUGGAGGAAGACAUCUCAGCACCUUUUCAUUCACCUUCUUGUCUUCAAUGGAGUCCCCACAACCUUUAAUCUGGUUCACAAUCUCAGUAACUCUACUGCAAAAAUCCUGAAUUCCUUCUCUGUCUUUCAUUGAUAAAUUAUCGAACUCUUUCCACAAAGUCUGUAACUUGAUGGUGACUGCCUUUUCAGAACCUUGAAAUUCUUGUUUUAGGAUUUUCCAAGCAUUUUUGGCCUUUUUGACACCAAAUAUUCUGGGGAAAAUUGACUUACUAACACCUUGCUGGAUAUAUCGAAGUGUCGUGGCAUUUCUCUGUAUGUUUUCUUUGUACUGCUGUUGAUGUGCUGGAGUCCAAUCUGAAGAACUUGCAGAUUCUGGUGGUUCAGCAUAUCCAUCUUCAACAACAUCCCAUAAAUUUUGAGAGAGGAAAAAGGUUUCCAUUUGAUUACUCCAAUAUUCAUAAUGUACCCCUUCAAAUAUUGGAACUUGACUGGGAGCAUAUGAGAAUAAUGUGGGUAGGGUAUUUGAUGUCAUUUUGAGGGUGUUUUGGAAAAGCUCUGAUACCAAAUUUGUUGGGUGCAAGCGGAAGUGCAGAAAAAUUUUUAUUUAAGAACAGAGUAUUUUGCUGGAAAUUUCUGAAACUUUAUUGCUUAAUUCAUUUUUUCGUUUCUCUCUUACUUUUCAUACAACCAGAGUUCUAUAUUUAUAUGCAUUAUAGACAACUCUAGAGAUUACAUUAAUCAUGCUUUACAUUUCCAAAGCCACAUUGCAAACAUCAAUUCUACCCUUUACUUUACGUUGAAAAACAAACCAAAUAACCCUUCAAACUUCUUGCUCAAUUUACUAGAUUACUAAUUAUAUCUCAACAUAUUAUUCCGUUUCUUCUAAGCUACGCAUACUUGCACAUCAGAAUAAAGUGAUAUACAAUGGUUGUGUGCAGACACAAACGCAUGAUCAACAGGAAAAAUCAUCUGAACAUUUGUAUUACUGAUUUGGCAUAUAAGAUUCUCAUAAUAGUUCAAAAUACAAAUAAAUGAAUAUAUAUAUAUUCCCCACCGGAAUCACCCCCUGGAUCCUCACUCAAGGUGUCUUCCGAGCCAGAAGAUCCCUCCUCACCACUAUUUCCGCUCGUGGAGGUUGUUUGGGGGGACAUCCUCCUAGCGCUAGUCCCAACACUAGACCUAAUGGGUUCUAAGGGGAUCCCGGGGUCAAAAGCAGGAUCGGUGAGCAGACUAGACAAGAAACCUAAUUCGUCGUCAUCAAUCUCAACGAUUUUCUCUUUACCCUUCGACAUUCCCUAAACUAUAAUCAGAACACCACCACCAACUACAACCCCAAGCAAAGCACAGAGAAAAGAAAUUAUCUACAACUAACCAAGACCGAGAAAAUAGAAGAAAUACCUGAAGCAGGGAUUCGAUCAGAGAGAGAUAGGGAUGAAAGCUUUAAUGCCGAGGUUCAUUCGCCGGAGAGACAAGAAGGGAGAAAAUGACGAGUUCGUGUUUGAGGAUUUUGGGUUUUCUUACUGAGAAGCAAACUCUUGGGCUGCCAGCAUUUAAUGACACAUAUUCCGAGAAUCUUGCAACCGUAGGUUUGAAAUUCAAAUGGAGGGGUGGAUUUCUGCCACAUCACUUCAUCUGCAAUUAAAUGCGACACGACUCUUGGCAGUCUUUUCCAGUCCCACGCGAGCAAGAACCGAUUGAGUUUCUACUGCUGGUCCAUUACAUUACCCAACACCAGAAACUGGGGGACUGGUGUUUGAGGGAAAUACUUCGACGAGACCAGACGUGAUGAGCAGAUAUUUGAUGGCAGAGUUCUGCAAACAGGUGUGUCUUGUAAGAGCCAGGUAGCAGGGGAACAGGAGUAGGAAUAUUCUGCUCGUCCACGAAUAUGCCAUUCACGAGGUCAAACUCCUGUUAGAGGCAUAAGGCCAUUCCUGCUAGAGGUCGAGAAGCGAGGAGACCCGGUCAACGACAGUUGGCAAGACGUGCAUUCCUAUCCGAGAAUCAAGGCACAAAGUCCAUCUCCAUUCGCCCACAAUGGCGAUAAUGGGGCAUCCAUAUCCCGGGGGGGGGAGAAUAAGGGGCGUGGACUACGGAAGAUCGGGAUUCAGAGGAAGCUUAUAAAAAGGUAGCCAACGAAGGUAAAAGGGUUAGAAUUUUUGAGAUUGCAACUAAGAAAAGAGAGCUCUAAGAACUGAAACUAAAGAGAAGCCAUAAGAUUCGUGGCAAACAUUCCCAGAACCUUCAUAUCUGACUUGAGCGUCGGAGGAUUUACGCCGGGAAAACGACCGGCGCACCCUGACCUGCUUUUGUGUUCGCAUGAAUUUUUGGGGAAGAAACCUUACGAGGAGAGAUCCUGGUCAUGGUAGAGUUGGUCGAGCAGAGGUCCUGGUCUUGGUAGAGAAGGCAACCAGAAUCUCGCAUCAACAAUUAUUUUACUUGAAAUUAUGUACAAUUGCAUUUCAUUCAUUUCUCUCUCUCUUUUUCUUUUUUCCCCCCAUAUAUUUUUUAUGUAUAAUUGCGUUUCAUUUAAUAUUGAUCAUACUGUAGGUAACCAUGUGAUUGUAGAUGGGGAUUUCAAGUUUGUUGAAUAUUCAUGUAAGUGAAGUAACCGUCACAAUACUAGUGAAAUUGGGAGCUUUAUUCAUGAGUUUGUGGUUUUGAAAAGUACCACAGUUCAGCUGAUGAAGGCUUCUUUUUGGGAUUCUUCUUUUCCUAGGCUGCAAUUAGGAUAUGUACAUGAUAGACAAUCUUUUGUUGGUUUGGCAUAUCUUCGCUGAUUUUGUCUUUUAUUCCCCAAUUUUAUAAUUACACACCAUGAAUGUUGGGUGAUUGCAUAGAAAAUUUGUGUUAUAACAAAAACAUUGUGAAGGAGUUUCUGUGCUAAUAGUUAGUGGCUUCUGUUUUAUUGGCAUUGAUUGGGUAGAUUACGUGUUACAGUGAUUCAAUUUGUGUUCCAAACUUUGCUUUAAUUUUCUGUUUUCCCCAACUAUUUAUGUCAAAUUUAAAUCCAGAAGCAUGUACUGAUUUUUUCUUUUUGUAUUAAUUUGUGAAGUUUAUUUGGAAUGGAAGUAACUGGGUCGGGUCUAAUGGAUUAAAUUAUGACAUUGAGGGGAAGGCACUAAAAGGGUUUGCUUGACACAUUUGGUUCUGUGUCUGCAAGAAAUAGCUUUUGCUUAUUGCAAUGCAGGGGGAAAUCCCGAUUUGGCUGGUGAAUUUCUCUGCAACAAACGGGCAAACACCUUGACUUCUUCUGUCCAUACUUCUGCUGGGGAGGCAAGGGGUAAAGAGUCUUCAAAAUCAUCAAAUAGUAACAUCUCUGAGAAUUCAUUUUAUGGAAAUGGAAAAUCUAGAGCUUCUAAUACAAAAUGGUAUCUGGUAUCAGGACGUACCGUUUCAAGUUUUCUUGGUAAAGAUUAUGUUAAACCUGCACAGCCAGCUAAUGGCACUUUUCUGGCAUCAAAGCCAUUGAAGUUGGAUCCAAGGGAGUUUCGCAUUUCUGCACUUUCAGAGAAGAAACUAAACCGAAACAAUCAAAGGAUGACCAUUUGCAGAAGGAUAUGGAAGAUUUUCUGUUUAAAUUGCUAGGAGAAGGGUUCCAGCUGUACAGGGAUGUGAUUCAGAUGGUUCAUGGUAACGUCUUAAAUAUAUUGAUGCCAAUUUAAUACAUAUUGUCCUUUUCAAUGUUCUUUCUUUCUUUCUCCUCUUUUUAUUCUUCUUCUUCUUCUUUUUUCUUUUCAUGUGCAUCUGAUCACUAAUUUGGUAUUAUUCUUAACUUGCAGAUAGUUGUGGAUAUGAUAUGCAAAAAGGUAAGGACUAUAUCUUCUUGAUGGAGGCCUCUGAUUUUUUAAAUCGCAUUUUCCUUUGUGAUUGAUAUAUCAUACCAAAGUCAAGUCUUAAAUACUGCUGUCAUAUGUUAAGGUUCAACUUCCAUUUUGAUUAACGUCGAUUUGCUACUGCUUCCAAAAGUGAGAAUGAGAUACUUUGGUUAAUUUCAGUAGUUGAACCCAAUAGAGUACUUUAUUUAGAUCUUCAUGGUUCAAAGGCCUGAAAAAACUUGCCGGUGUUUGCAAAAUGACAUUCUGUGCUUUUAUUUAGACUUAUUAUUAAAGACAACAUUUUGUUUCAGCCAAAAAUGUUUGUUUCGAUUAAAGACUGAUUUUAUAUUUCUAUUUUGUAACUUGAAAUAAUUGGUCUGCCUGUUUCUGUUGCUUGAUAACAUGAAUUUUUCCUUCUGAAGUUAAUUUGAUCAAUAAAGUAAUUCUUCGGAGAGGAUAUGCCCAUUCUAUAGUCAUUUUCUUAGCUAACAUGUUUUUUCUUCACUCUUCAGAGCAUGUCUAAACUAAUUGAUCGCUCAGCGGAGACUUUGGGUGAGAAGACAAAAUUUCUUGGUAAAUCCUCUGAAAAGGUAUGCAUAAUUCCCGAGUAUUAAAUAAUCAUUGGUCAUAAUUUUUGUACACGACUCUUUUUUUGGAGAUCGUUAAAAGUGGUUGAUGAUCUAUUUUGUAAUAUCAUAGAGGGAUCAUGAAUUCCUUUUCUUUUCUGUGGCUAGGCAACACUUUCGAGCCAAGCUAAGGAAAUCUAUUUUAGGUAAUGUGAAAACCAGUUGUAGGAUGUAAUAGUUUAUUAUGCCCUGCCAAUAACUUUUUGUAUAAUUGUCAGUUUAAUGAAUACAAGAGGAACUCUGUUGGCAAGUUCAUCCAUGAUAGAUGCUAAAAUUAUUUAUGCAUACCAGUUGCCUUAACUAAUUUUUCUCAACACUGGUAUUGAACAGGAAAAUGAAUAUGCAAUUUGUAUAUUGUGCCAUUGUGGAGAAUUUGGAUAUUCUUAUUUAAGUAACAAGGAGAGUAUUUGCCUCAUCUUUAAACAAUGAAUCUUUGAGAAAUGAGGAGUGGGUGAUUGGCAGUGUCUUCAUGUAAAUGUUCAUUUAUUUGUAUUUUGAACUAUUAUGAGAAUCUUUGUAUGCCAAAUUAGUAAUACAAAUGUUCAGAUGAUUUUUCCUGUUGAUCAUGCGUGUGUAUCUGCACACAACCAUUGUGUACCACUUUAUUCUGAUGCGCAAAUAUCUGUAGUUUAGAAGAAAAGAAAUAAUAAUCAUAUAUUAUUGCUUGGUUCAUGAUUAUUAAACGAUUAUGGCUUUAGAAAAUCCACAAAUCCUUUGUGUUCAUAUAUGAAUGUGCGAAGUUCGCUAUAUCUUAGAUUACCUUCUUCCAAGAUAACAAGUUCAUAUAUUUUUUAAUCCUUUUUCAUCACAGUUGAAUUUCAAGUGUAAGUUUUGUUAUUAAUAGCUGGUUUCCUGUUAUUAUGAUUUCAUAAACAGUAAGAGGAUAUGUGCUCUACUUUUGGAGGGCCUCCACAUGAAAGAAAAUUGCAACAAUUGAAUUCUUCCGGAGGGUAUGGUAUUUAAUUUAUUUUCUCAGCUUGUUGUAAGACUAAUAUAUUUCCUUCAGUACGCACGGCAUGGUGGGAAGGGUUUUUAUUGAAACAGUUAUGAUAUUUCUUAGACUUUGUUUUGGAAGGGGGUGGAGGGAUUUCUCAUCCAUAUAUGGUUACUUGAUUAGCUUUUGACUGUAUUGUCUCCGUCGUGCAAAGGAAAAUCCAAAUACUAACGAAGGGGAAUUGCUUAGGCACCCAAAGGACAGAAAUGAAUUACGGAAGGAAGUUUUUGCUGCUUUAUUUAGUGCUGCUGAGAAAUCUGAUGGAUUUCCUGAAAUUACGGUGAAGACGGAGUGGAGGUCCAACGCAUUAGGAAAGGUGGUGAGUGAACCGCCGGAGGAAUUAGUACCAGAACACAAGGCUAAUGUGGUGCACUGGCAGCAAGAUGACCAGACCUGUAUGUGCUCUUAUAUUAACUAUAUUGGCUGGAUUUGUGAGUGUGUACAUUUUUGUGUGUAUACUCACUUUUGGAUUUAUGCAUAUUAACGUGUGUAGGAUUCUCGAUUUCUGCCACUUACUGGAGAACUAGUGGAAAGCUUUAUACUGAUAUAUGUGCUAUAUAACUAAUGGAAACUACAAUAUGAAUAUUUUCUCUCACCUGGAGAACAGUGUAACUGAUAUAAUUUGUGGCUCUGGAAUACUGAAGAUUCUGCAAUAACUAAUGGAAAAUAUGAUAUGAAUAUUUUUUCUCACCUGGAGAACUUUGUAACAGAUACAUUUUGUGCUGGAAUGUCUAAAGAAUGCUUCAGUUUAGAUCAAAUAUCUUUUAGUUAGAAAAGAUAAAAUUCUCUGAAUCUGAAAGACUGAAACAUUUUGCAUAUUUCGUGAAAGGCAAGUAUCUGUAGAUACUAGCUCAUGCAUUGAGGUAAUAUCAAUGUUAAAGAAAAACAGCAAUAAUUUAUUAUACAGAAUUAGGUUCACUUGCUUUAAAUGCUGGUCUGAUCAACCAUAUCAACCUGUAAUGGUCCUGCAGAAAUAUAUAUACGGGGAGAAACUAGCUAAUUUUCCUUUCACUUAUGGGUUUGGUCUUUUUUUUCCCCUAUUUUUCAGCUUUCCUUCUCCUGAAGUAUGUUAACAAUUGCAGAUAAUGACGAAGAGGACCGCUUCCAGGCUCUUUGUAGAGCUGUGAUGGAAUAUAGGGGCACAAUGAAAGAAUAUUGUAAGGCUGUAUGUACUUUCUCUCAUGUCAUUUAUGUUUUCUCACACAUUUUGUAUAUGCCCUGAACAUGCAGCUUUGUAUGUGUCAAUUGCCUUUUACGUUUUAAAAGCCAUAAAGUAAGAAUACAGUUCCUUGUCAGGCUAUUGAUGCGUUCGCUCAGAAGGGUCAUGUUCAAGCAGGAAAACUUCUAGAACAGGUAAGGUUUCCAUCUACAGCCAUCCAUUGACAGCAGAUAUAUUUUCAUUAAGCAGACACUGUUAGCAUUCAAGAUGCUGGCAGAUUCACUUGAUUCUUAUUAGUUUGUUUAGUGGCAAACCAUAUAACCUGUAUUUCAAAGCCAAGUUGUGCUAUUGAUUAUGUUAACUUUAUUGUUAACAUAAAGUGAUAUGGAGGACAUAAUCAAUGUAGGAAAAUUAGGUGAAGAGAUGAUGUCAAAUCUUGAACCUCUUACAAAGCUCCAAGUUCUUUACUUGAAGAAGCUGCCAAAUUUGAAGAGCGUCUACUGGAAGGCAUUUCCAUUCCCAGAUGUAUGCAGAAUUUUUGUAUUAAUGCCCAGUUCUUAAGAAGCUGCCACUGGAUUUUCAAGGGGCGGGCCAAGGUAAAAUUCUUAUCAAGGGAAAGGAAGAUUGGUGGAAAGAACUUCAAUGGGAGGAUCAAGCAACUCAGAAUGCAUUGCUUCCAUUUUUCAAAUCAACUGACAAGUGAUUGAAGGGGGCAUCAUCAACAUCAUCAACUGGGAUGGAGAGAUUAUGGAGCAGAUCAGCAGGGUUUGUAUAUGAUCUUUGGUGGUUGCUUUCUUUUGUGAUUUUUUUUUUCUCAUUUUUUUCCCUUCCUGUCAUUUUAUCAUUUCUUUGUCUCGUUUUCUAUUGCUGAUGUUAGUGUAUGCUUACUGUUGCUUGACAAAGUUUGCUUGCUUCUUGUUUAUUAAUUUUUUUAUGGUCACAAAAUAUUACUUGUUCUAUUUGAGAGUGAUGUGAAUCAAUUUUCAAUUAUAUAUUUUAUGGUCAAUGUGAAUUCAAUUUCAUUUGUCUCCUGCAAUUAUUUAAAAAAUGCAGAGUCAUAAUAUGGAAAAGUCGACCGGCAAAAACUUUGUGAAAGCUUCGGAGUGAAACAGGGAAUUCACUUACUAACAGGGAAUUCACUUACUACUAAGGACAAUUGGUGGCGAGCUAUUCCAUUCAUUUUAUGUCCAUACAUCUAUUUAAUUAUUAAAGAUAAGUGGUCCAUUUGUAAAUUUCAGAUUGUGUCUCUCUGAAAAUAACAAUAUUUAAAAUGUCUCUUAAAUUAUUAUAAAUUUUAAUUCACUCUCGAUUUAAAAUGGAACAUGCUGAUGAAAUUUUUUUUCUUCUUAAUAAAAUUGAAAUAAAUUGUGUUUGCAGUAGUUUGAAAUAUUUUAAAGAUUAUUAUUUUAUAAGGGAGUAAUAUGAAAUGAAAUUUACUUUUCAUGCGUGAAAUGUUGAAAAAGGACACAGCAAGUGUCCCUGCUUUUAUUUUAUUUCAAAGUGGAGUCAUCUCACAUACUUUAACUCUAUCGUUACAAUUUUUCAGGUUACAUUUUUAUUUAUUUAUUUAUUUUCUUUUUUACACAUGCAUGUGGGUUACUUUUCCGUAAGCUCCUUAAUAUAUAUAUUUAACACAAAUCAUGGAAGAGAUGGGAGUAUAUCAAGAUGAUCAAAGCAUGAAACAAAAAUAUUUAAGAAGUAAAACACUGAAAAUAGAGAAGAGAUGCAAGCAAAAGAUAUUCCAAAGAAAAGCAAUCUAUCUCCUUUCGAAGAAUGUUAUGGAAGAGUUGAACCCAGCGAAGAAUGUUAUGGAAGAGCAAAUUAAUGAUAUUUUUGAUAGAGUCUAUUUGAUUAUGUAGCCUGAAUAGAUGUCUUGUUGAAAGAUAUCUCAGUGCAUUAGUUCAUCCUUGACUGUCAAUGUGUUUUUAAUGGUUUUUCCAAAUUUUUAUUAUUAUAGAUUGAUUGUAAAUUUGAUAUGAAUUUAAUGUUGAAAUGUUUUCUCUUUAGUGGAAUGAAUUUAAAAGUGCAAAAGCUUAUUGCACACAGAGAAAUAAACAUAUAUGCUUUAUAACUUUAGCAAUCGAUUCUUUUACAGCUGGAAACAGAGAUGAUGAUUAUCAUAGGGGUGAAGAAAAGGACAAAAAAUGUUAAUGGUUAACGAAAUUUCUAUGCAAAUUGAUUUUAGCAGGAAAAAAGUGAGCUAAAUGAUCUUAAUGUUCCACAAGAAAAAGCAAGAUCUUAAUGUUCCACAAAAGCGUUAUUUAUUUUUUUUUGGUGAGCCACGUGGAGCUCAAUUAUCAUUGUCUUUACUUUAAAAACGUUAUUUUAUUUUCUUUUAUUACAAAUUAAUGCUAACAAGAAAAAGCAAGAUAUAAUAUUCCACAAAAGCAAAUCGUAAUAUUCCACAGAGGAGUAAGAUCCACAAAAGCAAACAACUAGCUGGAUUCUUUUAUUGAACUACAAAUUAAAACAACAAAUUAAAGUUCAAAUAUUUAAAUAGUAGUGCGUUAGACGAUUAGGCUCUUUUAUUAAAGGGAAGUAUAAAGUAGUCCAGAAUCGAACAUCUCUAUUGUCUAGUCUUUUUUUUUUUUUUUAAUUCUUCUUUUAUUAUUUUUCAGAAUAGGUUUUGGUGAUUACUAUUGGGUUAUUAUUGAGAGUUAUUGUUAUCUUCCGGGGCAGUUUCUGUUAAUCGAAAUCGUUAAUUAAAAUUUUAGAACUCUUAUUGGAAGAAUGUUUUUCCGUUAUUUUUUUAUAUUCUAAUUUCAAUUGUAAGAAGUAGUCAUUUUAGAAUUUGGGUCUUGAAUCGAAUUUCAAUGCAUGAAUUAAUAUUUAAAAAAAAAAUUACUACACGCAGUUUAGGUUACAAACUAUUUUUUGCAAAGUUGAUUAUGAAAUUGGAAAAAUUAAGUAAUUUAUAAUGUUUGCAAAGGAAGAGACUAACAUACUUCCAAUUACACUAUAUCUCUAUUAUCAUAAUGUUAAGAUUAAACUAACUUAAAAUAAAUUUUAUUUGAAAAGUUAUAUCAAACGCAGUCUAAUUUUAUUAACUUGAAGAGAUAAUAGUUAUAGAAAUUAUUGUUCUAACUUAAUUAGUACAAGUGGUAUAAAGGUUAAGUGUGCACUAAAUUUGUUUAAAUUUUUUCCAGAAUAACUAACAGAGGUCAUUACUAGAAUUAUAAUUACUAGUCUAUUAGAUAGAAAAAAUUAUUUAUAUUGUUUUAUAUUUAUUAAAAAAUUUUAAAGUCAAUCUUUUUAAUUAUUAUUUAAAGGAUAUUAUAAUUAAAAAAAAUUUAAUGUCUUUAUUAAAAAUUUAAAAAUUUAAAAAUUUAAAAAUUUACAUGACCGCUCUAUAAAUAUUGAAAGUGUAACUGUCAUUUUCUCAUAUAUAUAUAUAUAUAUAUAUAUAUAUAUAUAUAUAAACCACGGUGGUGAAGCUUUAUUUAAUAUUAAUGAUUUAAAUAACAAUAUCUCAAUUAAAAAUGUAGAGAGAAGAAAUUUCGGUGGGUAUAUUAGUCUUUUACAAUUAUCAUGAUUAACCCUUCCUCUUGUAACGUUGGUCAGAAAAGUUUUAAAAUGCCUUGAUUUCUUUUACUUUUAACGUUAGCGGCCUUCCUUAUAUUUUAUUACAAAUUAGUCCUAACAAGAAAAAGCGAGAUCAUAUUCCAAAAAAGCAAAAGUGACAAAAAAACCAGCUGUAUUCUUUUAUUAAACUACAAUUUAAAAUGAUUUUAAAGUGGAUUCUUUUGAAUACAGGUGGGGUAGUCGAAUAGUCUUUUUCAAAUUCUUGUUUUAUUAUUUUUCAAAACUAGUUUUUGGUAAUUACAAUCGGGUCAUUCAUUAGUCAUUAUUCAGAGUUAUUGUUAUCUUCGGGGGCAGUGGGUAAAAGGCUAAAUGAUAAUUACUAAGUGUUUUUCCUUCAAAAGUUAGUGGCUCGUGUUUUGCAAGUGUGUACGUGCGAUGCUCUUUGUCUAAAGGCAAUUACAGUGGGUCCCGAAUCGGACGUGCCUAAUAAAUCUUUUAAAAAUUUUUCUAAUAAAUAUUCCUAAAAUUUCUCUUCCACAGGCAAUUACAGCAGCUUCAGUUAAUCAAACUCAAUCAAUUUUCUUUCUUAACAAAAUUCCAAAGAUGUGUGGCUGUUUUCAGAUCACAUGCGAUGGUACUUUUUUCAAUCGUUGCUUAGAUUGCUUUCUUGGAAAAGCAGCAUACAUACGUAACCUCCAAGAUAACCUCGUUGCCUUGGAGACUGAACUAAGGAAACUAAUCGCAGCAAAGAACGAUGUGAUGACGGCGGUUGUCAAUGCUGAACGGCAACAAAUGAGAAGGCUGGAACGAGUGCAAGUGUGGGUUUCGAGUGUGGAUUCUGUUAAAACUGGAGCCGAUGAACUUAUCACAGACGGCUCUGAAGAAAUUGGCAAAUUAUGUGUUGGAGGCUACUGUUCCAAGAACUGCAGGUCAAGCUACAAGUUCGGAAAACAAGUGGCUGAAAAGCUACAACAUGUGAAGAAUUUAAUCGCCGAGGGAGUUUUUGAGGCGGUGGCCACUGAGGUGGUGCCCGAGAGAGCUCCGGAACCUGUAGCAGAUAAAAGACCCAUUGAGCCAACAAUAGUAGGCUUGCAAUCACAGCUUGAAGAAGUUUGGAGAUGUCUUGCAGAAGAAUCAGUGGGAAUCAUUGGCCUAUAUGGUAUGGGCGGUGUUGGUAAAACCACACUAUUGACCCAUAUCAACAAUAAAUUUCUUGAGAGUCCCACAAACUUUGAUUGUGUGAUUUGGGUCGUAGUUUCAAAAGACCUGCGACUUGAAAAAAUUCAAGAAGAUAUUGGGAAGAAGAUAGGUCUAUCUGAUGAUUCAUGGAAGAAUAAAAGUUUUGAAGAGAAAGCUGUGGACAUCUUGCGGAGAUUAGGAGAGAAGAGAUUUGUAUUGUUGUUAGAUGAUAUAUGGGACCGGGUUGAUUUAACAAAGGUGGGCGUUCCACUUCCCGGACCACAAAAUACUACCUCAAAAGUCGUAUUCACAACCCGUUCCAUCGAUGUUUGUGGCAGCAUGAGAGCUAGGCCGGUUAAAGUGGCAUGCCUAUCAGAAAAGCAAGCUUGGGAACUGUUCCACGAAAAUGUUGGGGAAGAAACUCUUGAGAGUGAUCAUGAGAUCGUUGAGCUAGCCCAAACAGUGGCCAAAGAGUGUGGUGGUUUGCCACUCGCACUUAUUACUAUUGGUCGAGCUAUGGCCUACAGAAAGAAAGCGGAGCAGUGGAGACGUGCAAUUGAAGAGUUAAGAAGAUCAGUUUCAGAGUUUGCAGGUUUGGGAAAAGAGGUGUAUCCUUUUUUAAAGUUCAGCUAUGAUAGUUUGCAGUAUGAUACGGUUAGAUCUUGUUUCUUGUAUUGUUGUUUAUAUCCUGAAGAUUAUGGCAUUCUUAAAUGGGACUUGAUUGAUUGUUGGUUUGGCGAGGGAUUUUUUGGGGAAUCUGACAGGUCUGGUGCAGAAAACCGAGGAUAUGGCAUUUUGGACACUCUUGUUCGUGCAUGUUUAUUAGAAGAGGUGGAAGAUGAUAAAGUAAAAAUGCAUGACGUUAUUCGUGAUAUGGCUAUAUGGAUAGCUUGUGAAAUUGAGAAGGAGAAGAGAAACUUUUUGGUUUGUGCAGGUGCUGGAUUAAAAGAGGCACCGGAUGUUAAAGGAUGGGAAAAUGUGAGAAGAUUGUCAUUGAUGCAAAACCAAAUUAAAACUCUGUCAGAGGUUCCUACAUGCCCUCAUCUCCAUACUCUAUUUCUUGACUUUAAUAAGGAGUUGGAGACGAUCGCGGAUGGCUUCUUCCAAUUUAUGCCUUCUCUCAAAGUUUUGAAGAUGUCAAACUGUGGGCAUGUCAAAGUUUUGAAAUUACCUAUUGGGAUGUCAGAGUUGGGUUCAUCACUAGAACUUCUUGAUAUUUCAAAUACCAACAUAACAGAGUUACCAGAAGAGUUGAAGUUGUUGGUAAAUCUGAAAUGUUUGAAUUUGAGGUGGACAAUUUGUUUAAAUAAAAUUCCAUGGCAACUAAUAUCAAAAUUUCAAGGUUACGUGUGUUGAGAAUGUUCGCUACUGGCUUUGCACGUUUUGAUGCAGCAUCAGAAGACAGCGUUUUAUUUGGUGGGGGUGAAGUUUUAGUACAGGAAUUGGUCGGUCUGAAAUAUUUAGAGGUAUUGGAGUUGACCUUGGGAUGUCAUCAUGCUCUCCAAAUUUUUUUGAGCUCAAAUAAGUUAAAAAGUUGUAUUCGAUCUCUUCUCCUCCAAUUGGCCGGAGAUACAAAGUCGAUUAUUGAUGCUACGGCUUUCGCAGAUCUAAACCACCUCAAUGAAUUAUGGAUUGAUAGGGCUAAGGAGUUGGAAGAAUUGAAGAUUGAUUGUAAAGAAAUAGUACAAAAAAGGCGGGAACCUUUUGUUUUCCGCAGCCUUCACCGUGUUACUAUACAUAGCUGCCAGAAGUUGAAAGAUUUGACAUUCCUCGUUUUUGCUCCAGACCUCAAGUCUCUCGAUCUAGACCGUUGCGAUGCUAUGGAAGAAAUAAUCAGCGUCGGAAAAUUUGCUGAGACUCCUGAGAUGAUGGGACAUAUAAGCCCUUUCGAAAAUCUCCAAACUCUUCAUUUAAGAGCGUUUAACAUCUUUUCUCGACGACCUGCACGAUUGCCUUUCACUCAUCUGAAGGAAAUGGAGGUAAGUGGGUGCGAUCAGCUUAAAAAGCUUCCACUCGAUUCCAACAGUGCAAAAGAGCGUAAAUUUGUUAUUCGUGGAAAAGAAGACUGGUGGAACCGACUUCAAUGGGAGGAUGAAGCCACUCAAAUUGCUUUUCGUUCCUGUUUCCAACCUGAGCGGUUAGUCGCAAAAUUUGAUUUCUGGUGAUUGCGUUUGUCUUUUAACUCUUAUAUAUAUUCUUGUCGUUUGUUUUCUUCUCUGUUUUUAACUCUUAUAUUGCGUUUGUCUUUUGAAAAUCUCCAAUUAAAUGUUGAAUUAAUGGAAUUAAUGCUUCAUAAAUUUGCCGGCACUGCCAUCACUUUUUUUUUUUUUAAUACAAAUUGAUACUUUAUUUAUAUCUUCUUAGCGAUAUAAUUUCCUGUCAAUUGACGAACGAGAAGAACAUACGACUUAAACCAAUUCACGCAUAAACUUGCUGUAAAAAGAUAUAAUCUCACUGAAAUGCACACGUCUAGAAUGAAUAGAAUUAAAACAGGGAAAAUAUUUAAGUAUAUUAGCCCUCUUUACCGAAAAUGAAAUGACAAUAAAUUUUUUGAAAGUUUUGAUUUUCUAUGGUCAAUUCCACCUUUUGCAAUUUCUUCUGUUCUAACAAAAACCAAUUUCUUUGUUCAAGUAUUUUCGUUUGGGUAUUAAUAAUUCUCCACCGAAAGAGUGAACUCUUGCUCAAGGGAUCUCUAAUCAAUAGCCGGAAGGGCGCCGAGACCUGAUCGGACCUAGGCCCAAGUUUGGUCUUAAAGCCUGGGCUUGAGCCUGGCAAUUAAAUUAAAACAUUAAUUGAUUUCUUGAUUGAAUUGUCGUGUAAUUGAUUUAUGGGGGAUGACACAUCAACAUGCUUGAAAACACACUAAUCUCAGCAUCAUCGGUUAAUAACUUUUAGAAUUAUGGGUAAUCAAUAGUUAAGAUUAGUUGUCAUUAAUACUAAAUAUUUUUUUACUAUUUUCGUCUCUUCUAGAGGAUCUUCUAGAAAAAUGCAUCCACAACAAAAUUUAAUACUUUACAUAAUAAACAAAGCAUAAAUGUUAAAUUUAAGAAACUGCAUUGUAUUUCAGCUGAAGUUGACUUUAAUAUUUAGGGUAGAAAAAUAAUAAAUCCUUAAUGUGUUUAAUUUCUAUCACUUGUGUCAUUAAAAUUUUCUAGUCACCCUAACCAAUUACAUCUCAACCCACUUUUUUUUGGAUGAUUUUAUUUUUACACUAUUAUUUUCAUCAUUUUUUUUCCUUUUAACACCAACAUUAGUGUAUGUUACGUAACAUAAUUCAUAUUUGGAUAAUUUGAAAUUUGUUUGUGUUUUAUCUCAAAAUAGAGCUUCAAUCAAUUUGUACCUCAUAAAUUCACAAUAUCUAUGAGGGCUAAUAAGACCAAACUCUGGCAUAUUGUCAAAUGUGCUUAUCCUUUUGCUUGACAUGUCAUUUUAAAAUUGUCAUUCAAUGCCAAAAAAUCACAUCAACUGAUGGCCGACUACUUUAAUUUGAAAGCAUGCAUGCGAUCGCCAAUAAUUAUAACUUAAUUGUUAUUUUGAAAUUUUUUUCUUUAUAAUUUUUAAGUUUAAUACUACUACAUGUGCAGCACAUAAGUUGGAAAAUAUAACAUAAAAUUUGAAAAAUGUGUAGCUUUCGUUCCUUUUUUUUCUUAAAAAUGAGGAAAAAGAAUGUAAUUUUGUUUAAAUUACUGUUGUGAUAACAAUUAUUAUUUUAUUGAUUAAUUGGCAGAGAAUGGUUAUGGUUUCGCAUGGUUGUUAAAACAUUGGAAAAUCCACUACAUCAUCCGUUAAUAACUUUCAGAUUUAUGGUUAAUCAAUAGUUGAGAUUUGUUAUCAUUAAUGUUAAAUAUUUUUUUAAUAUUUUUUCUCUCUCCUAGAGGAUCAUCACAGCAAAAAUUUAAUAUUAUAAAUAGUAAACAAAAUAUAAACAGUUAAAUCUAAGAAACUGCAUUGCAUUUCAGCUGAAGCUAACUUUAAUAUUUAAUGGAGAAAAAUAAUUAAGUCCUUAAUGUACUUUAUUUACCCAUACUGAUACGCUCUUAAUUCGUGAAACUGAGCAACAUCAAAAUUAUCACUACUUCGAGCGAGUGUUUGCUCCAGAAGAAAGAACUGGAAGUUGAGAAAUGAGAAAGAAGAAAAGAAGAAGAGUCACAGCGAGGAAUAAAAGUGGUCCAUUCAUUUCAUGCCUUCCCAAAAUGACAAAAUCCCGCAAUAUAUAACAGACAAUCGAAAAUAACCAAUUUGACAACGCAACAGAAAAUGACAAAAAAGAAUCCAAAACAAACGUAGCCAAUCACAAUGCUUUUACAGAUCAUCCUAAACGACGUAGUCUCGUAGCCAAUCUAGAAGUUUCUUGUUUCGUUUGGGCCGUUGAUUCUCUUGCACUGGCUCAUGGUGAAUGUCCUCUUUGGGUUGACUGACUGUGGGUUCUCGGUUGAGCUCUUCCACUUGCGCCCCCUCUAAUGGCUCUAAUUUGAUAUAUAAAUUCGUAUCAUUCCCUCCUGCUUGAAAACACACAUUGUCCUCAAGGUGAAAUGCUGGAUAGAGCUUACAAAAGGCGUCAAAGUUUUCCCAAGACGAAUUCUUCGGUGAACUGACGGUCCAUUGAACUAACACUUGAAGCGUUGGCUUCCCCUGUUGCAAAACUAUUCGGGUUGCACAAAUGGCAGCCGGUAGCAAAAGAGGAUGGUUAUCCACACUCAACUCUGGUAAAGGAUGUGAAAUAGCAGGGUCGUUGCCAUGAUAAUGCUUAAGGACAGAGAUGUGAAAAACCGAGUGGAUUUUGGAAGUAUUGGGUAACUCCAAUUUGUAAGCUACAUACCCCACUCUAGCAAGUACCGUAAAUGGCCCGUAGUAUCACUUGGCCAACUUCUGACAGGCGCGAGAAGCUAUAGUGGUCUGUCGAUAUGGCUGUAAUUUAACCAGCACUUUAUCCCCUACUUCAAAGUGAGCUUCACGGCGAUGGGCAUUAGCUUUCUGAGCCAUUCGAUGUUGUGCUUGCCUCAAAUUAGCUUUUAAAGAUUGGAGAAGAGUAUUACGUUCAAGGAGAAUGUCCUCCAAAGUUUGGAUUGAAGUAGAGCCCUUAGCAUAAUGAGGAAUAGUUGGAGGCAAUCGGCCAAAUAAAGCUUGAUAGGGAGACAUCUUCAAGCCACUGUGGAAAUGAGAAUUAUAACUAAAUUCUGCCCAACUCAGUAAGGAAACCCACUUCCGUGGUUUGUCUUGAGUGAAAGCUCGUAAAUAUUGCUCCAAUCCUCAAUUUACCACUUCCGUUUGACCAUCCGUUUGAGGGUGGUAUGCCGUGCUAUGACGAAGAGUUGUGCCACUUAAGAGGAAUAAUUGUUUUCAAAAAUUGCUCAAGAACACUGGGUCUCGAUCGGAGAUAAUUGAACUUGGAAAACCAUGUAUUUUAAUGACCAUGUCCACAAAGAGUUCAGCUGUCUUGAGGGCAGUAAAUUGACAGGGUAACGGACCAAAAUGGGCAAAUUUUGUAAGACGAUUGACAACAACCAAUAUGACCGAGAAACCUUGUGCUAACGAAAGACCUAUAACGAAAUCCAUUGUGACCUCAUCCCAAACCAUAUUAGGUAUCGGCAAUGGUUGAAGAAGACCAGCAGGGGCUUGAGUGGAAUACUUAGUUUGCUGGCAUAUUAAACACUCUCGGAUAAACGUUUCCACAUCAUGACGCAUCUUGGGCCAAUAGAAUGUUGAAGAUAAUCUGAUUAAGGUUCUAGUGACACCCACAUGACCUGCCAGUGGUGUAGAGUGAAAUUCUUGCAAUAGUACGACUUUUAAAGAGGAGGUAGGACUGAUGUAAUAACGCUGACGGUGGAGAAGAAAUCCGUUUUGAACAGAGAAGUCAACUGACAGUUUGCCUUGUAAAAGUUGCUGGUGAAGUGAUAUUAAAUCAGGUAAUGUGGUAUUCUCAUUAAGUAAUGACUGCAGCAAUUCAAAUGAAGGAUGGCUGUUGAAAGAAAGGCAAGUGGGGGAGAUGUUGAUGUUAUCCUCAGGAGCUGUUUCAUGGACACGGGAUAGAGCAUCAGCGGCGCUAUUGGUACAACAUGGUCUGUACUCAAUUCUGAAUUGGAAACCCAAUAAUUUGCGGAGAUAAACUUGCUGAUCUAGUGUUUGUAUCACUUGUUGAAGGAGUUCUUUGAUACUCUUAUGAUCCGUGCGGAUAACAAAGAAUCGGCCCAACAAAUACUGCCGCCACUUAUACACAGCUUCUACAAUUGCAUGCAACUCCUUGAUGUAAGUGGAAGAAGCCCGCAAUUUGGGACCCAACUUCUUGCUGAAAUAAGCAAUUAAAUGCCCAUGUUGUGUAAGUACAGCUCCUAUGCCUACAUUAGAAGCAUCGGUCUCAAUGACGAAUUCGAAAGUAAAAUUCGGCAACUUAAGGACUGGAGCUUGCACCAUUGCUUGUUUAAGAGCUUCAAAGGCCUCCAUGGCUGUCAAAUUCCAUUGAAAGGCAUCAUUUCGCAGCAAAUCAGUGAGUGGGGCUGCCAAGGAAGCAUAACCACGGAUGAAGCGCCUAUAAUAUCCAGUGAGACCAAGAAAACCCCUCAACUGUUUGAUAGAACGUGGAAUUGGCCAAUUAAGCAUGGCAUCAAUCUUUUGGGGGUCGGCUUGUACUCCCGAGGCUGAAACAAUACGGCUUAGAUACUCAAUAGCGGCUUGGCAAAACAAACAUUUGGAUAAUUUAAUAAAAAAUUGAUGAAGAUGUAAACAAGCUAAUACUUUCUCAAGAUGAAGCAAAUGCUCGGCCAUGGAGGAGCUAUAAACCAAGAUAUCAUAAAAAAAAACGAUCACAAAUUUCCGGAGAUGAGCUGCAAAAAUCUGAUUCAUUGUGGCUUGAAAAGUGGAUGGGGCAUUUGUCAACCCAAACGGCAUGACAAGAAACUCAUAAUGGCCCUCAUGUGUUCAAAAUGUCGUUUUGUAUAUGUCGCGGUUGUGGACACGAAUUUGAUGGUAUCCCGCGCGCAAAUCCAAUUUGCUAAAAAUGGUGGCGCCCCCAAGUUCAUCAAACAACUCAUCGAUUGUCGGUAUAGGAAAUUUGUCUUUGAUGGUUACGGCAUUUAAUGCACGAUAGUCAACACAAAACCGAUAGGUGCCAUCUUUUUUCUUGACCAAGAGAACCGGGGAGGAAAAAGGGCUUUAGUUCGGUCGGAUUAUGCCCUACUCUGACAUUUCCCUGAUCAGUUUUUCCAUUUCAGAUUUCUGGAAGUGUGGGUAGCGGUAUGGACGAACAUUGACGGGGGCUGUGUUGGGUAAUAAAUGGAUUUUGUGGUCAAUAGUUCUGUGCGGUGGUAGGCUAGAAGGUUGGAGAAAUAGGUGUUUGUAUUGCUGUAAAAGGUUGAGAAAUUGAGCAGGAAGGGAAAAAGGAAAUUCAAGUGAGGAAGUGUCUGUGAUGGAAAAUGAAGGCAAAGCAUCGAUAGCGGGCACUGGUUGUAAGGCACAAAGGCUGGUCACGGUAUCACUUUGAACCAAUACCUGCAAUUGAUUAUAAGUGAUCAAAUUAUUAGAAGACAAAUCACCAUGAAGCAUCACUGGUUGCUCAUUUAAAGAAAACUCCAUAGGACACUUUGCCCAAUUUCUGUAGCCAUUGAAUGCCAAGGACCACAUAUGUGCCCUCAAUUGGCAAAAUGAAGAGGUCUACCAUAAAAGCCGUGCCUUGCAUUGUUAAGUUCACUUGAGGACAGAACUGUUUACACACCAGGAAGUCACCGUUGCCAAUAUACACUCGGAAAUUGGUAGUUGGAUGAAUGGCUAACCCCAAUCGUUCCGCUAACGCCGGUUUUAUGAAAUUGUGAGUGUUGCCACUAUCAAUCAGCACUUGAAAGGUGUGCGAAUCAAUUUCUCCAAUUAAACGAAGAGAGCGAGGAUUGGCCUGCCCUGCUAGAGCAUUUAAGCUAGAGAUGUCACCAGUAAUACCAGCAUCUACCAAUUCUGAUGGUUCCUCGUUAUUUUUGGGUUCCAAUUCUUCAUCAUCCGUGCCCAUGAGAAGUAGAAAUUUACUGCGACAGAGAUGAUUGUUGCUGUAUUUUUUGUCACAAUUGUAACAUAAACCCUUCUCGCGUUUGUCGCAAAGUUCAGCCGAAGACAAACGGCGAAUUGGUAAUGUUGGUGUCGAUAAUAAUGCAGGUAAAGUGUUUGAUUUAUUGGUAUUGUGGGUUUGUGAGGGAAGAGUUGAAGAUGAUACGGGGGUGAUGGCUGUGGUAACAGUUGCAAGUGAUGAGGAUGGAUAAAUGGGUUUGGGUUGUGUUUGGAAACCAUGUGAAAGGGGAUAUGGUUGCUGCCAUUUAGGCCAUGAGCGUGAGCUCUGUUUCACUUCGUCAUAUUUGGCCUCAAAAGCACGAGCUAAAGUUUCCAUUAGUGAAGACGGUCUAGAGAAAAGCAAUUCCCGUCGAAUGUUGGGUUUCAGACCAGUGAUGAAAAAACUAAUCAAAAGAAGUUCAGAAAUUCCAGUGACCUUGUUCAUUAAAUCUUCAAAAGCUGACUGGAAAUCUGCAACCGUGGUAGUUUGACUCAAUUUGGACAAAUCACCUUGGGGAUCUUCACACAAAGAAGCACCAAAACGAUAGCGCAAGUUAGCUAAAAAUUCUUGCCAAGUAGUGAGCAAGUGAUUGUUCUUUAUCCAUUGAUACCACGCUGCAGCGCGACCCUCCAUAUGAAAAGAGACAAUCCGUAGUCGGAGGAUCUCAGGUGUGUCAUGAAAGUCAAAAAAUUCUUCUAUUCGAAAAAUCCAUCCAUUUGGGUCAGACCCAUCGAAUUUGGGCACAUCCAUUUUCAUGGAACAAAGUACUGGAGAAACUUUAGAACCAGUAAGAACGCCAUCAUAUUUAGAAGAUGAAGGGUGUGAAGGGUUGGAGGAACCAACUGGUUUGUUGGAAGACCCAUGAAUUUAUGUACGUAACUCCUCAAAACGAGAGUCAACUGAUGUCAUGAAUUGUUGGAUUGUUUGAUGGAUGGACAGUUGCUACCCAUCAAGUUUGGCGUCAAAAGUUGCUUGAAGGGUCUGUAAAGCAUAAAGAAUUUCAGAAUUUGCCAUGAUCAAUGAAAGCACCAGUGAUACGCUCUUAAUUCGUGAAACUGAGCAAUAUCAAAAUUAUCACUACUUCGAGCGAGUGUUUGCUCCAGAGGAAAGAACUGGAAGUUGAGAAAUGAAAAAGAAGAAAAGAAGAAGAGUCACAGAGAGGAAGAAAAGUGGUCCAUUCAUUUCUUGCCUUCCCAAAAUGACAAAAUCCCGCAAUAUAUAACAGACAAUAAAAAAUAACCAAUUUGACAACGCAACAGAAAAUGACAAAAAAGAAUCCAAAACAAACGCAGCCAAUCACAAUGCUUUUACAGAUCAUCCUAAACGACGUAGUCUCGUAGCCAGUCUGGAAGUUUCUUGUUUCGUUUGGGCCGUUGAUUCUCUUGCACUGGCUCAUGGUGAAUGUCCUCCUUGGGUUGACUGACUGUGGGUUCUUGGUUGAGCUCUUCCACUUGCGCCCCCUCUGAUGGCUCUAAUUUGAUAUAUAAAUUCGUAUCACAUACAUGCGGUUAAUUUUUUAAGAUAAAGGGGAAGGAUGAUGCUCAAAAAUAUAAAUUAUAGAAUUAAUUGAACUCUCAAAUAAGUUUAAAGUUCAUUAUUUUUAAUUACAUGUUUAUAAUUUAUUUUUAUUUCGUAUUAAUCUAUAGAUCUAAAUCCACUUUGGAUUCAUAUACACAUAUAGACAUAAUGUGUAUGUUAAUCUAUAGGUCUAAAUUCACUUUAGGUCUAUAUAGGUAUUUUGACAAAUGUACUCCAAUCAUGCAUAUUGGCAAGUUCAAAUUCAAUUUGGAAUAUGGUCAUGGUACGUUCUUGUUCUUCCCUCUUUACGAGUGCAUUCCCCCCAACCUCAAGCUCCCUCUCUCGUCUUCAAUGUCACUGCUUAUAUCCUUAUGUUGUUCUAGUUUGAAACAGUGGCUUCCACUAUUUCAGGGCCCCCAAAAAUCCAGAAACAUACUAUUCAUCACGAUGACAAAAUUUUGGGCAGGCAGGUGCUUCCUGACUUUCACACGGUAAUUCUCAAAUUCUGAUUUCACCAUAUUUUAAUUACUGAUUAUGCUCUCCAUUAUAAUAGAAGUCGCCGCCACACUAGUGAUUCCAAACUUUAUCUUUUUUCCUUUUUUAAAUUAAUGCAAGUAGCCGCUGUCCUUUUUAUUAAUUAAUUAAUUCGGCCGCCCACAUUUCUUUUUCUAAUGUCUUCUACUGUCGAGUUUAUUUUAUUUUCCCUUUAUUCUUAAAAUAUACUUAUAAUAAUAAAAUAUAAAAAUAAAAAUAAAAAUUAACAUAUCAAAAUAUAAUUUAACAGAAAAUUAAGAUGAAAAAUAAAAAAAAAUAAAUUCUGAACAUAUCAAUCAAUAAAUGAAAAAUAAUAAUUUUUAUUUUUAUUAAAUAUAUUUUUUUCAGUAUUAAUCAAUUAUCUGAAUAACUAAAAUCAUUUAAAAAUAAAUAAACAAAUUAUUCUUUAUAAAAAAAAAAAACUUUUUAUAACACUCACUAUGCUGGUUGUAGGGUAGACGCUUUGGGGACUGAAGUUGGUAACUUCUACAAGUAGUCUUAAGUUGAUAACUUCUACAAGUAGUCUUAAGUUGACUGGCAAAUGUUCUCAGUAUUAUAUUGGUGUGUCGAUAUUAUCUCUAACUGCCUUAUAGAUAAAAAAAUAAUCUAAAUUUAAAAUUUAACAUAAAAUAAAAUAAUUGGUAGAAAAACAAUUAUGGUUCAUUUACUUAUCAGUAAUCAGAAUAGACUGAAAUCGAAAUGAGUUGUAUUACCGUUGAUGUGUUUAUGUUGUCCUCGAAUCGGAAUGAAUUAUUUUAAGUUACUAAAAUAUCCUUGGUUUGUUAUUCUAAUUAUUAUUAUUUAAUAUUUAUUAUAAUAUUUGUCAUAUCAUUAAAAAGAAAUAAUAAUGAUGAUAAUAUUAUCAUUAUUGUUUGUUACAUUAUUAUUAUUCAAAAAAAUUAUUGUUAAUAACAAUAAUUACUUUAUUUCAAUACUAAUAAUGAUAAAAUUAAUAAUAACAAACAACAAUAAUUAUUUAUUAUGCCAAAAAUAACAAUAAUAAUAAUCAUCAUCAUUUUUUUUCCCAAAGAAGCAUUAUCAUCAUUUCAAAAAAAAUAUCAUCAUUAUCAUCAUCAUUUUUGUAGUGGCUGCCUAUCGGCUGUUGCUUUCAUGUGAGAUUGACUUGCGACGCUUCAACGGCUAUUAUUUCUGGCAAUGUCAGGUGUUACUGUUUCAAUUUAGGAAGAAGCUGUUUCGUUGUGCUAACGAUGGGAGAUGUUGUGGCUGCGAUUCGGGGAGCUACUAGUUUAUUGCACUAAUGACGGCAGGUGCUGCUGCUUGAUGCGAGGUCCAUGGCCAGUUGUCAGCAGUUCGACUUUGGUAUGGGUGCUGCUGGUUCGAUUUUAGGUGUUGUCCAAUUUCAUUUUCAGGAUUUUAAUUUUAUUUUUCUUUUAUAUUUUCAUUAAUUAAUCAGGACAAAGUUGGAUUUUAGAAUUUGGAAUGAAGGUAAUUUUGUUAAUCAUGGAAAUGAGAUUCUGAUUGUCGAGAAUGAGCUUACACAAACAACUACAAAUUAAGUGAAAACAAAACGCUUUUUCUCUUUGUGUGAUUAAAACAUGAUAUGUACCAUAAAUAAAUAGGUAAAAAAUAAAUUAAUACAAUCCAAAACAGUAAACUAAUUACAAGAGGCACAAAUUUUUAUGUGAAAUACCAAAAAUAGAAAAAACCACAGCAUCUUAGUAUGAGAUAAUCUUCUACUAUAUUAAUGAGAUUAUAGCACAAAUUCUUCCUUAUAUAACACUAGAGGUUAACAACAUCAAGAAUUUCAAUAAUCUUGACUUACAAUACAGCCUAAUAUUUGUCUCUCUAAUAAGUAGAUAUCUAAAAUAACAGUCUCUAAUAAAUAAGUAUCUCAAAUAACAGUCUCUAAUAAGUAUCUCAAAUAAUAAUUUCUAAUAAGUAUGUAUCUCAAAUAAUAGUUAACAAGAGGAUAAAACAAAAAUUAAGAUUAGUAGGAUUGUAUAAGGCGAUGCUAUCAACUUAUCUUCUAAAUUUGAGAAAAAUAGUUAAAUUCACUUUUUCGAUUGUGACCAAAGAUGGAAACCUUUGCCCCAAAACCAAAGGAAUCACCAUUUCUCUCUCUCUCUCUCUCUCUCUCUCUCUCUCUCUCUCUCUCUCUAUCUCUCUCUCUCUCUCUCUCUUCUUCUACUUUUCUUAAUGUUAGCCGCCACUCGCUUUUAUUCUUUAUAGCAUUUAAAAAGCUACUUUUAAUGGUAAAUUUCAUUUAAGUCCAAAACUUAGUGAUAAUUGUACACCAAACAAUUCUUUUUGGACUAUGAGCUUUUGGGCCUCCAAAUGAGAUGAAUACAACAAAUCUCCCCCUUUAGAUCAUGUGGGGGGCACCACAAGCCUGCUCUCUGCAUAUAGUUUUUCAACUUCUCCUUGAAUAAUGACUUUGUCAUCAUACAUAACCCAUUCUCUGUUGUGUAAAUUUUCUCAAGCUGUAGCUGUUGCUUCUCAAGCACGUCUCGUAUCUAAUGAUAUCUCACAUCAAUAUGCUUAGAUUUCGAAUGGUUUAUCAAAUUCUUUGAACGGCACUCUGACUGUCGCAGUACAUAACAUAGCUGUCUCGUUUUACACCCAGCUCUUAUAGGAAAUUCAUUAUCCAUAAUAUUUUUUUGCAACCUUCAAUAAUUGUUAUAUCAUUUGCUUUAGUGGUAGAAAACGUAACUUAUUACUAAAGUUUAGAUUGCAAUGAGACUUCUCCCCCUGCAAAAGUGAGCAAACAUCCUAGAAGGAAUUUUUCGGAAUCAACAUCUUCUGCCAUAUCUACACACUUGUAACACAGGUUUGUCACCACUAAAAUAUAAACAUGCUCUGGAAAUGCCUCUAAGAUAUCUGAGAAUUUUUCAUUGUUGUCCAAUGCUCUUUUAUAAUAAAUACAAACAUAAUGAAUUUAUAAAACAUUUAGAGUAUUUUGAAUAUUAUAUAAAAUAAUUUUAAUAUAAUGCAUGAGAUAUAUUUUAUUAAUUUAAAAUGCUAUUUAAUCUAAAGAUUUAUUUAAGAUAAAUUAAUAAUUAAAUUUUUUUAAUUAUUUCAAAUAUUAAAAAUUUGUAAUAUUAUUAGUCUAUUAGAUAGAUUAAAUUAUUUAUUUUAUUUUGUAUUUAUUAAAAAAUUUUAAAGUCAAUAUUUUUAAUUACUAUUCGAAGGAUAUAAUGAUUAAAAAAAUCUUAAUAUUUUUUAUUAAAAAUUUAAAAAUUUACAUGACCAUUUCUAUAAAUAUUUAGGGUAUAUAUGAGCCACGGUGGAGAAGAUUUAUUUAAUAUUAUUGAUUUAAAUAAUAUCUAAUUAAAAAUAUACUGAGAAAAAAUUUCGGUGGGUAUUUUAGUCUUUUCAGCAAUCACAUGAUUAGCCUUUGGGCUUUGGCCUUGAAACGUCGGUCAGAAAAGUUUUAAACUGCUUAAUUGUUUUUCACUUUUAACGUUAGUGGCUGCUUAUAUUUUAGGAAAAUGAGAUUCUCACCACAGUGAGAACCACACUGAGCACAGAACGGUGCGUUUUGUGCUCAGUAUAAAUUCUAACUGUAGCGGAAAUAUCGCAACACAAACGCGCCAUUCCAAACCCACGCGCGUUCUCCCUCACGCCAGCAAAUCUCACCACGCUUCCUCCUCACUGUAAGCGCCCCCCCUCCCCGGGGGCGGUCGGCUGCGUCACGCUCCCUCACGGCGCCUCACUCUCUCGGCUCUCUUAGAAAAUUGAAUUGCGGCUUCCGCCGUGGGGUUCUCUCCUCAACUGCCGUUGUCUCGUCUCUGACAGCUGCCUUAAUCAAAUUCUGAAGGUAGUUUGCUUCAAUUCAUUACAUUAAUUUCAAAUUUGGUUUGUGUGGGAUUAUGAGUUUGUGAAGAUUUAGUUCUGUUUCAUGGUAAACUAUUUUUUGCUCAGUGUGUUGAGAAUAUCAGCACGGUUUAAAAUUCUUUUUAGAUUCUGUCGUAAAGUUUUCUUUGUAUUGGGCAAGUCAGUUACUUUAGUUUUGUGUCUGAAAACAAAAACACUUAGCUUAGUGAGUUUUAAGAGAUUUUGCUAUUUUGUUCAACGAAGCUUAAAAAGGGGAAGCUUUUAUGGCGUCUGUGAGCCGAGGCAAUUUGGAUCGGGUGCUUUUUCAGUUCAUUUGUUUGUUUCUUAUUUGGGUUCUUUAUUGUUAGAUGUUCUUUUGAGAUUCUGGCAUCUGGCAUCUGGCUACUUGCUUUUGUGGAGUUUUUUUAUUAUUUGAAUUCUGUGAAUUCUUUGUUUUCUUUCCCAAAUGAUUCCACUCUAUAAAAUAUAUAUUGUGCUUGGCUAGAAUUUUCUUUUAGAUAAUUGCAUCCUGUACAUUGGCUUAACCUGUCAAGAAUGAGAAUGAUGGAAGAUGCCUAUCUUGGAAAGAAUAUAUUGAGUUACAUAGUACCGGUUCCAAAUGAAUAAAUUGGAACUUGCCUAAAACAGGCACCAAUCCACCAUGACACCAAGCCUUUUUAAAAUUUUUUUUUUUUUAAGUUUAAAGAAACUUAUGUUGCUUCUUUAGAUCUGUUUUAGCUUAUGAUGAAUUUUGCUAAUGGUAAAAUCCCUCCCCUUCAAAGUUGGGGGAGGGGAAGCAUCUAUAUGCAUAUGUGUACAUUAUGGAGCUCGAACUACAUGUCGCAGUAAUACAUUAUUCUCUUUGCUUUGCAGGUUUUGAUCAACAUGAGUGAUUGGGAUGUAGGUCUGUGCUUGAGAGGCCGGAGUGAUGACCAGAAUUCUGUCAACCAGACCAAAGACAAUCAACUGAUGAAGUGUUGUUGUUCUCUAUAUUGAUUGUUGGAAAUUAUGUGUUAUUUCCAGAUUUUUAGAAAAUUAUGAUUGCUGGAAAUAAUUAUAUAUGUACAAUCAUUAUGUCCUCCAGCACAAGUGAAUUUCCAAACCCACAACUGAAAGCUUGCGAAAAAUUUGUAGAAAAUUUGUACAUCAAAUCCACAAGCUAAGUGUUGUAUCAGAAUAUGAAUGACAAUAAAACAAAAAUCUGUGUUCUUCAUUCUUAAAAUACUAAUACAAUACAAGUACAUUCUUAUUCUGAGAAAUAACUACCUAUUAACUCCAUAUUCAUUAUCUUGUUGAAAGAGUAGCUGCUGAAAAUGUCCAUGUCGCUGAGCUUGUAUGUGCUAUUAAAAAAAAAUUAAACAUCUUGUUGUCAUCCGAAAAAAUAAAGAAGGCAAGAUGAACAAAUAAAAAACUUAUCACUACUUACGGUGCAAGAAUUUUAUGUAGAUAUUGAAUAAACAUUAUCCUCAAUUAUUUGUCACAAUAAUUUAUAUUCAAUUCAUGGUGUGUUGCAGCAAGCUUCCAUUGUUUAACUAAAUGACAGCUGAAUCUUUACAACUAAUUAUCUUUACAAUCAAAUUUGGAAUUAAUUAAGCAAAUUACCGCUAGAAAUCGACGAGUGAAGCUAAGAGAGUGAGGCUGCAAGUCGAAUUUUUGAGACAGCCGAGAGAGUGAGGCGCUGUGAGAGAUGCAAUGGACGGGCGAGAGAGAGACGAAGCCGAUGGUGAUUGCUGCAUUGGUAGGAUUGAGGGAGAGAGCGAAAGAGCCAGAGCGUGCGUGCUUGUUCUGCCAGAGAGCGCGUAUGUUUUUUCUCAAUGCGCGUGUUGCGUAAUUAUCCAUCUACAGUGACCAUUUUAUAGUUAUCUUGAAACGCACCGUUCGGUGCUAUAUGUGGGGCUGAAUGUUGUGAGCAUAUCGGUGCUGUAUAUUUUAUUAAAAAUUAAUGCUAACAAGAAAAAACCCCUCAAUGAAUGAGGGUGAGAUUGCUAAAAAUUACGACAGGUGAUAUUUUAUUAUUAUUAUUAUUAUUGGGGGAGAAAUCCUCACCAAAGUGAGGAGAUUUUAUCAAAAUCAAAAUAAAAAUAUAACAAGAACUGAAAGUUGGGCAGCCUAAAAGCUAGAUAAACUAAAAUUCAGGCGCCUAAAAACAACCUUAUGCAAAAGAGAAGCAACAUGAGACCGAUCAAGUAAAAGAAUCCACCGCAACACCUAAAUUGGCCAAAUUAUCUGUUGGUAUUACAAGUUUCUUGUUAUAAAAGUGUAGAAUGAAGAAGGUGACGUAGUUUUAAGUUACAGCUGCAUGCCCGAUCGCAAUAUCAAAUAAUGAUUAAAUAUCAAAUAAUACUUAAAAUAGUUGCCUAGACCCGCCACAAUUUAUAUUAACUCUUAAAUUUAUAAAUAAUUAAAUUUUUAAAAGUUCGGAUUUAUAUUAAAAAAUCUUCAUAUAAAUAAAUAAUAUAUGCACUUUUACAACACAGUCUUUAAAUUUAAAUUUUUCUAGAAAAAUCUUCUGUAUAUCUUUUCUAUUAAAAAAUUUCCAUAUAAAUAAAUAAUAUACCUAAUUUAAUUGGACCCAGCGCAACGCAUAUGCAUAGAACACAUUCCGAAAAGCCAUGAUAUUCGGAAAUUGACGAAUGAAAAGUGAGGAGGCAGCAGUCAAUGCUAUUUCGGCUUGGCCCAAAAUUGAUUUAUCAGUUUGACGUGUGCCAGGAAUGAAGAACUGGAAUAUCACCAUCAAGCAAGCAACCUGCGGAGCAAUACCAUAGAAUGCACAAUCCGGCUUUGCAAGGUGACACUGGAGGCUUUUUGAAAAGUGCUUCACGCUCACUUGACAGAUUGAGCAUCCCCUCUGGAUAUUGCCCUCUCUGAUCGAAUCUGAGCACUCAAAUUUCGGUCCUCAGAUGGAGCUACAGCUUUCUCUCCAAUAACCAACAAUUUUCUAAACUCAGCACCUAGUGUGAUCAGAGUUGUUGAUAUUUGUAAAUGGAGAUCCCCGUAUUUGCAAAUGGAGACAUUUACCAAAUCACCAACAUGCUUCAUCCAGUCUACGAAAUUCUGCAGCUGAUUCAAAUCCGGAACCUGAACAAGAGUCGGAGGUAAAUCUUGAGCCAUAUCUAAAGCAGUCUGAAGUUCAAGUACUUGAGCCCUUGACAAUGGUUUUGAAAUUGGAACAUCUUGGAUUACUGCAGACUUGUGCCCCUUGGUUUCAAAGGUAAGGAAAGGCAUUGCUUGAGUACAAUUUGGAGGCAGCUUCUUCACCAAUUUUAUUUGGAGGCGAUUGGCAGCGGAUCCAGCUGCACCAAUUUCAGAGCAAAUACUGACACUACUUCGAACAGCACACUGAAGAAGUGAUAUGUCUACGGCAAAGGCAAUGCAGUCCUCAUUUUGGCUUGAGAUGCAGUAAUCAUCGAAGAGAGUUUCCUUGUGAAACUGGGCAACACAUUGAAUCCCUUCGCCACUGAGAAGGUUGCGGAGGAAGUAAGCUUUCUCUCUAGUGAGGAAGAGGUGGCAUACCUUCCCCAUGUCUAGGGCAGGUAGGAAUCUUUUUUCUAAGAGAUUUACUUCAUUCUCUGUGAGAAAUGCUUUGAACUUCAUCCCUCUGUCUCUAUCCUCACUUAUCAGUAAAAUAGUUGAAAGUGCUACAAGGAGAGAAAAGAAGAGUAUUAAGAUAUAUAUAGACAAGAAAAACAUUAGAUGUCGAUCUUACAAGCUAAUACUUCAAACAGUAUCCUAGAAAGCUAAAAACUGCAAAAUGGCUUGACAUUUGAAAAGAACACAUGCUUUUCCUCCUUAACUUGAGAAAAUGUUUAAUAUAGUGCACCUUACAGAAACAUUUAAGCAAUUAGAACUUUGCACAAAAAUAUUCAAGAAGACUAAACAAAUCAGAUGCAGUGUAUUUCUCCAAGCACAAAUGGCAUUGCAUUUUUUCCUCAACUGUAAUAUUUAUUGAUGAAAAUCAGUACAGGUCCCUCAUUUGUUAUGGAAAGCUUUCUUGUAGUCUGACUGGUUAAUUCACGGAUCUAUAAUUAUCUUGCAAAGUUACAGGCAUUUCUUUCGAUUUAAAGUCUUUGCAUCACCACCUCAUCACACACCUAGCCAAUAUUCCGUCUACUUCUACAACAAAAAGUUUUAAGUAAACGAUCCUAAUGCAUGCAGCCAAAUAAAAUGCAGUAAGAAUAUUCAACUUAAAACUCUGAAAGCCAUCUUGGUGAAUUGCCUCCUUAGGGGAAGUUCCAUGAUUUACUAUACUUGACAGGACUGAGCAAAAGCUUACAUACAACAGAUUUUGAAAAUGAUGAUGCCAAUAGAUACUCAUACAAUCCAUUGAAACUCCUAAGGUCCAUUGUUCACAGAGGUUUACAGAGUUUUGGUUAUCAAAUAGCUCAGACCUUAAUCCCAAACAAAAAACGAGUGAAAAUUAGAUCACCAGCAGCAAAUUGUAAAUUCUAACUUAACUCUUCAUCUCCUUUGUAAACAGGAGACAAAAUGGAGACACGCAAAAUGAAUAAGGAGAACAUUUGAACUCAAAUGAAAUGAGGGCACGAAAGCAAACAAAUGGCAUGCGCAAACAAACCAAGCCUCAAUCAAAAACUAAUUAACCAUUAAAAAACAAAACUGGUCAGCUUCUGGUGUUCUCAAAUUGUAUAACAAGAGAUCGACACAUCGAAUCAGAAGAACUCAAUUCAAAUUUGUCUCAAAAAUCAAAAUUAGAAGAUUUCACAUUUCGAGAGGAACAAGCGACAGGUCAGAUGCAAAAUUUUCAGCCAUAACAUGCCACAAUUAACGGUUUAUUUCCAUGGAUUUAGAGAGCUGACUGACCUUUUGGCUUUUGGAAUUGAGAAGAUCGCGCGCCAAAAUGGAAGAGGGAAAGCGAAAGUGCGGGUUUUAAUAGGGUAUUGGAUUAGCAAAUUUUAUUAGUUUGCGAGGGUAAAAUAGGAAAGUGAUAUCACUAUUAACCUUUUUUUUAAUAAGAAAAAAGAAUAAUAAAGAAUAUUUUAUUGUCAUUUGCAGCAUUUAUUUUUUUUAAAUGCUAUUAGAAAAAUACGACAACAAAGAAAUGCUCUUUUUUUUUUUUUUUUUUUUCUCGAAGGUAAAAUCAAUUAUUUAGCUCCUUAUAUGUAAUCAAACUACAUUUCUUACUUUAAGUCAUAUCCAACGGACCAACAAAGUAAUUAUUUUUUUUUUCAUUCAUUUUUGCAGAAAAUUAAUAACUUAAAAAUAUUGAAAGCUAUUGUAAAAUUUUUUAUUAUCAACCUCAUAGUUUUAUUUUUUGGGAAGAAUUGAAUUUUUUUUUUUAAUUUCCAAGAAUUUCAUUCUCUAGUUUUUCCAUUAAUAUUACUUAUCUUGAUACCCAUCUUAAUUAAAAUCUGUAGUUUUAUUCAAGAGUCAUGCUAUUCAUUCACUCACAGACCAAAGGCUUUCCGCAGCAAUAUUAUUAUUUAAAUUACAACAAAGGGGAAAUCAAAUACGUCAUACAGAAGCUUAAAGCUGAAUCUACAAAAUCUAGAGCUCUCAACUACAUAAAUUACACUUGAUGAUCCUCUACAAGAUGAAGCUUGUUCAAUAUCUCAUCCAAAGCUUGUAAAGUAACAUUAUAACGAUCUUGAGAUUGCCUGCCUUCCUCGACGACCUGCACGAUGCGUUUGUACAAAUCAUCAUACCUGUGCACCGGAUUUUUAAUAUCAAUGCCACUGCAGCUGUGAUCAAGAACAUAAGAGCGUUUAACAUCUUUUCUCCAUCAAGAAAGAAUGUAGUGAGAUGGGAUCUCCUGCAUGCCACUCUGGUUUAGAACACAAAGAAUGUGUCUGCAUAAAUAUCCUCUGAAAUUGAACAACCCACAAACACAAAGCACCUCCAAGUCGGAGGCAUUGUACAAAACAUCGAAAAUAGUUAUGUUUUACAAUCUAUUAGACAUAUUUUAUUAAAUUAAUAUAAAUUUUCUAUAAAAUAAGAAUAUAAUAUUAAAAUAAAUUCACAAAAAAUUAAAGAAUUUUGAAUGUAAAAUAAUUUUAAUAGAUUAAUACGUGAGUUUUUUUAUUAAUAUAAAAAUUAUUUAACUUUAAGAUUUUUUAAAAUCUUUACAAUAAGUAUGACUAUAUUAUUUACAUUUAAAAAUAUUUAAAUAUUAUUAACCUACAAUUAUAUUUGCAUUUGUUAGAAUUUUUUAAGUCAAAUAUUUUGCACUUCUAUAUUAUUAGAAUUAUUGCACACAAAGAAAGAAACAUAUACCUUUAGAAAUUGUUUUCUUUUAAAAUAGAGAUGAUGAUUAGUAUAAGGAUGAAAAAAAUGAUAAAGAAUAUUAAUGAUUAACGAAAUCUCUAUACAAAUUGAUUUUAGUAGGAAAAGAGUGAGAUGAAUGAUUUCUUUUACGGUUAGAAACAUAGAUGAUGAUUAUUAUAACGAAGAAAAAAAGAUAAAGAAUAUUAAUUAUUAAUGGAAUCUCUAUGCAAAUUGAUUUUAGUAGGAAAAAAAAUGAGUUAAAUGAUUUAGAGUGCGUUUGGAAUUGAGAUUGGGCAGCCAUAGAUUUUAAGUUACAAUACUGAAGUGUUUGAUAAAUACUAGCUGCUGCAGAUUGAAAGUUAUAUUGAUAUGAUUUUUCACAUGUAUCAUAGAAAAUAUAUUACAUCUUUAAUAAUUUUUUUAAAAUUUAUAUUUGCUAUAUAUUAUUAAUUUUUUUUUAUAGUUAUAACUUUUUUUCCACAGCAGUUGUAGCUUAAAAGUCACAGCAUCUCAAUCUCAAACAAAUCCUUAGACAUUCAUAGUGUGUUUAUUUUUUGGAUUGGUGAAUCAAAAUUAUUGACAACGCUAACUUCAUCUUCAUUGUUCGCAAUCCAACAGCAGCAGCAAUUGUCACCAAUAAUGAUAUCUCCAAUGAUGAUGACAAUUAUUAUUAUUAUUAUUAUUAUUAUUAAUUUAUUAAUUAAUAUAUUAAUGUUAAUAAUAUUAUUAUUAAGAUUAACAAUAAUUAGUAGUAAUACAAUUUUUUGAAUAAAAAUAAUCACAAUAAUUAAAAUACAAAUUAAUAAUUAUGACAAUAGUUAAUUAAUGUCUUUUUAGUAAUUUGUAAUAAUCUAACUCAUUUUGAUUCUGAUUAUUACAGCUUAAGUAAACAAAUUAUUAUGAUUCCUAUUUUCCUUUCCUAUUUUAACUCACUUCGAUUCCAAUCUAUUCCAAUUUCUAUCUAAUAAAUGCACCAUUAGUGCUAAAGUAAUAUUUCAUACAUAGAAAAAUAAAAACUACACCUAAGGUUAAGGGAAAGGACUUCAAAACUCUCUUUUGAUCAUAAUACAUUUUGUCCUAAUUAACUUAAAGAUUUUGAAUCUAAUAUUUUAUAAUAAAUAAAAAUAUAUUCCUAAAAUAAAUAUAAUAUCAAUAUUUAAAAUAUGUUUUAAUAUUUUACAAUCUAUCAUACACAUUUUAUUAUAUUAAAGUAGAUUUUAUAAUAAAUACAAACGUACUAUUAAAAUUAAUAUAUAAAAAAUUUAGAAAAUUUAGAAUAUUAUAUAAAAUAAUUUUAAUAUAAUGCGUGAGAUAUAUUUUAUUAAUUUAAAAUUUUAUUUUACCUAAAAAUAUGAUAAAUUAAUAAUUACAUAUUUAAAGUUAUUUCAAAUAUUAAAAAAAUUUAAUAUUAUUAGUUUUUUAGAUAGAUUAAAUUAUUUUUAUAAGAGAUAGAUUAAAUUAUUUUAAAAUACCUUAAUUGUUUUUACUUUUAACGUUACCGGCCUUUCUUUUAUUUUAUUGUAAAUUAAUGCUAACAAGAAAAAGCUAGAUCAUAUUCCACAAAAGCAAAAGUGACAAACACAAUCAGCUGGAAUCUUUUAUAAAACUACAAAUUAAAAUGGUUUUUUUUUUUUUUUGAUAAAUUACAUAUAAAAGUGGAUUCUUUUGAAUAUAAGUGGGGUAGGCUCUUUUAUUUUUUUUUAAUACUGUAUAACAAGAUUGUAGACUCCUUGAUUAAGCACAAGUAUAAAGUAGUCGAGACGAUACUUUAUGCUAGGUGUCCAUUGAAUAUUAGAUCUUCAUUUCUUUGGCCAUUUAAUUUUUUCGAGAAAUUUUUCUUACGAUCCCGGCUAAGCUUGAAGAAAAGACAACUCAACGGUUUUUUUAAAACAAGUUUCCGUUUUGGUUGGUGAAAUGAAAACGAAAUAAAGCACUUCCAUCCAAAAAUCAUUCUUCUGGAGAAAGGGAUGACAGAUUAAAGAAAAGGGGUGUACUGAAAGGAGAAAAAAGGUUCUUGCAUGAGAGCUGGACACGUUAAAAGAAGUUGAACAAAUGUCUCAAAAAGAAGCUAUUUCGCUUUCAUACUAAAGCCUAUUUGUAAUAGCAUCAGCAAUGCUCCACUAUCCACAUUCUUGUGCGGAUAUCAUUGCAAUCUACUAAUGGUAUAUAAACAUGCAUGUUGUCCCAUGAUGAUUAAGUUAACACACACUUGGAGGUACUUAAAUUAUGCCAUAAAGAGAUAUAGUUAUUACGCAUACAAAUGUUAUUCAAUGGUUAAAAUGUAUGAUAAAGAAAUCGCUUGAAUUUUUUAUUUGCCGUUACGUAAUUUUUUUAUUGAUUCCGAGUUUGAAUCUUAAAAGAAAUAAAGGGUUAGAAAAUUAAUUUGAACUUUGUCCACUCUUUAACUUAAUGAGUAUAAAAACAGAAAAUGCAGGUAAUUUAAUUUUGACAUCUAACAUUUAAGAGAUAGAGCUUGAAAGAGUCCAAUAUUAAAUUAUAAAAUAAUUGAAAUAAAGUUUGCCCCAUAAGAAAAAUUGAACAAAAAAUCUUAAGUAUGAUAUGAUGCUAGAGAAAUUAUUUAUCUCAAAACUUUUAUUAGGUAAUUAAGUCCUAAGAAUAUGUAAUUACACAUGUAACAAAAAUUAGAGAUGAGGGUCUUUUAUUAAACUACAAAUUGUAUAGUCUUUUUAAAAUUGUUAUAAAUUGGUGGCCCCUACAAUCCUCAAUAAUUGUGCCGAUAUUCACAAGUUGGUGGCCCCUACAAUUAUCAACUGUGCAAGUGCUCAUUCACAAUCUUCCAGGUCAUGCUCUUAAUAAUUGUUUUUUUUUUCUGCAUUCCCUUUCAUGCUCUUAAUAAUUGAAGAGCAUACUUUUCAAAUAUGGAGCCGCAGCUAAUGUCGCUAAUUUAAUUUGGGAUUAAAUUAGGGGACCAUUAUGUUGCAGUGUGCACUAAUUUUUGUGUUUAUCUAAACUCCUUAAAUUUAAGACAUAUUACGGCAUAAAUAAGAAUAUAACAAUAACAAAAGAGUUAAAAAGUGUAGAGAAGAUCUUGCAGAAAUAUAAAUAAUAUCUAUUUUAAAAUAAUAUCAAUAUUUAAAAUAAUUUUUAAUAUUUUAUGAUCCAUUAGAUAUAUUUUAUUAUAUUAAAGUAAAUUUUAUAAUAAAUAAAACAUACUAAAUUUAGAGUAUUUUAAGUAUUAUAUAAAAUAAUUUUAAUAAAAUAUGUGAGAUAUUCAUAUUUUAUUAAUUUAAAAUACCAUUUAACCUAAAGAUUUAUUUAUGAUAAAUUAAUAAUUAUAUUUUUGAAAUUACUUCAAAUAUUAAAAAAAUUAAUAUUACUAAUCUAUUAGAUAGAUUAAAUUAUAUAUAUUAUUUUCUAUUUAUUAAAAAAUUUUAAAAUUAUUUUUAAUUACUAUUCAAAAAAUAUAAUGAUAAAAAAAAAUCUUAACAUCUUUAUUAAAAAUUUAAAAAUUUUCAUGAUCAAUUCUCUAAAUAUUUAGGGUAUAUGUGAACCACGGUGGAGAAGCUUUAUUUAAUAUUAUUGAUUUAAAUAAUAUGUGACAAAACAACUAGGUGGACUACAAAUUAAAGUGGAUUCUUUUGAAUACAAGUGGGACAGACGAUUAGGCUCUUUUUAAUUUUUAUUAAAGGCAAGUAAAAAGUAGUCGAAUAGUCUUUUUCAAAUUCUUGUUUUAUUGUUUUUCAAAACUAACAAGAAAAAGCGAGAUCAUAUUCCACCCCAAAAGCAAAAGUGACAAAACAACCAGCUGUAUUCUUUUAUUAAACUACAAAUUAAAAUGGAUUCUUUUGAAUACAAGUAGGACAGACGAUUAGGCUCUUUUUAUUAAACGCAAGUAAAAAGUAGUCGAAUAGUCUUUUUCAAAUUCUUGUUUUAUUAUUUUUCAAAAUUAGUUUUUGGUAAUUACUGUUUUUCCUUCAAAAGUUAGCGGUUCAUGUUUGCAAGUGUGAAUGUGCGAUGCUCUUUUCUUAAAGGCAAUUACAGUGGGGCCCGAAUGCCUAAAUCUUUUUAAAAUUUUUGCCGUAUAACGAACAGAGGUCAUUACUAAAAUUUCUCUUCCACAGCCUACAGCAGCUUCAGUUUAUCAAACUCAAUCAAUUUUCUUUCUUAACAAAAUUCCAAAGAUGUGUAGCAUUUUUCAGAUCGCAUGCGAUGGUGCUCUUUUCAAUCGUUGCUUGGAUUGCUUUCUUGGAAAAGCAGCAUACCUUCGUAACCUCCCAGAUAAUCUUGUAGACUUGGAGACUGAACUGGGAAGACUAAUCGCAGCAAAGAACGAUGUGAUGAUGAGGGUUGUCAAUGCUGAACGGCAACAAAUGAGAAGGCUGGGCCAAGUGGAAUGGUGGGUUUCGAGGGUGGAUGCUGUUAAAACUGGAGCCGAUGAACUUAUCACAGACGGCUCUGAAGAAAUUGGCGAAUUAUGUGUUGGAGGCUACUGUUCCAAGAACUGCAGGUCAAGCUACAAGUUCGGAAAACAAGUGGCUAAAAAGCUACAAGAUGUGAAGGCUUUAAUCGCCGAGGGAGUUUUUGAGGCGGUGGCUACUGAGGUGGUGCCCGAGAGAGCUCCGGAACCUGUAGCAGAUGAAAGACCCAUUGAGCGAACAGUAGUAGGCUUGCAAUCACAACUUGAACAAGUCUGGAGAUGUCUUGUAGAAGAAUCAGUGGGAAUCAUUGGCCUAUAUGGUAUGGGCGGUGUUGGUAAAACCACACUGUUGACCCAUAUCAACAAUAAAUUUCUUGAGAGUCCCACCAACUUUGAUUGUGUGAUUUGGGUCGUAGUUUCAAAAGACCUGCGACUUGAAAAAAUUCAAGACGAUAUUGGGAAGAAGAUAGGUCUGUCUGAUGAUUCAUGGAAGAAUAAAAGUUUUGAGGAGAAAGCUGUAGACAUCCUGCGGAGUUUAGGAGAGAAGAGAUUUGUAUUGUUGUUAGAUGAUUUAUGGGAGCGGGUUGAUUUAACAAAAGUGGGCGUUCCACUUCCCGGACCACAAAAUACUACCUCAAAAGUCGUAUUCGCAACCCGUUUCAUCGAUGUUUGUGGUAGCAUGGAAGCUGACAGGAAGUUCCUAGUGGCGUGCUUAUCAGAAAAGGAUGCUUGGGAACUGUUUCGAGAAAAAGUUGGGGAAGAAACUCUUCAGAGUCAUCAUGAUAUCGUUGAGCUAGCCCAAAUUGUGGCCAAAGAGUGUGGUGGUUUGCCACUCGCACUUAUUACUAUUGGUCGAGCUAUGGCCUGCAAAAGGACAGCCGAGGAGUGGAUACACGCAGUUGAAGUGCUAAGAAGAUCAGCUUUUGAGUUUGCAGGUUUGGGAAAAGAGGUGUAUCCUCUUUUAAAGUUUAGCUAUGAUAGUUUGCAGAAUGAGACGAUUAGAUCUUGUUUCUUAUAUUGUUGUUUAUAUCCCGAAGAUUAUGGAAUUCUUAAAUGGGACUUGAUUGAUUGUUGGAUUGGUGAGGGAUUCUUAGAGGAAUCUGACAGGUUUAGUGCAGAAAACCAAGGUUACUACAUUGUGGGCACUCUUAUUCAUGCGUGUUUACUAGAAGGGAUAGAAGAUGAUAGAGUAAAAAUGCAUGACGUUGUUCGUGAUAUGGCUCUAUGGAUAGCUUGUGAAAUUGAGGAGAGGAGACACUUUUUGGUUUGUGCAGGCGCUGGAUUAGAACAGGCACCGGCUGUUAGAGAAUCGGAAAAUGUGACAAGAUUGUCAUUGAUGCAAAACCAAAUUAAAAUUCUGUCGGAGGUUCCCACAUGCCCUGAUCUCCUCACUUUAUUUCUUGACUUUAAUGAGGAGUUGGAGAUGAUCGCGGAUGGCUUCUUCCAAUUUAUGCCUUCUCUCAAAGUUUUGAAGAUUUCAAACUGCGGGAAUUUUACUUUUCAAUUACCUUUGGGGAUGUCAAAGUUGGGUUCACUAGAACUUUUUGAUAUUUCACGCACCGAAAUACAAGAGUUACCAGAAGAGUUAAAGUUGUUGGUAAAUCUGAAAUGUUUGAAUUUGAGGUGGACAAGCAAGUUAAUUAGAAUUCCACGGCAACUAAUAUCAAAUUCUUCAGGGUUACGUGUGUUGAGAAUGUUCGCUACUGGCUAUGAAUGUUUUCAUGAAGCACCAGAAGACAGCGUUUUAUUUGGUGGGGGUGAAGUUUUAGUACAGGAAUUGCUCGGUUUGAAAUAUUUAGAGGUAUUGGAGUUGACCUUGGGAAGUUAUCAGGCUCUCCAAAUCUUUUUGAGCUCAAAUAAGUUAAAAAGUUGUAUUCGAUCUCUUUUCCUCCAGUUGGCCGGAGAUACAAAGUCGAUUAUUGAUGCUGCGGCUUUCGCAGAUCUAAACCACCUCAAUGAAUUAUAUAUUUAUGAAGGUAUUGAGUUGGAAGAAUUGAAGAUUGAUUAUACAGAGAUAGUACGAAAAAGGCGGGAACCUUUUGUUUUCCGCAGCCUUCACCGUGUUACCAUAUUUAGUUGCGGUAAAUUGAAAGAUGUGACAUUCCUCGUUUUUGCUCCAAACCUCAAGUCUCUUGAGCUAUUGCAAUGCGAUGCUAUGGAAGAAAUAAUCAGCGUCGGAGAAAUUGCUGAGACUCCUGAGAUGAUGGGACACAUAAGCCCUUUUGAAAAUCUCCAAAGUCUUCAUUUAUCGUAUUUACCAAUUUUGAGGAGCAUCUACUGGAAGCCAUUGCCUUUCACUCAUCUCAAAAAAAUGGAGGUACGUAGAUGCGAUCAGCUUAGAAGGCUUCCGCUCGAUUCCAACAGUGCAACAGAGCGUAAUGUUGUUAUUCGUGGAUACACACUCUGGUGGAACCGACUUCAAUGGGAGGAUGAAGCCACUCAAAUUGCUUUUCGUUCCUGUUUCCAACCUCGUUCCUGAGCAGUGGUCGCAAAAUUUGAUUUCUGGUGAGUGCGUUUGUCUUUUAAAAAGAAGAAUUUAAAAGAAAUUUAUUCUUGUCGUUUUCUUCACUGUUUUUAUUUGAUUUCUGGUUAGUUUCUUUCUCUCUCUCUCUCUCUUUGUCUUCUGCAAAUCACAAUUAAAUGUUGAAUUAAUGGAAUUGAUGCUCUGGUUUUUUACUUUUUGUUGUCAAAUUUUGCCCUGUUCUAUCUUCUUAGCGAUUUAAUUUCCUGUCAAAAGACGAGCGAGAAGAACAUAUAUAUGACUUAAACCAAUUGAUACUUUAUUUAUGUGCAUUGUAUGUAAUAAAUAUUAAGUAUACUUUAUUUUUGCCCUGUUCUCUGUUUUUAUUUCAGUCUCUCUCUCUCUUUCCUGUCUUCUGCAAAAUAUAAUCAAUUAUUUUCAAAAUAUCAUUGAUGAUUUUUCUGCUCUAAUGCUAUGUAAAUAGUAUGUUAAGUAAAACAUAAUCAAUUAUUUGUGUUUUAUCUCUAAUUAGAACAUCAAUCAGUUCAGUACCUCACAAAUAAUUCGCAAUAUCUACAAAAUACUAUAAUGGCUACAAAACAAAUCCUGCUUGCAAAUUGUCAAGGAUACCUAUCCGUUCGCUUGACAAGUCAUUUGAAUAAAUAUUGUUCACAUUCCUUACUCUAUCAAUUAUCCAAAGCACCAUCAAUGGUCCUCAACUUUAGUUUGAAUAGUAUACAUGCCAUCACCAUUACCAAGAAUCAAGCAUGGAAGAGUCAUUCUAUAGAGUUAAUCGAAGCAAGGAAUGAUGUAUCAGAAAAUAUUUGGUGGAGAAUUCAGCACAAACAUAUUUUGGAUGAUCAGAAUCAAUAAAACCUGGUGGUUGCGCCAUAUAAACAUCUUCGGAAAGCUGACCUUGAAGAAAGGCGUUAUUGAUAUCCAAUUGACGAAGAGGCCAGCCAUGACUAACAUCAAUACUAAGAACAAGCCGUACUGUGGUGGACUUAACAACUGGACUGAAAGUGUCAUAAUAGUCCACACCAGGCCAUUGAUUGAACCCUUUGGCAACAAGAUGAGCUUUAAACCUGUCAACAGAACCGUUGGAAUGUCUUUUAAUACAAAAAUCCAUUUGCAGCCAACAAUAUUGGAAGGGAUGGGAGGUGGAACAAGCUUCCAUGUCCCGUUACGAACAAGAGCAUCAUACUCUUCUGACAUAGCUGGACGCCAGUGAAGAUUUUUGAUAGCUUGCGUCACAGUUGUAGGUUCACAAUCAGAAGAAGGGCUAAAAUGAGCACGGAGGUUAAGUUUUUGUAACGGCUUGUGAAUCUUAUUUUUAGCUCGGGUAGUCAUAUCAUGAUGACUUGUGGGGCAAUGAUCUAGUGGAGUUUAGGAAGAUGAUUGAACAGGAAGUGAAGAAGUGCUUUGUGUAGAGGUAGAAGUAGGUUGGGAGGAUUGCUGCGGAGAUGUUACCGGUAGAGAAGAAGGAGCAGUACACGGUGGCAACUCCAGAGGGCCCACAAUAGAUGGAGUAGGUGCCGACAAUGGAGUACUAGGAAAUGAAACAGGAAGAAUUGGUGGAACACUUGCGUAAUUAGGAGUGGUAGAUGAGCUUGUAAUGAUUUGUAUGGAAAAACAAACUCUACAAAUUUAACGUGACGUGAAAUAAAAAUUCAACCCGAUUGCAUAUUUAAGAACAUCUCAAAUGAAUUGCUUACUGCUAUCAUCAUCAUUAUUGUCUAUAUAAUAAUGGAUCUUUAUUAUAUAUAUGUUUCCACUAAAAUAUAUUUAAUUAUUCUUUAUUUUUCUAUUGUUGCGUGUAAGAUUUAUUUGAGUUCUAAGUUAUAUCAAUACAAAUGUUAUCUUAUCCAUAAAAAGUUAGAUCCAACAAUUAUGAAAAUUACUAUAGAGUUGCUUUCAAUUAUUUUUUUAAAAUACCAGGAGUAAAUAAUAAUUAGUUCAAAUGGUGGAGACUAAAAUGCGUUCACCUUUAUUUUUUAUCUGUUAUUUACUUUUGUCAUUACAUUAAUGCACAUGCUAUACAUUUGAGACAUUCCAUUAAUUGCCAAUUAUGUAUGUGAGAUAGUAAUUUAAAUUAAAAAAUAAAAGUGAAAGUUAAUCCUAUGCAAUGUGAAUAAAUUUCUUUCCUUUUUCCUUUACUCUUUUUAUUUGACAAUAAAGUUUCCAUCUAUCAUCUAUCAUCUAUGUACACAAAAUUUCUGCAACAAGUACAAAACAUAAAAAUAUAUGAAUAUUAAGGGAAACACGCAGAAGUUCAUCAUUUCAAUGUUCAGUAUUACCAAUUUUGGCAUUAAGCUUGUACGAAUAUAUUCUACUUCGAAAGCAAAAUAUUAGACUCGUGAUUUUAAUUCAUUCAUUAUCUCUCAUUUUAAUCCCAAAAUAUUCAAGAGUAUCCAAGUUACCAUAAGACUUCAGAGGCUCGAGCCUUAGCCAGAGAUGGUUAAUUGAUAGACUAUGUGCCUGGGUCGAGCACUGGAAGCCUGCAAUGCAGACUGAUUGAUUUAUCAGUUUAACGUGUGCCAGGAAUGAAGAACUGGAAUAUCACCGUCAAGCAAGCACCCUGUGGAGCAAUACCAAAGAAUGCACAAUCUGGCUUUGCUAGGUGACCCUGGAGGCUUUUUGAAAAGUGCUUCAUGCUCACUUGCACAGAUUGAGCAUCCCCUCUGGAUAUUGCCCUCUCUGAUCGAGUCUGAGCACUCAAAUUUCGGUCCUCAGAUGGAGCUACAGCUUUCUCUCCAAUAACCAACAAUUUUCUAAACUCAGCACCUAGUGUGAUCAGAGUUGUUGAUAUUUGCAAAUGGAGAUCCCCAUAUUUGCAAAUGGAGACAUUUAACAAAUCACCAACAUGCUUCAUCCGGUCCACGAAAUUCUGCAACUGAUUCAAAUCUGGAACCUGAACCAGAGUCGGAGGUAUAUCUUGAGCCAUAUCUAAAGCAGUUUGAAGUUCAAGACCUUGAGCCCUUGACAAUGGUUUUGAAAUUGGAACAUCUUGGAUUACUGCAGACUUGUACCCCUUGGUUUCAAAGGUAAGGAAAGGCAUUGCUUGAGUACAAUUUGGAGGCAGCUUCUUCACCAAUUUUAUUUGGAGGCAAUUGGCAGCGGAUCCAGCUGCACCAAUUUCAGAGCAACUACUGACACUACUUCGAACAGCACACUGACGAAGUGAUAUGUCUACGGCAAAGGCAAUGCAGUCCUCAUUUUGGCUUGAGAUGCAGUAAUCAUCGAAGAGAGUUUCCUUGUGAAACUGGGCAACACAUUGAAUCCCUUCGCCACUGAGAAGGUUGUGGAGGAAGUAAGCUGUCUCUCUAGUGAGGAAGAGGUGGCAUACCUUCCCCAUUUUGUCUAGGGCAGGUAGGAAUCUUUUUUCUAAGAGAUUUACUUCAUUCUCUGUGAGAAAUGCUUUGAACUUCAUCCCUCUGUCUCUAUCCUCACUUAUCAGGAAAUAAGUUGAAAGCACUAUGAAGAGAGAGAGAGAGAGAGAGAGAAUUAAGAUAUAUAGACAAGAAAAUAAUUAGACGUUGAUCUUACAAACUAAUACUUCAAGCAGUAUCCUAGAAAGCUAAAAACUGCAAGAUGGCUUGAAAUUUGAAAAGAGCACAUGGUUUUCCUCCUUAACUUGAGAAAAUGUUUAAUAUAGUGCACCUUACAGAAGCAUUUAAGCAAUUAGAACUUUGCACAAAAACAUCAAGAAGACUAAACAAAUCAGAUGCAGUGUAUUUGUCCAAGCACAAAUUGCAUUUUGUCCUCAACUUUAAUAUUUAUUGAUGAGAAUCAAUACAGGUCCCUCAUUUGUUAUAGAAAGCUUUCUUGUAGUCUCACCAGUUAAUUCACAGGUCUAUAAUCAUCUUGCAAAGUUAAGGGCAUUUCUUUCGAUCUAAAGUCUUUGCAUCACCACCUCAUCACACGCCAAGCCAAUAUUCCAUUUACCUCUACAACAAAAAGUUUUUAAGUAAAUAAUCCUAAUGCACGCAGCCGAAUAAAAUGCAGUAAGAAUAUUCAACUUAAAAAUCUGAAAGCCAACUUGGUGAAUUGCCUCCUUAGGUGAAGUUCCAUGCUUUACUAUAGUUGACAGAACUCAGCAAAAGCUUCCAUACAACAGAUUUUGAAAAUGAUGAUGCCAAUAGAUACUCAUUCAAUCCAUUGAAACUCCAAAGGUUCAUUGUUCAUAGAAGUUUACAGAGUUUUGGUCAUCAAAUAGCUCAGACCUAAUCCCAAACAAAAAACGAGUGAAAAUUAGAUCACGAGCAGCUAAUUGUAAAUUCUAACUUAACUCUUCAUCUCCUUUGUAAACAAGAAACAAAAUGGAGACACGCAAAAUGAAUAUGGAGAAAAUUUGAACUCAAAUGAAAUGAGGGCACGAAAGCAAACAAAUGGCAUGCACAAAAAAACCAAGCCUCGAUAAAAAACUAAUUAACCAUUAAGAAAAAAAUUGGUCAGAGAAUGAACUCCAAAUUCAGGAGUCAAGCAAGAAGCUUUCAUUAUUUCAGAAGCUCCUGUACAAAUUAAUAAGUUAUGCUCUUUGGAAGCAAACCUAAAUUCCAAGAGAAACAGAACCCAAAAAAUUUGCAAUUAUACGCAAAGGAAGUGAAGCACAGGAUUCUAUCACACAUAGGAAUUGUAUAACAAGAGAUCGAUAUAUCGAAUUAGAAAACUCAAUUCGAAUUUGUGUCAAAAAUCAAAAUUAGAAGAUUUCACAUUUCGAGAGGAACAAGCAACAGAUGAAGUUCAAAAUUUCAGCCAUAACAUGCUAAAAAUGCUACACUUAACGGUUCAUUUUCAUGGAUUUUCUCGGGAAACAAACAGAAAAUUACGGUUUAGAGAGUUGACUGACCUUUUGGCUUUUGAAAUUGACCAGAUCGCGCGCCAAAUUGGAAGAGGGAAAGUGAAAGCGCGAGUUUUAAUAUGGGUAUUAGAUAAGGAAAUUUUAUUAGGUUGCGAGGGUAAAAAAGGAAAGAGAUAUCAUUAUUUUAUUAUCGAUAAUUAUUAAAUUUUUUUCCAAAAAAAAGAACAAGCAAGGAUUUUUUAUUGUCAUCACUAAGUUAAAAAAAAUUGUUUCAAAAUUACUUGAGUCAUAUCCAAUGGACCAACAAAGUAAUCGUUUUUAUUUUUAUUGAUUUUUGCAGGAAAUUAAUAACUUAAAAAUACUGAAAGCUACUGUAAAAAUUUUUAUUAUCAACCUCAUAAUUUUUUUUUUUUGGGGAAGAGAAUUCAAACUUUUUUUUUAUGAAUAUCGCUGUUUCGUUUGAGUUGGAUGUGAAUUCAAAUCCAAAUAUUCUUUGUUUUUCAAUUUUGAACUCAAUUUCUUUUUCUCAAGAAUGUUAUGCAGAAAUAAUUUUUACUAAAUCUUUUUUGAUGAAUUGUUUAAAUUAAACAAUUGGAAUAAGAAUUGUAACGAUUUAUCAUAAGCGUGCUAAUAUGAUAACUUGUUUUACGAAGGAUUAAUUAAUCAAUUAAUAUUAAAUUAUAUAUUAGUCAAUUAGAUAUGUGUUACAUUUAUCAUGUUUUGUAGGUGAUAGUACAUCAUUUCUAAAAGAAUAUAGUACGUUAAAAUAUUAUUUUAAUGAAGAAAAUUUUAUUAUUUUAUUAUUAGGUGACACAAUAAUAAAUGGAUUUCUGUAAGAAUUGAGAUUCUUGAUAUAAUUAUUACAUAAGGAGAAGUUUAGUUGGUUCAAUUUUGACGUGAUAAGAAGACAACACAGCACAGAAAACCCAAAUUGCCACUUCCACUAAUAAAAGAUACCUGUUUGAAAAGUAAUUAUAAACUAUCUUCUUUGUGUUAUUUCUCAAAACUUUUGUGGCACAAAUGUUAUUUCCAUUGACAACAGUACGAAAUACCACCCCUUUCACUUGAGCAGGAGCAAAGCAAAGGUAUGAUGAGCUAUCUCUGUAUAAUUGAAACGCCAUUACUAAACGAUUCUUGAUGAUGGGAGCCACCGUGCCAGCUUUGUCGCUGAUUUGCAUGAUUUAUUAGUUGUCCAGAUGGCGGAUUUUGUACUGUUACCUUCGUUUCAUUCUUCAGAGCCAUGUACUGUUCUAGGAUACCAGAGAAACCAAGGUGGCAUUGAAGUUGCCCUGGUGGUUAGUUUUCCGAUCAUUUUUUUAUUCAAUUAUUUAUGUUUUUAGAAAAAUGUAGGAAAUAUGUAGAAAUGUUGACAGCUAUGAUUUUGAAACUUUUGCCUAAAAUUGUUAUCAUUACUUGUUGUUUCUUAUUUAAAGAGAAAUUCUAGAAACAUGAAAUGAUUAUUCUACGCUUGUUUUAAUAUUGUGCUAUGAAGAUUACGAAGGUUUGAUUAUAUGUCACUAUCAAUUGCCUUAAUCGUUUGUCGUAAAUCAAUUAAGCAUUUUGAUGCGAAUGAUUCCCUAUUAAAAAAUUCAAGUCAGAGCUGAAUUGCAAAGUAGUUAGUCGUGCUUGCAAUUCAAAUUAAGUAUUGUAUUUUCUCCCUGAUUUGGUUGAUUCAACUAUGUGCAUUUGCUUAUGAACGUUGCAGUAUAGAAAUCGAAAUAUCUUGUCUUUUGCUAAGCCCAGAAGCAAAUUCUUUGUAUUCUACUCAUCAGUUUUCUUCAUUCUCUUUGUUGAAAUUUUAUCUAAACAGCGGUUUCUUCGAAUUUAUGCCUUCGCUUACUCUUUUAAAUUUUAUCCAAACAACGGUUUUGAAAUUGUUUUCACUACAAUACCUUAGUCUUUCAGAUGCUCCCGUCACUGAGUUGCCAGAAGAGCUAAAAGCCUUGGUAAAUCUUAAGUGUUUGAACCGGAGUACACAAAUUAUCUCUCUACAUUUCCAAAGCAAUUGAUUUGUUACUUUUCGAUGCUACAUGUUCCGCGAAUAUUCAGUUGUGGUUAUCUUGUUCAGAUACCAGAAAAUAGCGUUAUAUUUAGUGGUAAUGAAUUCUUGGUUUGGGAGUUGCUUAGUUUAAAACGUUUAAAUGUAUUAAGCAUCAUCUUGAAAAGUUUUUCUGCUGUCCAAAAACUUAUGAGCUUCCAAAAGUUUCAAAGCUGUACACAAUGCAUGGAGCUUGUAGACUGUGAUGAUCCAAAGUCAUUUGCCGUGGCAGAGUUGAAGCAUCUUGAAAAACUAGGUUUUUCAAGUUGUGGAAAUUUGGAAGAGUUAAAGUUCUGCUGUGUCGAAGUUGCAAAGGCUCGAGAAUGUUUUCGUUUGAACAGCCCUCACUGAGUUAAGAUGAAGGCUUGUCAUAAAUUGUGGGAAGCGACAGGUUAUUCAAAUAGAAAAAUUUAUGGAGAUGGAUGUUAAUCUUAAGGUUAUUCAAUUAGAAAAAUUUGAAUAAAAUUUAUGGUAAGUGCUUUUCCAUUUAUUGCAUAUUUAUAUCUAAUUUUUAUUUUCCUUUAUUGUUAAAUUUUGGUCUCUAUUUGUUGUUGUAUGGUGGCAUUCUUGUACAAUUAUUAGCUUUUCAUUUCUCUUCUCACAUUAACUGCCCUUCUGAUCAUGUAGGAUUUGCUGAUGCAAAGAGUCAUAAUUUGGGAUACAAAUGUAAGAAUUAGACAGAUGACAUGUUGUUUUGAAGCUCUCAAAGAAGGACUAAUUAUGUCAUUGAAAGCCUCCAAUUUUGUGAUUGGUUUCUUUUUAUUUUAUUUGUUGUUUUCUCUAUUUUCAGAUCACUUAAUUGUUAGUUGUUGUAAUGUAAUGUUUUAGUAUAGCAAAUUAUAUUCGGCCAAGACAGUGAUAGGAGGGCACAUUGUGCAUGCACACUAGUGGAUUUGGCAUGCCAAAUCCAAUUAGGAUGGAUAACACUUUAUAAGCAUUAGGCUUCUCUCAUACCUGAGUAAUAUAGAAUAUGUUUAUAAGUUGUGAAUCACCCUUUACAAGUGUUAGGCUUCUGCUAUACUCAGUGAUGUGAAAUAUAUUUAUAAGCACUAAACUUCUCCCAUACACUUUAUGUUAAUAAUAAUAAUAAUAAUAAUAAUAAUAAUAAUAAAAUAAUAAUAAAUAAACCCAUUUUAACAGACUCUUUUUUCUUUUUCUAUAUGAACAAAUGCAUUCUUCAAAGCAACUGUGGGGAGAAGAAGUGAGUAGAGAAGAACUGAGCCCCUGUCAUUCCCCUAAAACCUCACCAAAACCUCUCUUGUAAGCUUCUCGGAUUUUCUUUCUAUAUUUCUUAGGAACUCAUUUUUUAUUGAAUCACUUAUUUUGCAUGCUGCAUUUUUUGGUUGUCGUAUUUGUGUAUUAUCUUAUCUGGAAUGCUGUUAUGAUUGAUGGAACAAGUAAUCGAUUUUUGGUCUAAUGGAAGUUGAUUUAUUUAUUUAUUGUUGUUUUUAUUUGAAAUUAUGUACAAUUGUAUUUCAUUCAUUUCUCUCUCUUUUGCUUUUUUCCCCCCAUAUAUUUGUUAUGUAUAAUUGCGUUUCAUUUAAUAUUGAUCAUACUGUAGGUAACCAUGUGAUUGUAGAUGGGGAUUUCGAGUUUGUUGAAUAUUCAUGUAAGUGAAGUAACCGUCACAAUACUAGUGAAAUUGGGAGCUUUAUUCAUGAGUUUGUGGUUUUGAAAAGUACCACAGUUCAACUGGUGAAGGCUCCGUUUUGGGAUUCUUCUUUUUCUAGGCUGCAAUUAGGAUAUGUACAUGAUAGACAAUCUUUUGUUGGUUUAGCAUAUCUUCGCUGAUUUUGUCUUUUAUUCCCCAAUUUUAUAAUUACACACCAUGAAUGUUGGGUGAUUGUAUAGAAAAUUUGUGUUAUAACAAAAACAUUGUGAAGGAGUUUCCGUGCUAAUAGUUAGUGGCUUCUGUUUUAUUGGCAUUGAUUGGGUAGAUUACGUGUUACAGUGAUUCAAUUUGUGUUCCAAACUUUGCUUUAAUUUUCUGUUUUCCCCAACUAUUUAUGUCAAAUUUAAAUCCAGAAGCAUGUGCUGAUUUUUUCUUUUUGUAUUAAUCUGUGAAGUUUAUUUGGAAUGGAAGUAACUGGGUCGGGUCUAAUGGAUUAAAUUAUGACAUUGAGGGGAAGGCACUAAAAGGGUUUGCUUGACACAUUUGGUUCUGUGUUUACUCUGCAAGAAAUAACUUUUGCUUAUUGCAAUGCAGGGGGAAAUCCCGAUUUGGCUGGUGAAUUUCUCUGCAACAAACAGGCAAACACCUCAACAUCUUCUGUCCAUACUUCUGCUGGGGAGGCAAGGGGUAAAGAGUCUUCAAAAUCAUCAAAUAGUUACAUCUCUGAGAAUUCAUUUUAUGGAAAUGGAAAAUCUAGAGUUUCUAAUACAAAAUGGCAUCUGGUAUCAGGACGUACCGUUUCAAGUUUUCUUGGUAAAGAUUAUGUUAAACCUGCACAGCCAGCUAAUGGCACUUUUCUGGCAUCAAAGCCAUUGAAGUUGGAUCCAAGGGAGUUUCGCAUUUCUGCACUUUCAGAGAAGAAACUAAACCGACAAUCAAAGGAUGACCAUUUGCAGAAGGAUAUGGAAGAUUUUCUUUUUAAAUUGCUAGGAGAAGGGUUCCAGCUGUACAGGGAUGUGAUUCAGGAGGUUCAUGGUAACGUCUUAAAUAUAUUGAUGCCAAUUUAAUACAUAUUGUCCUUUUCAAUGUUCUUUCUUUCUUUCUCCUCUUUUUAUUAUUCUUCUUCUUCUUUUUUCUUUUCAUGUGCAUGUGAUCACUAAUUUGGUAUUAUUCUUGACUUGCAGAUAGUUGUGGAUAUGAAAUGCAAAAGGUAAGGGCUAUAUCUUCUUGAUGGAGGCCUCUGAUUUUUUAAAUCGCAUUUUCCUUUGUGAUUGAUAUAUCAUACCAAAGUCAAGUCUUAAAUACUGCUGUCAUAUGUUAAGGUUCAACUUCCAUUUUGAUUAACGUCGAUUUGCUACUGCUUCCAAAAGUGAGAAUGAGAUACUUUGGUUAAUUUCAGUAGUUGAACUCAAUGGAGUACUUUAUUUAGAUCUUCAUGGUUCAAAGGCCUGAAAAAACUUGCCGGUAUUUGCAAAAUGACAUCUGUGCUUUUAUUUAGACUUAUUAUUAAAGACAACAUUUUAUUUCAGCCAAAAAUGUUUGUUUCAAUUAAAGACUUGAACCAUUUUCAUUUAACCUGAUUGUGAUGCUUUACAUUAUGCAUGUUCCUCUCAAUCAAUAAAAGUUGAGGUCAUGAUUUUAUAUUUCUAUUUUGUAACUUGAAAUAAUUGGUCUGCCUGUUUCUGUUGCUUGAUAACAUGAAUUUUUCCUUCUGAAGUUAAUUUGAUCAAUAAAGUAAUUCUUCGGAGAGGAUAUGCCCAUUCUAUAGUCAUUUUCUUAGCUAACAUGUUUUUUCUUCACUCUUCAAAGCAUGUCUAAACUAAUUGAUCGCUCAGCGGAGACUUUGGGUGAGAAGACAAAAUUUCUUGGUAAAUCCUCUGAAAAGGUAUGCAUAAUUCCCGAGUAUUAAAUAAUCAUUGGUCAUAAUUUUUGUACACGACUCUUGUUUUGGAGAUCGUUAAAAGUGGUUGAUGAUCUAUUUUGUAAUAUCAUAGAGGGAUCAUGAAUUCCUUUUCUUUUCUGUGGCUAGGCAACACUUUCGAGCCAAGCUAAGGAAAUCUAUUUUAGGUAAUGUGAAAACUAGUUGUAGGAUGUAAUAGUUUAUUAUGCCCUGACAAUAACUUUUUGUAUAAUUGUCAGUUUAAUGAAUACAAGAGGAACUCUGUUGGCAAGUUCAUCCAUGAUAGAUGCUAAAAUUAUUUAUGCAUACCAGUUGCCUUAACUAAUUUUUCUCAACACUGGUAUUGAACAGGAAAAUGAAUAUGCAAUUUGUAUAUUGUGCCAUUGUGGAGAAUUUGGAUAUUCUUAUUUAAGUAACAAGGAGAGUAUUUGCCUCAUCUUUAAACAAUGAAUCUUUGAGAAAUGAGGAGUGGGUGAUUGACAGUGUCUUCAUGUAAAUGUUCAUUUAUUUGUAUUUUGAACUAUUAUGAGAAUCUUUGUAUGCCAAAUUAGUAAUACAAAUGUUCAGAUGAUUUUUCCUGUUGAUCAUGCGUGUGUAUCUGCACACAACCAUUGUGUACCACUUUAUUCUGAUGCACAAAUAUCUGUAGUUUAGAAGAAAAGAAAUAAUAAUCAUAUAUUAUUGCUUGGUUCAUGAUUAUUAAAUGAUUAUGGCUUUAGAAAAUCCACAAAUCCUUUGUGUUCAUAUAUGAAUGUGCGAAGUUCGCUAUAUCUUAGAUUACCUUCUUCCAAGAUAACAAGUUCAUAUAUUUUUUUUAAUCCUUUUUCAUCACAGUUGAAUUUCAAGUGUAAGUUUUGUUAUUAAUAGCUGGUUUCCUGUUAUUAUGAUUUCAUAAACAAUGAGAGGAUAUGUGCUCUACUUUUGGAUGGCCUCCACAUAAAAGAAAAUUGCAACAAUUGAAUUCUUCUGGAGGGUAUGGUAUUUAAUUUAUUUUCUCAGCUUGUUGUAAGACUAAUAUAUUUCCUUCAGUACGCACGGCAUGGUGGGAAGGGUUUUUAUUGAAAGAAUUAUGAUAUUUCUUAGACUUUGUUUUGGAAGGGGGUGGAGGGAUUUCUCAUCCAUGUAUGGUUACUUGAUUAGCUUUUGACUGUACUGUCUCCGUCGUGCAAAGGAAAAUCCAAAUACUAACGAAGGGGAAUUGCUUAGGCACCCAAAGGACAGAAAUGAAUUACGGAAGGAGGUUUUUGCUGCUUUAUUUAGUGCUGCUGAGAAAUCUGAUGAAUUUCCUGAAAUUACGGUGAAGACGGAGUGGAGGUCCAACGCAUUAGGAAAGGUGGUGAGUGAACCGCCAGAGGAAUUAGUACCAGAAUACAAGGCUAAUGUGGUGCACUGGCAGCAAGAUGACCAGACCUGUAUGUGCUCUUAUAUUAACUAUAUUGGCUGGAUUUGUGAGUGUGUUCAUUUUUGUGUGUAUACUCACUUUUGUAUUUAUGCAUAUUCACGUGUGUAGGAUUCUCGAUUUCUGCCACUUACUGGAGAACUAGUGGAAAGCUUUAUACUGAUAUAUGUGCUAUAUAACUAAUGGAAACUACAAUAUGAAUAUUUUCUCUCACCUGGAGAGCAGUGUAACUAAUAUAAUUUGUGGCUCUGGAAUACUGAAGAUUCUGCAAUAACUAAUGGAAAAUAUGAUAUGAAUAUUUUUUCUCACCUGGAGAACUUUGUAACAGAUACAUUUUGUGCUGGAAUGUCUAAAGAAUGCUUCAGUUUAUAUCAAAUAUCUUUUAGUUAGAAAAGAUAAAAUUCUCUGAAUCUGAAAGACUGAAACAUUUUGCAUAUUUCGUGAAAGGCAAGUAUCUGUAGAUACUAGCUCAUGCAUUGAGGUAAUAUCAAUGUUAAAGAAAAACAGCAAUAAUUUAUUAUACAGAAUUAGGUUCACUUGCUUUAAAUGCUGGUCUGAUCAACCAUAUCAACCUGUAAUGGUCCUGCAGAAAUAUAUAUACGGGGAGAAACUAGCUAAUUUUCCUUUCACUUAUGGGUUUGGUCUUUUUUUCCCCAAUUUUUCAGCUUUCCUUCUCCUGAAGUAUGUUAAUAAUUGCAGAUAAUGGCGAAGAGGACUGCUUCCAGGCUACCGGCAAAAACUUUGUGAAAGCUUUGGAGUUAAACAGGGAAUUCACUUACUGCUAAGGACAAUUGGUGGCGAGCUAUUUCAUUCAUUUUAUGUCCAUACAUCUAUUUAAUUAUUAAAGAUAAUGUACGCAUUUGUAAAUUUCAGAUUGUGUGUCUCUGAAAAUAACAAUAUUUAAAAUGUCUCUUAAAUUAUUAUAAAUUUUAAUUUACUCUCGAUUUAAAAUGGAACAUGUUGGUGAAAUAUUUUUUCUUCUUAAUAAAAUUGAAAUAAAUUAUGUUAGCAGUAGUUUGAAAUAUUUUAAAGAUGAUUAUUUUAUAAGGGAGUAAUAUGAAAUGAAAUUUACUUUUCAUGCGUGAAAUGUUGAAAAAGGACAAAGCAAGUGUCCCUGCUUUUAUUUUAUUUCAAAGUGGAGUCAUCUCACAUACUUUAGCUCUAUCAUUAGGAGCCGGCUAAGUUACGUUAAACGUAAUUUACGCCAGGCACAGCAAUAAUGACAAGUCCCAUGACUAGUAUUGUUGCUGUGUCUGACGUAAGUUACGUUUAACGUAACUUAGCCAAAGCCCUAUCAUUAAUAUAUAUUUAAAUUUAACACAUGCAUGUGGGUUACUUUUCCGUAAGUUCCUUAAUAUAUAUUUAACACAAAUCAUGGAAGAGAUGGGAGUAUAUCAAGAUGAUCAAAGCAUGAAACAAAAAUAUUUAAGAAGUAAAACACUGAAAAUGGAGAAGAGAUGCAAGCAAAAGAUAUUCUAAAGAAAAGCAAUCUAUCCCCUUUCGAGGGCAAACUUAUCAGGUUUAAGAAAAGUACAUGCUUUGGAUUGGUAGUUGCAGCCUUGCAGGAUAAUUGUUUUUGCCACUAUAUUAGUUGGAGGAGUUGAACCCAGUGAAGAAUGUUAUGGAAGAGCAAAUGAUAUUUCUGAUAGACUCUAUUUGAUUAUGUAGCCUGAAUAGAUGUCUUGUUGAAAGAUAUAUCAGUGCAUUAGUUCAUCCUUGUCUGUCAAUGUGUUUUUAAUGGUUUUUCCAAUUGUUUUUUUUUUUUUUGAAACUGAUUAAGCAUCAGGUUACUGCAUUACACAGAUAUAUAUACAACUGCUAUGACAGCAGGUCAUUACACUGAUAUUUACAAUCAGAUAUAUAUACAUGGGACUUAUAUUAUUACAUUUUUAUUCUAUGAAGUACAUGCCCAUCCCAAAUACCCCUCACGGAGGAGGGAUGUCUCUACUCCACUCGCAUUUCGCAAGGGAGAAAGACGUUUAUAGAAAUCUCCACACAAUUAUGUUUAAUUGGAGGAGGUUGAGUCCGUGGGGACUCGAACCAUUGCCCUCAAAGUCAUGCUUAACUUUGAGGGCAAUGGUCCACCACUGGGCUACAAGCCCAAGUGGCGGUUUUUCCAAUUGUUUAUUGCUAUAGAUUGAUUGUAAAUUGAUGUGAACUUAAUGUUGAAAUAUUUUCUCUUUAGUGGAAUGAAAGUUAAACAUUCAAGAUUAGAUUAUUCAAGGUCCACAUAGUAUGUGUUCCGUUGUGUUGUCUGUAAUUUUGCAUUUAAAUAAAUUUGAGUGCUGCCGUUUCGCUCCCACAAUCUCUCGCCUUUUUUUAAUUUUAAAAAUUAAAAUAUUAAUAAAAAACAAUAAAGAAAAUCGAAUCCUUUAUGUCAUUCCAUCUUUACAACUCUCUCUCACAAACUCCAUCUAACAGACUUCUCUCUUACUAUCUCGGUCGAACAAGACCAGUGACAAUGAUGACACGACCGCCGACGAUGAGAUGGUCAUCGCUAAAGAAUCGGGCCGUGUAUUUUACAAUUUCUUGGUUUGUGACAACAAUGGAAAACUCCUGAAAAUUUUGAAUUUGUAGUCGAGCAAAGGAAGAAGCAAGUUAUCUUCAAAGCAUUUUCCAGUAAUAGCUGAUGAAAUUUAAUACUUCAAGCUGGCCCUUUGCUGUCACAACUAGAUGCAUUUGCACUGUCAUUACAAUUUAUGGAAAUUAAAGUAAUUAAUGGUUCUAAUUAAUAGCUUCCCAAAAAACCAAUCUGCCCUUGUGAGAACCAAAGCAUUAAUUUCUUGUAAGAGCUGCAGAAGGCCAGAGAAUUUCAGAUCGUGAAAAGGAGUGUGUGAGUGAGAGAGAGAUCGUGAAAUAGUGAGAGACAAUGAGAGAGAGAGCCGCUCGACUGAGAUGGUGAGAGAGUUGCAAAAAUGGAGUAAGGAGCAGAUAAGAUUAUGUUUUCUUUAUUAUUUUUUAUUAAUAUUUUAAUUUUUUUAAUUAAAAAAGGGCGAGAGAUUUUGGGAGUGAAACGGCAGCAUGUUCCAAUAAAUUUUUACCAAAGUUUCUCUCGUGUUUCUCUCACCUUUCUAGAUACCAAGCAUUUUCCAAUAAAUUUUUACUAAAAACUUAGCAAGCCCUUGAAACUUUGGUCAAAAUUAUUGUUAUUAUUACUUUUAGAGGAAAAACUUUUAUUAAAACCUCAUUAACACAAUUCUUAAUUAAAAUUAUAAGUUUGUGUUGGUGUAAGGAUUUGCAGGAGCAAUUACUGCCUAGCCAAGUGUCAAAAGCACAAAAUAAAUCAAGAGAAAGUAGACAUGAAUUAGGAUCCAAUGAAAUUUAAAUCCCGGAGAAAAGAAAUAAUCAUGCAGAUUAUCAAGAUUUCAAUAAGGGAUAUUGAUAUCCUAUUUUGAUUAAUAAUAUCCUUUUACUGUGUUAACUCAAAAAAUAUGUAUAUUCUAAUAUUUUACAAUAAAUAGAAAUCUAAUAUUAAAAUAAAUGUGAUAUAUAUAUAUAUAUAUUAAAUAAUUUAAAUAUAAAAAAUAUUUUAAUGUUUUACAAUCUACUACACAUAUUUUAUUAAGUUAAUAUAAUUUUUCAAAUAAAUAGGGACAUAAUAUUAAAAUAAAUUUAUAAAAAUUUAAAUUAUUUUGAAUUUAAAAUAAUUUUAAUAUUAUUAAUAUGUUAGAUAUGUUUGAUUAAUUAUAAAAAUUAUUUACGCAAAUUUUUUUAAUAUUUUCAGUAGAUAUAAAUAUAUUACUUACAUUUUGAUUAUUUAACUAUUAUUAUUCUACAAUUAUUUAUAUAAUGUUUGCACUUAUUAGAAUAUAUUUAAAGUCAAAUCUUUUGCACUUCUACCUAGCUAGAAUUAUUGGACGCAGAGAAAUAAGCAUAUAUGCUUUAUAACUUUAGAAAUCGAAUUAUCUAUACAAAUUGAUUUUAGCUGGAAAAAAAGUGAGCUGAAUGAUAUAGGCGAUUAGUGUGGUAAUAUUUCAUAGAGUUAGACUAUUGAAUUUGGCACCCCUCCAAUCUUCUCAUGAUUACCUUUUUGAGUUAUUAAUACACUUCUAAUUUUUCGUUUAAUUUUUUUUAUUGUUAUACUCAAAGUAGUAUUGUGAUAUUUUAUAUUUCUUUUGCAAUCUUAUUAUUAUUUUACACAAAAUUAAAAAGUUUUCUAGGUGAUGAACUUUUGAGUUUUGAACAUUAAUCAUUGGCUUAAAUUUCAUAUAUUUUACAUUAUAAUUUGAAAUUAAGUACGAAAAUAUUUAAUAAAUUAUGAAAAGAUUAACAGAUUAUUCUAAAUUGAUACAACUUAUUUUAGUUAAAUAAAAAGUAACAGGUAAAAAAAAAAAGGAUUGGUUAUGAAAUUUGUUGGAAAAAAAUCUGUGUGUGUUUAAUUUUUAUUUGUCCUUAAUUGUAAUUUAUUUGAAGUGAGGUUUUAUAAGGAUAAUGAAGGGGUGCCAUAGUUUCACUCUAUUUCAUAUGGAGAGAGAAGUAAAAGGUACACCUGAGGUUAAUGGAAAGGACUUCGAAAGUUUCUUUUGAUUAUAAUACUGUUUGUUCUAAUUAACUUAAAAAAUUUUACUUUAAUAUUUUAUAAUAAAUUAAAUUUUAAUCUUAAAAUAAGUAUAAUCAUAUAUUUUAAAAUAAUCUUAAAAUAAAUACAAUCAUAUAUUUUAAAAUAAUCUUAAAAUAAAUACAAUCAUAUAUUUUAAAAUAAUCUUAAAAUAAAUACAAUCAUAUAUUUUAAAAUAAUCUUUAUAUUUAAAAUUUAUUUAUUUGUACAUAUUUUAUAAUAAAUAUAACACAUACUAUUAAAAUAAUAUAUAAAAAAUUAAAGUAUUUUGAAUAUUAUAUAAAAUAACUUUAAGAUUCUUAAUAUGUAAGAUAUAUUUUAUUAAUUUAAAAUUCUAUUUAAAAUUUUAUUAAUUUAAAAUUCUAUUUAACCCAAAGAUUUAUUUAAGAUAAAUUAAUAAUCAUAUUUUUUAAAUCAUUUCAAAUAUUAAAAAAUAUUUUGAUAUUACUAGUCUAUUAAAUAGAUUAAAUAUUUUUAUUAUUUUGUACUAAUCAAAAGUUACAGCUCGAAUGAUAUUAUGAGAACAGAAUUUUUAUGUCUUUAUUAAAAAUUUGGGUUUGUAUAAUUAUUUUUUCAAAUGUUAGGGGCAUAGCUGUCUUUUUACUUUUAUAUAUGUGAACCGCGGUGGUGAAAAAGUGUGAUUUAAUAUUAGUUAUUUAAAUAAUAUCUGAAUUAAAGAUGUACAGAGAAGAAAUUUCGGUGGGCAUUUUAGUCUUUUAACGAUUAUCAUGAUUAGGGAUUAGGUCCUGCUCUUGAAACGUUGGUCAGAAAAGUUCUAAAAUGCGUACAUUAUCUUUACUUUAAAAAAGUUAUUUUAUUUUAUUACAAAUUAAUGCCGACAAGAAAAAGCAAGAUCUUAAANNNNNNNNNNNNNNNNNNNNNNNNNNNNNNNNNNNNNNNNNNNNNNNNNNNNNNNNNNNNNNNNNNNNNNNNNNNNNNNNNNNNNNNNNNNNNNNNNNNNAUAAAGAUGAAGAAAAGGGCAAAAAAAUAUUAAUGAUUAACGAAAUCUCUAUCCAAAUUGAUUUUAGCAGGAAAAAAGUGAGCUAAAUGAUGUAGACGAUUAGUGGUAAUAUUUCAUAGAGUUAGACUAUUGGCACCCUUCCAAUCUUCUCACGAAUCCUCUUUUUGAGUUAUAUUUAUUUUAUUUUUAAAAUAUCUUUUUUCUCUUUUACUACACUUCUAAUUUUUCAUUUAAUUUUUUUAUUGUUAAACUCAAAGUAGUAUUGUGAUAUUUUUAAUUUCUUUUGCAAUCUUAUUAUUACUCUGCAUAUAAAUUAAAAAGUUUUUUAGGUGAUGAAUUUUUGAAUGUUAAUCAUUAGCUUAAAUUUCACAUAUUUUACAUUACAAUUUGAAAUUUAAUAUGAAAAUAUUUAAUCAAUAAGAAUUAUGAAAAGAUUAAUAAAUUAUUCUAAAUUUAUACAACUUAUUUUAGUUAGAUCAGAAGUAGCAGGUUAACAAAAGAAAGGAUUGGUUAUGAAAUUUGUUGGAAAAAAAUCUAUGUGUGUUUAAUUUUUAUUCGUUGUUAACUCUAAUUAAGUAGGUUAAAUAUUUUUGUUAUUUUUUACUUAUCAAAAAAUUUAAGAUCAAUAUUUUUAGUUACCAUUCGAAGGAUAUUAUGACAAAAACAGAAUUUUCACUUCUUUGUUAAAAAUUUGGGGGUUUGUGUAACUAUUUUUUCAAAUGUUAGGGGCAUAUCUGUCUUUUUACUCUAUAUAUAUGAACCAUGGUGGUGAAAAAGCGUGAUUUAAUGUUAUUUAUUUAAAUAAUAUCUCAAUUAAAAAUGUAAGGAGAAGAAAUUUCGGUGGGCAUUUUAGUCUUUUAACGAUUAUCAUGGUUAGGCCCUGGUCUUGAAACGUUGGUCAGAAAAGUUCUAAAAUGCGUUCAUUUGUCUUUACGCCAACAAUAAAAAGCAAGAUCUUAGUGUCCCACAAAAGCAAAUCGUAAUAUUCCGCAAUGGAGUUAGAUCCGCAAAAGCAAACAAAUUCUUUUAUUAAACUACAAAUUAAAGUGGAAUCAUUUACUAAACAACAAAUUAAAUUUGAAAUAUUUAAAUAGUCGUGCGUUAGACGAUUAGAGACUCUUAUUAAAGGCAAGUACAAAGUAGUGAAGAAUCGAAUAUUUCUAUUGUCUAGUCUUUUUUUAAAAAAAAUUUUCUUUUAUUAUUUUUCAGAAUAUGUUUUGGUGAUUACUAUUGGGUUAUUAUUCAGAGUUAUUGUUAUCUUCCGGGGCAGUUUCUGUUCAUCGAAUUCGUUAAUAAAAUUUUAAAACUCUUAUUGAAAGAAUGUUUUUCCGUUAUCUUUUUUAUAAUCUAAUUUUAAGUGUAAGAAGUAGUCAUUUUAGAAUUUGGGUCUUGAAUCGAAUUUCAAUGCAUGAAUUAAUAUUUAAAAAAAAUUUACUACAUGCAGUUUAGGUUACAAACUAUUUUUUGCAAAGUUGACUAUGAAAUUGGAGAAAUUAAGUAAUUUAUAAUGUUUGCAAAGAAAGAGACCAACAUACUUCCAAUUACACUAUAUCUCAAUUAUCAUAAUGUUAAGAUUAAACUAACUUAAAAUAAAAUUUAUUUAAAAAGUUUAUCAAACGCAGUCUAAUUUUAUUAACUUGAAGAGAUAAUAGUUAUAGAAAUUAUUAUUCUAACUUAAUUAGUAAAAGUGGUAUAAAGGUUAAGUGUGCACUAAAUCUAUUUAAAUUUUUUUCCAGUAUAACUAACAGAGGUCAUUACUAGAAUUAUAUUACUAGUCUAUUAGAUAGAAAAAAUUAUUUAUAUUGUUUUAUAUUUAUUAAAAAAAUUUAAAGUCAAUCUUUUUAAUUACUAUUUAAAGGAUAUUAUAAUUAAAAAAAUUUUAAUGUCUUCAUUAAAAAUUUAAAAUUUUAUAUGACCGUUAUCUAAAUAUUUAAAGUGUAACUGUCAUUUUCUCAUAUAUAUAUAUAAUUUCAUCAACCCCUUAUACUUUAUGUUAUUUAUAUUUUAUUCAUGAAUAUUAUAAAUUUUUUGAAAUAUAAAAUUUCGUUUAACCCUUUAUACUCAAUUUUAUUUUAUUAAAACCCUAGAGUAUGAAUUCGUCCCUAUAAUAUUAAAUUCUCAAAAUAACUUCCAUUUAAUUAAAAAAUAUAAUUAUUAUUAAAUGAAUUAUAAUUAUUAUUAUUAUGUUAUUAUAAUCAUAAAAAGCGAGAUCAUAUUCCACAAAAGCAUAAGUGACAAAACAACCAACUGGAUUCUUUUAUUAAUCAACAAAUUGUAUAGUCUUUUUCAAAUUGUUAUAAAUUGGUGGCCCCUACAAUCCUCAAUAAUUGUACCGAAAUUCACAAGUUGGUGGGCCCUACAAUUCUGUUCCGAUAAUUUAACUGUGCAAGUGCUCAUUCACAAUCUUCCAGGUCAUGCUCUUAACAAUUGUUUUUUCUUUUCUGCACGCCCUUUCAUGCUCUUAAUAAUUGAAGAGCAUACUUUUCAAAUGUGAAGCCGCAUCUAAUGUCGCUAAUUUAAUUUGGGAUUAAAUUACGGGACUAUUAUAUUGCAGUGUGCACUAAUUUUUAUGUUUAUCUAAACUCUUCAAAUUUAAAACAUAUUAUGGCAUAAAUAAGAAUGUAACAAUAACAAAAGAGUAAGAAAGUGUAGAGAAAAUCUUGCAGAAAUAUAAAUAAUAUUUAUUUUUAAAAUAAUAUUAAUAUUUAAAAUAAUUUUUAAUAUUUUAUGGUCCAUUAGAUAUAUUUUAUUAUAUUAAAAUAAAUUUUAUAAUAAAUAAAAACAUACUAUUAAAAUGAAUAUAUAUAGAAAAUUUAGAGUAUUUUAAGUAUUAUAUAAAAUAAUUUUAAUAAAAUAUGUGAGAUAUUCAUAUUUUAUUAAUUUAAGAUACCAUUUAACCUAAAGAUUUAUUUAUGAUAAAUUAAUAAUUAUAUUUUUGAAAUUACUUCAAAUAUUAAAAAAAUUAAUAUUACUAAUAUAUUAGAUAGAUUAAAUUAUAUAUAUUAUUUUUACUUAUUAAAAAAAUUUUAAAAUUAUUUUUAAUUACUAUUCAAAAAACGUAUUCAAAAAACAUAAUGAUAAAAAAAUCUUAACAUCUUUAUUAAAAAAUUAAAAACUUAUAUGAUAAAUUCUCUAAAUAUUUACGGUAUAUGUGAACCACGGUGGAUAAGCUUUAUUUAAUAUUAUUGAUUUAAAUAAUAUGUCAAUUAAAAAUGUACAGAGAAGAAAUUUCGGUGGGUAUUUUAGUCUUUUAAGCAAUUAUCAUGAUCAGAUCAGCCUUUAGCCUUCAAACGUCGGUCAGAAAAGUUUUAAAAUUAAUGCUAAAUUGUUUUUCACUUUUAACGUUGGUGGCCUUGAAAUUGCUUGUAUUUUAUUAAAAAUUAAUGCUAACAAGAAAAAGCUAGGUCAUAUUCCACAAAAUCAAAAGUGACAAAACAACCAGCUGGUUUCUUUUACUAAACUACAAAUUAAAAUAAAUUUUUUCGAUAAAUUACAAAUUAAAGUGGAUUCUUUUGAAUACAAAUGGGACAGACGAUUAGGCUCUUUUUAUUAGAGGCAAGUAAAAACUAGUCAAGAAUCGAACAGUCUUUUUCCAAUUCUUGUUUUAUUAUUUUUCAAAACUAGUUUUUGGUAAUUACAACCGGGUCAUUAAUCAUUAUUCAGAGUUAUCUUCCGGGGCAGUUUCUGUUCAUCGAAUUCGUUAAUAAAAUGUUAAAACUCUUAUUGAAAGAAUGUUUUUCCGUUAUCUUUUUUAUAAUCUAAUUUUAAGUGUAAGAAGUAGUCAUUUUAGAAUUUGGGUCUUGAAUCGAAUUUCAAUGCAUGAAUUAAUAUUUAAAAAAAAUUUACUACAUGCAGUUUAGGUUACAAACUAUUUUUUGCAAAGUUGACUAUGAAAUUGGAGAAAUUAAGUAAUUUAUAAUGUUUGCAAAGAAAGAGACCAACAUACUUCCAAUUACACUAUAUCUCAAUUAUCAUAAUGUUAAGAUUAAACUAACUUAAAAUAAAAUUUAUUUAAAAAGUUUAUCAAACGCAGUCUAAUUUUAUUAACUUGAAGAGAUAAUAGUUAUAGAAAUUAUUAUUCUAACUUAAUUAGUAAAAGUGGUAUAAAGGUUAAGUGUGCACUAAAUCUAUUUAAAUUUUUUUCCAGUAUAACUAACAGAGGUCAUUACUAGAAUUAUAUUACUAGUCUAUUAGAUAGAAAAAAUUAUUUAUAUUGUUUUAUAUUUAUUAAAAAAAUUUAAAGUCAAUCUUUUUAAUUACUAUUAAAGGAUAUUAUAAUUAAAAAAANNNNNNNNNNNNNNNNNNNNNNNNNNNNNNNNNNNNNNNNNNNNNNNNNNNNNNNNNNNNNNNNNNNNNNNNNNNNNNNNNNNNNNNNNNNNNNNNNNNNNNNNNNNNNNNNNNNNNNNNNNNNNNNNNNNNNNNNNNNNNNNNNNNNNNNNNNNNNNNNNNNNNNNNNNNNNNNNNNNNNNNNNNNNNNNNNNNNNNNNNNNNNNNNNNNNNNNNNNNNNNNNNNNNNNNNNNNNNNNNNNNNNNNNNNNNNNNNNNNNNNNNNNNNNNNNNNNNNNNNNNNNNNNNNNNNNNNNNNNNNNNNNNNNNNNNNNNNNNNNNNNNNNNNNNNNNNNNNNNNNNNNNNNNNNNNNNNNNNNNNNNNNNNNNNNNNNNNNNNNNNNNNNNNNNNNNNNNNNNNNNNNNNNNNNNNNNNNNNNNNNNNNNNNNNNNNNNNNNNNNNNNNNNNAUUGUGGGCACUCUUGUUCGUGCAUGUUUGCUAGAAGAGAUGGAAGAUGAUAAAGUAAAAAUGCAUGACGUUGUUCGUGAUAUGGCUUUAUGGAUAGCUUGUGAAAUUGAGAAGGAGAAGAGAAACUUUUUGGUUUGUGCAGGUGCUCGAUUAGAAGAGGCACCGGGUGUUAAAGAAUGGGAAAAUGUGAGAAGAUUGUCAUUGAUGCAAAACCAAAUUGAAACUGUGUCAGAGAUUCCCGCAUGCCCUCAUCUCCAUACUCUAUUUCUUGCCUCUAAUAGGAAUUUCAGGAUGAUCACGGAUGGCUUCUUUCAAUUUAUGCCUUCUCUCAAAGUUUUGAAGAUGUCACGCUGUGGGCAAUUCGAAGGUUUUCAAUUACCUGUUGGGAUGUCAGAGUUGGGUUCAUCACUAGAACUUCUUGAUAUUUCACAUACCACCAUAAGAGAGUUACCCGAAGAGUUAAAGUUGCUGGUAAAUCUGAAAUGUUUGAAUUUGAGGUGGACAGGUGCGUUAAUUAGAAUUCCACGGGGACUAAUAUCAAAAUUUUCAAGGUUACGUGUGUUGAGAAUGUUGGGUACUGGCGGGUUCAUUUUUUAUGAAGCACCAGAAGACAGCGUUUUAUUUGGUGGGGGUGAAGUUUUGAUACAGGAAUUGCUCGGUUUGAAAUAUUUAGAGGUAUUGGAGUUGACCUUGGGAAGUUAUCAUGCUCUCCAAAUUCUUUUGAGCUCAAAUAAGUUAAAAAGUUGUAUUCGAUCUCUUUACCUCUAUUUGACCGGAGAUAAAAAGUCGAUUAUUGAUGCUACGGCUUUCACAGACCUAAACCACCUCAAUGAAUUAUGGAUUGAUAAUGGAAUUGAGUUGGAAGAAUUGAAGAUUGAUUAUACGGAGAUAGUACGAAAAAGGCGGGAACCUUUUGUUUUCCACAGCCUUCACCUUGUUACGAUAUAUAGUUGCCAUAAAUUGAAAGAUUCGACAUUCCUCGCUUUUGCUCCAAACCUCAAGUCUCUUUCGCUAUUCAAAUGCCGUGCUAUGGAAGAAAUAAUCAGCGUCGGAAAAAUUGCUGAGAAUCCUGAGAUGAUGGGACAUAUAAGCCCUUUUGAAAAUCUCAAAAGUCUUGAUCUAUCAUAUUUGCCGGAGUUGAAGAGCAUUUUCUGGAAGCCAUUGCCUUUCACUCAUCUCAAAGAAAUGGGGGUAAGAGCAUGUGAUCAGCUUAGAAAGCUUCCACUCGAUUCCAACAGUGCAAAAGAGCGUAAAUUUGUAAUUCGUGGAGAAGAAGACUGGUGGAACCGACUUCAAUGGGAGGAUGAAGCCACUCAAAUUGCUUUUCGUUCCUGUUUCCAACCUGAUUCCUGAGCGGUGGUCGCAAAAUUUGAUUUCUGGUGAGUGCGUUUGUCUUUUAAAAGAAGAAUUUAAAAGAAAUUUAUUCUUGACGUUUUCUUCACUGUUUUUAUUUCAGUCUCUCUCUCUCUCUUUUUGUCUUCUGCUAAUCACAAUUAAAUGUUGAAUUAAUGGAAUUAAUGCUUCAUAAAUUUGCCGGCACUGCCAUUACUUUUUUUUUUUUUAAUACAAAUUGAUACUUUAUUUAUAUCUUCUUAGCGAUUUAAUUUCCUGUCAAUUGACGAACGAGAAGAACAUAUGACUUGAACCAAUGCUCGCAUAAACUUGCUGUAAAAAGAUAUAAUCUCACUGAAAUGCACACGCCUAGAAUGAAUAGAAUUAAAACAGGGAAAAUAUUAAGUAUAUUAGCCCUCUUUACCGAAAAUCAAAUGACAAUAAAUUUUUUGAAGUUUUGAUUUUCUAUGGUCAAUUCCACCUUUUGCAAUUUCUUCUGUUCUAACAAAAACCAAUUUCUUUGUUCAAGUAUUUUCGUUUGGGUAUUAAUAAUUCUCCACCGAAAGAGUGAACUCUUGCUCAAGGGAUCUCUAAUCAAUAGCCGGAAGGGCGCCGAGACCUGAUCGGACCUAGGCCCAAGUUUGGUCUUAAAGCCUGGGCUUGAGCCUGGCAAUUAAAUUAAAACAGUAAUUGAUUUCUUGAAUGAAUUGUCGUGUAAUUGAUUUAUGGGGGAUGACACAUCAACAUACUUGAAAAUACACUAAUCUCAGCAUCAUCCGUUAAUAACUUUUAGAUUUAUGGGCAAUCAAUAGUUAAAUUAGUUGUCAUUAAUACUAAAUAAUUUUUACUUUUUUUGUCUCUUCUAGAGGAUCUUCUAGAAAAAUGCAUCCACAAUUAAAUUUAAUACUUUACAUAAUAAAGAAAGCAUAAAUGUUAAAUUUAAGAAACUGCAUUGUAUUUCAGCUGAAGUUGACUUUAAUAUUUAGGGUAGAAAAAAAUUAAAUCCUUAAUGUGUUUAAUUUCUAUCACUUGUGUCAUUAAAAUUUUCUAGUCACCCUAACCAAUUACAUCUCAACCCACUUUUUUUUGGAUGAUUUUAUUUUUACACUAUUAUUUUCAACAUUUUUUUUUCCUUUUAACACCAACAUUAGUGUAUGUUACGUAACAUAAUCCAUAUUUGGAUAAUUUGAAAUUUGUUUGUGUUUUAUCUCAAAAUAGAGCUUCAAUCAAUUUGUACCUCAUAAAUUCACAAUAUCUGGCAUAUUGUCAAAUGUGCUUAUCCUUUUGCUUGACAUGUCAUUUUAAAAUUGUCAUUCAAUGUCAAAAAAUCACAUCAACUAAUGGCCGACUACUUUAAUUUGAAAGCAUGCGUGCGAUCGCCAAUAAUUAUAACUUAAUUGUUAUAUUGAAAUUUUUUUCUUUAUAAUUUAAGUUUAAUACUGCUACAUGUGUGGCACAUAAGUUGGAAAAUAUAACAUAAAAUUUGAAAAAUGUGUAGUUUUCGUUCCUUUUUUUUCUAAAAAAAUGGGAAAAAAGAAUGUAAUUUUGUUUAAAUUACUGUUGUCAUAACAAUUAUUAUUUUAUUGAUUAAUUGGCAGAGAAUCGUAAUGGUUUCGCAUGGUUGUUAAAACAUUGGAAAGUCCACUACAUCAUCGGUUAAUAACUUUCAGAUUUAUGGUUAAUUAAUAGCUGAGAUUUAUUAUCAUUAAUGCUAAAUAUUUUUUCUCUCUCCUGGAGGAUCAUCCACAGGCAGGUGCUUCCUGACGAUGACAAAAUUUUGGGCAGGCAGGUGCUUCCUGACUUUCACACGGUAAUUCUCAAAUUCUGAUUUCACCAUAUUUUAAUUACUGAUUAGCAUAUAUUCAAGUGCUCUCCAUUAUAAUGGAAGCCGCCGCCUCACUCGUAAUUCCAAACUUUAUCUUUUUUUCCUUUUUUAAAUUAAUGCAAGUAGCCGCUGUCCUUUCUAUUAAUUAAUUAAUUCGGCCGCCCACAUUUCUUUUCCUAAUGUCUUCUACUGUCGAGUUUAUUUUAUUUUCUCUUUAUUAUUAAAAUAUACUUAUAAUAAUAAAAAAAUAAAAAUUAACAUAUCAAAAUAUAAUUUAACAGAAAAUUAAGAUAAAAAAUUAAAAAUAAAUAAAUUAUGAGCAUAUCAAUCAAUAAAUGAAAAAUAAUAAUUUUUAUUUUUAUUAAAUAUAAAUUUUUCAGUAUUAAUCAAUUAUCUGAAUAAAUAAAAUCAUUUAAAAAUAAAUAAAUAAAUUAUUCUUAAAAAAAAAAAAAAAACUUUUUAUAACACUCACUAUGCUGGUUGUAGGGUUGACGCUUUGGGUACUGAAGCUAGUAACUUCUACAAGUAGUCUUAAGUUGACUGGCAACAACUAUAUUGGCAUUUAGAAAUAAUGUACUGCAACCAUAUUGGCAUGUUCAAAUGUUCUUAUUAUUGUAUUGGUGUGUCAAUAUUAUCUCUAACGGUUUUAUAAAUAAAAAAAUAAUCUAAAUUUAUAAUUUAACAUAAAAUAAAAUAAUUGGUAGAAAAACAAUUAUGGUUCAUUUACUUAUCAGUAAUCAGAAUAGACUGAAAUCGAAAUGAGUUGUAUUACUGUUGAUGUGUUUAUGUUGUACUCGAAUCGAAAUGAAUUAUUUUAAAUUACUAAAAUAUCCUUGGUCUGUUAUUCUAAUUAUUAUUAUUAUUUAAUAUUUAUUAUAAUAUUUUUCAUAUCAUUAAAAAAAAAUAAUAAUGAUGAUAAUAUUCUCAUUAUUGUUUGUUACAUUAUUAUUAUUCAAAAAAAUUAUUGUUAAUAACAAUAAUUACUUUAUUUCAAUAAUAAUAAUGAUAAAAUUAAUAAUAAUAAACAUGACAACAACAAUAAUUAUUUAUUAUGCCAAAAAAUAACAAUAAUAAUAAGAAUAAUAAUCAUCAUCAUUUUUUUGCCAAAGAAGCAUUAUCAUCAUCAUUUCAAAAAAAAAAUCAUCAUCAUCAUCAUCAUUUUUGUAGUGGCUACCUAUCGGCUGCUGCUUUCAUGUGAGAUUGACUUGCGACGCUUCAACGGCUAUUAUUUCUGACAAUGUCAGGUGUUGCUAUUUCAAUUUAGGAAGAAGUUGUUUCGGUGUGCUAGCGAUGGGAGAUGUUGUGGCUGCGAUUCGGGGAGCUACUAGUUUAUUGCACUAAUAACGGCAGGUGCUGUUGCUUGAUGCGAGGUCCAUGGCCAGUUGUCAGCAGUUCGACUUUGGUAUGGGUGCUGCUGGUUCGAUUUUAGGUGUUGUCCAAUUUCAUUUUCAGGAUUUUAAUUUUAUUUUUCUUUUAUAUUUUCAUUAAUUAAUCAGGGUAAAAUUGGAUUUUAGAAUUUAGAAUGAAGGUAAUUUUGUUAAUAAUGGAAAUGAGAUUCUGAUUGUCGAGAAUGAGCUUACACAAACAACUAUAAAUUAAGUGAAAACAAAACACUUUUUCUCUUUGUGUGAUUAAAACAUGAUAUGUACCAUAAAUAAAUAAGUAAAAAAUAAAUCAACACAAUCUAAAACAGUAAACAAAUUACAAGAGGCACAGAUUUUUAUGUGAAACACCGAAAAUGGAAAAAACCACAGCAUCUUAGUUUGAUAUAAUCUUCUACUAUAUUAAUGGGAUUAUAGCACAAAUUCUUUCCUAUAUAACACUAGAGAUUAACAACAUCAAGAAUCUCAAUAAUCUUGACUUACAAUACAGCCUAAUAUUUGUCUCUCUAAUAAGUAGAUAUCUAAAAUAACAGUCUCUAAUAAGUAUGUAUCUAAAAUAAUAGUCAACAAGAGGAUAAAACAAAAAUUAAGAUUAGUAGGAUGUGUAUAAGGUGAUGCUAUCAAUUUAUCUUCUAAAUUUGAGAAAAAUAGUUAAAUUCACUUUUUCGAUUGUCCGACCAAAAAUGGAAACCCUUGCCCCAAAACCAAAGGAAUCACCAUUAUGUUUUUCUCUCUCUCUCUCUCUAUCUCGUUCUUUUCUUCUUCUUUUCUUAAUGUUAGCCAUCACUUGCUUUUAUUCUUUAUAGCAUUCAAAAAGCUACUUUUAAUGGUAAAUUUCAUUUAAGUCUGCAACUUAGUGAUAAUUGCACACCAAACAAUCCUUACAUAGUGUUUUGGGCCCUCAAAUGAGAUGAAUACAACAAAUCUCCCCCUUUAAAUCAUGUGGGGGGCACCGCAAGCCCGCUAUUUGCAUAUAGCUUUUCAGCUUCUCCUUGAAUAAUGACUUUGUCAUCAUACAUAAUCCAUUCUUCGUUGUGUAAAUCUUCUCAAGCUGUAACUGUUCCUUCUCAAGCUGUAAUUAUUCCUUCUCAAGCACGUCUCGUAUCUAAUGAUACCUUACAUCAAUAUGCUUAGAUUUCGAAUAGUAUAACAGCACUCUGACUAUCGUAGUACAUAACAUAGCUGUCUUGUUUUACACCCAGCUCUUGUAGGAAAUUCUUCGUCCACAAUAUUUUUUUGCAACCUUCAAUAAUUGUAAUAUCAUUUGCUUUAGUGGUAGAAAAGGCAACUUAUUACUAAAGUUUAGAUUGCGAUGAGACUGUUCCCCCUGCAAAAGUGAGCAAACAUCCUAGUAGGAAUUUUUCGGAAUCAACAGCUCCUGCCAUAUCUACACACUUGUAACACAGGUUUGUCACCACCAAAAUAUAAACAUGCUCUGGAAAUGCAUCUAAGAUAUCUGAGAAUUUUUCACUGUUGUCCAGUGCUCUUUACCGAGGUUGAAGAGAAACCACUGACUACACUAACUGUAUAGGCAAUAUUUGGUCUUGUACAAAUUAUGGCGUACAAUAAACUGCCAACUGCUGAAGCAUAAGGAACUCCUCUCAUGGAGAAAUGGGUUUUACUCUUGAGAUUUUUGGGACCAUGAAGAAUAAAGAUGUAAUUUCUUAUACUGCCAUUGUUUCGGGAUAUAUAAAUAGAGAACAAGUCGAUAUAGCUCGACAGUGUUUUGAUCAGAUGCCAGAACGAGAUUAUGUCUUAUGGACUACCAUGAUUGAUGGGUACCUUCGAGUGAAUAGGUUCAGAGAGGCUUUGACACUUUUUCAGGAGAUACAAACUUCAAAUAUAAUGGGAGACGAGUUUACCAUUGUUAGCAUUCUUACAGCUCGUGCGAAUCUGGGGGCACUAGAACUGGGAGAAUGGAUAAAGACUUAUAUUGACAAAAACAAAGUCAAGAAUGAUAUAUUUGCGGGGAAUGCUUUGAUAGACAUGUACUGUAAAUGUACUGUAAAUGCGGAGAUGUUGAGAAAGCUCAAAAGGUAUUCAGGAAGAUGCUUUGAAAGGUCAAAUUCACAUGGACGACCAUGAUUGUUGGCCUUGCCAUCAGUGGAAAUGGUGAUAAAGCUCUUGAUAUGUUUUCCCAAAUGCUCAGGGCUUCGAUCAAACCAGAUGAGGUAGCUUAUGUUGGUGUUCUGUCUGCCCGUACUCACAAUGGUAACGAAACUUUUGUGAUAAAUAGUUGCAACUUAAGGUGAGAACUGGAGGAAGGGAAAUAGAUUGAAGUUGUUCAAUCAUCAGUAGUUGCUACUUGGUUUUAAGUUGUUCAAUCAUCGGUCGUCUCUAUUUGGUUUUCUCCAAUAUCUCAUCUUCAAUUUUGACUCAGAUUGUAUCUUACCACUAGUAAUUACAUAGACUUGCUGCCAAAGGUAAGAAUGGGAAUAAAUUAAAUAGAUUAUGUCGAAAACGAAAUAAAUUUACUAUUGUUCUGUUCAUUCUAUUUGUUUCCUACAAAAUAUUUCUCCUGCCUAAAAUUUUUUGAAUCAGUAAGUUUUUACCUUAUGGAUGAAUUGUGUUGAGAGUAAUUCCAUUUCUCAGUCUCUUUAUGUUUCAAUGAAGACGUAAAACUUGUGUUCUAGUGCACCAACGUUUAUGCUUCUUACAAUUUGACUUUAAUUUACUUUGUAAAAUUUUUGUCAAAAAGUACUAAAAAGUAGUGCACCAAACACCAACUUUAUUACAGAGAGGACUUUAGUUAAAUUUUAAGAAAACACUCAAAAGAAAGAGUUGUAAAUUAUUAUAAAAAUAUUUCACAUAAAUAAAAGCCAUCCCAUGCUGCAAAGAUCUUGCUAUAAUCACCAAAAACUAUCGGGAGCUUUUAGGGUUUCCAUAAAAAUGCCAUUUCGUUCCAUGUAUAUGAUUCUAUAGUCUCACUGGCAAGUAAACCACAGCCCAACAGCACUGACUGUCCAUGAUGAUUCACCCCAAUGAACGAAACCAGCGUUGCAUCAUAUCUUUCUGUCAAGCAUGUAAUAUCAAUUGAUUUGAGCUAUUAACAUCAUUUCCAAAUACUCCAUUGGCAUCUACAUUACCAUUUCCCUCGGCAUCAAUGAUAAGAGUUCGAAACAGUCUAAUCUUUUGAACUUCUUCAGCACCAUCUAAGAGCAAUGUUCUUUUGGUUCCAAUACCCAUGUGCUUAUGAUAUUUGUAAAAUAAUUAUUUGUAAAAUAAUUAGUUCAAUUUUGACAUAAUACGGAAUAAACACAACCUGCCAAUCUAAGUUACUAUCUUUUCCCGUCAUCAGGUACCUGUUUGAAAAAUAAUUAUAUACAAUUUUAUUUGCGUCGUCCCUCUAAAAAUUUGGGACUCAAAUGUUAUUUCUAAUUGCUAAAAGUACGAAAUUGCCCCCUUUCUCUUCAGCUAAAGGAGUGCAAAGUCAUCUGUAUAAUUGAAUCUGCAUCAUCAGUUUCUAUUGCUGGCUGGUGUUACUGCAUGCUUACAGUUGCUUGACAAAGUGAGCCAGUUUUUUGUUUAUUAAUUUUUUUUCUUGUCGAGACAGUCACAAAGUAUUACUUGUUCUAUUUGAGAAUGAUGUGAAUCAAUUUUUCAAUUAUGCAUUCUGUGGUAAUUAUUGUGAAUUUAGUUUCAUUUGUCUUGUCUCCUGCAAAUUUUGAAGAAAAUGCAGACAUACAAAUUUACAAUAUGUAUUUGCGUUAGUAUAAAAACAAUUGUUAGAUGAUUAAAGCGAUUUAUUUUUUUUUUUACAGCAUUUGAUUGUAUUAGUUAAAAUCAUUUUUUAAGGAUAAAAAUAAAUAGAAAAUUAUUCUCAUGUAGUGUGGAAAUCUUUUCUAAUUUCUUGUUGACUUGUACAUUUAUUUCAGAAUUUCCAUUCAUUAAUUCUACUGUUUUAAUCUUUGACUUAGCUACCGUAGUUGACUUUUUAUAUCAAAGGCUUAAACAGCAUGCAUUUUUGAAUUGACUGAGAAUAAUUUGGUGGACAAAUUACUAGUAAAGGACUUCAAAUGGUUGAAUUGACUGUGGGUUUUUCAUGCCCAAGUCACUCGUCACGUCGUUUCAUCGAAACAAAGUGCCCGGUGCAAAUGGUGUGAUGUAAAACACCUUUUUAAAUUGUCAUUUUUUUUCCUUUGCUUUUGCUUUAAUUUUCUAAAUGCUCAACGCCAUAAAUCCAUGUAUUCUUAAUUUUCGUUUGCUGUAUUGAUUCCCAACCCUCUAUGUCACAAGGUUUUGAAUGCCAGUAAUUAAGUUAAAUUAAACAUAUUUUAAGUCCUACUUUAAAUUAUUGAAAAAUGUAUUAUGGUUGAACUGAAUUUUAACUAAAAAAUAUAUACAAAAUAAAAGAUUAAUCAUAUCUUUUUAUGAGGAAGGUCAGUCAUCAUUCUGACCACAGACACUUAAAAUUAAUUGAGUGGAAUAUUGCAAAAUAUAUAUAAACCAUGCCAAAACUAGAUGUUUGAGUAAUGAAAACGAGAAUUCAUAUGACUCAGAAAUAUGGUCGCUUUCCUUUUUCUGAAAGGCAAAAAAAAAGGGGGAACCAAAAAGGACCAAAAUGAACAAAAAUGGAAGGCGAAGGUAAGCAGACAUGUUAUAUGUUUUACCUAAGAUGCCAAAUGCAACUCCCCAUUGAUGGUGAUCGAACAUUAUGGCCAUUUUCUUAGUAAACAAAAAAUGAAUUUUGAACACUCAACAACGAAACUUGAGCAGAAGAUCAAGCAAGGGCCUCGAUCUCAAAGAAGAUACUAUGAAACCCUACUUAAUGGUUAAAUAACUUUCAUUCAGCUUUGGACCCUAUUUCGUGAUACGGAAAGACAAACCUUUCUUGGCCGGCAGUGUCCCAGAUCUGGGCUUUGAUGAUCUAGAGGUUGAUGGUGACAGUUCUGGUUUGGAACUCGACGCCAAUGGUUUAUUUCGAUUCAAAGCAAAACUCAUUCUUGGUGAAUCUCGAAAGAAUCUGAGACUUGCCCACGGCCGAGUCACCGAUCACCACUACCUUGAAUACAUAGUCUAUUUUGUCAGGAAUCAUAUUCUCUCGUUGUUGAUGACGAUGAUCGGUGCCAUCACCACUCAUUUCUUCGUUCAUUCAUUCUAUGUCCAUUGAUCUUUUUGAAUUAUUGAAGACAAGUGGCUCACCGCUUUUAGUAUUGGUAAAAUUCAGAUAAUCUCUAUUCCGAAAUAAUAAUAUUAAAAAUAUCUCUUAAAUCAUUAUAAACUUCAAAUCUAUUUUAAUUUUAUUUAAAAGAUAAAAGAAAAAUAAGUUAUGUUGGUGAUUUUUUAUUAUCUUUUUAAUAAAAAUAGAAUAAAUUGAUGUUUAUAAUUAUUUAAAGUAUUUUAAAGAUUGCUAUUUUAUGAGAGAAUAAUAUUUCAUUUUUUUUUUCGUGUGAAAGACCGAAAAAGGACAAAGCAAGUUUCCCUAAUUUUUAUUUUAUGUGAAAUUGGUCAUCUCAUAUACUUUACCCUUCAACACUCUAAUUUUUUUGGUUAUAAUUUUAUUAUUUUUUCUCUUUUACACAUGCAUGUGAAUUACUUUUCUUUAAGCUCCUGAAUAUUUAAGACAAAUCAUGGAAGAGAUGAGAGUAUAACAAGAUGAUCAAAAUAUGUAACAAAAAAAUUUUAGAAGUGAAAAAUAUGUUAGAGUCGAAGUAAAACUCUGAGGUGAUGUUUGAUUUGAAGAAAAUGGAGGAGAGAAAAAGAGUGGAAUGGAGAGGAAAAGAGAGAAAAGGAGAGGAGAGGAGAGGAGAGUGAACUUUUUUUCUAAUGUUUGGUUUGUCACAUAAAUAUACAAAGAAAGGAAAUCUCCAAUUUUUUAUUUAGACAAUUUUAACCUUAAUAAGUAUUAAGCUUUCAAUAUUUAUCAUGUGUAUAAUUUAAAAAAAGUAAAUGGUAGAAAGCGGUUUCUGAUUCCGGCCACAUCGCCGGCAAUGGAAGGUACUUAUCAGAACAUCAAGAACCGGCCAUCAUUCCCUAGCCAUCACUGCUGUAGGAACACUGCUAAAAAGCUGCCGAUUGAACCGCGAAAAGUCGUGGAAAUCGUUGCCUCAAAUCGGUGAGUUUCGCCUUUUUCUGGUCAUGCCGUCGCCUUGGCUUUGUCCAUCAACGCUGCCACUUCCAUUUCAACCAUCCAUAGCCACUAUUAACCGCCAAAUCGCCGCCGAUCAGCGGGAUCUGUGGAAGUUAAAAAGUUUCUAAAAUUUUUUAAUUGGAUUUGAACAACAUACAACCAUUUUUUGAUCUCAAUAACGACAUAGUAAUGUUGAUCGUUGGUCGGCAAGUCGAAUGGUAGUGGCGGUGAGUAACACGCGCCAAUGACAUCGGCGGCGGCGGCGGCACUAUCCGGCUACUGUUAAAAUUAAUAUUUUAUAUUUGUAGAUUAAAUAAAUUUAUUUUAUUAAACUUUUUAAAUCAUUAUUUAAAUUUAAUUAAUUUAAAAUUAUCUAUGAUGUUGAAUUGAUAAAAUAAAUUUAUAAAUAAUAAUUAUGUGAUUACAUUAAAUAAGUUAAAAAGUUGAAGGGUUAUUUUUGGAAGAUUUAGUUUCCAACACAAAGGGAAUUUGAAUUCUUCACUUCUUAGUGUGGAAUUCAAAUUCUAUAUUGUAAUGGAUAUUAAAUUCCAAUAGAAAUUAAAUUCUUAUAAGUUAUGUCAAACCAAACAACGGAAAUAAAAAAAAAGAAUUUAAAUUACUUUCCUUUCCUCCACCCUCUCCUUCCAACCAAAUACAUCCUGAAAAUAGAGAUAUUGAUUAAUUUAGAAGAGAUGCAAGCAAAAGAUAUUCCACAAAAAAAAAAAAGCAAUAUGUCCCUUUGGAGGGCAAACUUGUCAGUUUUAAAAAAGUACAUGCUUUGGAUUGAUAGUUGUAGGAUAUUUGUUUUGUCACUAUGUGUUAGUUGGAGAAGUCAAGCCUUGUGAAGAAUGUUAUGAAAGAGCAAAGGAUAUUCCUGAUAGCUGAUAGAGCUCUAUUUGAUUAUGUAUCCAAUGAAUGGAUGUGUUGUUGGAAGAUAUUUGAGUGCAUUAGUUCAUAUGUGUCUAUCAAUGUGAUUUUAAUGAUUUUUCCACUUGUUUGUUGUAAAAGAUUAUUGUAAAUUGAAAUGAACUUGAUGUUGUAAUAUUUUCUCCUUAGUAGAAUUUCACCUAGUAUGUAUUUAGUUGUGUUGUCUAUAAUUUUGCAUUCGAAUAAGUUUCACCUAAAAUAUUAGCAUGAGUAGUGGCCCUUGAAACUUUGGUCAAAAUUAUUGUUAUUAUUUCCGACUAGAUGUAAAUUUUUUAUUAAAUCUCGCUAACACAAUUCUUAAUUAAAAGUAUAGGUUAGUGUUGGUGCAAGACUUGCCACACCAAAUUCUGCCUAACUGUCAAAAGUGCAAAAUAAAUGAAGAGAAAGCACAAAUACACGACUUGAAUAAGGAUACAACGAAACUUAAAUUCAAGAGAAAAUGAUAGCUAUAUCUCAAGAUUUGAAAAAACGGUCAUGUAGAUUUUUAAGAUUUCAAUAAGCGACUGAGAUUCAAAUAAUAUCCUUUAAUUCUAUUAACAAAAAACAAAGACUCAAAUAUUUUAUGAUAAAUAAAAAUAUAAUAUUAAAAUAUAUGUGAUAAUAUACACAUUUUAAAUACUUUCAAUCCAAAAAAAUAGUUAUGUUUUACAAUCUAUUAGACAUAUUUUAUUAAAUUAAUAUAAAUUUUCUAUAAAAUAAGAAUAUAAUAUUAAAAUAAAUUCACAAAAAUUUAAAGAAUUUUGAAUGUAAAAUAAUUUUAAUAUAUCAAUACGUGAGUUUUUUUAUUAAUAUAAAAUUUAUUUAACUUUAAGAUUUUUUAAAAUCUUUACAAUAAGUAUAACUAUAUUAUUUACAUUUAAAAAUAUUUAAAUAUUAUUAACCUACAAUUAUAUUUGCAUUUGUUAGAAAUUUUUUAAGUCAAAUAUUUUGCACUUCUAUAUUAUUAGAAUUAUUGCACAAAAAGAAAGAAACAUACACCUUUAGAAAUUGUUUUCUUUUAAAAUAGAGAUGAUGAUUAGUAUAAGGAUGAAAAAAAGGAUAAAGAAUAUUAAUGAUUAACGAAAUCUCUAUACAAAUUGAUUUUAGUAGGAAAAGAGUGAGAUGAAUGAUUUCUUUUACAGUUAGAAACAUAGAUGAUGAUUAUUAUAACGAAGAAAAAAAGAUAAAGAAUAUUAAUUAUUAAUGGAAUCUCUAUACAAAUUGAUUUUAGUAGGAAAAAAAUGAUUAAAUGAUUUAGAGUGCGUUUGGAAUUGAGAUUGGGCAGCCAUAGAUUUUAAGUUACAACACUGAAGUGUUUAGUAAAUACUAGUUGCUGCAGAUUGAAAGUUAUGUUGAUAUGAUUUUUCACAUGUAUCAUAGAAAAUAUAUUACAUCUUUAAUAUUUUUUAAAAAUUUAUAUUUGCUAUAUAUUAUUAAUUUUUUUUUAUAGUUAUAACUUUUUUUCCACAACAGUUGUAGCUUAAAAGUCACAGCACCUCAAUCUCAAACAAAUCCUUAGACAUUCAUAGUGUGUUUAUUUUUUGGAUUGGUGAAUCAAAAUUAUUGACAACGCUAACUUCAUCUUCACUGUUCGCAAUCCAACAGCAGCAAUUGUCGCCAAUAAUGAUAUCUCCAAUGAUGAUGACAAUUAUUAUUAUUAUUUUUAUUAUUAUUAUUAUUAUUAUUAUUAUUAUUAUUAAUUAAUUAAUUAAUUAAUUAAUUAAUUAAUUAAUAUAUUAAUGUUGAUAUUAUUAUUAUUAAGAUUAACAAUAAUUAUUAGUAAUACAAUUUUUUGAAUAAAAAUAAUCACAAUAAUUAAAAUACAAAUUAAUAAUUAUGACAAUAAUUAAUUAAUGUCUUUUUAGUAAUUUGUAAUAAUCUAACUCAUUUUGGUUCUGAUUAUUACAGCUUAAGUAAACAAAUUAUUAUGAUUCCUAUUCUCCUUUCCCAUUUUAACUCACUUUGAUUCCAGUCUAUUCCGAUUUCUAUUUAAUAAAUGCACCAUUAGUGCUAAAGUAAUAUUUCAUACAUAGAAAAAUAAAAACUACGCCUAAGGUUAAGGGAAAAGACUUCAAAAUUCUCUUUUGAUCAUAAUACAUUUUGUCCUAAUUAACUUAAAGAUUUUGAAUCUAAUAUUUUAUAAUAAAUAAAAAUAUAUUCCUAAAAUAAAUAUAAUAUCAAUAUUUAAAAUAUGUUUUAAUAUUUUACAAUCUAUCAUACACAUUUUAUUAUAUUAAAGUAGAUUUAUAAUAAAUAUAUAAAAAUUUAGAAUAUUUAGAAUAUUAUAUAAAAUAAUUUUAAUAUAAUGCGUGAUAUAUAUUUUAUUAAUUUAAAAUGUCAUUUUACCUAAAAAAUAUGAUAAAUUAAUAAUUACAUAUUUGAAGUUAUUUCAAAUAUUAAAAAAAUUUAAUAUUAUUAAUCUUUUAGAUAGAUUAAAUUAUUUUUUAUAAGAGAGAUUAAAUUAUUUUAAAAUGCCUUAAUUGUUUUUACUUUUAACGUUACGGGCCUUUCUUUUAUUUUAUUGCAAAUUAAUGCUAACUAGAAAAACAAAAACAAAAGUGACAAACACAACCAGCUGGAAUCUUUUAUAAAACUACAAAUUAAAAUGGAUUUUUUUUUUUUGUUGAUAAAUUACACAUGAAAGUGGAUUCUUUUGAAUAUAAGUGGGGUAGGCUCUUUUAUUUUUUUUUUAAUACCGUAUAACAGGACUGUAGACUCUUUUAUUAAGCACAAAUAUAGAGUUGUCGAGACAAUUAGGGUCUUUUAUUAAACUACAAAUUGUAUAGUCUUUUUUAAAUUGUUCAGAUAUUUAUAAAUUGGUGGCCCCUACAAUCCUCAAUAAUUGUACCGAUAUUCACAAGCUGGUGGCCCCUACAAUCCUUAAUAAUUGUUUUUUUUUUUUUCUGCAUUCCCUUUCAUGCUCUUAAUAAUUAAAGAGCAUACUUUUCAAAUGUGGAGCCGCGGCUAAUGUCGCUAAUUUAAUUUGGGAUUAAAUUAGGGGACUAUUAUAUUGCAGUGUGCACUAAUUUUUAUGUUUAUCUAAACUCCUUAAAUUUAAGAUAUAUUAUGGCAUAAAUAAGAAUAUAACAAUAGCAAAAGAGUUAGAAAGUGUAGAGAAGAUCUUGCAGAAAUAUAAAUAAUAUUUAUUUUAAAAUAAUAUCAAUAUUUAAAAUAAUUUUUAUUAUUUUAUGAUCCAUUAGAUAUAUUUUAUUAUAUUAAAGUAAAUUUUAUAAUAAAUAAAAACAUACUAUUAAAAUGAAUAUAUAGAAAAUUUAGAGUAUUUUAAGUAUUAUAUAAAAUAAUUUUAAUAAAAUAUGUGAGAUAUUCAUAUUUUAUUAAUUUAAAAUACCAUUUAACCUAAAGAUUUAUUUAUGAUAAAUUAAUAAUUAUAUUUUUGAAAUUACUUCAAAUAUUAAAAAAAUUAAUAUUACUAAUCUAUUAGAUAGAUUAAAUUAUAUAUAUUAUUUUCUAUUUAUUAAAAAAUUUCAAAUUAUUUUUAAUUACUAUUCAAAAAAUAUGAUGAUAAAAAAAUCUUAACAUCUUUAUUAAAAAAUUAAAAACUUACAUGAUCAAUUCUCUAAAUAUUUAGGGUAUAUGUGAACCACGGUGGACAGAGGUCAUUACUAAAAUUUCUCUUCCACAGGCAAUUACAGCAGCUCCAGUUUAUCAAACUCAACCAAUUUUCUUUCUUAACAAAAUUCCAAAGAUGUGUAGCUUUUUUCAGAUCACAUGCGAUGGUGCUUUUUUCAAUCGUUGCUUGGAUUGCUUUCUUGGAAAAGCAGCAUACAUACGUAACCUCCAAGAUAAUCUUGAUGCCUUGGACACUGAACUGGGAAGACUAAUCGCAGCAAAGAACGAUGUGAUGAUUAGGGUUGUCAAUGCUGAACGGCAAUAAAUGAGAAGGCUGGACGGAGUGCAAGUGUGGGUUUCGAGUGUGGAUGCUGUUAAAACUGGAGCCGAUGAACUUAUCACAGACGGCUCUGAAGAAAUUGGCAAAUUAUGUGUUGGAGGCUACUGUUCCAAGAACUGCAGGUCAAGCUACAAAUUCGGAAAACAAGUGGCUAGAAAGCUACGAGAUGUGGAGACUUUAAUCGCCGAAGGAGUUUUUGAGGCGGUGGCUACUGAGGUGGUGCCUGAGAGAGCUCCAGAGCCUGUAGCAGAUGAAAGACCUACCGAGCGAAAAGUAGUAGGCUUGCAAUCACAACUUGAACAAGUCUGGACGUGUCUUGUGGAAGAAUCAGCGGGAAUCAUUGGCCUAUACGGUAUGGGCGGUGUUGGUAAAACCACACUAUUGACCCAUAUCAACAAUAAAUUUCUCGAGAGUCCAACCAACUUUGAUUGUGUGAUUUGGGUAGUAGUUUCAAAAGACCUGCGACUUGAAAAACUUCAAGAAGAUAUUGGGAAAAAGAUAGGUUUGGUUGGUGAUUCAUGGAAGAGUAGAAGUGCAGAGGAGAAAGCUCUCGACAUCUUCCGGAGUCUAAGAGGGAAGAGAAUUGUAUUGUUGUUAGAUGAUAUAUGGGAGCGGGUUGAUUUAACAAAAGUGGGCGUUCCACUUCCUGGACCACAAAAUACUACCUCAAAAGUCGUAUUCACAACNNNNNNNNNNNNNNNNNNNNNNNNNNNNNNNNNNNNNNNNNNNNNNNNNNNNNNNNNNNNNNNNNNNNNNNNNNNNNNNNNNNNNNNNNNNNNNNNNNNNNNNNNNNNNNNNNNNNNNNNNNNNNNNNNNNNNNNNNNNNNNNNNNNNNNNNNNNNNNNNNNNNNNNNNNNNNNNNNNNNNNNNNNNNNNNNNNNNNNNNNNNNNNNNNNNNNNNNNNNNNNNNNNNNNNNNNNNNNNNNNNNNNNNNNNNNNNNNNNNNNNNNNNNNNNNNNNNNNNNNNNNNNNNNNNNNNNNNNNNNNNNNNNNNNNNNNNNNNNNNNNNNNNNNNNNNNNNNNNNNNNNNNNNNNNNNNNNNNNNNNNNNNNNNNNNNNNNNNNNNNNNNNNNNNNNNNNNNNNNNNNNNNNNNNNNNNNNNNNNNNNNNNNNNNNNNNNNNNNNNNNNNNNNNNNNNNNNNNNNNNNNNCAGGAAGUCCUAGUGCGUGCUAUCAGAAAAGAUGCUGGGAACUGUUUCGCGAAAAUGUUGGGGAAGAAACUCUUGAGAGUGAUCAUGAGAUCGUUGAGCUAGCCCAAACUGUGGCCAAAGAGUGUGGUGGUUUGCCACUCGCACUUAUUACUAUUGGUCGAGCUAUGGCCUACAGAAAGAAAGCGGAGCAGUGGAGACGUGCAAUUGAAGAGUUAAGAAGAUCAGCUUCAGAGUUUGCAGGUUUGGGAAAAGAGGUGUAUCCUCUUUUAAAGUUUAGCUAUGAUAGUUUGCAGAAUGAUACAAUUAGAUCUUGUUUCUUGUAUUGUUGUUUAUAUUCUGAAGAUUAUGGCAUUCUUAAAUGGGACUUGAUUGAUUGUUGGAUUGGUGAGGGAUUUUUGGGGGAAUCUGACAGGUUUGGUGCAGAAAACCAAGGAUAUGACAUUUUGGACACUCUUGUUCGUGCAUGUUUAUUAGAAGAGGUGGAAGAAGAUGAAGUAAAAAUGCAUGACGUUAUUCGUGAUAUGGCUAUAUGGAUAACCAGUGAAAUUGAGAAGGAGAAGAGAAACUUUUUGGUUUGUGCAGGUGCUGGAUUAGAAGAGGCACCGGAUGUUAAAGAAUGGG